This 220700-nucleotide long non-coding RNA is filed under the name Ananas comosus (pineapple). RNAcentral's name for it is "long non-coding RNA (ACOM_LNC010265)". The record is from RNAcentral. Lineage: Eukaryota; Viridiplantae; Streptophyta; Magnoliopsida; Poales; Bromeliaceae.
AGCUCAAAAGCUGCAGUUUGCAGAAUUUGAUUCUUUAGCUCUCGAAAACCUUCCGUAACUUACUUUUGAUCAUUUUAACACCUUCGGACUUUCCAAAGUGUACCGUCCUCGCACUUUGGUCAAUUUGACUAAAGUUCGAUAUUUAUUUUCCGAAUUUUCGGUAUAUUACAAUCUUCUUAUCCCACCUACUCCAACCAAACACUAUUUUUCAUUAUUUUAGACUAACUCCAACCUCCAACCAAACACAAAAAAACUUUAAUCCCACUUUAACCCUGAACUUAACUCUAUCCCUGGAAUAGCUACUUUUUCCUUAACCCCGAACCAAACAGAGGCUUAGGGAUAGGUGGAUUCCCUGUAAACGACUCGUGAACAAGAAUUUAGUAUAGCUAAGCACAUAUGCAUGAUUGUCGGAAUAGGUAAGUUCCGAGAGAGUUGUUGGCCCUAGUUCGUAGGGUGUCCUCACAUGGAGAGGAUAGAUCAAGCUCAUGGUCUGUUAUUGGGGUGGUAUAGCCAUCCGGGGUGGUAUAGCCAUCCAUGUCGUCGAGUACUCCGGAGUGUCGGGCGAUUGGGACAGAGUUGAUGUUCGCAGACAGUCCCGGGUUCGAGAGCGAGUUGAGUCUCCGCAUCCUACGGGAUGGAUAUGUAAGGCGAGGGCGAACCUAAGGGAUUCGCCAAGGAUUGGGUAAAUGAAAGAAUAGCAUUGUCAUUGAACAUCGCUUAUUGGACAUGAUUGAACAUAGUAGCAUGAUGGUAAACCUUUACUAAACGAUGCAUGCAUUCAUUACUUGUGAUUAUGGGUAUAGUAGCAUAGUUUUCCUAUUAUGUCAUUUACUGUUUUGGAUAUCUAUCUAUUUAUCGAGUUGUUACUUUUGCCCACUUGGACCUAGUGGGAAGAUCGGCGGAGUCGGCGGCCAAANCAGUCAUUAUUGCUAUUGUUAUUGUUCUUACCCUUUCCUUUUGGGGCCUAGUGGUGCUUUGAGCUGAGGUCAGUAAUUGCCCACUGGGAACUAUAAAUUAUAGUUCUCACGCCCUCUUUAUCUCGAUUUUUUUUCAGAGCCUUCCACGCAGGGUGAGGCCAGGGAUCGCGAGAAGGGAGUUGCUACGAGCUAGCUUCCUUGGAGGACGAGUUGCUAGGUGGUCUACCUCUCGAUGUCUUAUUUUAUUUUUGCGAGAGGUUGAGGGUUUUACCAGUGUACUAGAGACCACCAUUUUUGUACCAGAGACAGUUAUUGUACUACUUAUGGUUUCUUUUAUUGUCUAACUUUAUUUCUUCACUUUGGUGUAGAUGAUGGAAUUUUUACUCGCUCUGAUAUCACUAGUUGUUACUAUUCUAUUUGUAUUAUUUCUUGUUUUUACUUCCGCUGUUACUAUAGACGCCUUAUAUGUGUUGACAUAUGGCGGGUCUGGGCACGCUACCGGGAAGGCCCCUGCCGGUCCCGGGGCAUGACAUUUAAUUUCUUCCGACCGCCAACGUACUGUGGAUUGUUAUCUUGCGUAAAUAGUUCUCCAUUCUAAUGAACAAUAAUAGCCACAUUACUACCCGUCAUCCUAACUUUUACAAAAGAUAAUAUUUGUAAACACACAUAAUCAUAGCAAUUUUUGACUAAUUUAAAAUAUCAAUUUGCAAAUGACAUGUGUUCACUACACCGAAAAAAAUUUAUCAAUUUUCAGUAUAAAUUUAUCAAUUUUUAGUAUACAUGUAUUUACUACACUCAUCUUUCAAAUUUCAUCAAACAAUGAUGCAAAUAGGGUUUAAAAUGUGAUCUAAAGUGUGUAUGCUACCAAAUAUAGACAAAUACAACAAAUUAUAUUGAGAAAACAUAAUAAUCUAUAAACAAUCAACUCUACUUUAAAAAUCAUUAGAGAAAGGCGCGGCGGCAGCCUUGGUGGUGGUAGCAGCAGCAGAGGCUUCGGCGCCGGCGACGGCUGCAGCGACGGCAGCGUUGGAGUCGUGGGGUUUGGGCAGAGUGAGGGAGAGGAGUGAGGGAGACAAAGAGGAGCUCGGGGAGAGGAGUCAGAGAGAAAGGGUUCGGGCAGGGUUAUGUAUUCUAAUUAAAGGCGGUGAAUAGUUCAUUGCCCUUAAACGCGGUAAACCAUUCACCGCAUAUAAAAACGGUAAACGGUUUACCGCAUUUAAAGACGGUGAAUAUUUCACCAUCUUUAAAUAGUUUACCGUCUUUAAGAGAACGCAGUAAACUAUUUACCGCAUUUUUAAAUUUUCACGCACUUUUCCAAGGGCUGCCAGAGUCCUACAAAUGCGAUGAAUGAUUCACUGCAUAUAAAAGAUUUUACGCAACCCCGUUGACCUGGCCUAGUUGAGGCUUAUUUUUGCAAUAAAAUUUAUCGGACAAUUUUUAUAAAAAAAUUUUAAGUAAGCUUAUUUAUAAAAAAAAAUUCCUAAUAAUCAUUACAAUACUAGUUUAGGGCCUACGCUUCGCGGCGGAUCAACAUCGGCAACCUAAAAUCUCAGUUUGAUUUUCGAUUUAAAAUUUAAAUUUAAAUUUUGAUUUUAUAGUAGAAUUUUAAACUAUCAUUCAGAUUUAAAAUUCUAAAUUGAUGAAUUUCAAAUAAACAUCUUUCAGACAUAGAUUUUAAAUAUUAUUUUUAACUUUUAAAUAUCAAAUAUCAAAUUUAAAAUUUUAGGUUUCAAAUAUUAGAUUUUAUAUUUUAAAUUUUAAAAUUCAAAAUUUGAAUAUAGAAUGUACAAAUUUAAAUUUAGAACUGAAAUUUAAAGUUAAAAUAUGUAAAAUUGAAAAUUUUAGUUUUAGUAAUUAAGAUAAAAAAUAAAUUUUAAUUGUAAGUUUUAAAUUAAAUUUCAAAUUGCAAUAUUUUAAAUAUUAAAUUAUAAAUUGAAUUUAAAAAUUUUAAAUCUUAAAUUUUGAAUAUUUUAAAAUUUAGUUUUAGUAAUUAAGUAAAAUAUAAAAUUUUUUUAAAUUUUAAGUUGUUUAACUUUUAAAUUUCAAAUUUUAAUAUUUAAAUAUUAAAUUAUAAAUUGAAUUAAAAAUUCAAUAUUAAAUUUCAAAUAUUAAAAUUUCAAUUUCAAAUUUUAAGAUUUAAAUUUUAACUUCAAAAAUUUAUAUUUUAAAUUUAAAUUUAAUUUUAAAUAAUAAAAAAUUUAAAAUUAAAAUAUUUAAUUUUAAAUUUAGAUUUGAAAUGUAAAGUUUUUUAAACUUAAAUUCAUUUUAAAUUUACACUGUGAGAGAAAGAGGGAGAAGAGAAAGAGAGAGAGGCGCGCUCGAGGAAACGAGAGAGAGAGGAGGGGGCACUCGAGAGGGGAGAGAGAGAGGAGGAAGAUGGAGAGAGAGCAGAGAGAGAGAGAGAGAGUCACGCGUGCCAGCCAGCCCGCGCCUCGGCGCUGCCCGCCACAGCGCGCCCGCGCCUCAGCACUGUCUGCCCCGCGCGCCCGCCUACCCGCGCCCCGCGCGCCCGCGCUCACCCCUGCCAGCGCCUCCACGCUCGCCGCCACCUAUCCCAAAACUAAGGAUUUAUAUAUACUACAGAUUUGCACGCUUUAUAAAUUAAAUUUUAUAAUUUUACGAUAUUAAUUUUAUAAUUUUACGAUAUUAUUUAUCUAGUGAUCCCAGUGGUAUCAAAAUCACAUCCUAUAUAACAACCCUUUUAAAAAUUAUCAAUUUUCAGACUACUAUAUAAAUGAUUUUGAAAAUAGCAUAAAACAUGUUCUGUAGAAAGUUCAUCAAAUGCCCAAGUUCACGUUAGCGCGCGCUAAUCGCCCAUAUGAAAUGAACUACUACAUUUACUAAUAGAAGCUUCUUAGCUAGCUCUGUGAAAUAUGCCUAUUAUCUAUCAUGUAACUUUACCACAACGCAUCCUGUUUCACAGCGAAAAUCCACAAUAAAGUAAAAAAUUAGUGAAAUGGUCGGAAUAAAUUCGAACGCACGCAGUGUAGAACAAAGACCUUUCUGCCAAACAUCCAAAAACGCUACAUAAAUAAAAAAUAAGAACAAGGAUUGAAGCAAAUUUCGUACAGUUAAAUAACUAUUGAAUUACUCACCAUUGCCAAGAAUGAAGGCAAAACCUUUUUAUCUCUGCUUACUAAAUCUUUCUGAAACUAAAUGAGGUUCAUACAGAACCAAAAUUUACUGAUUCGGCACAAACUAUGAUUAGACCAAUAUAGAGGAAGAAGGCAUCCCAAAUAACUACAGCAACCCAUAAAUUGAAGAUAUCAAUUUUCAGGGGGGCAAAAAAAAAAAACAUCCGCUCACAAAACAGCUGAGAUAACCAACAAAAAAUUAACCAAAAAUACUUUUCAUCCCUAUAUUAUUUGCACGCUAUACUGGUUCAACAGCCAGCAAAUGAAUGGCUAUUCAAUCUACCAAAUAGGUCCCUGAAAAUUUUGGUUACACCAACUCAAGCUUCCUGAGAAGCUUCUAUGGCAAAGCAGCUCUUUCAAAUGCACUGUCUCCGUGACAUCAACAAAGUAGAUUGCUAUAUCAAUACAUGCUACCAUAUUCCUAUCAUCAUCUGCCAUUUGCACCACAUGGACACCAACAUAUGUAGCAUUACCUAUAAAAACUUCUCACCCAAAACUGCACUUCCUCGUUUUCCUUUUCCAUGUUGAGUAAAUCUCAAAAUACAUGUCACCUGAGGUUCUAAAUAUCUCUCAAUGUCAAAAUCUCAUGCAUGCAAUUGAUGUCGAGCGGAAGAAAAAGAUAAUCUGAAAGCUCAAUUUCACAGCUUGGUGGCUCAAAUCUUUUGUUAUCCUUACAAGUUGCGCCAGUUUUGGCGAGGGUGCUUUCUCCACCGUCUCAGGAUGUGGAUACAAGCGCCUGCUGUUAAUAACCCACAAGCAGCAAGUGCCAUGAUUGUAGAAUUCUCAAUGCUUCGAUUAUAUGCACGCUACAGAGAAUAGAAUAAUUUAUUCAGUGAAUCGUUAGUAUUACACGAGAAGGCGGACACAAAAUAAAAAAUGUAGGUUUAGAGUGAAGGGGCGUACAUUAAUUAGAACAAGCAAGAUGACAGCAUUUGCGGGAGCUAGAGACAAAGUAAUCAUGCCUCCACGCAAUUCAUUCGGUAAGUACCUAUAAGAACAUGAGUAUGAGAAAUAGAUCAAGCUAACAGAAACAGUAAAUUUCACAACAACCCCUUGUGAUGUAGCCGGUUUCUUUUAAUAUCCUGCUGUCGAGUCUACUAUACUAUCCUAAGAUUGCCCUUCUAGUCGCAUAUUAGCCGUUGCUAAUAAAAUUAACCAUGAGACAGUCACAUAGCUCAUAAUCCCACUAAGGCCCCGUGGAUGCAUGAAUAUACUAUUCCGAAUAUACCUUUGUUUUACUUAAAAAGUUGUAGUAUUUGGUAGAUGAGCAAUGUGAUCUAACGUCUAGAAGAGAAUAACACAUUUCACUUUCUAGUUUAUUUUUUGGAAGAAGAUGAAUCAUCUUGUAGGGGAAAUAUACUAUCCUAUCAUAUCAUAAACAAUAAGACCUUUCAGGAAGGAAAAAAAUCAAGCUUUUUGUCUUCAAUCGCACAUGAAAAACAUCAUGCUGAAUAAGCCAGCAUCAAAACAGGGCCUAAGUAAAAAAAAUGAUCAAUAAGCUUAAGCAGUUGAAACCUUAUAUUUCAUAUUUCUAUUAAAUUGCAGGGUUGUCUCAUGUUCAACUUUUACAGCAGUUAUAGGAGAGAUGCAACAGUAGGGCAGUAAAUUUCUAAUCUGAAUAACCAGAGAUAAAGUGAACCUGCGCUCUAUCACAAGAGGGCCAUGUAAAAUUCUUUAUAAGAAAGACUAGUCAACGGUUACAAUAAGUUGCAACUUACAUGGACCUUAGUUUUGCAAGAGAAGGUAAGAUAAAGCCUACACAAGCAUGGAAGAUGCAGAACAAAAUCACCAACAAGCCAAUUUCCUGUCAUAGGUAAUCUCUAUGAUGCCUGAAAUUAUGAGGCCCAAUCCAAAUUCCAAACAAUUUCUUGCCUUACCUGAUAAUCAUAAACGACAAUCGACAAAGCCGCAGCAGCAAUAACAAAAGAUGCUGUCAAGCUAUCCUCAGUGUGCAACGAAGAUGCAAUUCCUGAAAACAAUGGGAAGGCUGUACUCCCAAGCAUUCUUGAACCAAUAAAACAAGGGUAUAUUCGUGAUAGAUGAACUUCCCUCCCAUCUGCCUGUAUUAACAAGUAAUGUUACACGGCAAACUUUUUUAAUCUUGGAUGAUAAUAGACAUUUUAGAUAUAAUAUGCAUGAAAUCCAUUUAACAAAUCAUCUAACUUAUAUUUCACUAGUGAUACAACUGCAGUGAAUUAACAUGUAAAACAGGUUGCCUAAAUAUUACAGAUCUGCAUACACAGUCAUUUCAAUAAAUUACAAAAAUGUACAGUGCCAGGUUUGAUCUCCCAAAGAAGAUAUACAUCACAUAUUACUCGAUUAGCCAUUUGUGCUGAAUUCCAACCAAAAGGAAAAACGCUGUAUCAAAAAGUUCUCUAGUUCUUUUAGAAACUAAAAACGUUAGCACCAGUAGUGCAAUGGACAAUGUGUCAAAGUAUUUACAUUUAAGACAAUGGGUAUACCUCUAAUAUGUUAAAACUAUUCACAUCAGAUUUUUGUAGGAAAAAAACAUAUGAUUAGUUCUCUCAGACUGCUGUAGAACCCAACAUUUUUAAGGUAAUUUUUCUAGAGGAGGAGGAUAAUCACGCAAUUUGGACUAUUUUCCAACGAAACAAAAAUUGUCACUUUCGAGGUUUGUCAGUACUGUAAGUCAUGUGAGGGACCUUAAUGCAAUUUCACACAAUAAAUCGGAGAUAAAAUGAAAUGAGGGUUUUUAUUCAAAAUGCGCGAUAUUUCAUGUGUCAAAUGUGUGAUUUUUUAUGUAGAAGAAUUUAUGAGCAAAACACACCUGUGAGUGAGUUUUGAAUAAGAAAAUGUGAAUCUAAGGUGGCUAAACUAUAAUUUAUACAAAAUGAGAAAAAAAGGGCAAUACACAAAAAACUUAUCAUUUCAUGUGAGAAAUUUUAGAAUUUUGACGGGCAGGGGGGCUCAUAUGAAAGUAAACUCAGAGAGGGACGCGCGGAUACCAAUUUCAACACAUUCGCGGAUUUCUGUGCAAAAUGGCACAAAAAUGAAGAUCGAGAGUGCCAAAUCUGUCCGGGGGUUUUCUUGGUGCGACAUUUAAUGUAAGUAAAUUAUAGGAAAUACACCAGCUGAGGAGUUUUAAGCAAGAAACUCAAAAAUAGAGGGACGAAACUGCAAUUGUUACAAAUUUUUGUAAAUAAAGGUUUGAGUUUUCUUAACCAUUUUCUCUCCCCCUCUCCCUCUCCCAUACCUCUGCUCCCACCUCCCAUCUCCGGGCUCUAGCUCGAGCCUACCUGGGCCACCAUCGGCAACCUCGCAAGCGACCGAAAAGGCCGAGCCGAGCUCCCUCCUCGAGCUUCUCCCUCGACCUCUCACUAUUUUUCUCCCUCUCUCUGUGUUGUUGAAGUUCCAAGCAUGAGCUGCCGCCAUCAUCACCCCCAGACCACCGACGACCUUUCCGACACCGCCCCCACCGUUCCUAGCCCUUCUCAAGCCCAGAUCUAGCCGAAGCUCGAGAACUGAUACUCUCAGCCAAAUUUGGUAGAUCCGGUGUUGCCGCAGCUUCCGGUAACCGGCCAUCGCCUUUCCAGCAUCCCCUCCACCGAACUCGACCUCCUCCGGCCAGCGCUGGCCACCCCUAGUCGCAUGGGAGCGAGAUCCCUCUAUGUUGCUCUCUGCUAGCUGAAGCUCUUCCUGGUCGAGCUCUCCUAUUCCGGCCACUCCAGACGCUAGUGCAACUCCGAUGAGUGAGCACAGUACUCUCUUGACCUCCCUGGUACCUAUGCUCACCUUUGUGUCGGUCGUACUUGUUGCAAGGAAUUGGUAUGGAUUGCGCGCUCCCAGGGACUUUCCGUUUCAAAGAAAAACUGCUCCAACUUCGUCAUUUGCAAUUGUCGACCCUUCGAAUCGCGAGCACCAUGUCCAAAGCCUCGCUACCAACCCUCCGCUGCUAUUGGAUAGCUUCCAAACCAUGGAAGCAUCAACAAAUGGCUUAAACUCCAAUUUAUAUUAUAAUAAUAUGAUUAAUUGGAAUUAUAUUGUUUGCGCAAUCAUAUGUCGCGAGCUAUUUUGGACAGCAGUAGUUGGUUGUGUUUGAACCUUGGACUAAUUGUCCUAUGUUCGAAAACCGUUCGGGAGCUCAAAUAAGUCUUUAGACACGUAAAUCGCCAAAAUUGACUAUAAUAUGCAGUUUGGUUUGAAUUUCAACAACUGGCCCAAAAUGCUUAAGCCCAGUUAUUAUUACUGGCGUGAGGUCUCAGAUAAACUGAUCGGAAUCAGUAUCCCAUCUGAUGAGGGACUAUUAGGGCGUUACAAACUCCCCAUGUUUAGACCCUGACGUCCUCGUCGAGUCCAAACCAAAUCAUAGACAGACAAACCAGGACCAGAAUUACCAGGCGAUGUGAGAUUCUAGAGGUGGCUCCUACGGGUUCUAAAGGUGGCUCCCAACAAAUCCGUUGAUGUAGCACUUUGUCCCGCAUAGCACUUAGCUCUCACACUUCCGGCUGGUAUUCGGCUCUGAUACCAAUUAUAACGACCCGGCCCGCUAGCAAUAAUAAAUCGUUAGGCCCAACCCACCGGCCCAAAAUGCUUAAGCCCAGUUAUUAUUACUAGCGUGCGAGGUCUCAUAUAAACUGAUCGGAAUCAGUAUCCUAUCCAAUGUGGGAUUAUUGGGACGUUACACUGACCUUCAUUGUUUUUGUCUCUUUGCAGAUAACAAGAGAGUCAUGGUGGAUUUUGAUGCCGAAAACAGCAAACUUCAAGACCAUCAGAGCAAAAAACCGUCAUUUUGAUGCAACCGUCAUUUUGAUACCCCAUAUUUUUUUACUUUUAUUUAUUUGAUAGAGGAGGAUUAUUUUGCUCACCUUAAAAAGUCUAAGGGUUUAUGUGCAAUUAUGCAACCCUAAUUAAUAAAAAAACUCCUAAUCUCUUUUUUUUUCUCCCCAACCGGUUCUUUCUUCUUCACUCGUUCAACCUCAUCGGCACACGCCUUUCGCACACACACGUGAUCUCUCUCUUUCUCGCAUGAUUCGCAAUCUUGUCCUUGUGACACCGCCGUCACCGCCGCGCUCCUUGCUCUUCGUUGGCAUCUUUUGUUCAUGGCCGGCAUCGUUGGAUCGUUAAAGACAUCUCGCUCAUAGUCGUUUCAUUCAUCGUCAUCGAAAAAGUUUCAUUGAUUAAUUUAUUGCCCUACGUUUGACCAAAUAAUAUUCAGAUUAUUUAGAGGUAAGGGACCUAAUGUCUGUUAGUUUAUUUUUUAUUAAACGAAUUAUAAAAAUAUGUUACGGCAACAAAAAUUUCUUUUUGUAUAGUUUUUCAAAAUAAAGGUUAAGCAUGCUUAUAUAAAUUACAAAUCGUUGAAAGAAAAAAUUUCUAAAAAGUUUUGAUUUGACUGUUGUGCAAUUUUUCUUAUAUAAAUUACAAAUCGUUGAAAGAAAAAAUUUCUAAAAAGUUUUGAUUUGACUGUUGUGCAGUUUUUAGAAAAAUAUGUGCUUUAGAAAUUGUGCUUAAUUGAUAAAAUUUCAGUAUUUAAUAAUUUGUUACUUUUCUUUCCUUUUUAAUUGUUGACUGGAUAAAUAAUUUUGAAGUCAUAGUGUCUUUUGGUAAUAUUACUACAAUGAUGUUGGCCAUGUCGACAUGAAUUUUAUGAUAGAAGCUAGCUUCGAUUUUGUGACGAACCUCCGAGUGCAAUUUUGUGACACAUGCACCUUUGGGUGCAAUUUUGUGACGCACCUCUGAGUGCAAUUUUGUGACGCACCUUUGAGUGCAACUUUGUGGCGCACCUCUGAGUGCAAUUUUAUCACGCGCCUCUGAGUGCAAUCUUGUGACGCGCCUUCGGGUGCAAUCUUGUGACGCGCCUUCAGGUGCAAUCUUGUGACGCGCCUUCAAGUGCAAUCUUGUGACGCACCUUCGGUUGCAAUUUUGUGAUGCGCCUUUGGGUGCAAUUUUUUUAUGCACCUAUGGGUGCUAUUUAGAUUCAUCUCCGAAUGCUUUUGCUUUAUGAUCGUGCCUUCGGUGUCUCUGAUGCCUUUAGGAUCUUAGCCAACGGAUCUCUAGUUACUGGAGACGUUCGUUUUGAAUCUAAUUUUCGAAAUAAGAAUACUUUUAUCAAAAUUCUAUUUCUUUUAAUAUUUUGUAAAAUAUGUGUUUAAGACUCCAAAUUCUAAAACAUAAUUUGUAAAAAAUUGUGAAACUCAGUCAUUACUAUUAUAUUUCAGUAUGAAAAUUUAUAUCUCAUUAUUUACAAAAAUUUUUGUUCCAUAUGCUUAAUGGCUUAAUCCAACUAAUAUGGUGUAUGGUUGCUUACCCAGGGUUCGAGACUCUUUUGCCGGGCGGGAGCGAGACCGAAUGAACGCUAAUCAUAAUUUGUUGUUUAGGUUGCUUUAUUUUGUUAUUUUGUCCAUGCAGUUAGGUAGAUGUUAAGUUGGUUUUCGUGAAUUAUCAUUUGAUUUUACUUAUUUUAUUUUGUUCUUUCUCCAUAUUGUGGUAUUUAGUGAAUUUUUAUGACUACCAUUAUGUCUAAUUCUUUGUUAGGUUCUGUAGCCUUGAAUAUUUGUUAUUCUAGCAAGUAUGCAGCGUUUGUUACUUCUUGGGUUUGGGGUGUGACAUAGGCUCCUGAAUUUGUGGAAGUUUUUACGAAGGGUAUUCAUUCGCUACUUCAGAAAAACCCCCAGCGAUAUGUUUCUUUAGGCGAGUGACACCUCCGCCCAUUCCGACCAUAUUACAAUAAUUGCACUUCCAAUAAAAUCUAUUUUCAUCAAUCAAUUGUUCAUGUUGCCAACUACAAUCUUCUAUUCUUUUAGAUAGCAUUAUGAUCUAUAAUUAUUAACAUACAGAUAAAUAAAAUAAAAUCUAUUCCAGAAAAAUAAGGAAAAAAACAACAUGAUGAAAAAAAAGAAUCAUAUCUAUCAACUUUGAAAAUUCUUUUGUUUUUAUUUUUUGAUAAAUUUUAAAAAAUUAUAACAGAUAAAAUUAUAAAAAAAUUUAUUUUUUCUAAAAACUUUUCAAAAUCUGUAUAUUGAUUCAAUUAGGAAGCAUAUAAUGACUAGAAAAACCAAAAUAGGACCGCAAUUACAUUCAUAAUUUUUUCUUUUUUAUUCUUUUAAAAAAUAUUUUACAAAAUACAAAGUUAGAGAAAUAGUUUUCUAAAAAUUAUAAUUUUUUUAAAUUAUUUAAAAAUUAUUUAUAUUAUUUUUUAAAAUUAUUGUAGGUUAUAAUUUUCAAAAUAUAAAAACAUCUUUUUUUCUUUCUUUCUUUUGAUUGUAUUACUGUCUUUCUUUUAUAAGAUACAAAAAUAUAAUUUUUAAAAUUAUUAUUUUUAAAUUUUUUUGAAACAUUGUUAGAUCAUCAGAAAAAUAGCAAUAAAUUAAAUGACAACUAAAUUAAAAUAACUUAAAUAUCAAUUGAUUUAAUUUAGCUUUUGAUUUUAUCAAUAUUUAAUAUCUUCUAAUGCAAAAAUAUUGAUUUUAUCAAUAUUUUAAAUAAUAAGAAGGAAAGAAAGAUAGAGCGCGGGAGUCGGGGGGAGAAAGAAUAAGGAAGAAAGAAAGGAGGUAAGAAAGAUGAUCUACAAUUAUUGACAUACAAUAUAAGGACUGAGAUUUGACAGUGUAGCUAAAACUCUCUGUUGACGAUGUUUUUGUGUGUAAUUUAAUUACAUAAACACUCAUCAAGUUUCAGGAGAAAACGAGUUAGGAUGGAGAAAUUACGCGACCUUUACUAAUCACAUAAAGUGAAUAGUAACUCCGGUUUUCCGGAAAGGCCAAUCAGUGGAUAUGGCUUCUGGUGCGUAUUGAACUCCGUUCAUAGUGAUCCAAUAGCUCGUUUUCGAUGGUUCAACUAUUCUGGACCCAAUGGCACCGACGGAUUUAGGUUUUGAUGCACGAUUUUUGAGAAAAAGGAGAUUUAUUGGAUUUACACAUAUUUAGGUGUAGUUUUGGAAAAUUGGAGUGGAUGGGUUUCAUCGCAAAUCGCUGACCAUAUCGGGCAAAACAAAAUCGGGAGUUCGAUGCCCCGAUCGUGCCGAACGCGCUGGCGCAAUCCAAUUUAAAAUCCGCUGGACGGAUCUCCGCAAAUCGCAUAAUGUUCGCUCAGGGGUCGAAAUUGGCAAACAUGAAAAAUUUGCAAAAAGUCCUAUAAUUUAUGUACCAUUUUGCGCAAUUUCGAACGUCGAGGUGCAUACCCGCGAAUUGCACGCGCUGUGAGGGACAGGGCUGAAAAUAUUCAGCUUUGGAGGACUUUUCUGCAAAACUACACAUAUAUAUAUGUAGGUGUUAGGGUUUCAUGCCGAUCAGCUCCUCCAGCUGCGCGCUAGCCGUCACCAGCACCCUCCUGCCCUAGCCGCGCAUGCACCCCAACCGCCGGUGAGCGACUUCGGCCGCCGAAAAAGCCGGCAUUGCCUCUCGUCCACCAUCCUCCACCAAGUUGCCAUCUUCCUAGCCGUCGACCUCAAGGAGUAAACCACACGCGUCAAGCCCCCUCCCUCGGUCGAGGUCCGACCUCCGGCGCCGUCCUCGCCGGCCCCCGCCGUCACCGCUUGAGCGACCCGCGGCCAGCUCAGGCCGAGCUCAGCUGAGCUCGUGGCCCGCAAGCCACCGCCGCCCUAGAUCGGCCGCACCGCCCUCCUAGACCUCUGGCGAGACCUCUGGUGACCUCUCGCACGCCUCCCCCGCCGUCCCCGCGGGCCGUCGGCCGCCACCCUAGCUCCCCACGGCUGCCCAGGACAAGUUCGGGCCGAGCCAGGGUCAUCUGUCCCUGCGCACCGCCGCCGCCCAAGGUCGGUUGCGUCGCCGUCGCCCCGGUGCGCCCCCGACAGCCGCCUGGCCGCCGUUGACCCAUGAGCCCGAGCCGAGCCGCGCGGGCUCGUGCCUCUCCAACGCGCCACCAGCCGCCUCCCGCGGUCGGCCAACGCGUGCCUGGGCCCCCCUCCGACCGGUGCCCCCGCCUCCUGCCAGCGCGCCCGCCAUCUGGCCGCCGCCGGCCAUCCCAUGCUCAACCUAGCUUCGGUGAGUCCAGUUUACGGUUUUUGCGCACUGUCUCGAGUUCGGGUCACUAUUCCGGCAAUCCGAGGGCACCCUGACGCUCCUGAAAGUAAGCACGACGAUCCCUGAUCUGUGCCGAUCAUCAUGCUCACCUCCUUUGGGGUCAGCGAAGCCCCGGUUUGCGAGAUAAGGGCUGUUGAGGCAUUGUGCGCGUUGUUCGCAGAUUUUUGUGUCACUCCCGCGCUCUCUAUAGUGGACGGCCAUGCUCUGAAUCGUGAGCACGGCCUCCGGCACUUCGAGACCUGUCAGUGUGUCUCAGCCAGCCUCGGAAGCUCUCAGUUUGCGCUGUCGGGCCGUAAAACCCCAAAAAUCACAUAAAAUGAUGUGAUUUUAUGCGAUCGCAGGGCUUAUAUGCAAAUUUACGCUUCACGGCUACUGCGAGCAGUGUGUGCGGGCAGCGGGUGACCUCUGGACUGGUUGUCCAAUGCCCCAGGCCUUUUCAGAAAUCGAAUGUUGAUUUACAAUGCGUCUUUCGGCAAAAUCCGCCGACGGAACGCGAUUUAGGUUCGUUAUUCAUCCGACGAUGCCUCACGGUAAAUUAUGUUGUCGCUGAGCCUUGUUGGCUGGUCAUCCUCAUCGUUUCGAGGAUUCCAAAACGGCGGGUAAGUGACGGUGGGUUCCGGUGUCGAAAUUGACACUUCCGGGAACCCGGAUCGGGACUAUAAUCCUACGAUAAUCGUUUCGAUGUGAGGAUAUGUGUUUGCUGCCAGGUCACACAAAUUAUUGUGUUUGGUGGCAGCGGGUGACUCGUGGCACGAGUCGGUGAGUUUCAAGACAGUACGUAGGUCCCGGCGAAGUCCCGGUUCGAUUUUCAGGACUUCCGCCAAGUUACGAUAAUCGGUGUAGGGGAAACCGAUUCCCGUCGGUUUACAGGUAGGAAAGUUUGUGUUUUAUAUAAGUGGGUUGGAUUCUAACCUGGUAGACCCUCUGUAGGUCCAGUUGACGUUCUUCCGCAGUCGGGAGACAGGUGCUACGUACGUACAAGUGGGUACUUCGAUCCGAAGUCGGAACAGUGGUGCACGCUCGGUGACAUCCUUUCCACCCAUUUACUAUUAUUUUGCAUUUUAUACGUUGAGCCUUGCACCUUUAUUACCUCUUUAUUGAUCUACUUGGUUUGUUUACAUAUCUAGCAUCAUGAGUAGAAAUAGAGAGCAGGUUUAUGAUUGCAUGUGAGAUUUGUAACCUAGUCGGCCUGUAAGAUACCGAACUCCUGAAAGUAAGAAGUUACGGUAGGAUAUAGGAUGUCGGAAUUUAUUAUAAAAAUAAAUAUAAAUAAAAAUAGUGUGAGAUACUAUUUUUAUUGGACUUAUAGAAGUAAAAUAUAAGCCUGGAAUGACCCGUGUUGAAAUCGGAGCAAAAACAGAAGAUUUAGAAUUUUCUGUGUCAAACGGAACAGAUAAAUUAGCAGAAAAUGCAGUGUCAGAAAAUUAUGAAAACUGGAGGAUAUGUCAGAAUUAUUUUUAUGAGGCUAGAUUUAAAGUUUCAUACCAUUCUGACGCCCGGAAAGUAGAAAAUAAAAUCCGACUGCUAUCUGAUAAAGAUUACAGUUCGGUACAGCCAAGGUUUAAAGUGCCGUGGCACGGGGGCGUGCCGCUACGUCCUUGGCACGGUACGGCACGGGCACGCUUGUGUGCCGACACGUGGCACGCUUGCGUGCCGACAGAUACGCACGACCUCCUACUGGCACGCUUUGGCACGAAUUUAUUUAAGUUUUUUUGGUUCCAGUAAGCUUUUAUAAUGUUAUUUUGAAAGAUUUAGGCAAGUUAUUAUUAAUUUUUGCUAUGUAUAGCUUAUUAUACUCAUCAAUUAACAUGCAUGUAAGCAUUUUGUAUAUAAAGUACAACUAUACCUGAUGUAGAAUAUAAAUUAAAAUUCUUUUAUUUUUAUUUUUUUUUAUUUGAAAAGUACAACUAUACUUGCUGUAACAAUUGAAAAUUCUUUUGUUUUUAAUUUUUUUAUAAUUUAAAAAAUUAUAACAGAUAAAAUGAUAGAAAAUUUUAUUUUUUCUAAAAACGUUUCAAAAUCUAUAUAUUGAUUCGAUUAGAAAGUAUAUAAUAACUAGAACAACUAGAAUAGUACCGCAAUUACAUCCAUAUUUUUUUUUAUUCUUUUAAAAAUAUCUAAUCAAAAUUUGUUUAGGAGAUCAAUUUUUUUUCCCCUGAUUCAUCGAAACUUCGCGGUGCGACAAAUUUUGACACAAAUAAUUUGCGAAGAAAAAAUGGAUGUCUGUGGUGGAUCGGGAUUUAUCAACUAAAAAUUUGCUUUUAUAUUGUUAAAUAAGAAGUUAAAUUAUAAUUUUUAAUUUAACAAAAGAAAAAAAAAAGUCAAAAGAAAAAGCCAAAAGGCAAAAAAAAAAAAGGCAUCAGCCAAAAGAAAAAAAAAAGUUGACAAAAAGACAACACAAUGUCAAAAAAUAAAAGAAAAGUGAACAAAAGGCAAUAUAGAUGGCGGGCGAAGGUCUUGUAUCCCAGAGACAAAAAAAAGAGACAAAACCAAAAAAAAAAAAGCCAAAAAAACUAUAAAAAAAAGUAUAUAAUAACUAGAACAACUAGAAUAGUACCGCAAUUACAUCCAUAUUUUUUUUUAUUCUUUUAAAAAUAUCUAAUCAAAAUUUGUUUAGGAGAUCAAUUUUUUUUCCCUGAUUCAUCGAAACUUCGCGGUGCGACAAAUUUUGACACAAAUAAUUUGCGAAGAAAAAAUGGAUGUCUGUGGUGGAUCGGGAUUUAUCAACUAAAAAUUUGCUUUUAUAUUGUUAAAUAAGAAGUUAAAUUAUAAUUUUUAAUUUAACAAAAGAAAAAAAAAAGUCAAAAGAAAAAGCCAAAAGGCAAAAAAAAAAAAGGCAUCAGCCAAAAGAAAAAAAAAAGUUGACAAAAAGACAACACAAUGUCAAAAAAUAAAAGAAAAGUGAACAAAAGGCAAUAUAGAUGGCCGGGCGAAGGCUUGUAUCCCAGAGAACAAAAAAAAGAGACAAAACCAAAAAAAAAAAGCCAAAAAACUAUAAAAAAAAAAAAGCCGGCACGCGGCACAGUGCCGCGGCACAUGGCGCGUGCCGCUUUGUCUCGAGCGGCACGCGGCUUGUGCCGCGGCACCCAGGGGGGUCCGAGACCCCCUGUACCGUGCCCCUUCUUGGGGGCACGUACGGCACGCCCCGUGCGUACGGCACGGGCGGCACCUUCAAACCUUGGUACAGCUUUCGGUGACCAACAUGGUUGAAACUGAACAUUAAAAUUUCUUUGGACUUAUUAAGUAAAACCGAGCCUGCUUGUCAAAUUUAGGCGCAAACGGACGUUCAGAAGGGCUCGGCGAAAAAUGUCAGUUUUAAACUGCUGAAGUGAAUACUGUUUUGGGGAAGUUUACUUGGAGGUGAAGUUUCCUCCUAAUAUUAUAUAUAUAAGGGUGUUAUGUCAUUUCCCUCAUUCCUCUCUACUUGAGCCAACAUAAGAGAAAUCUCUCUCUCUCUCUCUCUCUUCCGUCUCCUCUCUCUAGGAUUUGCUCCAAAGUGUGGAGUUUGGUAGAGGAAAAGCUUGCUUAGAGGUGAAGCUUUCUUUUUCUUCACCAUUGGCUUGAAGAGAGCUUGGGUUUGAGAGGUAAGCUUUGAUAGCAACAAUGGUAGAUUGUAAGUAAUGAUUUGUAUGCUUAGAAAUGGGGUUUAGUGAAACUCCUAGAUGCUAAAUAGAUGGUUGAUGCUCGAAUUUAGAGAUCAAAUGAUGAAUCUUGCAUGGUUGCAUCUUAGGGCAUCAAAAGAGGUUUUGCUUGUGAGGGUUUUGAUCUAAAUUGAUCAUGUAUAAACCUAAUUGCUAGGUUUUCUGACGCGUUGGCGAAGUCGGUUCGGCGAUACGACGAGGCUACGUGAAGAUAUUAAAGAACGAAGCCGUUAAGGUACAGAUUGCCGCAGCUCGCGGCGAAAGCUUCCAAAAAUCACGAAAUCGGAACCCUAACCUCGUGAUAGCGAUAAAAGGUGGGAGGUGUCAUCCCGAAGCAACUGGGCUUCUCCCUAUAUCUAAGUAUUUCUAUGUUGAACAUACUACAUAUAUAGUAUCAUGCAUGUUAGGGUAUUUAGAUGUUACUUUUACUAUUCUUGCAUGCUCCCUUAUAUUGCGGCAUAGUAAGCUUGGCAUGUGAACUUAGGGUGCAUGAGAAUGAGUUUGUGACAUAAAACCCUAUAGAGAUAAGUUAAACAAUAACUUGAUCUUGCAUGGAUGACAUAUGACUAGUAUAGUCGGGACAAUUGCAUUAUAGCAAGUGACAUGUGAACCAAGUAAACAACUUGACGAGUGGCAUUAUAACUUAAGUGUUAAAAGAACACUUGUGCAUGUUGGUCAUAUGACCGGGUACCUUCGUUGGAAACGGAUUUGAUCAUACUCACACAGUCUGUUCGGCGCUUGUGGCGGUCGCCCUGCACAAGUAGUGCGAGCUUCGGAGUUUUGGCACGUGAAACGAUUGGGAUAGCCUAUUUGGGGUCCCAAGGGAUAGCCUAUGUGGGGUCCCGCAGACAAUCCCUCGGGUGGUUCGAGUCCCCCUUCAUAGACGGAUUUGAGUUGUGAGUCGAGGGCGCGCCUAUGGGCCAGCCAGAUGAUUGGGUAAUAAACUCAAGAGGAUUAUGCAAGUUGAGCAUAUUGGGCAUAUCGAGCAUGUUAAGCAUGUUGAGCAUAGUAGAGUUGCAGGUAUACUUGAUAGAGUUAUGAUAGCAUGUUAGAGAUUACAUGGCUAUGUGGUUUACUCUUGUUUUAAAGGCAUAGUAGAAUCUUGCAAUUCUUUCUAUAUGAAUCAUUUAUAGCUUAAGAUAUCUAUCUAUCUACCUAUCUGCUUAUGCCUGCUUAGACCUAAUGGGGAGAUCGGCGGAGUCGGCGGCCGAACCCACUGGGAACUAUAUUUAUAUAGUUCUCACCCCACUUUGUUGCAAGGCCUAGCGAGAGAGCACCGGCAGAGGAUCGUGGUAAGGGCAUCGCGCCCUAGGUAUAGUUAGCAGCUUCCACUUGCAUUAGUGUACCCUCGUGUACCCCGUGACAUAUGAUGUACUUUGGGAGGUUGCUUGUGUAUUUGGGAGAUUAUCAUGAAUGUUCAUUUUGGAAAUGUAAAUGUAAUCAAGGAUCUAAAUGUUGAAUGCCUUGUGGAUGUAAUAGAUAAAUGUAUCUCUCCUUAUUUCACUUGUAUAGUAUACUUGUGCCUUGCUCUUAUUUGUUAGCACUUGUUGUGCUCUUGUGAUUGUGUACUUAUGAAUUGAUUCCUGGGUAAAUUCUUGUACAUGAUCGUUUGCUUAGCCUUGGGCGGACAGGGGAGGUGCUGUCCGUCCGGCGUCUGUUCGAUGCGCCCGAACCGAACCGAAUUGGUAGCGGUCUCGGGGCGUGACACGGCCGGUUCUUGUAUCUCGUACUAGACCUAUUCGGUCGGCUUAUUGCAUCAAGCAUUAUGACCUACUUGGUCGAUUGGACUACUUGGUGACCUAUACGGUCGAUACACCCUGAGGGGCAGGAUUGUCAGUUAAUUGCCGACGGUUGGCUAUUGAGCAUACCAGCAUCGAUCGCCACUGCUCGUAUGCAUUUCACGAACACCAGCGAUCUGAUCCACCGCAUCGGGGUGUUCUUCUCCGAAAAAGUGGUUGGGAAUGCCUGCCCAUGAGCCCAAGAGUUUAUGCUAGAGUCAUAUGCCUUUCAGACCCAAGAGCUUAUGCUGGGGUCAUAUGCCUUUCAGACCCAAGAGCUUAUGCUGGGGUCAUUUAUAGGUUUGAGCAGUUAUGGCACAAGCCUGAGGUCUGCGAACCAACAUGGCAAGUUUCUGAUUGGGUUACUUUCGGAUUUGUCGUUCGGUUGAUACAUACAUACAGUAGCGGUAGUAAUUCAUAUAUAUAUCUCGUUUCCUUGUUUAUCAUUGCUACUGUAUUAUUACCAUUAUCUGUACUUUUGUUUAUCCUCUUUGACUGGUGAGUACCCCUCGCCCUUGUUGGCUUGCGGUACCCACUGGGAGGGAAGUCAUGCGUACAUGUUCUCACCCCCACCCCCUUUAAGGUGACGUCGCAGGUCCGAGGGGAGACGGUUCGUGAGGCGCGCAGUUUAGCGAUUGAUAGAGCUAUCGACCCAUCAGUUUGGUUUAAUUCUUAUCCUGACUUUCUCAAAAUAAUCGACUUAGUAUUUAUGGUUCAGAUGGUUUUCGUUUAUCUGGAUAAAUGGAAUUUCGUGAAUGUAAUAAGUAUUUAUGAAUUUCUUAUGAAAUGAAAAUAAUUUUCUACCCCUCGUGGUAGCGUGUUUUAAAAGAAAAAGGUUUCCGUGUGGGAAACGAUUUUAAAAAAGUUUUUCGUGGUUUUUCAUGACUCUUAUUGUUUCAAAAUGAGUUUCCGAUAAGGAAACAUUUUAAACUGAUAGUUAUGGAUUUAUGAAUGAAUAUCUGUGAAGGAAUGAAUGGUGAAUGUAUGUGGAUGCUCAUAUGUAUGUGGUUGUAUCUUGUACUUGUGCGACGCCGUGCAAAUACAGGGGAGACUCUGUCCGUGUGAACAGUGAAUUCCCUAUAUUUGCGGCGGAUCUGACAUACUCUAGGGUCCAGGUUUUCAAAAAAAUAAAGUACGAUGAAAAAAAUUUGGGCACUUCCGUAUUGAUUCUUAAAUCAAAAAGGGGACCCAGGGCGUGACAUACAAAUAAAAUAAAAUCUAUUCCAGAAAAAUAAGAAAGAGAACGACAUGAUGAAAAAAAAGAAUCAUAUCUAUUAACUUUGGAAAUUCUGUUGUUUUUAUUUUUUUUACAAUUAAAAAAAUUAUAACAGAUAAAAUGAUAGAAAAUUUUAUUUUUUCUAAAACUUUUCAAGAUCUAUAUAUUGAUUCGAUUAGGAAGCAUAUAAUGACUAAAACAACCAGAAUAGGACCGCAAUUACAUCCAUAUUUUUUUCUCAUUUAUUCUUUUCAAAAAUAUUUGAUCAAAAUUUGUUUAGGAGAUCGAUUUUUGUUCCCUUGAUUCACCGAGAGCUUCGUGAUGCGACAAAUUUUGACAAUAUUUUGUGAAGAAAAAAUAGAUGUCUGUGGUGGAAGCGGAGGGCUCGGGCCGAUAGACCCGAGCUCAUAGCCCACCACCGACAUCCGAGGGGGUUGUAGGGGGGCGAAGCCCCCCGCGAUAUGGACCGGAUAUGUCAAUUAAAAAUUUGCUCCUAUAUUAAUGAAUAAGAAGUUAUAUUAUAAAUUUUUUCGACUUACCUAACAAAUAAAUCUGCAAUUUGCGAUAUUUUGCCUCCUUUUUAAGCGACGAAAAAAAAGAAGAGGGAUGAGAAGUAGCAGGCACGGGACAAAGGGAGGGGGAAGAACAAAAUAUAAAGGAAAAAGAAAGGAAGGUGAGGCGUACCUACGCGAGGGGAGAAGCGAUUGAGGGAAGGCAGGAAGUCAAGAAAAAAAAAAGUGACAAGACAAGCAAAAGAAAAAAGCGUACGGGAAAAAUCAACAAACAAGAAAACAAAAGAAGGCAUCAGCCAAAAAGCAAAAAAAAAAGUUUAAAAAAAGACAGCAAAGUGAAAAAAAAGGACAAUAUAGGUGGCCCGGGGAGGGAGGGGCUUGGUGGCCCGGGGAGGGAGGGGCUUGGUGCCCCAGAGAACAAAAGAAAAAGAGAAAAGGCCAAAAAGCCAAAAAGGAAAAAAAAAAGGAGUGGCACGAACCAGCGUGCCGCUUUGUCUCUCGCGGCAUGCACCAACGUGCCACGAGACUUGGGGGGGGGUGCGAUACCCUCCCUAUAUCAUGCCCACUUCUUGGGGGCACGAUAUGGCACGCCCCAUGCCGUACAACACAGGGCGGCACGUAAUUCCUUGCCACCAAGCUCCUAGCAUAAUUAAUUUUGUCCUAUUUAAUUCAAGUCCGCCUCUUGGGCCUAUCAAAAGUCUUAAGCCCAACCGUGAGGAGAAUAUAAAUAUUAAAAAACACGGUUCUCCAGCCAAUGGGCAAGAGGCAAGGAUCAGAGCUUCUUUGAAAGAAGUGCUAAAAGUAAAAUACUUUCAUUUAUAUGCUUUUUGCAUACAUAGAAUCAAAACAUAUUACUUGCCUAUAAUCAUCUAAAAAAGUGAAUAUUAACUUUUAGGCAGUUACAGUUUUGACUAUCAAUGUCAAUGUUUAAUACCAGCUUUAGAGUGUUUUUUCUGCAGUAUGCACCCACAUUCAUGACUUACAUUCUUGAGAGGAACAAAUGAAAUACACCCUUUAUCAAGAGUGCUUGUGCAAACUCUCCUUGCUAUGAAAGUGGAGAGAAGAGUAUAAAUCGGAUAUUCAGACUGUGGUAGGAAUACAUACAACUGAAGACACAGGAUUCAUGAGGUACAUAAAAAAAUGCACAAUGAGAUAUGAUGGACAGCUCUAAGUAGUUUCUAAGAAUAGCACUUAGACAAAACAAAAUCUGCAUAAUACAGUCAAAAUUCUUUAUGGAACUCAAAAUGAUAAGGAAAUUUACUAAUUUUUAUGGAAGAGGAACUUAUAAGACAUACCACUAUAGUUGGUGCCCAGAGAAACCAAAAUACCACGACGGAGAAAUGAAUGCUUGCUUGAGCCCAUACCAAGAUCCAUAUUUUCUUGUCUGAAACAAAAUAAAAAUAAUGACCAAUAAAUAAAUAAAGCCCAUAUGUCGAAGCAUGCUACAAGAUUAGCGCAAGACUACAGAAGUAUACAUACAAUACAUACCUAGUACAGGAUUGAACAUAAAACAUAAGAGAUCAAAUCCCAUACAGAAAGAGCAACCAAAGUAAGCAAGAUGCUUCUUUCGUUGUUAAAAGAACACUUAAGUUCAAACUAAUAAGAAUUGUGACACAGCCAAGACAGUUGACCAACAGCAUGGUAAAUGGAAUAAAGAUAUCUAGUGAGGACUACAACGAAGGGAAGUUAUAAAAGAAAUAUUGUAAGCUAUAUGUGGUGCAUUUGCUUUUUUGCCUUGAAAUGAAUGAACUUAUAGAGGGCCUAGAAACCAUUGUAACUUCUGCAGAAAUGCUAAAUAUGCAGCACAUUACUUCCAUGCAGAAGGGAUACAAAAAUAACAACACCAAACUUUGUAUAUUAAUCACUAACAAAUUGAUGGAAAUCUUUCAAUUGACUAGACCCAAUCACAUUCUGGAUUGAAUUGAAUUUCUAGGUUCUUAGAGGGAAAUUAAAUUAUGUGUUUUUGAGUACUUAUACAGCUAUUAGUGAGCUCAAAUUUUCCAAUGAAAUAUAGAAGGCUUAAUAUCCGAUGUAUGGUAAAGAAGGGUGUCCUGAAAGGAAAAGCACAAAAACAUGUAAAUAGAACGGGAUAUGUGUUUUAAGAUUCCAAUGACUUAAAUAAGUAGAGAUUACUUCUCAUAAUUUAAAAACUAAUAUAUGAGACCUAAGGCAACCAAAAGACGCAAAGAAGUCAAUGUAAAACACAGAGAAGCUAUCACCAAUUAAAUAUACUGAGAAAAGAACUUUCACGCUAUAUCCAAACAACAAAUAUCUUAAUUAUUUAUAAUCAAGAAUAAAAAUUCAAUAUUAGUCCAUCAGAUUUGGUUUAAGCUUUAGAGAGUAUGUGAACUUCAAUAGCUCAAUCUCAAUUUAACUUCCAUUCCAAUACGCAACGUAUUGGUGUAUUGUGUUUGUCCAUCAAAGUUUCAAAACGUUCAUUCAAGCCUUUUAAAAUAUCCAUAGUUUAACUAUGUUGAAUACAGGACGGAAAAUGAACAUCAAAUAAAGAUGACCAUUGAGAUCAAGUUUUAAAGUGUAACAUUUUCAUAGAAAAUACAAUAAGCAUUCUAAGUUCUUUGCACUAUUACCUCUAAGAACAUGAGCAGAAAAUGACUUUCUAUAACUUCCAAUAAUUGAUACAUCCUGGUUUCCUUUCCAUGCUUUCCUAAUAUAAAGAAUUGUUAUAAUUGCAAAUAAAGCAGCGAAAGCACCGAGCCGAGAAAAUUUUUUGUGAAGAUCCUUAACCAAUAUGUUUGCAACUCCUUGGCUUCCAACUAGGGAUGCAGACUCAUAAAAUGUCAUUAGCCAAAAGGUGUCAUUCAGAAGAUCUUGCUUGUGACCAUGCUGCCAAAGUAGAAGAAAGACAUUAAUCAACUUUCAUCAAAGACACAUAAAUGCGAGUCAAAAUCAUGAUCUCUCUCUCUCUCAUAUGUGCGUCAAAAUGAUGAUUUCUCAUCAAGGUUUUAAGUGCCCGUCGGCACGGGCCGUAUCCACCGUGCCGUACCGUGCCAACAAGAUACCGGCACGAUAUAGACCCCGUGCCGAUGGCACAGCCAAAACCUUCUAUUCUUUAAAUUAGUAAGUAAUUUCUUCAAUAAAGUUCAAAAGAUGUGAUAAAAAGACAUAAUAAAUAGUUAGAAUAUUUUGUUGCUAAAGAAAAUAAAUAUUUCAUGCUAUUAUGUGUUGGCACACAAGAAUUUUUUUGACCGGCACGCAUCGGCACGGCUCGGCACGCAUCGUGCCGUACCGUGUCGGCAAGUUUCCGGCACGACCCCGUACCACGGCACUUAAAUCCUUGUAAAUUCUCAUAUAUAUAUAUAUGAAGAUCAAUAACUUCGAUCUUGAAUUUAAAAAUAUAUAUAUAUAUAUGUAUUUAUAUAUAUAUAUAUGAUGUCAAAAAUUUAUGAAAUUCGAUCUUUAAAAUGUUUAAAUACUGUAAAUUAUAUUUAACAAUAUUAAUUGUCAAUUCAGAAGCUCCAUCAUUGAAAACAACUUAUGAGUACAAAUGCGAUCGUACUCAUAAUGGUAUAGUAGCAAGUCUCUCUCUCUCUCAUAAAUAUAUAUAUAAAAAUAAACAUAUAUAUGUUGUACUUAAUUAGACUUAAUUACUUUCAAUUGUCUAUAUCAACUACUCAAGUCAAAGCAUAAGCUAGUGAUGCUUUCGGCUACUGGACUCUAGCCAUCUAGGGUGCAGUACUCCACCCCUUCGCCUGCCUCGCCAUGGUUAUUGAUUAUUACCAGCUCUAUCUAUAGAACAAGAAACGAAUUAGCUUAGCUUUCGAAAGAACCGGUGAAGGAUAAAUUUGUCCGUCAACGAGUCAACGAGUUGCCUUUUUUGAGUGACUGCAAAGACCCAAUUCACCUGGGCUGGGAUGACUUUUGACCUAAGGGGGGCUUCACCAAUCGUGAGUUUUUGUCUACAAGCGCUGCACUAAACAGAAAAGGUUGACCGCAACCCUCAAGCUAUGACCAUGAUUGGUCCUCGAUCGGAUUUUAUAAGCAUAUAGCUCAUGAUCUAGCCUAGUGGAACCUAUCCUUAUUCCCCUGGUGCCUAACUAGCCUUGAACUACAGUUGUUUCAUCAACUAUAGCAAUAUUCGAUGUAGUCGCAUUACCCCUUUUUCAAAGGUUGGGCAAAUGCUUUUUCUAAGCAAAUGCAAAUAUCACGAGACAUUCUUAGUCUUGUCAUUUGACUCUGAACGCAAGGUUACAUCUAAGGUUGAUAGGAUUUGGCAUACCAAGCACGAACGGAGCAUUCAUACUUCAUUUACUUUCCUCGUUAAGGACAUAUAUAUGUAUGUAUGUAUGUAUAUAUAUUAGUACGCACAAAAUAGUACCUCCUUAAAAAAUACCUUAACAAAAAACCAACUCACCCAAUAAAUUUGAUGACUUCAUAUGGGUAUUUUUGUAGGAAACUGCAUUUUGGAGGGGCAUAAGAAAAACAGAGAUUUUAUAGGGCUACAUAUAUAUAUAUAUAUAUAUAUAUAUAGAGAGAGAGAGAGAGAGAGAGAGAGAGAGAGAGAGUAGAACUAUUAUACUCUUAUCAAUACUGAGGCCUUCGUACUCAUAAAUCGUUUUUGAUGAUAUUAGCUUCCGAAUCAACGUUCCGUACCGUUAAACAUGAUGUAAAGCAUUUAAAACUUAGUAGAAAACGAAUUUCAAAAUUUUUCAAAAUUACAAUAGAGUCCAUCAAGCGGGCAUAAAAUGAACGGUCAAAAUCAAACGAAAAAAUAGAGAAUCGGAUGCUUCAAUUUAAGAUGGGAGUUAUUGAUCUUUAUCUAAAUAGUGAAUAAAAUUUUCUAUCAAAAAUUCAGUUGAUUCUGAUUCUUUUGCACCGUUAUACUAGCAAGCAUCUGAUACCGGCCGUUAAAAAUUAUCAAUUUUGAUAUCUUUUAACCGUAUGGUAAAUGAUAUCGAAAAAUUGUGAAACUUGGUUUCUAGAAGUUUUCAAAUGCUCUAAAUUAUGUUUAACGGUAUGGAUCGUCAAUUCGAAAGCUCUAUCAUCAAAAACGACAUAUGAGUACAAAGGUGAUCAUACUCAUAAGAAUAUAGUAGCUAAACUCUAUAUAUAUGUGUGUGUGUGUGUGUGUGUGUGUGUGUGUGUGUGUGUGUGUGUGUGUGCGUACACACACAUAUAUAUAAGCUAAUGAUUGCAAGAUCUACGUAGUAACUAAUGAUUUUGAAGGGUUAUAUAUAUGAAAACUUCCCGCAUAUAUGUAAAGCAUAAGACAAAAGCAAACCUUCUCAUGCUCCGUUACCAUCCAUGUCUCAAAACAGAAGUGGAAAACAGAAGAAGCUAGCGCCAGGCAUAUGCUUUCAACCCACAUGCUUCGAAGCCAUCUUACAGUCUUCAAAAGACCCACAAGAAGAUGAAGUACGCAAUACAGCAUACAAGCAUUCCGUGGUCCUCUAACAAUACAAUUAUAUUAAUCAUUCUAACAAAUCACAACAAACCAAUAGAGAAGGUGAACUUAGUAAUAAAAGUAGCAAUGCAAAAUGCAUGAUCAUCUUUCAAAAGCAAAAGAUACAAAAAAAGUAAACACAUGCCGCAGUGGUUGAUGUUUGAUAACAUCUAAUAUUUAGUUUUUCGUUGAAACCCCAUUGAUUUAAUCAGUCACAGUGAUACUAAUGGACUGCAUUAAUAACAAUCAACUUUAAAAUAACCACGUGGACAGAUCCAUAAUAUGUUGGAUAAUCAAGCAUGGAGAAAUAGAAAUUAUGUUGGACUACUCUGUGCUAUCAUAUAUGUUUACUAGACUAACUAUAUAAUUAAAGUAUAAUUAAUCGAUCAAAUAAUAUGUACAGGAGUACAUACAUAUACAAUUCGUCUUCAAAAAUGCAAGUCCCUGAGAAAAUAAAUAAUAAAGAGAUGUUUCUUGAUGUCAUAAUUUGCUAAGUUAUAAAGUGACCGCUUUCUUAUUAUCUUAUACAAUCCUACUCAAAUUUAUGUUACAUGCAAUCAUUAGACAACUUAAGGCAAGAGAGAAGAAAAAUAAUGAAAGUCAAUAAUAUCAGAAAAAAAGAAAGAAAAAGGUACAAUUACAAAAGCCAGUUGUUAAAUUAAUUCCUUUUGCACAUCAAAGGGAUAAACCGAUAAAGGAAGGAUAUUUGGUGUCACAGGAAAAUGCUGCUCUCAUCCGCAAGGACAUAAAUGUGCUGCUAGCAUGCUAGUUUUGUGCCAUUGAAUCUUAGCAUGUUUUCUAAGGCUAUGUUUGGUUCGGGUAAAAGUAAGAAUUGCUUAUUCCAGGGAUAGGCACAAGUUCAGGUAUAAGCAGGAACUAGACUAAUUUUGCGUUUGGAUGAAAAUUGGGAUGUUUUAGGAAUAAGGUAAAUAGUGUUUGGAUAGGUAGAUUGAAACAAGAGGAAUAAGAGUUAUAAUGUUAAAUUAAAAUUAUUUUAUCUAAUUAAUUAACAUCAAAAUAUUACUUAAAAUUAAUUUAAUAAAUUAAAAAAAUUAUUAGCUACGAAUAUUGUAUAAGAUAUUAAAAAUAUAUUAAUUAAUUAAUUAAAUAUAAAAAAUAAUUUAACUUUUUGAUUAGUUACUAAAUUAUUUUAGUUAGAUAACUAGUAAAAAAUAAAUAAAUUAGAUUAAUAAAAAUAUUAAUGGUUGCUCAAUAUAAAUAUUAGUUUAUAGAUAAACAUAUUAAAUUAUUAAUAAUUAAUUAGGUAAUUAAUUAUAAGUAAUAAACUAAUUAAUUACUUUAUUAUUUAAGCAAUGGAUAAUGGUUUAGAUAUAUUAAUUAAAUUAAUGAAUGAUUUAAUACCAUAAUUACAAUUAAAUUUAGGCUUUAAUUAACCUUGUUCCCACUUGGGAACAAACUUGUUCUAGAAAAAUGGUGGAACAACAGUUCCAGCCUUUAGGGCUCGUGUUUGACUCGUGUUCAGCUCGAUAUUCGGCUCGCUCGAGCUCGGCUCGAAUUAAUUUCAAGCAAGCUUGAGCCUAAAUUUAGGCUCGAAAUUAAUUUCAAGCCGAGCUUAAGUAUUACUCGGCUCGCUCGAAUUAAGCUCGAAAAGCUCGAAAUNAUAUAUAUAUAUAUAUAUAUAUAUAUAUAUAUAUAUAUAUAUAUAUAUAUAUAUAAUUUGUUUACUAUACUAUUAAUAGUACCAAACACUUGCUAUUAGGUUUUCAGCCUUUAGAUAAAGGGAUGUGCAGUUAGAAUAAUAGUGAUCCCCUAGGGUUGAGUGGGUGGUUAGUCAAAUAAUAUGAUCUAACAGGUGAAAAUGGUCAAAAAGAUAGAUCUAACGGCACAAAAUUUGAUAGCACCAAGCAUUUGGUACUAUAGAUUAUAUAGUAGCCGAACUCUCUCUAUAUAUAGUCCAGCUACUAUACUAUCUAUACUAUCGAUAAUAUUAAGCGCUUUGUACUAUUGAGUUUUCUGCCGUUAGAUCUGUCUAUAUAUAUAUAGAGUCCGGCUAUUAUACUAUCGAUAAUACCAAGCAUUUGGUGCUAUCGAGUUUUCUGCUAUUAGAUCUAUUCCUUUGGCCAUUUUCAUCCGUUAGAUCAUACUAUUCAACUAGUCAUCCACUCAACCCUAAGGAGCUAGUAUCAUUCUGACCGCACAUCCCUUCAUCCAAGGACCGAAAACCUAAUAGCAAGCGGUUUGUACUAUCAAUAGUAUAUAUAGUAGCCUAACUAUAUAUAUAGGCGCCUCGAACUACUAUAUUCUUAUAAGUAUAAACCCCUUUAUAUUUAUAAAUUUUCAGUCGUUGGAUGUGCGAUUAGAAUGAUAGUGGUCCCCUAAGAUUGGGUAGGUGGUUCGUUGAAUAGUAUGAUUUAACGGAUGGAAAUGGUCAAAAAGAUAGAUCUAACGGUCGAAAACUUAUGAGUAUAAAGAGGUUUAUUCACAUAAAAGUAUAUGUAGUAACCAAACUCUAUAUAUAUAAUUAUAUAUAAUAUAUAUUUUAAUUAUAUAAAAUAAUAUACAUUAUGUAUUUUAAUUAUAUGUAUAUAGAAUUUAGAUUAUUGGGUCCACAAAACCAAACCAGCAAAAUAUCCUACUCUAAUUGCUCUCUUUCUCUCUUUUUCACUUCUUUGCAGAGUCGUUUUUCUUAAUUUUUUAAUAUUAUAAUAUCGUAUUUCAUGCAUUCAUUUUGUAUAUUAAACUAUUAAAUAUUUUUUAUAUCAAAUUUUAGAUAAUGUUUUAUAAAAAUUAAACUAUAGAUUGCACUAUGUUAAGAAUUUCAACCAGAUCGUUUAGGACUCGAGCUUGCUCGACUCAAAAUUAGGGUCGCUCGAGCUCGGCUCGAAUUAAUUCAAGCCAAGCUUGAGCCUAAAUUUAGGCUCGAAAUUAAUUUCAAGCCAAGCUUGAGCUGAGGUAAGCUUGGUCGAGCUCGGCUCGUUUCCACCCCUACCAGCCUUAUACCGAGUUAUACCAGCUUAUUCCCAGACCAAGAACUAUUGUUCUCGAGUACGAAAAUUCUCGUUUGGGAACAAAAGGGCGAAGAAAGGCUUAUUCCCCCCUUGCUCCCGAAGCAAACAUUGCCUAACAUUUUGUCAGAAAAGUCAACUCGAAAUGUCUUUGAUGCGAUUUUGUAUAUUCUUUAGUAACUCAAUUGAUGAAAAAGCUUACAAGUUUUAGUGAAAUGUUUUUUAAACAAUAUGUGAUUGUAUGAAAAAAGUGUAUAUAAACAUUUCCAAUAAAGGUUUUUGGCCUAUCAGGUUGACUGUAUCAUAUCAACAUGAACAGAUGAACUUAUUAACAUGGGGCACUAUAUAUACAAUUUCGAUAAAGGUUUUUGGCCUGCCAGGUUAACUACACCAUAUCAACAUGAACUUAUUAACAUAGGGCAUGUUUCCACAACCCACCAGACUAUUGGCAAGGAAAAGACUGAAAGACAAGACUUCGAGAGCAUAGGCUCAUAAGGCUUUAGAAAGUAACUGGAUGAAGUGGAGAAUUUUGCCGUCACUAGCUGGAAGAGCAACCUUGUUAUAUCACUCGUGUAAUACAUCGGUGCAUUUAUUAUGCAAUAUGACAACUCAAAGUUACCAAGGGUUCGGAAAAAAAAGUUUAGAAAUUUCUUGCGUCAUCAUAAUUUGUAGAACCCAAGAUUUUUACAGUAAUUUUCCUAAACACGUAAUGCAACUAUUUUCCAACAAAACAAAAUUGUCGCCUCAACAUCUAUUAGUGCUGUAAGUUAUAAGAGGGACCUUAGUGCAAGGAUUAAAGUGCCCAUCGGCACGGGCCGUAUCUACCGUGCCGUAUCGUGCUAACAAGAUAUCAGCACGAUACAGCUCCUGUGUCGAUGGCACAACUCAAAACCCUCUAUUCUUGAAAUUAGUAAGUAAAUUUCUCAAUAAAGUUCAAAAGAUUUGAUAAAAAUACGUAAUAAAUAAUUGGCAUAUUUUGUUGCUAAAGAAAAUAAAUAUUUCAUGCCAUUACGUGUUGGCACACAUAUUUUUUGUGACUGACAUGCAUCGGCAUGGCCCGGCACGCACCGUGCCGGCAAGUUUCCAACACUACCUCAUGCCACGGCACUUACAUCCUUGCCUCAGUGUAAUUUCAAAGUGAUGUUUCACAGAUAAAAUCGGGCGAGAGUGAAAUGUUAAAACAAAAUUUUAUUCAAAAGAUCACGAUAUUUCAUGUGUCAAAUUGCAUGAUUUCAGAGGUGGAGAAACUUAUGAGCAAAACACAGCUGUGGAUGGAUUUUGAGUAAGACAUUGUGAACUAGAGGGGUUAAAGUGCAAUUUUUACAAAUGAAAAGGGGCGACGCGAAAAAAGUUAUCAUUUCAUGUGAGAAAUUCUGAAGUUUUGGAGAGCGACUCUUAUGAAAGGGACGCGUGGAUUCAAGUUUCAUAAAAUUCGAAAAUUUCUAUGCAUAAUGGCUCAAAUAUGAAGAUUGAGAGUUUAAAAUUGUUUGGAGUUUUCUAUUGAAAAUUGCAACAUUUUAUGCGUGAAACUACAAUUUCACUAUUGAAGGCAUUCCAGCGCAAAGUGCGCUAUGGAGCUAUAAGCAAGAGGGAGACUAUUCAGGGACUUGUAUGCAAAUGUUACAACAAAAUAAUGAUAAAAAUAGGAGUUCAAAACCCUAAACCUAAUCCCUCUCUUCCUCUCCUCCACGAGCUCUCUCUCUCUCUAGAUCUCCCUCUCGCUUGUGGCUACUAUCGCCCUCGAGCGCUGCCGCCACCAGCCGGAGCUCCUCCCCGACAUCCCUCCACCACCGGCUGACCCUCCUCGACCCAAGGCUGAGGCCCAGGGUUUAGACUUCCUCGGUGUGGCCACCCUUUGUCAUUUUGUUUCCUUCUCAGGCACAAGCCGUCGCCGCCGCCGCUGUCACCAUUAGCAGCCGCGUCCGUGGAACUCUCCACCCUCCAGUCAACCUUCCCCUACCCUCCUGGACUGUCCAACAACUUCCCAAGGUUGCUAGUGCUGUUGUUGCUCCUAUAGGCCUUACUUGUGGCCAAGAUCUCAGUUCCGGCAGGCAGCCGCCUCCGACGAACACAGCUUUCCUUCAUACUUGUACAUGCCCGUGCUCCACUGAGUUGCAGGUAAUAAUGGGCUCGAAUGGCUGGUUUCAACACUGCCCACCCGGUACUCGAAGAAAUGCAUACAAUCAACCCAGUCGACGGAGAUCACUGUUCUUGGAAGCACGACAAUCCAUUGGCUUUCUUCUACGCCAUGCAUACCUCGCUGGUGCGAUCCGGACGAUUCGUGGCAGUAUGCACUCGUUGUAAACCCGGAACCCACUUCGUGCAGCCUUUUCUCGCUCCCGAUCUGGUGUAGCCAAAGUUAGUCUAUUUGCUGUCAAAGUAGCUUAGGCAUGGACUAGCUAGUUGCGACACUUUGUAAUUUAUUUGGGCUGUCAAAGUAGUCUAUUUGCUUGUUGGUCCACCGUCCUACACGAGAGAGAGAGAGAGAGAGAGAGAGAGAGAGAGGGAUGUGGUGUAGCCAAAGUAGUCUAUUUGCUGUCAAAGUAAGAGCCAUGUUUAUUGGCUGUGCCACAUCUAGGGCUGGCAAAUGAGCGAGCCGGCUCGCGUUCGACUCGCGUUCGACUCGAUAUUUGGCUCGCUCGAGCUCGACUCGAAAUUAAAUGAGCUGAGCUUGAACAAAAAAAAAGGCUCGAAAUUUAUUUCAAGCCGAGCUUGAGUAUUACUCGGCUCGUUCGAAUUAGGCUCGAAAAGCUCGAGUAUAUAUAUAUAUAUAUAUAUAUAUAUAUAUAUAUAGUAGAGCUACUAUGCUAUCGAAUGUAUAGAGGAUAUGGUGCUUUCGAUUUUUUGAUUCUUAGAUCAAGCCCUUUAAUAAUUUCUUUGAAUUAAUACUAGGGAUAUUAUUUAAUCCUGGGGGGGGGACCGCAAUCAUCCCAAUCAUACAAUUCUUAAUCAAAGGAUUAAAAAUUCGAAAACAUCAAAUCCUCUAUAUUUUCGAUAGCAUAGUAGUUCUACACUAUAUAUAUAUAUAUAUAUAUAUUAAAAAAUAUAUAAAUAUAAUAUAUUUUAAUUAUAUAUAGGCUGAGUGAAUAAUCUGAGUCUAGUUAAAAUUGGGUCAAUAUUAGCCCAUAAAGACAAACCUAAUAGACAAAUAAAAGAGCAAAAUUUUACUAAAUUUAUAUAUUUUUCCUUUCUUUCUUUCUUUCUUUCUUUCUUUCAUAGAGCUCUAAAUUUUCAAUAUGUUUCUCUCUUUCUCUUUUUCUGUCUUUCACCCUAAGUGACCAAGCCGGAAGCCCUCUAAGUUACCAAGUAACAUCAUAUGCCCGCCGUUGCCUACCUUGUUAUUAAUUGUAUGCUUGAGAAAAUAUACAGAAUAUUUUUAAAGUAAAAAAUUAUUAUUCAUAUAAAAUUUUAAUUUUAGUUAUAUAUGAUUGGAUUCGUUUAAUCAAUAUUUAUCUAUAUAAUUUAUUUAUUUUUGACUGCAUAAAUGAAAGAUGAAAUAUAUAGAGAUUGAAGAGGGAAGAAAAAAAUGUAGGCUGAAAAAAUUAGAUAUUCAACUCAUAAAUAUUUUUUUUCAUAUUAUAAUACUAUAUUUCAUAAAAUUAUUUUGUACUUUGAACUAUUAGACAUAUUUGUAUCAAAUUAUAGAUAAUGUUUUAUACAAAUUAAACUAUUGAUCGUAUAAUGUUGAAAAUUUCAAGGGCUCGUUUAGGGGCUCGAGCUCGCUCGACUUGAAAUUAGGCUCGCUCGAGCUCGGCUCGAAUUAAUUUCAAUCCAAGCUUGAGCUUAAAUUUAGGCUCGAAAUUAAUUUCAAGCCGAAUUUGAGCCGAGAUAAGCUCGCUCGAGCUCGGCUCGUUUCCACCCCUAGCUGCAACUAGCAACACAUCAUCAACUCCCCCUUGCACCAUCGGUUGGCUUCCACCUUGUGGAUGUUCGGUAAAAUAUUCAAAAAGCCUUUUUCGUUACCAUAGUAAAUGCUUUAUAUGAUUAUGGUGCGAAUUCGGCUUUUCAAUACUUUUCACGUCAUGGGAGGUGCUGAGCGGUGUCAGUUAACAUUGUUUGACAUUUGGACUAGUUGUUCGAGGUCUGAAAACCUUUCAUAAUUGAUUUGGUGCAAAAUGACACUAGUUAAGGCAAAAUAGGAUCGUUAUCGUGUGUUUCGGUUUCAUUUUCACGGAAGCAGUAUUGUUGUUGUUAAAUAUAAAAAUAUAUAAACACCAUACUCUAACAACUUAAGCUUUUAGAGUACAACAGUUAUUUCACGCCAUACACUGUUUUGCAUGGUUGCGUGCCUUCCGACUUGCAACUUGUUCGAGUGUCUAGAUGUUUGUGUUAUCCUGAUCUACAGGACAUUGUUGCUCACAAACUCUCCCCGCGAUCGCAUCCUUGAGUUUUCUUGGGACUCUGCGCUCAGCAUAAAGGCUUUCGUUGCCUUUAUCCGAGCACUGCAUUUCCCAACAUGUUACCUUUGUUGAAAUAGUGUUUCCUUAUUCCUGUCUUUCAAAAUUUUCCACCUCUUCAGCACCGCAUUCUAUUAUUUCAAAUUUUCAUAUGUUUCAAAAAGAAAUUUCUAAUCCUCAUUUAUUGGGUGCUAGUCCGUCUACUAUUCAUGCCAUCUCUGGGAUCUAUUUCAUUCACUUCUCAACUGUUAAUGGUCUUAGUACUCCAUCUACCAAUAUUAUUUCUCAGUCUGUUUCACCGUCUGAGUUAUUAUCUCACUUUCCUACCGCUUUAACUGAUACUGCCAUACAGGUUCACCUUGAGAAUGACACUUCUGUUGCUGAUCAACCUAGACUCCUGGUCUAUACCAGACGGAAUAUGUGAACCCACUUCUCCUACUGAUAUGGCACCCUCACAUUCUGAACCUCUACCUUUCCCCCCACCUGACGCUGCCCUAGCUAUUGUGCCCUCUGCUACUUUACCUAUUGUCUCUUUGUUCCCUUCCCGUACCCACUCUAUGAUCCACCCAAUCCAUGGCAAAGAGUUUGUCUUAGUCUACCACCUUCUUGGCUUCUAAGAGCUCUAGUCUUCCUAGCGAGCCUAACUCUUUUGCUAAGGCUUCUCAAGAUGUAGGUUGGUGUGCCGCUAUGGCUGAGUUUGAUGCUUUAUUGGCUAACUCUACUUGGGACCUUGUUCCUCCUCUCUCAUCUAUCAACCUUAUCAGCUGCAAAUGGGUGUACAAAGUCAAGCAGAGGGCGAAUAGUUUUCUUGAGCAUCUCAAAACUCGUCUUGUGGCUCAGGGCUACAAACAACAACACGGUAUUGAUUUUGAUGAGACUUUUUCCCCGGUUGUCAAGCCAACUACUAUUUUGUACAGUUCUUUCUACUGCAAUCUCGUCUGGGUAGCCACUGCAGCAACUUGAUGUGAAGAACGCCUUUUUCUUAAUCAUGUUUGCCGAUUACAUAAAGCGAUCUAUGGACUUUAGCAGGCGCCUCGGGCUUGGUUUUAGCGUUUUACUUUCUUUCUCUCUGAACUAGGUUUUAUUGGCAACACCAUUGAUCCCUCGAUGUUUAUUUGUCACUCCUCCUCUUGUUCUUCUUUUAUAUGUUGGUGAUAUUAUUGUCACCGGAAGCUCAUCUUCGCACUUGGAGUCUCUUACAAGCACCUUGCAACGGGAAUUUGCCAUGAAAGACUUAGGUCCAAUAUAUUAUUUUUUGGGUAUUUAAGUUACCUGCUCUACUUCUGGUCUUCAUCUGGCUCAACAAAAUUAUGCACAUCAACUGCUUGUGCAUCGUGGGUUUCUUGACAAUAAACUUGUCUCCACUCCUGUCUCCAACCACUCGUCUUUUGGCUCAUGAAGGGCGUCUUCUUGAAGAUCCCUACACCUAUCGUCCGAUGGUUGGUGUUUUACAAUACCUUACCUUUACACGACCUGACGACUAGAUAUUUUGUACGCUGUCAAUUCGGUUGCUCAAUAUCUUUAUGCGCCUGGUGAGCCUCACAUGCAAGCAAUUAAACGUCUUCUCCAUUAUAUUCAGGGCACACUGUCAUAUGACAUUUCUAUCCUCGCUGUGUCAAUCCUUCACUUGUCGCCUUUCAAGAUGCAGAUUGGGCCGAUUGUCCGGAUACACGCCUGUCUACUUCCGUAUAUUGCAUAUUUAUUGGGCCUAAUCUUAUUUCGUGGUCUGUUAAGAAACAACCUACUAUUUCUCGUUCUAGUUCUGAGGCGAGGUAUCACGCUGUGGCUUACACGCUUGCUGAGACAAUUUGGAUCAGUUGUCUACUUCGUGAUCUUGGUGUUUCCUUAUGGCGUUCUAUUUGCAUCUGCUAUAAUGGCGUUCUAUUUGCAUCUGCUAUAAUAACCUUAGCACCACAAAUCUUGCUACCAAUCCUAUUCUUCGCGCUUGUACGAAGUAUAUUGAGCUUGAUCAUCAGUUCUUGCGGGACUAAGUCCAAUCCAGUGAUUUGGACUUAGUUCAUAUAUCUUUUGAUAAGCAACUUGCUGACAUAUUCACCAAACCCUUGUCCCCUUCUCAGUUCUCCAUGCUGCGAACCAAUCUUCGCAUCCGACCAGUGGAUGGUUAGCUUGUGGGGGAAUGUUACAAUAUAUUUUAGUAUGCUAGGAUAUAUUUAAUAUUGUAUUAUCCAUUGCCUUUUAUAGUGUAGGACUAUAUGGUAUCUUUGGUUGUAAUAUUACUAUAAUAGGUUGAUUUGUAUACUAUUUAUUAUCAUCAAUAAAACCCUAGAGGGCUAUGCUCUUUUGCCUUUUUUUCAAUUGCUGUCUGGAAUAAUUGUCGAGCCCUGUUGGCUGGCCUAGCCUUGCUAUUUGAGUCCCUCGCGGAGUGCGCCAUGGGUUGGUCUUGAUACCAAAACAAGUAUUUUGGAUACCCGAUUGACUUCCUUUAGGAGUCGUGGCUCCCGUUUUUGCGCACUUUGUGUCUAACCAUCCUAACACCCAAAGUGGAGCUUGGGACAGCGGAUGAGAUUUGUAGGCCUAUAGCAUUACUCGAGAUACUUCGUGGGCAGAAGUAGCAUCCCGGUGAGUUUAUGCGAAAAUCGGCGGAUUCUGAAAAUCGGUAAGUAGGUCCAAUGUUCCGAUCAAGCGAUUAUGAGUUGUGGGUGACUUUGUCACAAUUUAGUAAUGAUGUGGUAUUGAGAACAUCUUAGAGCUGAACACUUAUUGUGUGUGUAAUCCGACACUGAAGUAAUGUCCGGAAUAUCGAAUCAGUGCCUUUGAUUCCCUCGUGGCCUAGUUCCGCAAUCACUGUUCAUUUUGUCGAGCACUUGGCAUGCAGUUGUCCCAACACCAGAAGUGGUGCGUCUCGGGAUAGCGAACGUGUUGUUGUAACUCUCUGUUGAGGCGGUUACUUGUUGGCCUAGUUUUAGAAGUAGGUUUGUGGAACUGAUGUUCUUUUUGUGUCGUAGUGCAUGGUGGUGUGGUUUAGACGUAUAAGUUGUAGGAGCUAAUGAUGGCACUUGGUUGCGUUGUUUAGGUUCGAGUGACACCUAGAAACAACGAUCGAGUCGAGAACUCAGAUACUUAGUGAGGCGGGUGUUUCAAUUCAAAGUCGAUAAAGUUGUAUCUUACUUGGUUUUCCUCUAUGAUCCUUCUAUUCCAUUACAGUUGUCAAGUACUACAACUUAUCAUGAGUUGGUACUCUACAUGUUUGUUGCUUUAUCGUAUUGGUUACAUACUGCUUAUGAUUACUAUGAUUGUGUUCCAUCUACUGAUGAUGUAUUACAUGUAGAGUAGGAUUCGUUCUAGUUGCAUAGCCAUCUAACUAUGAUAUGACCUGGUAGGUCAGUGUUACUCAGUUUGUUGAGUUUUAACCCUGUUGGUCAGCUGAUUCACUCCCAUGUGAUUAGACCUCAUCGGUUGACUAUUCUCUUAUAUGUGAUUUGACCUUGAGGUUGGUAGAUUUAUUUCAUUAGAUUUGACCUAGUAGGUCGGUACUUCCUUUAUGAUAUUGACCCUAGAGGUCGGUUGACGUAUCUUGUUCAUGAUUGAGAUUACAACAUGCUUCAUCUUGACCCCUUGCAUUUGACAUCAUCCCCUUUGAUACUUGCGUAGUAUAGCAUGCUAGUUUUAUUUUAUUUUUUUGAGAGAUAGGUAGCAUGCUACCCGCUUCGUUUAUUUUAUUUAGAAAUAAACUUAGCUAGAAAUGUGAAUCAACUAGGAUUCGAACUUGGGACCACGGGUACCAACCACCAAGCCCUUUGCCACUUGCACUAGGGACGGUCAGUUAUAGCAUGCUAGUUGAUCUUGAGAUUUGUGAGUUUGUGAUCAUGGACCUAGUUGAUUUUAAUGACACCUUUGGAGAGUAUAUGUUGGUUCUUUAUUGUUGCCUCAAGCAUAGAUUAGACUGUUGAGUCUGAGUUGUUGGAGGCUUGAGCAUACGUAUGUGACUAUAACUUGAGAUGGCGCUAUUGCUGUUAGAUAGGGUUCACGACCUUGAAUGCUUUUAGUUUGCCAGCCCACUGGGAGGUGUAGCUCUUAGACAAAGUUCGUCAUCCGGAGUACUUCACUCUUAGAUUUGAUGUACACCACUUUUAGACAGGGUUCGCGACCUUGGGUGCCGCAUGUUGUGUCCCUCCGAAAUAGAACUUGGUUAUUGGUCCUCGCGACCUAGUAGGCAAGUCUGUUCGGUGCAUAGUAGGCAAGUUUGUUCUAAGUUGUCUUUAUGGCAAGCCAUCAUGAUAGGAUUGAUUUUGAACGAUCUAUAUGUCUGGUCGGUGCAUAGUAUCUCUGUUUGAGUUAUACAUGAUUUUCUGUUGGUUGUUGCAAUUACAAAGCAGCAUCUUUCAAAUAGUUUAUUCAUCACAUUUGAUUAUAUACUAUCUUGCUACUGUAGUUGGCAUCUCUAUCGCAUUUAUAUAAUUGACUCUCUUUUACAGUAGCGGCGGUAGAUUGUAUUUCAUUUUGUGAUUCUUCCUUAUGCUCGUGCUAAUGUAGUUGAGUACGCUUAUAUCUCAAUUGAUUAUAUCAAUUAUCUUCUUAUCCUUGCAGUUAUCUUUUUGUCGUACUCUUUGUCGACUAGUGACUACAGCUUGCCUUCAGUGGCUGGUUUCCCCCAUUAGGAAACAUAUUUAUAUAUUUCUCACCCUACUGUUUUUAAAAGUGCUGCCAACAGUGUGGGUCGGAGCGUUGCGUAAGGACGUGGUUAGUUAGCGUCUAAAUAGCUCGUGCCUUGGACUCGCAUUACUAGAUCCUGAUUUACUUUCCUGUUAUUAUUAUCUUUAUCAUGUUAAGAUUAUAUACCUUAGCCUCAUAGUCUUGAAUUUAGAUUUGUUGUUGGGUUUACCUAUUCUUGAGAUUUUCGAUUUCUUGUUUGAGAUUUGUGGAUCAAUUAAUUGUUAUAGUUGUUAUAAUGAUUCCUCCCUGUUUAGGUUGUUUGUUAUAAUUGUGGUUGUAUUGUCUGUACUUCUAUGUCGUGCAUGUAUAGAGGAGACUCUGUCCGUGUGGAUAGAGAAAACUCUGGCACGUGGCGGGUCUAUGUGCGUCUCGCGCAAGAUUUUAAAAAAAAAAAUUAUACGUUUUUUCGCAAACUCUUAUCUUUAAAACGGAAGGAUUUCCAAAAAAAAAUACUUUCCCAAAGGGCCCUGGGGCACGACAUAAUUACAUGUGAAAAACUUAACUGGUAAUUUGGAUUAACAUGUUAAGACAAGAAGCAUAUGUUGGAUCGGAAAUAUCAAGCCUUUCGUCCUUGAAGAAAGGCAAUGAUAGCAUAACUUGGGACUUUGCCCUAAAUUUAAACAUUUCAAAGCAAAGUUGCAAUGACAAAAUAUUGCUUUGAUAUGAACUAACUGCAGGAGGAAAUGAAAAUAGAAGUUCAAGUAGUAUCAACAGGUCUAAUGAAAUGACUUGUUUGAAGUAAAUAAUGCUUACAGCUAUGUUUCUUGUCUGAGAAAAUUAAUGUAAAGAGGUUAUAAAUUUUCCCAAUGUCACAAACUUCCACAUGGUGUGUAGCAUCAACAAUUAAUAUGAAAGAGCAUGCUUUACAUUUAAUGACAAAUGCAUCAUCUUUAACAACAUCCAGAUAAAGAUAAUGGUUUCUCUCUUCAACUCAUCUUUAGAAAUCAACAUUGGGUUUAUCCACAAGGGCAAAUAACAAGUUACCUCAUCACUACCUCAAAUAAGUAACACCCUUAAAAGCAUUACUCUAAUCAAGAAAUAGGAACAAAUGAGAACAUAUUAAGGAUGCAGAUGUAAAAAACAACUCUUGACUUACAUCAUGUCGAAAAGAAUUCCAGAGAAUGUACCAAGAAACAGACCACCAGCAGCUCCAGCUGCAAGAACCAAUGCCAUCUGCUCCCUACCUAGCCCAUACUGCAUGUAUUCGUACUCCCCCGAUAUUGUUUGAAGUACUUCAAUCACUGGAAAAUAUGAGGAAGCUCCAAAUAAAACUAAACUUCAAUGUAAGAAGUGAGGAAAGGCGGCGGUCAAAAUUACAAGAAGGGUAUCAAAGGAAAGCACAAUACAGCACCUAAGUCUUAUUCGAGAGCAUAAAGGCCCUGUUUGGAUUUAGGAGUAAGUUAUAUAACUUGUUCAGUAUGGAAUUUUACUUUUGUGAUUGGAGGCUGAGGAUUUAGUUUUUGCUCAUGGAAAGUUCUUGACGGUCAUGAUUUGAUAGGAUAGCAUAUUUUCUCUUCGAGAUAAUUUAUUUUAUUCCAAGAAUAAAAUUUGAGGGCCGAAUAUGGUAUUCAAUUUCAUAACAUUUGAUCUCGCUGCUCGCCCACCAAAUACUACGGCGUUUUGUGUAAAUCAAGAAAAAAAAAUAUGUCGAACAAGAUAUUUAUGCAUCCAAACAUGGCCACAAUCACAACCAAGCGGAAAAGGGAAAAAAAACAAAAAGGCGUAAAUGUUAAAGUGAAGACAGGUGGGGUGUUCCCAGAUGCGAAAACCUGAAGCUAUGGAGUAGAUUAGCAAGAAGCUUCGUUGGAACCGCAGGAAUGGCGCAGAAGGGCCGAGAUCGAAAGGAUAUGCGGACGCGGCACCUUUCGCUGAGCCCUUCGAAAAGUAUGGGCAGAGGAAGAUGGACGCAAAGCAGGAGACGAAAAGGAAAACGUAGGCGAGGGGGUUCAGCUCCCACUCCUCCCUCUCAAUCACCACUGUCAUUGCAAAUCGGGCUCCUAGCCCUAUCCCAUCGUCUCCUGCGGCCGUCGCUUGGUGCGUGGUGGGUGGUGGUGCCGAACUGCCCGACUUGUUGGGCUUGGGCCGGCUGUCAACGAGCCGAACUCAAGCGAGCCAGAGCCAGCUCGAGAUCGGCUCGAAAGUGCUCAAGGUCGGCUCGUCUUCGGCUCGAGCUCGUGAUGAGCGUCAAAUGUCCAGCUCGUGAUCGGCUCGCAAGUUAUUUGCACUAGCUCGUUUUUGGCCCGUUGGCUCGAUUAUUGCUACCUUACAAAAAUAUUUUGCUCGACGGGUAGGAAGUUGAGCAGGAUACGAUCUACCUAAAUUUCUGUAAGAAAAUUCAUAUCAAACUCUAAUUAGAAGCUCAAGAAAAAAAAUUCCUUAUAUUCUGCUAAAAAAAACCAUAAGAAAAAGAGAAAAAGGAAAGAUGAAGAUCUUGGAAGACGAAAAACGAACCUGCUGAAAGCGCCGCUACCGGAGUUCCAUCGAGAUAUGCGAACGGCAAAGAAUGCGCUGCCGGGAGUGUGCGAACGGUGAAGACGGAAGAGCGCUGCCGAGGGGUCUUCGGGCGUAGAGAGAGAGAGAGAAAGAGAGAGGCGGGCGUGUGUGUGUAAUGUGUGUAACUAGUGUAGACCCGCGCUUCGCUGCGGUGUUUAUAGGUAUAUUGCGGUAAAUAGUUUAAAUAAACUAAUAGUAAGACAAAAUUUAUGUUAAUUAUAACAUUAAUAAAUUGAUAGUAGAAAGUUCUAAUACAACUUCAGUACACAUAAUAUAAUGGAGGAGUACUACAAUAUUAAAAAUAGUCUUUCAGCAUAAUGCAAGAGUAAAAUGCAAUAUUAAAUGUAAUCCUUCACAUCUUGUCUUCAUCUGUAGAGGGAGCAUCAUCAAGACUGGAAAGAAAAGUAAAGAUUUUUAGUUUAAUUUAUGCUGACAUAAAAAAUAAGAAAUAAGAGAUGAUAAAUAUUUGAGGGGAAAAAAUGGACGACAUUAAAUCUUACAUAAGUCGGCGUUUUUUCGCUCGCGGGAUUUCGUUNCUGGCUCGUGAACGACGAGCUGGAUUGCCAGCCCUAGCUUGGGGUGGGCUAAAGUACUGAAAGGGUGAGAAAGGAAGAAGGAGAAGGGAGGGAAGGUGGAUCAGAUUCGAUUGUAGGUCGGGUUCAAACCCAGAUUAUCCUCCUAUCCAUUCUAAAGCCAAGUUCAUGCAAAUCUGUAAUUUACAAUCUUCUAUAAUCAAUAAUCUAUACCUAUACUAGUGAAAAUAUCUGCAUAUUAUGAUUGGGGGUUCUGAAAUUUUGAUGGCGAGCGGCGCGUGGCCUCGUGGGGAGUUUCAACAACGAGCGGCGUGCGGCGGGGGGUAGGGGAGGAGGCAAGAGUGACACGGAUGAAAAGUCUAGGGCAUGUUUAUUGAGCGGGGGGAUUUUUUUUUACAGGUGAGAGUUUUUCGACCUUAGCAUUUUUUUUCCUUCCUUCAGGACGUGCAAGACGGGUGUACACCUCUUUUUUUUCGUCAAACAAUUUAGCAAUCGUGAAUUAUUCACGAAUAAUAGCCAUAUAAACUCACAAAUUCACGUAUUAUUGUAAAUAUUUGAAAAAAAAAAUAUAAACAGACCGUUUUAUUCGAUUAUUCAAUAAUUCACAAACAAUUCACGAAUUAUUCGUGAAUUAACUAACUAAGAUCUAUACUACUUAUAAAAGAGGAGAUUUUAAAACUUUUUUCUUUUUCAAAAUGCCACUUUCUAUUAAUAUAAUUCCAAUCAUAUAUUAACCAUAUCAUUCAUUCAAGUUUUAUAGGUACUAGUUAUAGUGCAUGUGCGAUGCACGUCACAUUUAAUUAAAUUAAAAUUAUAUUUAUAUUUUAAAUUUAAAUAAUUAUUGGUGGUAUAAAUCUAUUUAUCAAUUAAUUUUUUUGUAACUUUAAUUUUUUUACUGUGUAUCCAAAGUUUAAAAUUUGGAAGUAAUUCUAAAUUUUAAAUUAAUGAAUUUAGAUUUAAAUUUAUGAACAAAACUCAAAAUUUGAAGUUAAUUUUGAAUCCAUAAUUUGAAUAUAAAUAAUUAUUAGAGAUUAUUUAUCAUUCCAUCUAUUUUUCAAAUUUUAUAUAUUUUCAAGUUAAUAAAUUAUUUUCAAUUUGAAAUACUGCUUACACACCCAAAUAUUAAAAUUUUAAUUAAUUUCAAAUUUUGAAUUAAAAUAUUAAUUCACAUUUGAAAUUAUGAACUAAAUUUAAAAUUUAAAGUUGAUUUGAUAAGCUUAUUUAAAUUAUUUUAUUUUCCAAACUUAAUUUCUUUUUAGUAAGUUAAUUGAGAGGUAGUGUAUACUAAAUAUUUUCAAUGUGUGUUACGUAGAGAUUUUUAUAUUUUUGAUGAGUAUGGAAUAUUCUUUUAUGGGGCUACAGCAAAUAUUCAACAACUAUUUUAAUAAUUAUCUAAAAUUAAUAUAAAUUUGCGAAUCACAAAGUUUACAUUUUUAAAUUGUAAAUUCAUAUGUUAUAUUUUAUUAAAAAAUAUCUCAUAUUUUAAAUAUUAGUAGAUAAAAUUGAGAUAAUUUUUAUAUAUUUACUUUAAAAAAAUAUGAUUAAAUAUUAUAUAUACGGAAGAUAUUACGUGAUGGGAUAUUAUGUAGGUGGCGGGCGGUUAUUAGGAGAUAGGGUACAUAUUUAAAGAGUGAAAUUUGAUAAGAGGGUAAAUUUAGGUAAAAAAAAUUGACAAAUACUUAAUUCGUUAGUAGAAAAAAAAUUUUAAAUUUCGUAUAGUUAUAAUUAGUGUUGGCAAUAACUAUUUUUUAAAUUUUAGUUAGAAUAUAACAGUUAUUUUUUAUUAAAAUAUAGCAAAUAAAUAUAUUUUUUAAAAUUUUAAAAUUUUUUUUUGUUAAUUAUAAAUUUUUGAAUAAAUAUGACCAUAAAAAUUUAUGUUAAUUUAAGAUAACUAUUAAAAUAAUUAUUACGCGUAAAUUUUCACAUAUGCUCAACUAGUUAUUUUAAAAUAAUAAAAAAUAACUAAAUUUUUUCGAAAUAUUUUAUCCCAACGAAAAAAAAUAUUUCCGUUUGCGAAAUAAGGGGGAUAUAUGUUAUCCCCGUACUUCCAGAAACUGCUUUGCGUAUGCACGGUUGCGUAUCGUCGUACUUCCUCUGCUUUUUAAGUUCGUUGACAAUUGAGGCCUAUAUAUUCACCGCAGCGAUCGGCAGCGCUCAAGAAAAGCGGUUCCAAGAGAACUCAGCGGGACGACUGCUGAAGCGAUGGGAGGCGGCCGACGUCCUCCCCAUCAUCUCCUGCCGUCGGGCACAGCCGUCGUCGACGCCACCGACAAUUCAUCCUCUUCCACCNAAAUUAUAUUUAUAUUUUAAAUUUAAAUAAUUAUUGGUGGUAUAAAUCUAUUUAUCAAUUAAUUUUUUUUCUAACUUUAAUUUUUUUACUGUGUAUCUAAAUUUUAAAAAUUUGAAGUAAUUCUAAAUUUUAAAUUAAUGAAUUCAGAUUUAAAUUUAUGAAUAAAACUCAAAAUUUGAAGUUAAUUUUGAAUCCAUAAUUUGAAUAUAAAUAAUUAUUAGAGACAUUGACUUAUUUAUCAUUCCAUCUAUUUUUCAAAUUUUAUAUAUUCUCAAGUUGAUUUGAUAAGCUUAUUUAAAUCAUUCUAUUUUUCAAACCUAAUUUUUUUUAGUUAGUUAAUUGAGAGAUAGUGGGAUCUAAAACAACAACCAUAUAUGAACUAAUUCCUUAUACUCCCAAACAAGUACCAAGUGAUCAUAAAAUCUUUUAUAUAUAUAUAUAUAUCUGCAAACAUAUCUUGUAGCUAGCUAGCCUUCAACCAAAUCAUACUGGCAGCUUCAAGCUCUCACACCAACAAGUUUUCCAAAUCACUCACUUAAGAUAUAUUUGUAGCAAAUGGGCUGGGAGAAGAGGUGAGGUGGAUAUAUAUAUACAUAUAUAUUAAUGUUAAAGGAGACCUAAUUCUAUAGAAUGAGAGGUGGUGCAUGUAUAUAUAUAGUGGUUACUAAUUAGGAGGAAUUAGUGAAUGAAUUAGCAAAUCAAUGAUAUUCUCUUUAUGCUAUUGGCUUGAUUACAAAUUUGAAACUCUGAGAAUGAAAUUAGAAUCCAAUCAUAGAUCAAGAGCUAAAUUGCUACAACUGAAACUCUUGGAUGAAAUUUCAGGGACUAAAUAUUUUUUACUCAACGGCUUUUUUCUGCGCAUUAUUAUUAUGUUUUUGUUAUAUAUUAUCAUAUGAUGAAUUGCCAUUAACUUCAAAUUGCCAUAUGAAAUUUUAGGGAGCUAAAUUGCCAUUAACACAGUUUAGUAAACAUGUGUUAAUUAAGAGACUCGUAAGUAUCUCAGAUGGCAAUUUGAAGUUAUAAUGCAGGCUUGUAUUUUAGUGUUUAUUUUCAAUUUGACAUCUGGGGCUUGUAUUUUAGUGUUUAUUUUCAAUUUGACAUCUGGGGCUUGUAUUUUAGCGUUUAUGUCCAAUUUGACGGAUUUGGGGCUGUUUCCAUUGUUGUUAACAAAUCAAUUUCUUAAAUGGAAACAGUUUCAGCUUACUCCAAACACUAAUUUAUAUUAACACAUGCUUAGUAAACUUAACGGAGGAGCUGACGAAAAGAAAAUAAGAUGAACUGAUUCAGUUUACUAAGCUGAAUCAGUUUAGUAAACUGUAUCCAUUGUUAAGAAACUGAUUAGUAAACAUAUGUUUAUAUAAAUUAGUAAACUGAUUUACUUCAUUAAAAUGUGUUUUUUUAUUUCUGGAUAAACUUAAUAUGGUUGCUUGCAUCAGUUUAUGGAUAACAUUUCCAGCUAAUACUAAUGAAUAAUGCUCUAAUAAAAUUAUGUUAUUUGUUUCAAAUGAAAUCCCAUACAAAUCUGGAAUAUCUGGUUAAGAGUUUCCGGCUUUCUGUGAUUUGUAAUUUAGCAUCAGUUUAUGAGCAACUGUAUAUAUUCUGGUAGGAUGUUUUUAUAGUGUGCGUUUAAUUUAGCUAUUUUGAUACUCUUUUUCAGUGUUUUCAUAUGGAUAGUAACAAGGCAAAGAGAUGGGUAGACUAUAGCAGAGUAAGUAAAGAAUAUUUGGAUGGAGUAGAGGCCUUUCUUAAUUUUGCAUUUGAAAACAGUUCCGUCGAUGUAAAAAUUCCGUGCCCUUGUCAAAAAUGUGUGCUUUACUACCACCAAAUUCGGGCUGACGCAUUCGAUCAUUUUGUGGUCAAUGGAAUUAUGCCAGGAUAUGAUUCGUGGUUUUAUCACGGAGAAACAACAUCAUUGUUAAGUCCUUCACAUGGAGUUCAUUUAGAGCAAAAGAACUAUAAGAGUGAUGACAUGGUAGGAAUGUUACAUGAUGCUUUUGGAGUACACAAUCUAGCAGCAGAUAUAGACAUAGAUUGUGGGGACUCUGCAGAGCCAAAUAUAGAUGAUUUUGGUAUAGAACAACCGGCAGAGUAGUUUUCUUCAGAAUGGGAGAAGUUUAAAGAGCUACUAAAGAUGCCGACGAAGAAUUAUAUCCAGGAUGUCGUAAAUUUUCUAAGUUGUCCUUUAUAUUGCAUCUUUAUAAUAUAAAGUGUCGUUUUGGAUGGUCAAAUGAGUCAGUCGGCGCAUUGCUUAAACUUUUAAUAGAUGUGUGUCACGCCCCGGGACCGGCGGAGGCCCUCCCGGUAGCGUGCCCAGACCCGCCAUAUGUCUACACAUAUAAGGCGUCUACAAUAAAAAGCGGAAGUAAAGCAAGAGAUAGAACAAAUAAAAAGAAGUAAAAUAACUAGCAACUAAUGAUAUCAGAGCGAGUAAAGUUCUAUCAUCUAUACCAAAGUAAAGAAAUAAAGCUAGACAAAAAAAGAAACCAUAAGUAGUACACUAUCAGUCUCAAAAGUACAAAAAUGGUGGUCUCUAGUACACUGGUAAAACCCUGAACCUCUCGCAAAAAUAAAAUAUAUAUCGAGAGGUAGACCACCUAGCAACUCGUUCUCGAAGGAAGCUAGCUCGAAGCAACUCCCUUCCCGCGANCGAGCGGCGACGACUCCCACUCCCAAUUCGUCCAAAACCGAUCCUCGGCCUCCUCGGCCUCGCUGCGGCAAUCCGAGACGUACGCCGCCGUUCUCGACACCUACGCCGCCUCUGCCGCCGCGGCGCGGGGCCGUUCGAUUCAAGACGCCAAAGAUUUGAUCCGAAGGUGAGCGAACAGCAGUAGGCAUAUAUAUAUAUAUAUAUAUAUAUAUAUAUAUAUAUAUAUAUAUAUAUACUUUUUGUGGUUUAUUUAUGUUUGAACCCUGCUUAGCGAAUCGUGAGCAUUUUCGGUAGGUAUAGACCCGGCGAUUGGAUUGAGGAGGUCGGCGGCACCAAAGCCAGCGACUACGAAAUCCCGGAGACCACCACGCUUCUUCUGAUCGGCCCGAGAGGGUCCGGCAAGAGCACGCUCGUGAAUCGGAUCACUCGAGUUUUUGACGACGACCUGUCUGCGCCGGUUAGGGCUCAGGUUUGCCGUAAGUUUUCUUCCCGCCGAAGGUUUUGAAAUUUGAUAUUUAGGCGUGUAGAAAUGGUGGAUGCACUGUUCUGUACUACUGUUGCUGUAGAUAAUGCUUCCGCGGUCCCCGGGACCUGCUUCUUGCAAGAGUACAUGAUCCCAAGGAAUUCGAAGUCUCUAUGCGUCUACGACACUCGGGGUUUGUCGACGAUUCCAUCUGAGAACUUAAAGCUGCUGCAGCAGUGGAUGACCCGUGGAGUGAGGCAUGGGGCGAUGGAUUUUUGGUAUGAGUAUUUAUGACGUUUGAUGCAUUUUCAGUGUGGCUAGUUUGAAAUUGUCAUUAUGAGUUGAUAAUCUCUAGAACCUGAAUCUUUUUUUUUUUUUUUUUCCCAUAGCAGUGCUUAUUCCUACUAUAGUAUUCUUGAUUUAAGUGAUCUUUUAGUGAAGUUACGAAUAAUCCAUUUGAACGAAAACGUUCCUAGUAGUCAGUAGGUAAAGCCUUUCAAGAAUUCCUGGUUAUUAUUUUUCUGCAUUUGCCUUCACUGUUAAUCAGGAAUUUUCUCGUGGGACAUUAAUCUGUCAAGUAUAAAUUGACUCAAAAAAAAAAAUGUCCGACAUAAUAAGACAUAGUUUGCUUACAGGGAGAGUUGUGUUUUCUUUCAUUACAGGGAUUCUGAUGAUGUAGCUACAAAGCAAAACAUUAAAAUUAUGGCACGACAUGGUGGAUUUCUUCAUUGCCAAAAGAGAACUGUGAAUUUUGUCAUCUUUGUUGUUGACGGAGUCUCUAUACUCAACUCAAUUGAUAGCGAGGAUACACAGUACAUCAACUUGGUCGUCGAAAAUUUUAAGUAUCCAUUCUUGUCAUUUAAAGGUGUGCAUGCUCAUUUCUCUUUAUUUUGAAAUUGUAAUUGUUACAUAUUCUUUCAUGAUUGCUCAUUUCUGCAUGUUAACAUGUGUAUUUUUAUUUGUGGAUUGUAGUGCCAGUCCUUGUCUUUCACACAUUUGUUUACAGAUACUUAAGCUCAAAUUUGAAUCUGCUCCCUUUGAUGUCCUUCCCAAAAAUUUCAUCUUUUUAUACAAUUUUCUGAAUUUAGAGGUCCCUAUUAAGUAUCUUUUGGAGAAUCUAAUAACAUACUGUUAGCACUUUUAACUUUAGUUGCCUUUUUCACAAUUUUACCCUUUAAACAACAUAUCACAAUUCUUUAGUGUAAUUUUACCUCUCACUAAAUAAAUAUACCCUUAGGCUUCGUUUUGUUCGGGGUUAAGUAAGAACUAGUUAUUCUAGGGAUAGGAUUAAGUUCAGGGUUAAGCCUGAAAUAGACCAAUUUUGCGUUUGGAUGAUAAUUGAGUUGUUCCCGGGAUUAAGAAAAAUAGUGUUUGGAUAGAUAAGAUGAAAUAAGAAGAAUAGUGAGUAGUUAUAAAUAGAAAAUAAUGAUUUUGCCCCAAUUAUUAUGUUUAAAUUUAAAUUUUUUUACUUUAUAUUUAAAAUUUAAAAUUUAAAAUUUAAAUAGAUAACUUAUAUAAUUAAAAAAUUCCAAAUUAAAAUCUAUAUUUUAAAAUCUCAAAUUUAAAAAUUUAAAGUUAUAAAUUUUAAAUUUUAAAUUUUAAAUCAAAUCUAACAAAUAUAAAAUUACAAAUAUAAAAUGUCAAAUUUAAAUUUAAAUAAUUAAAAAUAAUUUAAAAUUUAAAAUUUAAAAAUAUAAAUAUUAAUUUUAAGAUAACAAAUUAUAAAUUAUAAAAUUUAAAAUUUAAAUAUUAAAUUUAAAUUUAAAAAUAAUCCCACCUCUAUUCCAGAGGGGGUGGGGAUAGCUAACCCCACCCGCCAAAAAUAGUGUUUGGGGUUAAAGAGGGGGGGAUAACCCCCUUAUCCCCCCCUUUAACCCUGAACCAAAUGCUAGCUAAGAGGCCUUUUGGUUGGAUGCAAUUAGAAAUAUAAUAUAGUUGGAGAUUCCUGCAGUUGGAAAUGCAGUAGUUAUGACGACAUGCAUCUAGUUUGGUUGGAUGUCGUAGAAAACGCUGCAACUAUAAAUAAUUUGUUUGGUUAUAUACAAUUAUGAAGUACAUUUUUUAAAUUUUAUAAUUUUUUUAUAUCUGGUGGUGAGAUCACCUUUGAUGUAGAAAAGAGAAAUAUUUUCUAUUUAAAAUGUGAUUAGGGAGGUAAACUUACAUUUUGUUUUAAGUUACUCGCUCUAACUGAUGCAGUUAGGCUUGUUCAUGUAGUUCCAAUUGCAGCAGGUGGAUUCAAAUGCAUCAAAUUAAACACUAGAUUUGGAUUUGCAUAUAGUUACAAUUGCAAUACAGUUGUAACAGCGUGCAACCAAACAACCCUUUAUAUAUUUCGUAUGCAUAUCAAAUUCAAAGGAUAAAAAAUUGUACUAGAAGGAUAAAAGAAAAGACUGAGCAGAAUAUUCCUAAAUUUUAUUGGAAGAUGAAAGUUAGGGCUUUUUUAAACUUGUUUUAAAGUCAAUAUAUAUAGAAACUUCCCCUAUAUAUAAUGACGACCAACUUAUUUGAAAAUGUAUUACUAUGCUAAUAGUUUCUCAUCAUCAUCUUUUACAGAUGUUAUAGGAACAUCAAAAAUCACCUCCCUAAUGCAAUAAUAACAAAUAUAAAUGGCUUAUUAGGAUUUAUGCAAUGUUCUCCUAGUUUGAGGUUUUUCACUCCAUUCUCAUAAAAUAGCAGAUUAUUCUCAGAAAUUCUUAGGAAUCUUUUGUCAUUUUGACAUGCGUAGUAGACAUGACAAGAAACCUGUUUUGACACGCAUAGUAGACAUGACAGGAAACUAUUAGAAAACUUAUGCUUAAACAGAAGCCUACUUAGGGCAUACUUGCUAGAUACGUGAGGGACAUACGAGAGUGGGGGAUAUACGAUGAUCUCUUUUUGGUCUGAUUUGUCAUUUCAUGUUUGGAAUCAUUCUUGGCCCAUAUCCAAAUAACUCGAGCUUGUUUGAGGUAUUUAGGACCUAAAUAUGAAUCAAAAUGAGUGACUCCCAUUGUUGUUGUUUAUUUGAAGAUUCUUUUUAUGCUUUGGGAAUUGAGUAUCUACAAAAUAAUUUGUACCAUGGUGUGACACCCCAGGAUUUGGAAUAAUUCUAUAGAUGAUAUAUAAUAGGGCUAAACCUUUUAACCCGGCUAUAGUAUGUUGGGCGGUGGUUAGACCCAAGAGGUUAAGAGGGUUAAGCGUACUAGAACUAGAGUAGUUCUAGGAUAGGUGAUCUCCUGGGAAGUGGGCCGUCGCUGUUGGUAUCAGUGCCAUUCAUCGGUCGGAAGUAUGAGAUGAGUCUCAGUUGAGCUAGCGUCAUACAGUGGGUGCCUCGGCUGACUACCGUUGUAGGUGGAGCACGGCUCUCCAUAAGGUCGGCUAAGGCUAACAAGACGAGCCUCACAUCGCAUGGUACUUGUGAGUGUGCUUGAGCAUAACGAAGACGUCAAGGUUUAAAGGGGGGGAGAAUGUGACACUCUAGGAUUUGGAAUAGUCCUAUAUAUGAGAUAUAAUAGGGCUAAACCUCUUAACUCGGCUAUAGCAUGUUGGGUAGUAGCUACGCCUAAGAGGUUAAAAGGGUUAAACGUGCUAAAACUAGAGUAGUUUAGGAUGGGUGAUCCCUUGAGAAGUGGGGUGUCACACAUGGAGGUAAGAAUCAACUUAAUUUUGGGUGGCGCAAGUGAGGGAGGAACACCUUUGACAAUCAUCAACAACAAUAAUCUAAUUCAAAUUGCAUUUUUAAAUUGGAAUUUGAAUUUUAAGUUCAAUUUGUAAAACCAUAUUUGAAUUUAAAUUUCAAAUCAAAUUAUAAGUUAGAAAUUGUUGAUUCAAUGUUGAAUUCAAGUAUAAGUUUAAUUUCUAACCUUAAUUUAAAUUUUAAACUUCAACUCAAACUUGAAUACAAACUGUGAGUUCAUUUAAAUGUUUGAGUUCAAAUUGUAAAUUUAGAUUCAAAUUCCAAUUUUAAGUUCAAAUAUAAGUUCAGUUUGAAAUUCUAAUUUUAAUUGAAGCUAUGAGAUUGUGAAUCCAAUUUUUAAUUAAUCUUUUUUUUUUUAGUUCAAUUUUUAAUUCAUCUGUAAGCUUGAUUUUUGAAUUUAUCUCAGGUUUGAAUUUAAACUUGAAUGUGAAUUAGAAUUAUGAAAUCAAUUUAACAUUUCAGUUUGAACUAUGAAUUCAAAUGUCUAUUUGAAUUUAAAUUCUAAUGCAAGUUCAAACUUAAUUCAAAUUUUAAUCAAACUUUUGUAAAAUUUAAAUUUAAAAUCAAACUGUUGAAUUCUAAAUUUAAUUUUGUAAAGUAAAAUUUUCAUGUCAACAACUUGUAUGCAGUCAAUCACUUUGCCGAAAAACAUAAUAGUGGGAAUCAAUGAUUCCAAUUCCAAUUUCUAGUUUGAACUGAUCUCAUUAAAGGAUUUCCCAUUCCUUUUCUAUUCCACUCCAUACAAAUUGCUAUUCCAAUUCCGAUUUUCCUUUUUAAUCAUUUGCCCUUGUAUAUUUAUGUUACCUCACUAAUGCAUCUGGAUUAAAUGUGUAUCAUGGAUAAUUCAUGGUUGUUGAAAGUCAAGAUUAAUGUUGGUCUGAUUAAUUUUUAGUAUUGAUGAACAAAGCUUACCUUCAUUUUUAUAUUUUUACUCAAGUAACUUGGUUUUUUACUUCAUGUUUUUUAAUCAUCUGACUAAUAUUAAUAAAUAUUUAAUAAUAUAUGUUAUAUGCUCUGCACAUCAUGGCCUAAAAUUUUUGCCAUGUGUUGUGUCAUCGUUUCUGUAUCUUAUUUGUAUUUUGUACGCCUAUUUGUGCAACAUAAAGUUUCCUGUGUAGAGAAAGCAUACCCCUCUUUGAUUACUACAAAAGGUCACAUGUUCGGAGGCCCAAAUUAGCUGGUCUUAAGUUUUCCUUCUAUUCCGUGUGUGGAGUCCAGUAUAAUCCUCCCAAGUAUAUUCACCUGUCUUAUGGGUGAGCUAUGUUCGAAUAGCUUUGCUUAUAUCAUUUCUUGCCCUAAGAUUCAUAUAAAGAGGCUCUUUUAUCUAGUUUAAGUAAAACAUAAACGUGAAACGUCAUUUUCUGUCAUAGAGGUCUAAAGUUCCUUAUUUGGGAACUUCGACGAGUUUGCCAUGGAUUCCACCAUAUAUUUGAACAUUUCUGGUUUUUCAGCUUAUGUAUAUCCAGAAACAUUUUAUGUUGUGUUUAAAAACAUUUUGUCUGCUUCAUAUACAUGUUCUUUAACUAAAUAAAUGAGCCUACCUUUAUAUGACCAACUUUUUGUACCAUUAAAUUUUAAGUGAUUAAUUUUUUCUCAGAUUGCACUUGUUUUGUUAUACAAUUGUUUUCAUUGUAGGAAGAAUCGCAGCCGGGUCUUUCUCCACCUUUUAGCACACUGUUGCAUCCAUCCUUUCUUUUAUCUUUUAUUCUAACAUUCUGAUGUAGUUUGUUCUUUCUUUCUUAUGUCUGCUUCAUAUAUAUGUUCUGUAGCUAAAUAAAUGAGCCUACCUUUAUAUGACCAACUUUUUGUGCUAACUUUUUUGUAAAAGUAGUGUUUUGUUGGGAUAAUUUUGGCCAUCUUCAUUUUGUAUAUUCUUUCAAUUCUUACAGACUACUAGGUGCUAAUGUGUUUUUAAAGUUCCAUCUGAUAAAUAGCAUAUUCAUUAAACGCUAUUCACUUCUUUUCUGCAUAUAUUUUCUCUAUUGUACAGUUCUGGUUGUUUUACCAGGUAUUUUGUCAUUUGUUGUUGCUUCUUUUGCCUUGUUCUUUGUUAUUGGUCAGCAAUGGCAUCUAUCAGUAGCCACUGUAGCUAUUUGUUCCUGGCCAUAUGUUUGCAGAUAGCAAGCCUGUUGUUGUGGUCACCCAUGGGGAUAGACUCUCAACCUUUGAACGUGCUCGUGUUCGCGUUCAGUUAGGAGAGGUACUCGGCAUUCCUCCUACUUCACAGAUUUUUGACAUCCCAGGUGAUAUUUCAGAAAAUUUGUGAUAUUGUUGGGCAUCAGAGAAAGUUUUAUCUAAAUUGGAAGUUGGAACAAACCAAAUUACUUUUUCAGGUGUUAAUGAUUAUGACACCGAGUUAACCAUAUUGGACAUGCUGCGUUAUUGUGCCGAACAUGCUGACAGGAAUCUUCCUUCAAAACAAAAUUUUCUAAAAGAGGUUAGUUUUCUCUCUUCCUCAAUGUAUGUUGUAACUUAUACUCUUUAGUGUAUCUCAGUUGUUAGUUUUAUAUGAAAUUAGCACCUUUAUUUUAUUUAUAAAUUCUCUUUUAGAUGGCUAACUACCUACUUGAUUAUCUUAGGAAUUGUGAUCUUGCAACAUUGUUAUCUUUGCUAGAGUUCUAUUUAUUGUUUUAUUGUCAUGGCAGUGGCAUGAAUGAUGAUAUAUUGCGAAGUCGUGCCUUCAUGGAUAUAGUUUACUCCAUAUAUAUAUAUAUAUAUAUAUAUAUAUAUAUAUAUAUAUAUAUAUAUAUAUAUAUAUAUUUCGUAAUAGCUGAUUUUGCUCAAAUUAACGGUGUCUUAUACUCUUAUAUGACCUUUUCAUAUUAGUUAGUGAAUUGAGAAAUUGCAUUUUGCAAGAAUGAAGAGGAUUGGUGUAGAAUGCAAAGAGCUUUAAGGUCCUAGGUCAUUCAACUGUAGGGUUAUGCCCCUAAAUCAUAGGCUAAUCUAUCUCUUCUUUUGCAUAAGGGGAUUUCUCUUUUCGAGGCUCAAUAGUGAACUUAGGCCUGCUGUAUUUUACAUCCCUCAAUAUUGCUAUUGGCAUUUUCCAAUGAAAUAGAGAUUCUUAAUAUGAACAGUAGGAUUAAAUUUGUAAAUAUACCUAUUUAAGGAAUUGAGGAUGUCUUCAAUUGAAUGGCGUCUUUGAAGGAACUAAAAUCGAUUGCGGAAAUUCUUCUCACUUUGUUGUCCUUUCUUGCAUGAAACUAGGGUGCUGACAGAUUAUACAGUUAGGAAAUAAUUGCAGCAAUUGGGGUUUAUUGUCACCAUUUAGAGCUUGUUUGGCUUACCUAUUUUAGACUAUGGAAUCGGAAUGAGAUUUAUUACUUUUGAUAGUUAUUGUUUGUUUUACAGGAAUCUGAUUUUGAUUCCUCCCUUCCACUCUAGAAUAGAAAUGGUCCAAUUCAUUUAUAUCCAGCUUUGAAUCUCGGAUUGGCCCAUUCCAAAGUAAACCACUCCAAGCCCUCUCUCACAGACACAUCUCCCUUCAUCACUUUCCUCUCUCUUAACCAAAAACCUAUCUCAAAAUCCUAGAUAUCCAUUCCAAUUUCCAUUCCAAUAAUGAACCAUUUUUUGCAUGAUUCGUCAUUCCAUUUUUCAUUCCAAUGCAAUCCAAUUCGUUUUCUCAUUCCAAUUCCAAUCAUGAACCAAACAUGCCCUUAAGAGUGUUGUAUAACUGACAAACUUGGAAAGUUAAAGGUAAUGUAUGGUGUUCUUUAGUAGUUGAAUGCAAGAUAAAUCUGUGAUUAUAGGAUGGCCAUUCGACCUUAUUAAUCAUGUUUCUAGUCAACUAUCAUUUUAGUUUUGUGCAAUGUCAUGCCCGAGUCAUAGCGGAAGCUUUUACUGGGUACUCGACCAGGUCCGCCAUAGACACCAAGGCCGCAACCCCUGUCUGUAUAGUGUCAAUAUAGAGCACCUGCCAAGAGAGAACAUAACAUCCUAGAUAAUACUAUAAUUUUUUUUCCAAUUCUAGCAUCAAAUGACAAGUCGGAAACAUCUAUUACAUAAACAAAACCUUAUACUAUCCUAUUAUAAAAACUUGUCAUUCACAUAUGUUUUGUCAUGCACAAUUCCCAAAAUGUUGCUAUUACAUCAGUAACUCCAAAAUGUGUAGAAUCUAUAGCCCGAACUGGGUAAUAUCUACAUGUGACCUUUGAACAAGUUUCCUGGUGGGGACAACAGGCCGCAAGGGACGAACUAUACCCACCGGUUCACUCAAAAACAUAAAUAGAUAGAUAUUGAAAGUAGAUAGGAAAGUAUGAGUGAAAACUGUAAGGAUUCAACUGCACUAUGAUACUACAGUAACCAUAAGUAAAGAAAACUCAUCUAAUGGUAUAAUGACAAUAAUAAAAUAUGCUCAUGCAUCAAUGCCUCUAAGUACUCCAACUGCUCAACGGUAUCUAAUCUAACCACUGGUCGGUCAUGGGAAGCCGAUCAAAGCUUGCCAACAAUGCAUUGUUGGAAACUCCAGCAACGAUUACUUCGUUACGUACAAGGCCGGGCUUGGCACCAUGGCUCAUUACCACGUAAGCAUGCAAUUGCUAUGGUCGCCGCAUAACAAUUACCUACUUCGGAGAGGACUCUAAAGGUGCUACCCAAAGCAUCUGUCUUAGUAUUACUGUGCUGCAAGCUAUAGUCAUAUGCAAAUGUGCAAGGAUCGGUAGCAGACCUAUCAAGUAUACACAAUCUCAACGGCUCCUACAAGGCCAAGAUUAUAACGAUGGUGGUACGACAGAUUAAGAUAAUAACCUAUCAUUUAGAAAGAAAUUACUCCAUCAGCAAUGCAAGAAUACAAUUGAACAAUCACUAACAAACAAUUUUGUUAUAAUUUACAACUUACCUGCUAGGUACAAAUUCCGACCCAUCUGAACAUCCCAAAGUUUGUCGAUAAUUUUUAGAUAAGAUUGACUCCGCAAUGGAUUGGUUUUCUUGAUAUUGUCUUUAGCCAUCCUCAAAUUACAAUAGAUGUCCCAUUUGAGGUAUUUUUUUUCUUAUCCACUAAUCGAAGGGCCACGUAUAGCAGCUCUACUAUAUCAACUAUCUCUUUUACAUAAUCCCAAAAUUUGGUGAAAAGAAUUAUUUGCUCAAUCGAAUUUUGCAUCAGCCGUGGAGGCAUAACGGGAUGUUCGCCAUUCAUUUGAUGCAAACAAGGACUUUAAACCCUUUUUUUGUUUGAAGGAUACUGGGACGUAUGAGCUCUCAUCCAAUGAAUUUCUCCAUUAAAACUAGACCAAGAGAUGAUUAUACAAUACUUUGAUACGUGUAGUAUCUACAAUUUUUUUUACCCGAUUUAUCUCACCAAAGUCAGACAUCAUUAGUUUGAUGCAAUGCGCAGCACAAGUAGUCCAAAAAAAGUGCGGAUGCCUUUGCAUCAGUAGUUUGCGAGCUUUCUUGAAGUUUGCACCAUUGUCCGAUACUAUCUGUACCAUAUAUUUCUCACCAACCUCACCUAGAACUUGCUCUAAUAAUGCAUAUAUGUAAUCGGCAUCUUCAAAUCGACCGGUUGCAUGACUGACUUGUGGAAGACCACCUUACCAUUGCAAUAAAUUAAAAAGAAUUAUGAUGCUUAUUUUUGUCUGUCCAGUCCAACUAUCACACAUCAAGGUAACCUCAUACAUCUCCCACUAUUGUUUGAAGUUUUUUACCUAUGCAUGGAUAUCAUUAACCUCCGCAUCAAGGUAUUUGCCAGCGAUCUCAUAUGGCAUUGGGGGUUUAGCUCCUGGACCCUCCUUUUGUAUGACAGUAAUCAUUGAUCUAUAAUAUUGAUUACUUGCUGCAUGGGAAGGAAUAUGACUGAAGUGAAAAAACUUCGCUAUUGUUCGACCAAUUAUGCCUUUUAAUCUUUUUUUAGCAUUGUAUUUAUGCAUUGUUGUUGAGCAUCUGGGCCAGGAAAUGCCAUUGGGUCCAUAUCUAUAAUAUUUGGAGCUUUUCCACUUUUCCUUUUGGCCCUUUUUUAAUCUGUCGAACAUGUGGCAAAUAGAACCACUUCGAGCUAAACCUGAUAGUGCAAAGCUAGAGCCAGAGCCAUACCCACUACCAGCAUUAAACUGAGAGGGCCCAAAUAGUGCUUUAUGUCGUUGGUCUUUAUCUUGCUGUCAUCUUUCUUGUAGAGAUGCUUCCAUGGCAGCUCUAGUAUCAGCAUCAAUUCAUCACCUGUACUUUCGUAUAGGGUCAACAGGGGGAUACUCAGUCGCUCGUUUAUCUAGUUUAUCUCGGUCGUCUGUCUCUUUCUUUUUGCUAUCUUUGUAGAUUCUAACUCAAUUUUCAUUGCGUCUUAUUUCCCAAGGAACUUUAGGGCAUUUCGCUACUUAAGAAAAAAUCUCAGCGAUAUGUUUCUUUAGGCGGGUGACACCUCUGCCCAUUCCAACUAUAUUACAAUAAUUAUACUUCCGAUGAAAUCUAUUCUCACCAACCAUUUGUCUGUGCUACCAACCAAAAUCUUUUGUUCUCUUAGGUGACAUCAUGAUCUACACAAUUUUUUUACAUAAAGACAACUAUCAUAAAAUUCAUUCAAAAAAAUAGGAAAAAGAACAUCAUGAUGAGAAAAUCAUAUCUAUCAACUUUGAAAAUUUUUUAGUUUUAUCAUUUUUUUAGAACUUAAAAAAUUAUAAAAUAUAAAAUUAUAGAAAUUUAUAUUUUUUUCCUCAAAACUUUGCAAGAUCCACAUACUUAUUAAACAUUUGAAGAAAAUUAUUUUGGUAUUAAUAUUUUUAAGGAGAAUUGUUAGAUAUAUCCAUAAGAAUUUAGAAAUAAAUAAUAUGACAAAUAAAUUAUAUAAAUUUAAGUAUCAAUUGAUUUAAUUCAGCUUUUAAUUUUAUUAGUAUUUUUAAUCUUCUAAGUUCAAAAAUAGAAUCUUUUGUUAGAUGUGCCUCGAAAAAAAAAAACUCGGCACGAUACGUGCCGCGAUACCCUAGCGGGUAUUGCACUGUCUCGCGCGAUACCCGCGGGGUAUCGCGGCAUGGGUCUAGCGUGGUACUUGCUGGGUAUUGUGGCACCGGGGGGUCCUGCGAGAUCCCCCUUGUACCAUGCCUCUGCCUUGGGGGCACGGUAGGUGCCGCCCCUUGCCGUACGGUACAGGGCGGCACUUAAAACCCUGGUGGAGAAGACAUAUAUUAUAGAAGUUUUGACUUAUUAGUAGCAAAUUAAUUAUUGUGGGCCCUGGUGGAGUGAAUAGAGAGGAGAAGAGAACUAGAUUUUGUCUUCUCUUUGGGAUACACGUGUAAAAUUUUAUACUUAAUUAGGCUCUAUGUGGUAUUUAGUUAGCAGAGGUGUGCACUAAUUCGAAGUGUAAUAAUUAGUGUGUGCACAAGUGAGGAGUGAGAACCGCACAAGUAGAGAGGUAGUAGAGAGAGAGGAGAAAGCGAGAAAGAUUUAAAAAAGAGAGCUUGGGGUUUAAGCUACUCUGGUGUUAGAAGAGAAGGUUGGUGUAACAUUUCUCUUAACAAAUCCUUAUAAAUAUUUUUUGCAUUUUUUUCUAAUUUUUCCUACCUCUACUAUUUCAAUACUUCUGCCGCAAAAUUUCCUAACAAAUCCAAACUCAAAGAGCUACUAGCAUCAAAUUGAUUCUAAGAAAACAUAACGCUAACUCAAAUAAGGCCUAAACUCCAUCCCGAUUCAAAUACUCAUAGUUAUAACUGGUAAGCACAUAAAAUAAAAUAACUAACAAACUUAAUUGGACCUAAAACGGAGUCCUUAUUGACCAACUAAACUACAACAGACUCAAACGACAAAAAAUAUAGUUUAAAAUAAUUGCCACUAAAAUUUAAGUUGAUAAUAAAUAAUACGGCCAUUCGAUAAUUGCCACUAUUAAAUUGCCAUUAAAUGUCUACUUUAUUGUAGUGAGAGGACCGAGGCCUCAGAUGGCCUUAAAUGGAAUAGGGCUAUUCUUAUUUUGGUUUCCUAUGUUUUGUGGGAUUGUAAAGCCUUAACUUGAAGCAAGAGCUCAAAAGAUAUGAAUCAUGGAUACUUCAAAUUUCAUUCUGUACCUGUAUUGGACACGUAUCAGAUACUGAUAUACAUCCGAUACGCGCCCAAUACGUGUCUGAUAUAGGAAUGAAGUAUCCGACAUUUUUAAAAAUAAAAAAAUAUUGGAUACGGCUCGGAUAUGGGAGGUAUAUUGCAGGAUACUGACGGGAUACGACCAGGUUCUAUUUUGGUCUAAAAUGAUAACUUAAAAUUUUUCGAAAAGCCCACAUCCAAACUUAUUGGAAAUAAGGAAAAGAGAGAAAAAUGCCAAUCUCUAUUCAAUUGGUCAUUUCUUCUAUUUUUUUGCUCGUGAAUGGUUGAAGGCGCUGCCUCUCGUACUAUCUCCACACAGUAUUAAGCCAUGGUUCAGAACUUUACCGCUUCUCUUUUACUCUUUCAUCUAAUUUGUCAACCUUGCACUAAGUAACAAAGGCUAUAGAGAAAGUUUUUUCUUCUUCUAUUACAUUGCACCAUAUUUUCUUUUACUACUGUUUUAAUAAUAGAUCCUAAUAAAACAGACAUAUAUGUUGAAUGGCUGUGUCUAGUUUGUGUGACUAAAUAUUUAUUGUUAUCAUUUGAUCAAGUUGGAUGAUAAUUGGUUGAUACGUUUUGAACUAUUAUUUCAUACGUUUGAUUAUCUUUUUUAUGAACAAAUGUAGAACAUACAAUCAACAUAUAUUUUAAUAUAUAUAAAAUAAUAAUUUUAUUCAAGUAUAUCCCCCGUAUCCUGUCCUAGAAGCUUUAGGAAGUGCCGUAUCACCGUAUCCAUAUUGUGUCGUAUCCGUAUCCUCGUAUCCGUAUCUGUGCAACAUAGUUCAAAAUGUUAUACACUUGCAAUGAAUUAAAUGAUCGAAAAAGGUUGAAAGGCUCCGACAAUUCUGGAGUUCAAGAUUGACCGGUUACCAGAAUUAAUGUGAUGACCAAAAAAGUGCUAACUGUUCAUGACCAAAGAACUGUUGCUGAUCUCUAUAACAAAGUCGCAUUAGAAAUGCAAUAAUGCAAUGGGACGCACUAGACUAGUCAAUAUUGAUGAAAAAAUACCAAAGCUUGUUUGAGAUGAGACUAAAGGGGCUUGAAAGGCUUGAGCUGUACUUUAGGAGACUCAAGAGCUAGCUAGACUAACCUACAAGUACCGCCGCAAUUAUCACAUCUAUUACAUUUAACUGUUGUAGCAAAGACGGACCAAUAGCAGGUGGACCAAUAGCUGUUAUAACAAUUGCACCUUAUCCCAUCAAAAUUGGGGCACGAGAGUUAGUUGCGCACUUUUUUAUUUUUUAAAUUUUAUACUAUUGGUAUUACUCUAGAUAUAAAUUUGUUAGUUGCUUGCCACCCACUAUAGGUUGCGUAGUCAAACUUAAAAGCUAAUCCGUACAACCAUCAUUUAUUCUUACUGUGUUGGAUAUUGUCCGCAAGAUCAUCAAGAUCAACAGGACGAUAUUUGUGGUAGCUCAAAGUUCAAAAGGUAUUUAAGCUUCUUCCAAACUAUAAAAUGAAAGUGAAGACGAAUGAAGGGAGAAGAUAGGAAGCUUAGAAAGUCAAGCCUAAGAGAGAGAGGAGAUGGAAAGAGAGGAUCUCGACCAAUAUAGGCCAAAGACGGGAAUGGGGGAGGAGGUAAUGAGGUAAAGCCUAAUCUCCAAGAGUUUUUGCAUUUGAAACAAUUUACAGUAGCCCUAAUAAGCUUAUUUAACAUAAAUAGUGCUAUAUUGUCCCUAAACAACCAUUACUAAACAAAUCUCUUACUAGAAGAGAUUUUGUCUUAUCCUUAAACAAGAGGAAUAUUUUAAUAGCCAUAUAUUAUCAUUAUUCAACUAUAAAUUGAAAUGUAAGUAAAUCUAUCAGGGAUUCUCAGCACACUCGAGGGAAGCAAAUAAUUCUCUUAUUCGAACAGAUUCUAUCUUAUCCUUAACAACAGGUAAAUUGCAGCACUGGUCCUUGAGCCUUUUAGCCAGGUUUAAUUUUGGUCCUUUGAACUUUUAAAGUUUGAUAUUCGAGAUCCCAAAGUCUUAAAAGUGUUUCACUUUAGUCCUUAUACUUAUGUCCUAUUAAAAAUUAAUUACUAUCAACACAUCUCUAUAUUCACAAAGCACGUGUCUAUAUAUUUUCGAUCUCCCAUCUCAUAUUUCAAUCUUCCCACCCAUUCAGUUGCAACCAUCUUUAUUUUUGCAAAUCAAACUAUUGAGUUAGAAUUAUAAGAUGGAUUCAUAAGAUAUCGGCAUGCAAAUGAACUAGGUGUAGGCUGUGAUUUUUUCCCCUUAAGGGAAGGGCUUAAGUGUAACAAUUUAAUUUUAAAAGUUAAGGUAUCAAAUGUUGAACUUAGAAGUUCGAGGAUCAAAGUUUAACUUGACUAGAACUUUGUUAUUCCUGAAAAAACCAUUAUUCAAACUUAAGAAACACAUCCCACCAAAGAGAGGAGUUACACCUUCCUUAAUAGAAAUUAAAAUAAAUAUUAGAUAAAUUUAUUUUAUUUUAUCUCCCAUUCAUAUGAAUUAAAAUAACUACUAGAUGAAAUUUAUUUUAUUGCAUCUUCCGUUCUUGGACUAAAUCAGUGUUGUGUUACUUGAUCUUUAGACCUAAGUGGUGAUGAAGUCCAAAGCCUCCAUCUUGAACUAUUGAUAUCAAUUGAAUAUCUAUGUUGCUCUUAUAGGAGGAAGAUUGUCAAUUCUUUAGAACUUGAUCAUAUAGUAAAUUUUCACCGGAAUGUCGGGGGAAGGGUUUGCGAACUUGGGAUGGAUCUUCAUGAGGUCUAGGGAUGUCAAUGGGUAUGGAUAUCCGAAAUAUUAUCCAUACCCGAACCCGAACGGGGCGGGUUUACCCGAGUUAAACGGAUAUGGAUUUGGAUAUGGGUAUAACAAAUAAAAAUCCGACGGAUAUGAGUACGGGUAUGGAUUUUGUAUAUACCCGAACCCGAACCCGAAUAUUAUAUAUAUAUAUAUAUAUAUAUAUAUAGAGCUAGGCUCCUAUACUUUCGAAAGUACGGAGGCCUCCGUGCUUGUAAAUUGUUUUCGAUGAUGGGACAUCCGAUUCGGCGAUCGGUUUCGUUAGACAUGAUCUACGUUAUUAGAACUACCUAGAAACCAAAUUUCAUAAACUUUUGACUUCGUUUGUCUAGUAAACGAGUGGCCUCAAAAUGAACGGCUGAAAAUAAAAAUCUCAUAAAAAAUAGUGAUAAAUGACUCAAAUUUCAAAUCGGAAGUAUUGGUCUUGUUAUUGAUGUUAAGUAGAAUUUUCUAUUAAAUUUUCAUCUAAUUUGGAUAUUUCUACACCGUUGAACUUAAAAACGUGCCACAUCGGCCGUUAAAAUAGUCAUUUUUGAGACCUUUUGAUCGCUUGGUAAAUGAUGUAAAAAAAUUAUAAAAUUUGGUUUCUAAAUAGUUCCAAUAGGAUAGAUUAUAUUUAACGGCGCCGAUCGUCGAAUCGGAUUUCCUAUCAUCGAAAAUAACUUACAAGCACGGAGGUCUCCGUGCUUUCGAAAGUAUAGGAGACUUACUCUAUAUAUAUAUAUAUAUAUAUAAUAUUUAUUUAUACAUUAGAUCCUAAUCCAAUGGCAUAUCUUUGAUUUCCUAUUUUCCCUUACUUUCAAUGUGGUCCUCGGGAGUCGGGAUGAGGCGAUGAGCGGCCAGACUCCAGAGUAAACCACUAAACCCUAAUAGGUUCCUUACUUCGCCGGUUCGCCCCAUUCGCCAUUUCGCCCUAACUCGGCAAAGGCCAUCCGCCAUUUCGCCGCCCCUUCGAUCUGCCGUCCGCAGUCUCCCCCGCCCCGCCGCCCGUCCUAAUCCGACAACGCCCGCGGCCCUUCCCCAGAUGCCUAGCCCACGGCCCGUCCUCAGUCUCGAUCCGAUCGAAGUCGAACUAUUCUACGAUUUCUCGUACUCGGUACUCUGAAUCUCACGACUCCCUUCCCUCUCCUCUUCCUCCUCGAUCUCUUUUUCCUCUUCCUUCCUUUCUAGUUUUCUUUUAUUUUUAUUUAUUUAUUUUUUUUGCUUCUUCUUUCUCGAUUAUGAUGAUUGUUUAUCUUUUCCUAAAUCUUUGUUUGGAUGUGCGUAUGUCUGGGUUCGGGUUUUCGGGUUCGGGUUCGGUUUUCGGGUAUUUGGUCGGGGUCGGAUAUGGGUAUGGAUUUUUUAAAUCCGUCGGGUUCGGGUUCGGGUUCGGGUAUGAACUUGGUAUUCGGGUUCGGGUUCGGGUUUUUAAAAACCCGACCCAAACCCGACCCGUUGACAUCCCUAAUGAGGUCUCACAUGUAUGGAACAAGUGACUCGCCAAACCCUAAUCAAUAAAACCACCAGAACUGAUUCAAGGUUUGAAGGCUAUUUUAUAAGGUACAUAACAACGGUAAUAGUAUUCUAGCACUCCGAACAACAUCACUAAGAAUUGGAUAUGCCCUAUAAUGAGUCCGAAGGUCCGUCUUAGGAGUGCCCUUGUAACGAUCUAGCCCACUAGUUCUAGCAACUUGUUAGGCCCAAACUACUGACCUAGAAUGUUUAAGCCCAAAUUAUUAAUACUAAUCUGUUAGACACCUCAAUUCAUAAAUUGGUAGGACUCGUAAGUCACUUCUGCCCCCGUGUUCUAUAGCCCAACCAUAGUGAUGUUAAUUGUGGUUACAUCCAUUUGUAGCUUGGUCCAUUUUUGUUCCUUUUCAAAAUAAGGUUUUCUCACUCUCCCAUAUUAUCCAAUAUGGGACUAUUGAAGUGUAACAAAUUCUUCCCAUUUAGGCUCCGAUGUUCUUGUUAGGCCAAAUCACACACACAAUUCAAGAUCACCGAGUGAUGUGAGACCUACCUACACUUUUGGUUGCCAAUCUUGCUUUGAUACCAAAUUGUAACGACUCAAACCUACUAGUACUAGUAAACUGUUAGGCCUAAACCAUCAGUCCAAAAUUCUUUAGUCCAAAUUAUCAAUUUUAAUGUGCUAUAAGGCUCUCAUACUCUUCAUGUUAUUUGAUGUGGGAUUACUGGGGUGUCACAAUUGUUGGCCUGGAUCUUGAGCUGGUGGUAACCAGAUUUUAAAUGCCCUCGGAGCCCUAAAGUUGGUCAAACAGGUCAACAACAUGGAUAACAGACUUUCGUUAGUCAUCAUGGCCUUGUUCAAAUCUUGAUGAUUGAGGCAAAGUCUUAAGCACCCAUCCUUUUCUGGAAAGAACAUCGCAGAACCUUAAUCAAAUUGUCUUGUAGGUGAUCCUUCAACUCCAAUUCCAUCGUGAUGCAGUACGGGACAUUGCCCAUGAGCCUUGCACCGGUUAGUAGAUCAGUAGGGAAGUUGAUCAGCCUCCGAAGGUUAGAAGGUUCAAAAUCUGGAGAUUCUUUGGUACUAAGAUUGUCCGUAAUAACUUCAGCUUAUAAAUAGUGCUGAGAAUAAAGACUGAAAUGCCAAACAAUUAGAAGAUUUGUGUCCCAUCAGCAAAGUUAAUUCUUAACGGAGGACAACUUUUGCUACCCAAAAAGGUGAAUUGGUAUGUUGAAAUUGUGAAAUACGACCAUUGCUGAUGCAAUCUAUAGUUCGCAUGGUACACAAUAAACCAAUCUAGUGAUUCUAGAUAUAAUGUGGAUAUCCAGGCACAUAAAAAAAUGAUAAGAUCUGUGAGUAAGCACUCCCCAUAUAUUUUCAUGGGACAUGACUUACAUAUCUGAUUAACUAUAUCACAGCCUAUAGCUUCAACCAAGUCAUAUUAAGGGUUAUAACACCUUACCUAAGGCUGUAGAUUAUCAUACAAUUAACAGCUAAUUGACAUUAAAAAAUGAUAACUGGACUAGCAGUCUGAAUGUUGGUUGACUGUCAACUGGUUGGUGCUCGAUGAUUUAGUUAUCCCAUUAGGUUGACUCUGUCUUCCUGCUGAACAGUCAACCUAGAGCAGUGAUGCAGGUUCCUUUUAAUGAUCAGUGCACAACAAUCUGAGCUCUAGACUUUUAAUGCGUCAUUAAAAGAUCUGGUAUUUUUCCUCUAUUGGGCAUAAAGCACGUUCAAGCGGUUUCCUUUUACCGGUGAAUACUAUAAGUGUAGCCAGACGUUUGGAAGCAACAACUCUGUUCUCUGUAGAACUUCUCUGUGCAGUUAUUGAUAUACGAAUUGGCCUUUUCUUUUUGUUCAAGAAUCACGAAAUUUGCUAAUUCUUCUAUCGCUAUUCUCUAUAUCAUAUUUUACUUUCAUCGAUUCUUAUAUUAGCUGCUGACCCAAGUGCACUAGACCUAAUGUUAACUUCACUUAUAAUUGCCAAUUUAAGGUCCUAAUUGAUGUACUGAAAUAGUUUGACUUUUUACUUGCGCAACUAUCUCACUGUAAUCGUCAAUUUGCAUCAGAAUGAUCUACAAUGUAGAUAUUUCCAUGUAAAGGCUGAAUACAGGUAACUAAUUUUAAGUUUUUAUUUAUUUAUUUAUUUAUUUAAUAAACCAUUUGUGGGAUCGGAAAGCACUUGAAACUCCAAGAACUUUGGCAUGAUACAGUAUUUGUAAUGUAGAGUUGAUUACAUGUGUUAGUUUCGAUCUUCAAACAAAUGAAUGAACAUGCUUGGUUAAAAGAGUCCUCUCUUGAAAUGUAAUUAUCAUUUUCUAGUCACAGUUAAUGGAAAUCGGAAAGUUUCUCAUGUUUAGUACUAGUGGUGUGCUUUUCUUGAAUAUGUGAUUUUGUAUGACCACAUUCUAGUAACUGUUGAGAUGAUUUUACAAGGCAAUGCUUUGCAUUCUCUCCUGCAUCACUAGAUGCCGUUAGGUGAUUGCCUUUAGUAUUUGAGUGAUUCUUUGUCCUUUCAUGCAAAUUUUCUAUUCGCAACAGACUCUAAUGCAUUUCUUUUUUCUUUUUUCUUUUUUAUCAGUACUGGGGAUCGGAGAUCUCUAUAAAGACUAUAUACAGAUAUCUGGGCCUUGAUGGAGUCCUUGAUGUUGGCAUUUGUAUUUGUGUUAUGAUCGUUUUACUGCGCUGCUUAGAUAUGAUUGUGAACUGGUGAGUGCAUCCCAUCUACUAUAAGGAUUGAGAUAGGUUCCGGCAAUGAAUACAUUCUGAUGUGCGCAAGACUUUCUAGACUGAAGUAAUUUGUUUGGAAUUCUGGCUUAGAACUUUCAUCGUUGUAAAUAAUCUUAAAUCAUGUUAGUUUUUUUCUUUCUUAUUUAUUUUUGGGGUUCAAUCUUUUGUCUUUCAUGUAAAUAAAGAACAGGCAUCGAGUGCCCCAUAAAGAACCUCCUGUGCACUGUUGAUGUGUUAAUCUCCUAGAUGGUGUCGUCAAUUAUCAAUCAAAGUCCUCCGUAUUGUGUAUCCUAGUACAUCAUAAAAGCAGCAGUUUGAAGGACUAGCAAUGUAUAUAAAUAAACAUAUGCUUUGUCCGUUAUAACUAAUGAUAACUAGUUUAGUUAGCCGUGUAAUGCCACGGGCAGAUAUUAUGAUAAAAAAAAGUGGCACAAUCAAAUAUUGCAUAUAUUGCCUAAAUAGAGAAGCUGUACUAAAUCAACUCACAUGCUACAGGCAAAAGUGGGAAGAAGCAAUAAAAAAAAAAAUUAGAGUACUUGAAAGUGGAAUGCCCCUAAACUAUCAAGUAUUAAAAUAAUGUGCUCACAUAAGAUUUAAAAGUAAUCGUGGGUUCAUACUUACACUACAAUUCAACUUGUACAAAGUUACUAUAACUAAAAUGAACUUGAAUGAAAUUAUAAAACAAAGGUUCAGAUCCUGAUAUAUUCUUAAGGGGCUGAUGACUGUAACGGUUGCCUAUGUGGUCAUCCAAGCUGGCCUACGUUAUAAACUUUAAAUAUUUAUAAUGAACAAUUAUUGGUUAUUGAUCAUGAUCGCCUAUUAAAUUAAUACAAAUAUUAGCAACUUAUUUUUUUACUUAAAUAAAAUGCCCUUUUUGAGAAUUUAUAUAGAAAACAAAGAUUUAAAACGAUUAAUGUGAAUGAAAUUGUAAAACAAAGGCUCGAAUCCUCAUAUAUUCUUGUAUCAUGAGGCUCAUUUUUCCUCAGCCAAAUCAAUACCUUAAAGGGAUGAUAGCCGCAGUGGUUGCGUUGCCUAUGUGGCCAACCAAACUGUCCUGCCAUAUAAACCUUUAAUAUUGAUAAGAAACAAUUAUGGGUUAUUGAUCAUUAUCGCCUAUUAAACAAUCGUACAAACAAAAUAGCAAAAGGAUCGGAUUAUUAGAUGCAGUGAAAAUGGAUGUUAGAGGUGUUAUAAUAUAGUUGAAUGGAAAGUCGUGAGAGUAUAGGAAGUGGCGCUGCAAAACGCUUCGCCCAUGGUGGAUUAAUGCAGAAUCGAAAACAACGACGAAGGAAGCGAAAAAUGCUUUGGAAGAAGGGGUAAUGAGGGGAAGGAUCCAUCAUGCCUUCCAUUUCAUUUGGAAAAUGCUUUCAAUUCCAGUAGUGAAAAUAACGACGAAGGAAGAGAAAACGAUGAUGGAAAAAAUAGCAGAGGAAGAGAAAGAUUGAAACAUGAUGAGCAGUUGUGCCGAAAAGUGCACACUCCACUUGGCAGUAAUUUUGUGUGAUGUUGCCUUAGUAACAAAGUUUCAGAUCGUGACAUGCUGCCUUGCCAUCUACACCUUCAAUAUUGAUAAGGAACAAUGAAGCAAAGAAAGAGGAAAACAUGUAGAGGACUUCCACCUGUUCGAGUUGGAGCCCACACACAACAAUGAAGGCAAUGUUGCCAAGUAGCAAAUUUAUUGGAAAUAAUGUGUAGGCUCAGAUUGUGAUAUAUUCUUGCAUCCUGAUGCUCUUUUUUUUCCCUCUCAUCCAAAUCAAUCGCCUAAAGGAUUUACAUUUAGGGCAUGUUUCGUUCAUGAUUGGAAUAGGAAUGGGAAAUGGAAUUUGAUUGCAUUGGAAUGGAAAAUAGAAUGACGAAUCAUUCAAAAAUGUUUGGUUCAUUAUUGGAAUGGAAAUCGGAAUGAAAAUUUAAAAUUUUUGAGAGAGGGUUUUGAUUAAGAGAGAGGAAAGUGAUGAAGGGAGAGGAGGUAGGUAUUGAUAAAAUAGGAUUUUGAAUAGUAUACUUUGGAAUGAGCCAAUCCGAGAUUCAAAGCAGGAUUGGAUCAUAAAUGGAUUUGGCCAUUCCCAUUCCGGAGUGGAAUGGGAAUCGGAAUCCGAUUCCUGUAAAACGGUAACUACCGGAAUCAAUGAAUUCCAUUCCGAUUCCAUAGUCUAAAAUAGGUGAACCAAACAUGCCCUUACAUUCUUUUGCUUGGGCAUAGGGUGACCUACACUUAGUGACCCAGCUAACUAGGGCGCAACGCUCACGCCUCGGCCCGGUGCUGCUCCGCAAAUGGUGGCUCUGCAACAAUAGGGGGUGAGAACUAAAAGGAGUUUCCAGUGGGUUCAGCCGCCGACCUCGCCGACUUUCCCACUAGGUCCAAUAAGGCGUAGUAAUACAAAAGGAGAUAGCAAUACGAUAUAUAAGCAGCUAAAUGUGUAGUCUACCACUACUAAACAUACAACAUGCAAUAAUAACUAUUACUAUGCCUUACAAUAAGGAAUGAAUGUCAUGGUCCAUUAUGAUCAAUAGUGUCCCUCACACACACUUGGCCCGAUUCAUUCUUGACUCAAUCGAGGCUUCUCACAAGACCAAGCCCAACUCACAAGAAUAUCAUGAUCGACCCAUACAUAGCAUAUGAUCUCACUAUGCUCACUCUCUACAUAAGAUGCAACAAUGCAAAUAGUAUAGGAUACAAUAUGGUCAAUCAACCUAUCUCUUUUUUUUUUUGACCCAAUCAUAACGGUUCACGCGAAGUCAAGCCAAACUCACCAAUCCAAAUCCCUUAGUCGGGGAGAAUUCUGCUACAACCCGCUGGGACCGUCUGCUACGGAGAGUUCCGCUACCGCCCAAAUGUGACAACUCCGAAGUUCACUGCUUGAGGUGGAGCGACCACCCUCAAGCUAAUCAGACUAUAUGUGAGUAUGAUCCAAUCCUCUAACCUUGAGGAUAUCAUGCCAACGAAUGCCAUAACACUCGGAUGUACUAAUCCCUAACGUGGUUCAGAGGAUCUAUUUCAAUCCCUUGCAUGCUCAAUAACAUCGUAACACUAGAUGCAACGCUACAAAUGCACCGACCCAAUCUUUUCCACAUAUACUCGAGAGUUUACUCAACUCGUGUAGCGUGCAUCGAUAGGCUAUACAAACACCACACUAUGUGGACACAAGAAACUAUGCAAUGCUUCAUAAUUAUAUGGUAACUCAACAUCAUGCCACGAUGUAAUGACCCAAUUUCUUAUUCAUACUUGAGGCUUUCUCAAUUCAUGCCAUAUCCCUCUCAAACACAACACAUUAUGCCCAAUCCAUAGUUCCAUCAUAAGGUUCACAAUCAAUAUUACAAUGACAACUAAUGUAUCAUUUAUUUCAAUGUCCACAAUAUUUUCUAUGUCCAAUCCGCUAGUUUUCCUCUACUAGUUCAACAUGUCACUAGGGUUCAUAUGUCACUAAGUUCCAAGUUAUCACCACAAUUAUUCAUAUAUACAUCGUAGGAGGCAUGCAAGUUUCUAUAACAAGAAAAUACUUGAACCCUAUCACAUAUAAUCAAUAUACAUAUAUAUAUGCUCAACAAAGAGAAUUAGACAUAGGGAGAAAUCCAACCAUUCUGGAGAGCACCACCCACCUUGUAUUGAUGUCAAGAAGCGAGAAACCAAGUCCCGCAAUUUACCGUUGCCGUUUUGGCUCGACCCAAGGCUAACGAAGGAAAAUCGGUCGUUUUCCUCAAUAGGACGCCAUAGCCUCGUAGGAACUUCAAUUGAGUUGCCCCAUACGUCAAUUUAUCCUUCAAUUAGAGAUUUAUAAGGUCAAUUUAACUCAAAACCCUAAAACCACAAAAUCCCCAAUUCUCAUCCUAGGGUUUUCGUAUUAUCAAGAACACCCUAAAUACAUGUUAAAUCCUAGACCAAUCUAGUUUAGAAUUAUACAAAGAUCUCAAAUACCUCAAUUGUAGGGAUUUAACCCAAACCCUAACUCAAAUCCCAUGAGCUUACCUCAAAUCCGAGCUCCACUAGCUCAACCUAGCACCAAGAGACUUGCUUCACCUCCAAAAUCCAUCUCCAAGCUUGAUUUCCACAAGCUCCCAUGGCUAGAAGAAGAUGUCGAAGAAGAGGGAUGAAAGCUCCUUUCUCUUUCUCUUUCCCUCAUGUGUGCGUGUGUGGGUGGGGCUAACAGGGGAAAGGGGUAAAGGGUCCCCUUGUAUAAGCCCUACUAUGAAUUUACCAAAAUACCCUUCAAAAAUCGCAUUCUACAAUACUGCGUACCAGUACUCGGGUUGGCGUACCGGUACUCGGGCAUCCAGUACCAGUACCCAGUUUCCAGUACCUCAAUACCCGAAUGUUGGAUUUCCAAUUUUCUACUGCGUACUGAUACUCAAUUUUCAGUACUGGUACCCAAUACAAAUCCAGUACCGGUAUUCAAGUUUGAUUCUGGUAUUCAAGUUUGAUUCCUCAAAAUUCAAGAGCUCGAAUUUCUCAUUUUGUAUUAUGUACCGGUACUCAGAUUCCAGUACCGGUACUUAAUACAAAAUCUGCAACUUAGGCAGGUUUCAGCUUUUGGAGCCCGUUUUCGCGCCCGGUUUGCACCGAAAAUACUCGAAUGCUCUCCAAACUUCGUCAAAACUUAUUUAAUAGCUUUUUAAGCUAGUUAUCACCAAAACUUCAUAAUUGUAGAAAUUUGGUAUAUUACAUUCUCCACCCUUUAUAAAGAGUUUCAUCUGCAAAACUCAAAUUACAUCUCAAUUCGACUUGUCGUAUAAAUGAGAGUACCAACACAUUCUCCCACUCCUGAGCGGCUUCACGUUUUUUGUGAUUGCUCAAGUGGCUCAUAAAAAGGGACGUGGGUCCAAGCACAAACUUGCUCGUGGUACGUGAUACAUGAAACACUUUAUGAAUUCCCGUAAGUCUUGGUGGUAGCGCGAGUCGAUAUUCAACGACUCUACACGCUCCAACACCACUCAUAGCCCGGCAUACGAAGCACUUAUCUUGCCUUGUAUGCCGAUUCAUUUACCCCUAUCUCGGGUGGCAUUUCUCAGGAAUGGCAAUCACUUACUGCACACAUUCCUAUCUAACCAACGAUUGCCCACAUACUUUGCUUAUCGGGCCCGUGUUGUCACCAACCGUCAUCAAUAGACGACAAAUCUCAUUAGUGCCACUGGAUACUAUUUUCUUCGAGAUCGGGACUACCUUCUUUCGAUUUUGGUGCUAUGAAUUUCCUUGCCAAAUGGUGCUUGUGGAUUAAGGCUUGCAUUCAUCCUCGUGGUGUGGAUUGGACAUGUCAUGCCCCGGGACCCAGCUGAAGCCCGCUCGGUGCGUGUCCAGACCAGUCAUAUGCCUACAACAUAUAAGGCGUCUACAACAAAGCAAUAAUUAAAGCAAUAAUAAUAGGCAUCUAGAGAUAUCAGAGCAUGAUUACAACUAAAUUCUAAUGACAAGUAGAAUAUAAAAGAGCUAAACAACUAUCAUAAUCCACAAGUAGAAACAUCAUAAGAUCUCAAAUACAAGUGCUAGAAAUACAAAAUGGUGGUCUCUACACAUAGGUACAAAAAAAACUCUCACUCUCUACCAUAAAUACAAAAAUAGAGAGAUGACCACCUAGCGUAAAAACUUCUCGCUAUCUAGCUAGAUGCGAUUCCCUUUCCGCGAUCCCGAGCCUCUCCUGGUGCGUAUGGCUUUGUAAUAAAAACAACAAAUAGAGGGCGUGAGAACUAUUAAUCAAUAGUUCCCAGUGGGUAAGCCGUCGACCUCAGCGAAAUACACUACUAGGCUAUGGAGGCAUAAGUAGUAAGUUCUAACAUUUAAAUAGAAUGAACAACAUGUAUAUUGAGCAUGAAUAAAACUUGCUAAACUACUAUGCCUCUACUUAGCAUGAAUUUCCACAAGUGUAAAUGCUAUUCUAACAUGAAUAUGCGUAUGUAUAAAUAACAUGAUAUCCACAAGUACAACUAGUAAAAUAUUAUUAUUUACUAAAUUGUCCAAUGACCACUUUGCAUUUUAGUUCAAGUUUAUUCCAAUCAUGUAGGACCUACACAAGGUAGUCCGGCUUGCGCCGUGCCUAAUGGCCCCGUGGUAGUCAACAUUCCCACCCUAGGAAUAAGCCUCCCCCACGGCAUCCCAUUUCGGCGCCCAAUGCCGCACGGGCGAGCUUAUAUCGCGAUGGCUAUCUCCGGAGUGCCGGCUUGUGGGGAGCGACCCUCACAAGCAUGUGCGAAUGAGCACAAUGGCAAGCAAGCGUAAUCAUUCGUCUCAAGUCUAAUGUCAUCAUGUCUAAAACAUGGUAUAAAAGCUAGUGACCCAAUGGCCUAUCACUAUGUCAUCAUAUAGGAGUUUAGCCAUUUACUAGGUUGAAUGCCUCUUUAUGGCAUUUUUGUCUACUAUGUCAAACAUGAGUUCUAUGUCCAAGAGCAUGUUAUUCUUGUCAUUUUCAUUAUAUGAAACAUGAUUCCAAGCCACAUAAAAGAAUGCUGUUCACAUGCAUGAUUAUAAAACACAUAUCUCUCUACUACAUAGAGGUGAUUUUUUUUAUGAAACAAAAUACAUGUAUUUUAAGCAUUCUAAAAUUCACAUAUGCUCUAUCUAGCAUGAAUAUGCAUGGAUUUUUAUUUUAUAACAAGAAAAAUAACAUAGGGGGAGUUCACCCAUUUCGGUGAGGUCAAAUCCACCAAGAACUUCUUGCAACCCUUUCAUUUGCGUGAACGAAUGUGCCCACAAGUCUCCUAACUUCCUAAAGAAAAUUUUAAGAGGGUUAAACGAAAUGAAUGAACACUACACGAGUUCAUCUUUAACCAACCCAAGAAAAGGGCAAAGCUCACCUAUAUGUUAGAAAAACCCUCUCAAAUCCCAAAUGAAAGCUAGAGCCCUUCUAAACCAACCUAGAGGAAGGUUCUAAACCAAUCAAAUGAGCUCCAAAAGCUACAAAUAAAAAAUUCCCAAUUAAACCCUAGAUUUCUCAUUUCUAGGGUUACUACACAAAAAUUCUACCAAAACAUGAUCCAAAUGAGAGAUCAUAGCUAUUAACCUCUCUUGAUGUUCCAAACCUAGCUAGGAAGGUGCUAGAGUUGAAGUUCUUCCCUCCAACAAGCUCCACACAAAGCUCCAAUGCUUCUCCAAUAGUGGAAACCCAACAUGAAGCAAAGAGGAGAGGAAAAGAGAGAUCAAAACAAACUAAAACCAUGAGAAAUGGGAGAAAACCAAGGGAGAAGGCCCUCACCUGAGUUCUCCAUGGAUUAGGGCUCAAAAGGGCCAUCCAAGGGGCUGUGGGGGGUUAAAUAGAGAUGUAACAAUCUCAAAAAGGCUCUCCAACAACGUGCAGUCUGCACUGCACUGCGUACCGGUGACACGGGAAAGAGUACCGGUACCAGGCAACAGCACGCGCAAACCCAAGCCUCGGGUUGGCGAGAAAAUACACUGGGUACCGGUACCAUCGCGAUGCAGUACCGGUACGGGAUCAAUGCAGUACCGAUACUCUGCCCUGCAUAGGCAAACCCGAGAGCAAUCCAAACUCUGCAAUUUGGAGACUUUAGUGCUAAGUUUUAAUCCUCACUUCUCAGGAUGCGAGUCAUAGGUCGGAACACUGUCAACGACUCUCCAGAAUAUCUGAAAAACUCAAAACACAGAUCAAAACUCGAACAUCGCAAUUUGCAAAAGUCCAGUGUGUUACAUUCACCCUAGGAGUUUCGUCCGCAAAACUAAAAAGCAAGUUACCUCAAGACUCUAUCUGAAAAAAAUGGGGAUAGCGCUCCUGCAGUGCGCUUUCCAACUCCCACGUGGCCUCGUGUUAAUCGUGGUUGCUCCAAAGAACCUUCACAUAAGAUAUAUCACGAUUCCGAAGCUUUUUCAUCUCGCGAGCCAAAAUCCUCACCGGUUGCUCUUCAAAGCUUAGUCAUCCUUCAGCUCUAAUGGUAUAGCUGUAAGGUACCGGACUUCUAAAAUCAUGAGGUUACGGUGUCCAUUUGGUUGGAGAGCCAUUUGAAUGGUUCCGGUAAGGUUGCGGUGUAAUGUAAUAUACCGAAUUUAAAUAUAAAAAAUAGAAAUAAAUAAAAAUAGUAUGAGAUACUAUUUUUAUUGAAUUUAGAGAGGUGAAAUAUAAGUUGGGAAUGANUUAGUAGAUGAAUCGUAGAUCCUUUCGAUGAUUAAGCAAAGAUCUCGAAUUUUGGGUUCGUUAUCUCUUUACGGUAAUUUCGAGAAUUUCGAAUGGAAGUUUCGUACGAGGUUACCUCUCCUUUUUCUACUUCAACUACUUCUAGUUGAAGGUUCGAAUGAAGAGGUGGUUUAGGUAGGUAAAACCCUCUCUAAAUCUCUCUCUUUUACCUUCCGAAGAGAAAGAGGGAGAAAGGUACGCACACACACACACACCGCACAAGCACACACCACACGCCGGCUUCCUCUUCUUCUUCGUGGUCGAAGAAGUAUUAUGGGGAGUUUGUGAUAAGUAGGUCCGUUGAAUUUUAGACUAUUGAAAGCGGCCUCGAGGGACUUAUAGGCAAACUCGAGUUUGAACUGUCAGUACAAGCCAAAAUGAAUUGAAUUGUUCGACUGCUAGUGACCAAGUCAAAGCUGGGACAAACCAGUGACUUUUGACAUAGCUUGACGUUAGAAAUAGUCUAUCGAAAGCCUAAAAUAAAGAGUGAGAUGCCCACAGUCUUUUUAUACUUUGGAAUUUAGCUCGGAGUAUUUUUAUAAAGACUGUAGAGACGGUUAAAAGUAUUAAAAGACUCUGACACGUAAAAGACGAUUAAAUAGACGGGGCAAAGGUUGUCUUUUAAGAUUUAGAAGACAAAAUUAAGGCUAAAGUCGUGUCCAGUAAGGGUUGAAUAUAAAGUGAAAAGAUUUAAGUUAUUUUUAUCAUAGAGUAUGAUAAAAAUAAAUAAAGAUAAAAAUAUAAACUUAGGCCAUAUAAUGUAAUGUGGCGUUGGAAUGGCCUUGGUAAGUUUAUAUGCUUAGAUCCUAAGUUCUAAUGGUGGGUUUUUACCUAUUGCAACAUAGAGCUCCAAAAUGAGGGCUUUAAUGGUAGAUCUCUAAAGAUAGGUCUAAAUGCUUUGGAAAUGGUUUUAGUGGAACCCAUUGAUGCCUAAUAGAUGGUUAAUGUUUGAAUCAUAGAGCAAUUUAAUGAUUUCUUGCAUAGUUGUAAACCUAGGGCUCAAAAUGCUAACUUUCAAAAUAUGAGGGUUUGAUCUCAUUUGACCCUUCGUAAACCUAAUUGCUAGGUAAUGAAACGCGUUGGCGAAGACGGUUCAGCGAUUCGUCGAGCCGGUGCAAAGUUAUUAAAGAAACGGACGUUCAGGCUUCGUUUCCGCCUGGAGGGCCGAGGCGACGUCGUAAAAUCCUGAAAACGGAUUUGAAGCAUCGUACCAAGAAACCGAAGACCUUUAAUUUUCGGAUUGCGGAUCGGAGGUCGUUUGGUGGUCGCGCGCGGAUUGGGUCAAGCCGAGCGGCGUGCGCCGCGGGAGGCCGAUUGCAAGUGACGACAAGCAAUCGGAACGCGAUAAAAGGUGGGGGAGUGCCAUCCCGAAGCAAUCGGGCUUCUUCCUAUGUCUUAGUGCUUAUCCAUUAACAUGUAGCAUAUUGUAUAUCGAUACCUUGCAUUAUAGGAUGACAAUACAUGCAUUCCUAAUCCUUAUAUGAUGUUUAUGAUCAAUAUAGUAUUAUGAUAUGGAUAUAUGAUGUAAUGGACAUAAGGAUUAUGAGAUGACAUUGGUAAACCUAUGAUGCUAAAUGAGAGAAGAACCUAGUGUUGUGUUUAAAGACAUAGUUUACAAGUGGCAUUGAACUUAUUGUGCUAAAAACACAUAUGACUUGAGCUAGUAAUGGAUUGGUUGUUGUACUAGAAACUCUAGUUAACAUUGAUCAAGUUGCAUAUUGGGAUAUUGCAUUAUAGGGUACUAGUUGGCAAUUGUUACAUGUCAUGGCAUGCUAGUGGGAGUGUAGUGUUACUUGAUUAAUACUUGUACCUAGUAUGCAUGAGAUUGGGACUUAGUGCGGUGAAACCCUAUAAGGGCAUGAUUAAUGUGGAUUAAACUUUGUUGAGUGCAUUAAUCGAUUAAGUUGCAUAUUGUAUUUAUUGCAUUUAGAUGCUAAAUGAUUGUGGUCAUUGCUCAUAUUUGCAUGCUAGUAGCUAUACAUCUUGAUGAUUGAUCCAUGAUCUAGUAUGCAUGAUGAUUAUAUGAUGAAAACUUUAUGAUAAAGACCUAGACCCUAUGUGAGGUGAUUAAUGCUUAUGUUGCUAAAGAACUAGUAUGAUGUAACUAGUGUUGAAAUGAGUCUAAAUGUCGAGUGGCAUCUAGUUUAGAAAACUAUGAUGAGUGGCAUAUGAUUGUUGAUAACCUUGACAUGAGAACCUUAGUGUAGUUGAAACACUAUGAGAUUGGGUACAAGAACACCUUGAUUCCAUGAUGAGAUUACCCUUAGAGGGUAGGUUGCUGUUGCUCGUGAGAUGAUCACGCUCACAUUGCCUGUCUGCGCUUGGUGGGGUCGCUCCCCUCAAGUUGUGCGCUCCGGAGUUUGGUCACUAGAGAGGCAGCCCUGCUUGCUGCUCGGAUAGCCGCUUGUUAUCCGCAGGCGUACUCGGGGAUAGUCCAGCUAGGCAUCCCUCGGAGAUUGAUAUGUGAGCCUUGCUUGUGAACCUUGUGUUCACCACGAGAUUUGGUUACCUAUUGAGUCAUACUCAUUAUUGUUGUUCAUGAUAGCUUGCUUCCAUAGUUGUUGUUGUUGUUCAUAGUAGCUUACUAGUGUUCAUAGUAGCUUACUUAUUGCUCAUGCCUUCAUGAUAUACUAUUCCUUCACCUAUGAGAUUUGAGUACCUAUUGAGUCAUAUUCAUUAUUGUUGUUCAUGAUAACUUGCUUCCAUAGUUGUUGUUGUUGUUCACCUAUGAGAUUUGAGUGGAGUAGCCCUGUACCUAGUAGGUCGAGAUGUGAGUCGGGCAAAGUGCGGGGUAGCCUUUNGAAGGUGCUAGAGUUGAAGUUCUUCCCUCCAACAAGCUCCACACAAAGCUCCAAUGCUUCUCCAAUAGUGGAAACCCAACAUGAAGCAAAGAGGAGAGGAAAAGAGAGAUCAAAACAAACUAAAACCAUGAGAAAUGGGAGAAAACCAAGGGAGAAGGCCCUCACCUGAGUUCUCCAUGGAUUAGGGCUCAAAAGGGCCAUCCAAGGGGCUGUGGGGGGUUAAAUAGAGAUGUAACAAUCUCAAAAAGGCUCUCCAACAACGUGCAGUCUGCACUGCACUGCGUACCGGUGACACGGGAAAGAGUACCGGUACCAGGCAACAGCACGCGCAAACCCAAGCCUCGGGUUGGCGAGAAAAUACACUGGGUACCGGUACCAUCGCGAUGCAGUACCGGUACGGGAUCAAUGCAGUACCGAUACUCUGCCCUGCAUAGGCAAACCCGAGAGCAAUCCAAACUCUGCAAUUUGGAGACUUUAGUGCUAAGUUUUAAUCCUCACUUCUCAGGAUGCGAGUCAUAGGUCGGAACACUGUCAACGACUCUCCAGAAUAUCUGAAAAACUCAAAACACAGAUCAAAACUCGAACAUCGCAAUUUGCAAAAGUCCAGUGUGUUACAUUCACCCUAGGAGUUUCGUCCGCAAAACUAAAAAGCAAGUUACCUCAAGACUCUAUCUGAAAAAAAUGGGGAUAGCGCUCCUGCAGUGCGCUUUCCAACUCCCACGUGGCCUCGUGUUAAUCGUGGUUGCUCCAAAGAACCUUCACAUAAGAUAUAUCACGAUUCCGAAGCUUUUUCAUCUCGCGAGCCAAAAUCCUCACCGGUUGCUCUUCAAAGCUUAGUCAUCCUUCAGCUCUAAUGGUAUAGCUGUAAGGUACCGGACUUCUAAAAUCAUGAGGUUACGGUGUCCAUUUGGUUGGAGAGCCAUUUGAAUGGUUCCGGUAAGGUUGCGGUGUAAUGUAAUAUACCGAAUUUAAAUAUAAAAAAUAGAAAUAAAUAAAAAUAGUAUGAGAUACUAUUUUUAUUGAAUUUAGAGAGGUGAAAUAUAAGUUGGGAAUGACCUGUGCUGAAAUCGGAAUUAAAAUAGAAGAUUUAGAAUUUUCUGUUGGAAACGGGACAGAUAAAUUAGCAGAAAAUGCACAGUCUCAGAAAAUUAUGAAAAUUUGCAGAGAUGUCAGAAAUAUUUUUAUGAGGCUAAAUUUAAGGUUUCAUAUUUUUCUGACACCCGUAGAGUGAGAAAUAAAAUCCGAAAGCUAACNUAAGGUCUAAUGAAUCGGGGGCUCAACUUACCCCUGAUGCCAAAUCUUUUAAUCCCUUUGGUUGGCAAGACUUUCAAGAAGACAUGAUCUCAAAUCUGGAACUCCAAGUCUCGUCGAUGCCUAUCGGCAUAGCUCCUCUAUUUACUCUGAGCCGUCAACAAGCAAUGCAAACUUUAUCCUCUGCUUCCUGGAGCACAUCAGGGCCUAAAGCCAAUCUCUCGCCAACUUCACUCCAAUGAAGUGGCGAUCUACAUUUCCGUCCAUAGAGUGCUUCGAAGGGUGCCAUCUUGAUGCUUGCUUGAUAACUAUUGUUAUAAGCAAACUCCGCCAUCGGUAACUGCUGUGACCAUCCUCCCUUGAUGUUUAUAACACACGCUCAAAACAUAUCCUCUAGAGUCUGUAUAGUGCGCUCAGAUUGCCCAUCACUCUGAGGGUAGAAAGCUGUACUAAAAUCCAAACGCGUGCCCAAGGCAUCCUGUAGACUCCUCCAAAAGUGAGAUACAAAUCGAGGGUCUCGAUCAGAGACUAUCGAAGUAGGUACCCCGUGAAGUCGCACAAUCUCAUCCAAGUAUACCUGUGUGAGCUUCUCGCCUGUCCAAGUAGUAUGAAUAGGUAUAAAAUGCGCCAAUUUCGUCAACCUAUCCACGAUCACCUAAAUAGCAUGAUGUCCGGCCUGAGAGCGAGGCAAUCCCAUAACAAAAUCUAUGGUGAUCUUUUCCCACUUCCAAACGGGAAUCAGUAAACUCUGAAGUUUUUCCGUCGGUAGUCGGUGCUCAGUUUUCACUUGUUGGCAAGUUAAACAUCGAGCUACAAACUCGCCCACAUCUUUUUUCAUUCCGGGCCACUAAUAAAGUAACUUCAAGUCCUUGUACAUCUUGGUGCCUCCCGGAUGCAGAGCAUAGGGUCGGUGAGCUUCUUGGAGAAUAUCCUCUUUAAUUGUCGAUUCCGCCGGUACGCAAAUCCGCUCGCAGAAACGCAACAACCCUCGAUCAUCUACAAGAAAAUCACCGGUGUAACUAUCAACCAUUUUAGCUCGAAUCUUUUGCAACUCCACAUCGUGAACUUACUUUCCUUAAUCCUUUCUAAUAACGUAGGUUGCACCACCAAUGCCAUCAGUCUCAAAGGUGUAUCAGGAGCCACCACCUCCAACUCUAACCGCUUCAUCUGCUCAAUCAACGGCGGUUGAGUGACUACAAGUAUCACUAAGUUUUUCGUCGAUUUUCUACUUAGUGCAUCCGCCACAACGUUAGCCUUGUCCGGGUGGUAGAGAAUCGUCAGAUCAUAAUCUUUGAGCUCUACCCAUUUGCGCUGUCUCAAGUUCAACUCCUUCUGAGUGAAUAAAUAUUUUAAGCUCUUGUGAUCCAUAUACACUUCACACCGCUCGCCAUAAAGAUAGUGACGCCAUAGCUUUAAUGCAAAGAUUACGGCCGUCAACUCCAAAUCAUGUGUAUGAUAGUUCCUUUCAUAUUCCUUCAAUUGGCGAGAGGCAUACGCGAUCACCUUUUCAUCCUGUAUCAAAACGCAGCCCAAUCCAUUAAAAGAUGCAUCACUAUAAAUCACAUAUCCUGCUCCAGUAACUGGCAAGGUCAAGAUCGGGGCGGUCGUCAACCGAUUCUUCAACUCUUGAAAGCUUUUCUCGCACGCAUCAUUCCAAACGAACUUAGUGCCUUUGUGCGUGAGCCUCGUGAGGGGAGUAGAUAACUUAGCAAAUCCCUCAACGAAUCUCCCGUAGUAGCUGGCCAAACCAAGGAAACUCUGAAUCUUCGUGACACUUGUCGGUCUAGGCCAAUCCUUGAUUGCCUUAAUCUUUUUAGGAUCCACGGCUAUAUCCGAACCCGAAAUCAAGUGUCCCAAAAAUGCCACCUUUCUAAGCCAAAAUUCACACUUUUUCAACUUGGCAAAGAGUUUCUUUUCCCGAAGCAUUUGAAGUACAAGUCUUAAAUGCUCCUUGUGAUCUUUAUCACUUCGGGAAUAAACCAAAAUGUCGUCGAUGAACACCACGACGAACCUGUCUAAAUAAGGCUUGAAAACACAGUUCAUUAAUUCUAUAAAAGCUGCCGGGGCAUUAGUAAGCCCAAAUGGCAUAACAGUAAACUCGUAAUGUCCAUACCGUGUUGUAAAAGCCGUCUUUGAUACAUCCUCAGGCUUGAUCUUAAGGUGGUGGUAUCCUGACUGCAAGUUUAUCUUAGAAUACACACUUGAUCCUUGAAGCUGAUCAAACAAGUCAUCAAUCCUCGGCAACGGAUACUUGUUCUUAAUUGUGACUUUAUUAAGUUCACGAUAAUCCACCCACAAGCGAAGUGAUCCGUCCUUUUUCUUGACAAAUAAAAUCGGUGCUCCCCAAGGCGAAACACUUAGCCGAAUGAAACCUUUGUCUAAUAAAUCCUGCAGUUGUGCCCUCAGCUCUUUCAAUUCAGCCGGUGCCAUCCUAUAGGGUGCCUUUGAGAUUGGGAUAGUCCCAGGGACGAGAUUUACCACAAACUCAAUCUCCCUAUCAGGUGGCAUACCUGGUAGCUCUGCUGGAAACACAACACAAAACUCCCGUACCACUAGAAUAUCCUCAAUCCUAGGGGUAUCAUCAUCACCCCUCAGCACCACAUUAGCCAAAUAGGCUAUACAAUCCCUGCUGAUCAACUGUCUAGCUCAAGACGAGCUGAUCGUCAUCGCAAACAACAAACUCCGACAUCCCUUGAACACCACUUCCUUCUGCCCCGGUUCUCUAAAGGUGACCGUUCGAUUCUUGUAAUAAAUAGUAACGAAGUACUUUGUCAACCAAUUGAUGCCCAAAACCACAUCAAACUCUCCAAGUUUAGGUAAUGCUAGUAGAUCCAUGGGCAUGAUCCAAGCUCCUACCUAAACAGGGCAACUGGAGCAAAACUCCCCCAAUGUCCAAAGAGUGGUCGGGAACAACAGCACGUCUCGGAUGCAACAAGAAAACUAGUGGAAUGCCAUGCAACUCGGCAAACAGCUGAUCUAGGAAUGAAUGCGAUGCACCGGUAUCAAAUAAAGCUCGAACUCUAAUGCCAUUUAAUAAAAUGAUACCUGCCACCACAUCCUCGGCUGCUGUCGCCUCCUCAGUCUGGGCCGCAUACAUGCACCCGCUAGGGGCCUGUCGUGACCCCUCAGUCUGACACUGGACGGGUGGCCGCCCAGGUUGGUAGUGUGCCGAUGGAGUCCCCUGACUAGUAGUUGGUAAUGCCGGUGCUGAUGCAGAUGACGGUGCCGGCAAUGAACCCCUCAGGCACUCAGUCCGGAAGUGGCCCUCCUGGCCACAAAGGAAGUACCUGCUUCCCCGCUGUGGGCACUGCGGUGGAAUGUGGGGACCACCGCAGAUCACGCACUGGGGAGGUCUGCGACGAUCAGAUCCUCCGCACUGCGUAGAUGAGCCACAUUCUCUCGACUGGCUCCUAGGGGGACUUGGCGGCCUCUUAGAGUGCGCCUGACUCGCACCCUCUGCCGUGGGCCUUUUGCCCUUACCCUUGUCCAAGCCCUCUCUCCGCUCUUGCAUGCCCGCCUCGCCCAUCUCCACAAUGAGAGCGCAGUUCACCACUUCUCGGUAAGUCUACAGAUUUGACGAUUGCAUAAACCGGAAGAUCGACGGUCGAAAUCCACUCUAAAAAAUGCGGGCCAUGUCCUCAUCAUCCCGCACGACAAAAGGCACGCAAUGUAGAAGCCGAGAGAACUCCCUCUCGUACUCGUCUAUCGUCCGGUCGCCCUGGCGCAAGCCGCGCAAGUCCUCCAUUUGCCUCUUGACACUGUUGAGGAAGUAGUACUCCAACAAAAGCUCUUUGAACUUCUUCCAAGAAAUAGCUGAUAGAUCAAUGUUGGGGUUGUCUCGGAUGUCCAACCACCAACAAUAGGCCUCGCCGUCCAAGUGAUGUGUGGCGAGCCAAACACUGUCCCUCUUCUCCACGAAGGUAUCAUAGAAAAGCUUUUCCAUGUGCAUCAACCACUUCUCCACGAUCCAGUGGUCGGCCUUCUCUCCAUCAAAGAUCUGGGGAUUGCACCAUCUGAACUCAUUGAGGCGAUCCAUAAGUUGGUCUCGCUCCGCUCCCUCAACCAUCACGGGAAAAACUGCCCCCGCCGGAGGCACCUGCAUAGGUGGUGCCGCGACCACCUCCUUCUAAGGCGCGACCAUGGGCGCCGCACGCGAAGAGCCGGGUGCGAGAGACGGUGCCCUCGAUGCAACAUCCUCCGCUGGCGCGGGUGGCGUGGGAACCUGUGCCUCCCUAGCAGCCGCUUGCUGAAGUAGCAAAUCCUCCAAUCGCUUCAUCCGCGUCUCCUGUCGGUGCGCCACAUCGGCCUGCCGUUGAGCCGUCGCCGCCUGCUGAGCCACUAAAUCAGUGAGGACCGCAAGCUGGGUCCUCAAGUCACGGACUUCGCUAGAUCCGGAAGUAGCGGAGGUCUCCACCUCCUCAAGGUUUGCCGCAUUCUCUGCCCCAACAGAUUUAGAGCGAGUAGUUAGCAUGAUCACUACAACAACAUAAAAGUGCAAGUUAGUAAAGCCCACGCUAUCGUAACCCAACUCAAAGGAAAUAAUACCCCAAAUCAUGCAAAAGUAAGGGAGUGUCCUUCACCUUUAACUCCCGAUGUUAUGUUGUCGGCCGCAAACGUAACCCGCCGCGAAGUUAGAAGUUGUACACUUCGAUUCAACUCCAACAUUUUAGAGUUUAUAUAAUACCCAAUCGUGAUACUUUCGCUUACAAGUCAAAUAGACCCCGUCUCUCACGAGCCUAUUUCCUAUAGUCCAACCGGCCUAAGGUUUGCUAAGUCCACUAAGACUCAACCCUAGGCUCUGAUAUCAAAAUAAUCUGUCACGCCCCGGGACCCAGUGGAAGCCCGCCCGGUGCGUGUCCAGACCCGCCAUAUGCCUACAACAUAUAAGGCGUCUACAACAAAGCGAUAAUUAAAGCAAUAAUAAUAGGCAUCUAGAGAUAUCAGAGAUGAUUACAACUAAAUUCUAAUGACAAGUAGAAUAUAAAAGAGCUAAACAACUAUCAUAAUCCACAAGUAGAAAUAUCAUAAGAUCUCAAAUACAAGUGCUAGAAAUACAAAAUGGUGGUCUCUACACAUAGGUACAAAAAAAACUCUCACUCUAUACCAUAAAUACAAAAAUAGAGAGAUGACCACCUAGCGUAAAAACUCCUCGCUAUCUAGCUAUAUGCGAUCCCCUUUCCGCGAUCCCGAGCCUUUUCCGGUGCGGAUGGCUCUGUAAUAAAAACAGCAAAUAGAGAUCGUGAGAACUAUUAAUCAAUAGUUCCCAGUGGGUAAGCCGCCGACCUCAGCGAAAUACACCACUAGGCUAUGGAGGAUAAGUAGUAAGUUCUAACAUUUAAAUGGAAUGAACAACAUGUAUAUUGAGCAUGAAUAAAACUUGCUAAACUACUAUGCCUCUACUUAGCAUGAAUUUCCACAAAUAUAAAUGCCAUUCUAACAUGAAUAUGCGUAUGUAUAAAUAACAUGAUAUCCACAAGUACAACUAGUAAAAUGUCAUUAUUUACUAAAUUGUCCAAUGACCACUUUGCAUUUUAGUUCAAGUUUAUUCCAAUCAUGUAGGACCUAUAUAAGGUAGUCCGGCUUGCGACGUGCCUAAUGGCCCGUGGUAGUCAACAUUCCCACCCUAGGAAUGAGCCUCUCCCACGGCAUCCCAUUUCGGCGCCCAAUCCCGCACGGGCGAGCUUAUGUCGCGAUGGCUAUUUCCGGAGUACCGGCUUGUAGGGAGUGACCCCCACAAGCAUGUGCGAAUGAACACAAUGGCAAGCAAGCGUAAUCAUCCGUCUCAAGUCCAAUCUCAUCAUGUCUAAAACAUGGUAUAAAAGCUAGUGACCCAAUGACCUUUCACUAUGUCAUCAUGUAGGAGUUUAACCAUUUACUAGGUUGAAUGCCUCUUUAUGGCAUUUUUGUCCACUAUGUCAAACAUGAGUUCUAUGUCCAAGAGCAUGUUAUUCUUAUCAUUUUCAUUACAUGAAACAUGAUUCAAAGCCACAUAAAAGAAUGCUAUUCACAUGCAUGAUUAUAAAACACAUAUCUCUCUGCUAAAUAGAGGUGAUAUUUUUUAUGAAACAUAACACAUGUAUUUUAAGCAUUCUAAAAUUCACAUAUGCUCUAUCUAGCAUGAAUAUGUAUGAAUUUUUAUUUUAUAACAAGAAAAAUAACAUAGGGGGAGUUCACCCAUUUCGGUGAGGUCAAACCCACCAAGAACUCCUUACAACCCUUUCGUUUGCGCGAAGGAAGGUGUCCACAAGUCUCCUAGCUCCCUAAAGAAAAUUCUAAGAGGGUUAAACGAAAUGAAUGAACACUACACGAGUUCAUUUUUAACCAACCCAAGAAAAGGGCAAAGCUUACCUAAAUGUUGGAAAAACCCUCUCAAAUCCCAAAUGGAAGCUAGAGCACUUCUAAACCAAUCUAGAGGAAGGUUCUAAACCAAUCAAAUGAGCUCCAAAAGCUACAAAUCAAAAAUCCCCAAUUAAAUCCUAGAUUUCUCAUUUAUAGGGUUUCUACACAAAAACUCUACCAAAAUAUGAUCCAAAAGAGAGAUCAUAGCUAUUAACCUCUCUUGAUGUUCCAAACCUAGCUAGGAAGGUGCUAGAGUUGAAGUUUUUCCCUCCAACAAGCUCCACACAAAGCUCCAAUGCUUCUCCAAUGGUGGAAACCCAACAUGAAGCAAAGAGGAGAGGAAAAGAGAGAUCAAAACAAGCUAAAACCAUGAGAAAUAGGAGAAAACCAAGGGAGAAGGCCCUCACAUGAGUUUUCCAUGGAUUAGGGCUCAAAAGGGCCAUCCAAGGGGCUGUGGGGGGUUAAAUAGAGAUGUAACAAUCUCAAAAAGGCCCUCCAACAACGUGCAGUCUGCACUGCACUGCGUACCGGUGACAUGGGAAAGAGUACCGGUACCAGGCAACAGCACGUGCAAACCCAAGCCUCGGGUUGGCGAGAAAAUACACUGGGUACCGAUACCAUCGCGAUGCAGUACCGGUACCAGCUCCAGUACCGGUACGGAAUCAAUGCAGUACCAAUACUCUGCCCUGCAGAGGCAAACCCGAGAGCAAUCCAAAUUCUGCAAUUUGGAGACUUUAGUGCUAAGUUUUAACCCUCACUUCUUGGAUGUGAGUCAUAGGUCGGAACACUGUCAACGACCCUCCAGAAUAUCUGAAAAAACUCAAAAUACAGAUCAAACACUCGAACCUCGCAAUUUGGAAAAGUCCAGUGCGUUACAGGACAAGAAUGUACCAACUAGUCAAAUAAUCCACCACCACCCCCAUGCAUCGCAUACGGGUAGACCUCCUCGAUUCACACAAGAGUCCAUAGAGUAGCACUAUACUAUCCUGGCCAUUCAAGAGUCUACGUCACCAUGUACGACUCUUCUUUACACUUACCCUUUCACUAUGGAACUCACUCUGAUUCGAUCACCGACAUUGCUUAGAAGCAAUAUCACGAAUGCAUCGCUCGAUCAUGAGUGCUCCAAUCACACGUGGACUUUUAGCUCUGUAGCGAGAUGGCACACUUCGGGACACCCUCAAAUUCCAGUUCACUUGAGAGCAUAGUCCUCAAUCCUCACGUGGCUUUCCACUAGCUCGUUGUCUCAUAAAGAGCACUUCACUUUACUUUCAUCUGCCACGGUCACUAUCAUGUUGUUCUCGCGAUGAGUUCACACGAACAAUUCGUUCGUGAAUCCAAUUAGGCGAGUGGUAUGACCGAGCCUCCGCUCCUAUAGUCACUAUUCUCAGUUCUCCUAUACACAAUCAAUACUCGCACAUUAUCAGAGCCAUCGGCUAAAUCGCUUACCUUGGUUUAUCAUAGAUGGUCCACAGACCAGAAUUCCGACGUAGGCCUACUACCUAAACCUGUCUCGAUAAUGUGCAACAUCUCUCACUCGCAAGCGUAAACCCAAUCAUCACUGGGCAAAGUCCUCACUUGGGGCUUCGCACACACGCUCCAACUAGGAGCAACCAAGUCCCCAAACCGCUACAAGUCCUCGAGUUGGGUCAUAACUACACCCUCAGUGUACUAUCGGUCACACAAUUUUACACGUGGCGUUCCACGUUCCCGGGUCUCAGCUUGAACUACCGCCCCGACAUGAUCCGUCGGUGGAGGAAGUAAUAUUGCAGUGCCUCCCCGAUGGAUAUAUGAAAUCAGAUUAAAGAGAAGAAAAGAACACAAUAUUUUUAUGUGGAAGAGUCUGUAUAUUAAUUCUCUCUAAACUGGAGUGACUUUACAAGAACCAAUAGUGCCUCUAUUUAUAGCCUUCAGGCUUACAAGAAGAUAAAAACAAAGUAUUUUGAAAAUAACAACUUUAUCUUUAUUUUAACCGAAGUAGUUGGAACCACCUGGAUCCUUAUCCUAACCGAAAUAUUUGGAACCACCUCGAUCCUUAACCUAAUUGAAGAGUUGGAACGACCUCCGCCUUAUCCGUAACGGUUGAAACUUAUCCGAAUGGUUUGAUCGUCCCGGAUCAUGGCUUUCCAAUUUUUGAGAGAAACUAGCACCUGCUGGAUCUAGAACUGCAAGUGAGGAAACUGAGUUUUCCCAGUUCCCCUUGUGAACCACUUAGCGGCACUUGGCUUUUGACCUUUCUGUCCAAUACGGAAGGAUUUACGUUCACCUUUGCGUGUCGUCGUGACCUUGCGUUCUAGGAUAGUAUUCGCGUUUUAUCACGAGAUCUUCCACGGAUGGUAGUACUUCUCCGAGCUCAUCGUCUAGCAUUGAUGGCUCAAAGGACUUUAGGUUUUCGACAGUGACAACCGAAUACAUUUUCAUGUAUGCGAGCAACUCCAAUUGAUAAGCAUUCUCACCAAUUCUGCUUAGGAUCUUGAAAGGUCCAUAACGAAUAGGUUUAAGUUUCUUACCCUCGCCUUUCAAGCUGUCACGCCCCGAGGCCGCUAAUUUGGUCGGUUCGGGCUCGCCGACAAACGCCGAACGGACAACACCUCCCCUGUCCGCCCAAGGCUCUAAUCAACAAGUAUAAUACAAACAGUUAUACUAGGUUUGCACGAGGGCAAACAACAACCAACUCACAUGUGAAAGCAUCGAAACUAACUAAGCAUUUAUCCACAUAUAUGUCAUUUGAUUACAUUUGAAUCAAACACAAGCAACCAUCAUUUACAUUCAUUCUUUUCCAUUCAUUUACAUCACAUUGUCCUUUAACCCAAUAUACAUGAUUUACAUCUUUUUACAUUACUAGUUCAAUAUACAAAAGUUGAAUGUACAUAUAGGGUAUGCCUAUAAACUUCGAGGCCGCUAUCUAUGGCGCUAGCCCCUUGCCUCGAUCCUCCGCCGCCCCGCUCGCGCAUGGAUCUGCAGGGUUAGUGGUGGUGUGAGAACUAAACGAAGUUCCCAAUGGGUUUGGCCGCCGACCGCACCGACUCGCCCACUAGGUCUAUUCAGGCAUAUGUAUUUCAAGAAAGUAGAUAACGAACCAACUAAUGCACUACUAAUACAAUGCCUGCAAAAAAGCUGUCAGCAGAUAGAUAGAUAAUCCAAUACAUGAUAAUUAUGCAUGCAUGUUCAUGUCUCAUUCUCUUUGGCCUUUACCCAAUCAUCCCGGGGUACUCCUAGUUCACCCCAAACUCACAAACCACAAUUUUCGUCUACCGGGGGAGGCUACUAGCACUGCCAACCGAGGGAACGAUGACGGGGUCUCUCCCCAUGGUGUCUACACUCCGGAGUACACCGCUUGAGGAGGAGCUAUCUCCCUCAAGCUAAAGCUAUUGUGAGUACGAUCCAAUCCUCAAUUUGAGGAAGUAAUUGCCAUACCUGUCUCAAUGCCACAAUACAUCAAUGCCAAUGAUAGGUUGCUACCAUCUCAUGUAUACCUCUAUAUCUGAGUCACAAUAGUCCUGAUGCCACAAUGGUUAAACCUUAUUUAGCCGCUUUAUUUUCCAAUACCAAUCAAGUCACUAUAGUCAAUGUCACCCUUAUUUACUAUUGUCAUGGUCUGUUCUCGCAUUCACAUACACAUAGGGUUCUUUCAAACAUGGUUCACAUGGUUCUUUAUCAAUUCACAUAUUCUUUAAGUAUCUAAAUGCAUUACAACCAAGAACGCAUAUCACACUACCCUACAUGCAUGAAUGCUAAUGCCAAUAUGCUCAACAAAGGUAACAUAGACAUAGAGAGAAAUCCGGUGUUUACGGACAGCACCCCCCACUUGUGGGUAUGCUAGGAUGCCGUGGUCCUGUUUUCGUAAUUUUUAGACCUCUACGCCGCAAGCUGCGACGAUCUGUACCAAUUUAGCCUAUUUCCUUAAUAUAUCCGCGUACGCUCGUCGUAUCGCCAAACCGAGCACACCAACGCGUUCGUUAACCUAUCAAUUAGGGUAGAAUGAGAUCAAUCCCAAGCUUCAACCUCAAAAUCCAAAAACCCUAAAUAUAGGUUCCUCAAUAAUGUCAUCUUUCCCAAUAUUUGUCCUUAACAUGAAGAAACAUGGGGAAAAUCACCAUAAGAGCGCCUAGAUGCAAAUACUAGAAGCAAAUACCAAAACCCUAACUCAAAAUCAUGGAAACUCACCUUGGAGUCCAAGCUUUUCCUUCAAAAGCUCUUCACAAUCUAGCCUUCACCUUGGAGAGCUUCUUCUCCAAGCUUUGCUCCUCCAAAUCCCUUCCUUGAUCCUAGUUCUAGAGAGAGAGGAAGAGAGAAGAGAAGGUUUUAGAGAGCGAGAGAGGGAAAGGUCUUAUGUUGGUGUGUGAGAGAAAUGAGCCCUAACACCCAUCCCUCUCACCUAUAUACCCAACUCAUGCCACAAUUGCCCAUAAGCCCCCGACUUUCCAUCUUUCACAUCAGCCCAAACUGGGCAAAAUUCGCAUACGGGGAUCGGUCUCUCCCCGCAGGGACUCGCUUUCUGGAAAAUACUCCAUUAACAGGAUCUCCCGGAACGUCUCCCAAGACAUAGUAGCCGGAUCCAAAGACCGACCAUUCUUUACUCGCGUCUACCAUGCUCGAGCCGACCCCUCUAAACAAUGAGCCGCCAGGCGUACUUUAUCCUUCUCAAGGGUGUAGAUAUCCUCGAACAAUGCCUCCAUCGCUGAAAGCCACGCCUCCAUUAACCAAGGGUCCUUCACAUCACCCUGGAACGUCGGAGGGUUGAACCGCUUAAAGGCCAUCAACAUCACCAACGACCGCUCCUACUCGGCCUCAAGUACCUCCGGGAUAGGAGCUGAAGAACCUGAAGCCGUCGGAGGAAUAGCCGUCAUCGGUGCCGCCGCAAUCGCAGGAGGAGGUACCACAGGCGCAGGCGGGUCCUGAGGUACAGGUGCAGCCGCCGCCGCCUGUCGGGCCACCAACUCAUGAAGCCGUCCUAUCUGCUCCCCUUGCUGUCGCAUAGCCCCGGCCAAAGCCGCUACUUGGGCCCGCAACUUUCGGACUUCAUCAGAUCCAACUUGCUCGGGCACUUCAUCAGGCAAUGCCGGAGCGGAUCGACGCGUGUAACAUCUCGGGGAUAUUAGCUCCUGAAACGAAACACACAUGUUAUUACUCGACACGCGCAACUCUUACACAUUCCAAAUAACCACCUGUGGGUAUGCCAGGAUGCCGUGGUCCUGUUUUCGUGAUUUUUAGACCUCUACGCCGCAAGCUGCGACGAUCUGUACCAAUUUAGCCUAUUUCCUUAAUAUAUCCGCGUACGCUCGUCGUGCCGCCGAACUUAGCGCACCAACGCGUUCGUUGACCUAUCAAUUAGGUUAGAAUGAGAUCAAUCCCAAGCUUCAACCUCAAAAUCCAAAAACCCUAAGUAUAGGUCCCUCAAUAAUGUCAUCUUCCCCAAUAUUGGUCCUUAACAUGAAGAAACAUGGGAAAAAUCACCAUAAGAGCUCCUAGAUGCAAAUACUAGAAGCAAAUACCAAAACCGUAACUCAAAAUCAUGGAAACUCACCUUGGAGUCCAAGCUUUUCCUUCAAAAGCUCUUCACAAUCUAGCCUUCACCUUGGAGAGCUUCUUCUCCAAGCUUUGCUCCUCCAAAUCCCUUCCUUGAUCCUAGUUCUAGAGAGAGAGGAAAAGAGAAGAGAAGGUUUUAGGGAGAGAGAGGGAAAGGCCUUAUGUUGGUGUGUGAGAGAAAUGAGCCCUAACACCUAUCCCUCUCACCUAUACACCCAACUCAUGCCAUAAUUGCCCAUAAGCCCCCCGACUUUCCAUCUUUCACAUCAGCCCAAACUGGGCAAAAUUCGCAUACGGGGACCGAUCUCUCCCCGCAGGGACCGGUCCCCGAGAGCACCACUCUAAGGACUUAGCCAAAUUUUCACAUUUUUGGCUGGCUACGCGCACAGGGACCGGUCUCUCCUCCAGGGACCGGACCCCGAGAGCUGGACUUUUAGAACUGUAAUACACUGGACUUUCGCAAAUUGUAGAGUUCGAGUGUGUGGAAAGAAGUGUGGAACUAUUCUACAUGUUCUAAAUGACUUGGACAAGUUUUUGAACAAGUUAGAGAGUGAUUGGAGGGUUAAAAGUGAGAAAUUGCAUCAAACAGGCGAAAUCAGCCUUUUUCUGCUUGUUGUACCGGUACAGCCAUCACCUUGUACCGGUACAGACUGGCAGAAAUCUGGCAGCAAGGCUAAUUUGGUCAUUUCACGUUUUGAUCCUAUCUAUUUGAACCCAGCACGACCUGGGAUACUCAGUGGAGCCUGCUGGAGUCCAGAGAAGUGUUCUCCCAUCUUUCUCUUUCUCUCUCUCUAGGGUUUUUCUCUCUCUACGUUAAAUUCGCCGAUUUCGCUCGUUUUCGUCGUCGCGUGCGUUCUUCGCGGGUGGCAAGCGUUGCAGAGCCUAUGUGGACGUGUGAGAGAGUAUUUUGGAAGGUUCUUUGCAACUCUGAACCAGUGGGUUGCUGGUUGGAAGCUUGAGAAGGUAACGACGCGAUGUUUUUCCGUUAUCGGCAUUCUAUUCGUCGAUUUGAGUAUUGAGUUUGAGUUUUUGCUUCUAACCGAUGUAAACUGAGAAUUCAGCUAUUAUUAAUGAAUUAUUCAGCUGUGAAUUAAGCUCCUUAGACUAGGGAUGAGCUUCUUUGAAGAUUAAUUGAGAGAAUUAGCCAUUUAUGAAGCUUAAUCGGAACUAUACGCGGAUUAUUGACGCAGUUUCGUAUGAUUCCUUCGCAGCAGGUUUUCGAACCAUCUAGAGCUAAUUUGGUGACCUUGGGGAUUGAUUUAGAGGGUGUUCUAACCUGAGGUAAGCAGGAAUUUCCAUUCUAAAACUGAUUUCGCAAGAAUUCGGCUAAAUUCACUAGUAUACAUGCGCGUUGACGUCGUUUAAGUGAGUUGUGGGCAGCUCCGGUGCAAUCGACUUUGGAUCACUUUCAGUCAUUGUAGUGAGAGCUUUUGGAAGCUUAACUUGAGGUAUUUAUUGAGCCAAAACAGGGAUUUCAGCUAUUACGAUGUAUAAGUGCAAUUGCGCAAAAUCGGACAUUUCGGAUCGUAAUUUUGAUACGAAUAUUUAUGCUUCAUGUUCCAGCAGGAUUGCGACGUAGUGGAGCUGAUACCUUGAGGACUCCUUGACUGAUUGGGAGGCAUAGUAGACUAGGUGGGUUUGACCUACAGAGCAAGUGAAGUCCCCUAUGUUCUAUAUGUAUUUAAAGACGUGGUUUAAUUAUAUGCUAUGGUGAUUGUUAAGCUCGGAAUUCGUCAUCAUGACGUUUAUCAUAUGUGAAAUGAGCGUUAUGUAAAAGUACUUAUUUAGCCAAUUAAGAGUAUUCUUGUUUAGUUCAGUAGAAAACAGGAGAUCAGUUUAUUAUGUUUCUAUGAUAUAGAGAUACAUAUAAAUGAAAGUCAUUUUUUUCUAUUCAUCAGUUGAAUGGGCUUAGAACAAGUGUAAGGAUGCAUUUAUAAGUAGAGAACAAUGACAUUCUCCUGACUCUUAACGUAAAACUAUGACAUGCUCAGUGAAGCUUAUGUUGAUAGUGCAUACUAGUUGGAAAGAUUAUAAUGCUAUGCUGAUUUAGGCUUUACCCCUACAUGUUACAAUCUAGUGGAUAUAGCUUUUGUUACUAUUUGUGUUUGACAUUCGAUAGGAUUCGAGGAGUAUCGAUGGGUGUUGACUUUGCAAUGAAAAUAUGUAAAUUGAGAAUGUGGUAAUGUACUUUGUUGCUUUGCCAUUCGUGUCAUUCGCAACGCUUGUGAGGGUUAGUCCCUACAAGUCGGUCACUCUGCGGAGUUGGCUACGCCGACAGUUGCUCGCCUGUGCGGAUUGGGUUGGAAGUGAUUGCCGUGGAGUGUUUAUAACGGGGCAUUAGGCGCGGCGCAAGCUGGACUACCUUGACGUAGGUCCUAGUGAAUGAAACAUGAAAGUGUUGGAAUAUGAUAAUGAUAGUAAUGAAUGAGUAUCAGUUGUAGUGUACAGUAGUACUUACACUUCUAUGAUUAUGUUUAUGUUCAUGUUUAUAGUAGUUGCGAUACUUCUAUUAUUCAGUUGAUUCAUUACUGCAGAAAUCAUGUUUACAUGUUGAAUACAUGCCUGUUACCGGUUAGCACUGCAUAUUUCUAUAUCAUGCAUUUAUCGCUUCUACUUACUUUCAGUACAUCAUGAGCCUAGUGGUGUAAUUCGCCGAGGCUGGCGGCUUACCCACUGGGAACUAUUGUUAAUAGUUCUCACGCCCUUUUGGUGGUUGUUUUUACAGAGCCAUCUACAGGAGAGGCUAGGGAUCGUGGCAAGGGAGUCGCGUCUAGCUAGACAUUGCUAGGAGCAUGCUAGUCGAUCACCUUGCUACUCGGGCUACGACCGAGGGUGAUGUCCCGUUGUAUAGAGAAACCACCAUUGUACCUAUCCUAUGUUUGUAUACUCGUGAUGUAUAUGUACUACUUGGACCGUGAACUGCAGUUGUGAUACUUCUCUUCUGUCGAGAUUUUGGAUUGUAUUUUUCUUUGUUCUUUUACUGAUAGUAUAUCGACUUGUACAUUGCUCUGAUAUCAGGAUAGGACUCUCUUUGUUUUACUUCCUAUCGACUUGCUUUCUUUGUAGACGCCUUAUAUACUGUAGGUGUAUGGCGGGUCUGUGCACGUACCGGAUAUGCUUUCGCUGGUACCCGGGCGUGACAGAUUAUAGUGGUAUCAGAGCCUAGGGUUGAGUCUUAGUAGACCUAGCAAACCUUAGGCUGGUUGGACUAUAAGGAUAGGCUCGUGAGAGACGAUGUCUAGUCGAGGUAGUUGUUAGCGAAAGUACUUUGAUUGGGUACUUAUAAACUCCGAAUAGUAGGAGUUUGAUUGGGAUAUGCAAUUACUAACUUUGCAGAGGGUCACGUUGGCGGCCGACAACAUGACAUCGGAAGUUAGUAUGCGUUACAUCUCAUUACUUUCGCUUAAUUAGCUAGUUUAUAUCCUCAAUGAGGGUUUAGUUGUAUAGGGUUUAUUGACCUAUGUUUGUUUUUGUGCUGCAGCUUAAGAUGCCGUUGACUCGUUCGCAAGCCGCCGGGGCAGCUGAGGCGGCGGAUGCAGAGGAAGAAGGCACUUCUGUUACUUCAGGAUCUAGUGGGAUCCAUGAGUUACAGGAUCAGCUUGCGAUGUUGACGGAUUUGGUUACUCAGCAGGCUGCAGCAGCACGACAGCAGGUGGACGCUGUGCGUCGACAGGAGGACAGGAUGAAGAGGUUAGAGGAUCUGUUACUGCGGCAGACGACUGACAGAGAGAUUCCAGAUUCUGUACUUCCAGAUUUUGUACCUAUAGCACCAGAGAGGGGUACGACUGCGAGAGCACCGUCACCGGUACCCGAUAUACCCCCAGUAGCCCCGAGGGUAGAGACCCGACAGGAGACAGUGGUACCACCACCAAUGCAUAUGGCAGCAUCAGGGACAGUGUUACCCGAGAUGGUGGGGAUUGAGGAGCGAGAGCGGAUGAUGGAACGACUGAAUGAAUUCCGUCACUGCAAUCCUCGUGUCUUUGACGGGGAGAAAGCAGAUCAUUGGGUGGUCGAGAAAUGGUUAAUGCACAUGGAGAAGUUAUUCUAUGACACCUUUGUUGAGGAGCGGUAUCGAGUUUGGUUUGCGACACACCACCUUGAUGGUGAGGCUUACAGGUGGUGGGUGGACAUUCGUGAGGAUCCCCGUGCUGAUUUGUCUGCUACCACGUGGGACAGAUUCAAGGAAUUGUUAUUGACUACUUACUUUCCUCAGAGUGUAAAGAGACAGAUGGAAAGGGAUCUGAGAAACCUGAGGCAGGGGGACAGGACAGUGGCAGAGUACGAGCGAGAGUUCUCCCGAUUACUGCACUGCGUUCCUUUUGUAGUUCGAGAUGAUGAGGACAAGGCUCGUAUCUUUAAGGUAGGUUUGCGGCCUGCGAUUUUCAGAUUGGUCCAGGCGUCAAACCUCAAUUCCUUUCCUAUUUAAAUUUAGAUGUAAAUAUGAAUAGAAAUUAACAGUAAUAUAAGAAUCCUUAUCCUAAUAUAAGGAUAUAUAUUAUAUACCCUCAAAAAUCUUUUGGGAUCGGCAGUAUAGAGAAGAGAGAAGGUAUAAGAUCGUUCUUUCUGCAAGAAAAACGUUCCCUCGAUCGUGGGGCCACUCCUGUAGCUAGUUUAGUCCUUGGAGCACACCUAUGGAUAUCUCCAGCCUGCGCACACGCCGAAGUUCUCUUGGGCUAAGAUGCUAGUAGUUUAACUCAACUUCUAGAUAGUUGCUUUUUCCAUUUCUAAGCUAGAAUGAAAAGAGGAAAUUAGAAUUUCUUGUACUCCCUAGGAUUAACGCACCAAAAACUUUAACCUAGAGCUCUCAAAAGUUUUUAGUUAAAACAAACUAAAGAAAAAGGCGACACAAAAAUGGUAUGCGUUAAAAGAUUGUCUCCCACGUCCGUUUCUUGGAGAGCCCGUGAGACUUGUUUUCACCGGGAGGACCGGCGUUUCUUUUGUGGACGGGGGUGCGACACCUGUGACACCGCCAUGCACUCCGGGUGGUGUCUAUUAUGUUGCGCCACCAGCUGCUGCGAGUCCACGAGGUGCCCCGCGGCUUCUUGGAGCUGGGGAGCUGACAGGACUGACAGGGGAGCCUAUGAAACCCCCAGAGGAUUUCCUGACGACUGGUGACCAGAGCUGACGUCCAGAGAAGGGAAACGAAGCUAGGUGUUGUAGAGAAAGGAAGUAAUAGAGACGGGGAAAGAGCUGCUAGUUCCGGGCCAAGUGAUGUAGGGCCAUUCACCUNNNNNNNNNNNNNNNNNNNNNNNNNGUUGGUCACGCUCGGUACCCUUGUUCUCUAACAACCACCUGCAUAUUCGCUUCAGUGUCCCCACACUGUCGACUCGAAACUCGUCUACCCUGAAAGGGAAGCGACCUAUGCACCAAUCUCAUCGGAUCAAUCACCGUCCCCGUGAUGAUCCAUUGAUCGGGAGCAUUUAGGAAUUAAUCACCAAUGACACAUGUCUCAAAUUCUCAACACUUAAGAAUAUAUGUCAUCAUCUUAUUAAUUCUUUGGACGAUUCAUGGACACGUACACAACAUGAAUGGAAAUAAAAACCCAAAGUUAUUCAUAAUAUUUUAAAAUCAAAUACAAAAUUAUGUCCUAGAAAGAAUACAUGUGUCGGCCUGGUUGGCUUCUAGGGCAUACAUCUAACACCCUCGUCAGCGACUGCACCUGCAUCUUCAGCUCCGAGCCAGGGGACCCCGACAGUACCCUAUCAGUCUAGGCGACCAUCAGGACAGCGGCAGUCGGAGAGUUCGCAGCAGGAUUCGAGUGGGCGGAUGUAUGCCGCCCAGACCGAGGGCGACGCAGCAGCACAGGAGGUCGUAGCAGGUAUUAUUAUGCUUUAUGAUAUUCGUGUUCGUGCAUUAUUUGAUACUGGUGCUUCGCAUUCUUUUAUUGAUCGGCAGUUUGCCGAGUUGCAUAGCAUUCCUUUAGCACCUACUUUGCAUCUGGGACGAGUGAUUGUACCUGACCAUACCCUAGAUGUUCGUGAGUUUUGCUCUUGCUGCCCAGUUAGGGUAGGCGACUGGAUUAUGCCAGUGGAUUUAUUGGCACUACACAAACUAGGUGAGUUUGAUGUAGUAUUGGGUAUGGAUUGGUUGACACAGUAUUAUGCCACUAUAGAUUGCACGAACAGAACGGUGACCUUUAGGGAACCGGGUCAACAGGAGUUUGUUUAUAAAGGGUGUCAGAGUUCAUUGUUCGCAAUGACUAUUAGCUCUUCGCGAGCCCGACAAUUGAUCCGGAGGGGUUGUGUAGCCUACUUGGCUAGUAUUUCUGUGAGGGGUGGUGAAGCCAUCAAGAUUGAUGAUAUUCCUGUUGUGCGAGAGUUCAGGGAUGUGUUUCCAGCUGAAUUACCGGGCAUGCCACCUGAUAGGGAAGUUGAGUUUGUGGUAGAUCUUGUCCCUGGGACUACCCCUAUUUCUAAAGCGCCCUAUAGGAUGGCACCCGCUGAAUUGAAAGAGCUGAAGGCACAGUUACAAGAUCUUUUAGAUAAAGGAUUUGUUCGACCGAGUGUUUCGCCCUGGGGAGCACCGGUGUUAUUUGUCAAGAAAAAGGAUGGAUCUCUUCGAUUGUGCGUGGAUUAUCGAGAAAUCAAUAAAGUCACAAUCAAGAAUAAAUAUCCAUUGCCUAGAAUUGAUGAUUUAUUCGAUCAGCUGCAAGGAUCGAAAGUAUACUCCAAAAUCGAUUUGCAAUCAGGCUAUCAUCAGUUUAAGAUUAAGCCUGAAGAUGUUUCUAAGACUGCUUUUAGGACACGGUAUGGACAUUAUGAAUUUACAGUCAUGCCGUUUGGAUUGACUAAUGCCCCAGCAGCCUUUAUGGAUUUAAUGAACCGUGUCUUUAAACCCUAUCUGGAUAGGUUUGUGGUCGUGUUCAUCGCUGAUAUCUUGAUAUAUUCUCGAAAUGACAAGGAGCAUGAAGACCAUUUGAGAGUGGUGUUACAAGUACUUCGAGAAAAGAAACUAUUUGCCAAGCUAAAGAAAUGCGAAUUUUGGCUUCGAGAAGUGGCAUUUCUAGGCCAUGUGAUUUCAGAAACUGGGAUAGCUGUGGAUCCCAAGAAGAUUGAAGCGAUUAAAGAUUGGCCUAGGCCGACCAGUGUCACUGAAAUUCGGAGUUUCCUCGGUUUGGCGGGAUACUACCGAAGAUAUGUAGAAGGAUUUGCGAAAAUGUCUACUCCUCUCACUCGACUUACACAUAAAGGAGCUAAAUUCCUGUGGAAUGAAGCCUGCGAAAGAAGCUUUCAAGAGCUGAAGAAACGGUUGACCACCGCCCCGAUUCUGGCUUUGCCUGUUACCGGAGUGGAUUAUGUGAUUUACAGCGAUGCAUCACUGAAUGGAUUAGGGUGUGUUCUAAUGCAAAAUGGCAGAGUAAUUGCCUAUGCUUCUCGCCAAUUAAAGGAUUAUGAAAAGAACUACCCUACACAUGAUCUUGAGUUAAGCAGCUGUGGAUUCCUUUAAAGCUUUGGCGCCACUUACCAUCUACGGCGAGUCGUUGCGAAGUUGUCAUAGAUCAUAAAACCUAAAGUACCUUUUAACACCAGACAGCCGAAUUAAACUGAGCAACCGAGAUGGGUUGGAAUUACAUCAAUGGAUUAUGAUUUGAUAUCCUCCUAUCAUCCAGGAAAAGCUAAUAUUGUAAGCAGACUGCUCUUAAGUCGAAAAUCAACGGGAAAAGUUUGCGAUGUCGAUAACAAUGCAACCACUUUGGUAAAGGAAAUGGAAAGAUUGAAUUUUGGAAGUUCUAGCUCCUGAUAGCCUUGGGAGACUUAUGUCGACUAGCUGUCAAAACCUAUCCCUGAUCAAACGAUUAAAGAUAACAAACUCACGAUGAACUUUCUAACAGAAGAUUUCGAGCGAGACUCACCUAUGAAGUCACAUUGAUUGAAUUCAAGUGGAUGAUUCAGGGACUUUAAGACUUCGCGGCAGAUAACCGAAUCUGUGUGCCUCCCGAUCCAGAUGAUUAACAGAGGGACUUUUAAAGGAAGCACAUCGGCACCUAAACCAAAUCGCGCACCUAAAAAAACAAAAAAGCUACAACCCGUAAAACAAAAAAAAAACAAAAAAAAAAAACCCCCCCUAAAACUUUAAAUUAAAAAAAAAAAACAAAGAAAUAAAAAAAAAAAAAAAAAAAAAAACUAAAAAGAAAUUAAAAGUACUUUACACCCUGGGAGUACGAAAAUGUAUACAGAUCUGAAGCAUCAAUAUUACUUGUGGCCCUGGAAUGAAAAAGGAAGUUGCGGACUUUUGAUAAGUGGCUUAACGUGUCAGCCAGGUUAAAGCUGAACAUUGACUUCUUGCGCGGAAACUUCAGAGCUUACCACAAGUGUGGAAGUGGGAAGGAUCACUAUGGAUUUCAUCUUGUGUAUUACCUCGCUCACAACGCAUGUCACGAUGCAAUUUGGUAAAUUGUCGAAUCCGAGUUGUCUACAAUUGCCACUUUUAUUUCUAUAUUCAUACUGUGUGUCGGGGGGAUAGACUCGCACACAGUGUAUCUUGAAUGAAUCUGUCAUUAUACGCGAGUACCUACUUUCUAUUGUUCACGAUCGAGAACACCCAUUCCGUUCACAUUUCUGAAGAGCUUCCAGAGUGCUAUGGGUACCCCGCACUGAAUUUUAUUACUUGCUUUCCACCCGAGAGCGAUGCAGUCUGAGCCGUACCAUCCAGACCCUUGAGGAUACUUUUGCGGGCUGUGGACUUGACUAUCAGGGCAGUUGGCCACAGUUCUUCGCCUAUGGCUGAAUUUGCUCUAUAACAAUAAGUUAUCAGCCAGUAUUCAGACUAGCAGCGGUUUGAAGCCCUUAUAGGUGGAGACAAGUGCAGAGAUCACCCACUUCAAUUGGAUGUGAAGUGCGGGAGAGAUUUGGUUUGGUCCCGAUGUAAUUACAAUAGUUCAAGCCUAAAGUUCGACUUGCGCGAGAACGUCCUAUGACACGCCCAAAGUUCGACAAAAGAGUCUAUGUCGGACACAACGUACCGGCGAGAAUUGGGGAAUUUUAGUCUGGCGAUCAUCCCGUUAUUUCUGCUGAAGUGUCUUAUCCAACGAAAGGAGUUAAGAGAUUUGGUAUUCGAGGAAAGUUGAGUCCUCAAUUUAUUGGCACCUACAGCUGUUGCGAACGAAUAGCCCCCCGUAGUUAUCGGUUGCCUUGCGGCCCGAACUCAUCGGGAGUCCACGAUGUAUAUUCAUGUAUUCUACCUCUCACGAGAAAUAAUGUUUUUGAUCCAACUCAUACUACGUUCGGAGGUACUCAGUGGAUUGUACACUCGAAGAUUGUAGCUUUCGAGAGCAUCCCAGUAGGAUACUAUCGAGAAGAUAAAACGGCUUCGAAAACCCGAAGAUCCCUUACGAAAUGAUCCUCUUGGAACAACUCAUGCAUGAACGGGAAGCCACUGGGAACUGGAAGAGUGCAAUGCAAGGCCAUCUAUCCUAUCUACCUUCUCGAUGGACGUUGAGGUAUGUGUUUACAAGUUUUGCGAACGAAACUUCUUCCUUAGAGGCGGUGAGACUGUAUACACUGGACUUCGCAAAUUGCAGAGCUUCGAGUGUGUGGAAGGAAGUGUGGAACUAUUCUACAUGUGUCUAAAUGAUCUAUGGACAAGUUUUUUGAAAAGUAGAGAGUGAUUGUGAGGGUUACAAAGUGGUGAGAAAUUGCAUCAAACAGGCGAAAUUAGCCUUUUUCUGCUCUGUUGUUACCGUUUACCAUACUACCUGUAGUACAAACUGGCGCAGAAAUUUGGCAGGCAAGGCUAAUUGGUCAUCUUCACGUUUUUGAUUCUAAUCUAUUAACCAGCACGACUGGGAUACUCAGUGAGCUGUGGAAGUCCAGAGAAGUUUUCUCCCAUCUUUCUCUUUCUCCUCAUCUCUAUGGUGUUUUUUCUCUCUCUUACGUUUUGAAUCGCGAUUUUCGGCCUCGUCUUUCGUCGCCGCGUGCGUUCUUCGCUGGUGCGCAAGCUUUGCAGAAGCUAUGGCGUAGGGACACUGGUGAGAGACGUUAUUCACCUGGAAGGUUCUUCUGCAACUCUGAACCAGUGGCGCUUGCUGGUUGGAAGCUGAGAAGGUACCGACGCGAUGUUUUCAUCCGUAUCGGCAUUCUACUUCGUCGAUUUGAGUAUUGAGUUUGAGUUUUUGCUCUAACCGAAGUAAACUGAGAUUCAGCGUAUCUAUCUGAUGAAUUAUUCAGCUGCCUGAAUUAAGCUCCUUAGACUAGGGAUACUUCUUUGCAAGAUUAAUUCCGACGAGAAUUAAGCCAUUUAUGGAAGCUUAAUCGGAGAACUAUGACGCGGAUAUUGACGCAAGUUUCGUAUGAUUCCUUCGCAGCACGGUUUUCAACCAUUCAGAGCUAAAUCUUAGUGACCUUGGGAUUGAUUUAGAGGGUGUUCUAACCUGAGUAAGCAGGAUUUCCCUUCAAAACUGAUUUCGCAAGAAUCUCGUAAAUUCCAUAGUCAUACUGCGCCCGUUGAACGUCGUUAACUCUGAUUGUUGCGCAGCUCGACGUGCAAUCGACCUUUGGAUCACAUUUCACUCCAUUAUUGAGACGCUUUCUUGGAAUGCUUAACUUGAGGUAUCUCUAUUGAGCCAAACAGGGAUCUAACUAUGUACGAUGUACAAGUGCAUUCGCGCCGAAAUCCGGACAUUUCGAUCGUAUUUUGAUAGAUAUUUAGCUUCAUGUUCAGUCCAGGAUGUGCGACCUGAUGGGCUGACAUUUUUUUUUUCUUUUUUUUUUUUUUUUUUUCGCGGACUCCUUCGACUGAUGGGAAGCAUAGUACUAGGUUGGGUUGACCUAACCAGAGCCAAGUAAGCCCCCUAUGUUUAUAUGUAUUAUAGACGUGGUUUAAUUAUAUGCCUUUGUGAUGUUAACGAGGCUCGGAAUUCAUCAUCAUGACUGUUUAUCAUAUGUGAAAUGAGGUUCAUGCAUAAAAGUACUCAUGCCAUUUAAAGUAUCUUUGUUUAGUUCAGUAGAUACAACCAGUGAGAUCAGUUUAUUAUGUUUCUAAUGAUAUAGAGAAACAUAUAUACAUGGAAAGUAUUUCUUAUUCAUAUUCACAUCAGUUGAAUGGUUAUGAACAAGUGUUAUAGAUGCACUUUAAAGUAGAGAACAAUGACAUUCUCAACUGACUCUAACGUAGAAACUAUGACAUGCUCGAUGACUAUUGUUGAUAGUGCCAUACUAUGGGAAAGAUUAUCAAUACUAUGUGAUUUUAGCUUACCCUCACAUGAUUUACAAUCUACGUGGAUACUAGCUUUUGCUGUUACUAUUUGUUGUAUUGAAAUUUCCGAUCAGGAUCGAGGAGGAUCGAGGGUUUCUGAACUUUGCAACGUUGAAAAGUAUGAAAUGAGAAUGUGCGACUAUGGACUUUGCUUGCUUGCCAUCAGUGCUCAUUCGCACACGCUUGUGAGAGGUAGCUCCUAAAAGCCGGCGACUCCGGAGUUGGCCUCUACGCGACAAGUUGCUCAGCUCGUGCGGGAUUGGGUGCCGAAGUGGAUUGCCGUGGAGUGAGUGUAUACUACCACGGGGCCAUUAGGGCGGCCGCAAGCUGAGACUACCUUUUGAGUUAGGUCCUAGUGAAUACGAAAAUGAAAGUGGAAAAUGGAUAAUGAUAGUAAAUAAUGAAUGUAUCAGUGUGUACGUGCAUACAGUAGUACUUACACUUCUAUGAUUACUUUAUGUUUCAUGUUUUAGUAGUUGCGAUACGUUCUAUUAUUCAGUUUGAUUCUCUAUGCAGUAAUCUAAUGUUCUACAUGUUAAAUACAUGCCCUGUUAUCACGUUAGCAACUGCUAUUUCUAUAUCAUGCAUUUAUCGCUGUCUACUCUACUUUCCAGUACAUCAUGAGCACUCAGUGGUGUAAAUCGCCGAGGCCUGGCGGUUACCACUGGGAACUAUUGUUACAUAGUUCUUCACGCUCCUUUUGUGUUGUUUUUACAGAGCCAUCUACAGGAGAGGCUAGGGAUCGUGGCAAGGGAGUCGCGUCUAGCUAGACAUUGCUAGAAGCAUGCUAGUCAAUCAACUUGCUACUCGGGCUACGCCCGAGGGUGAUGUCCCGUUGUAUAGAGAAACCACCAUUGUACCUAUCCUAUUUUUGUAUACUCGUGAUGUAUAUGUACUACUUGGACCGUGAACUGCAGUUGUGAUACUUCUCUUCUGUCGAGAUUUUGGAUUGUAUUUUCCUUUGUUCUUUUACUGAUAGUAUAUCGACUUGUACAUUGCUCUGAUAUCAGGAUAGGACUCUCUUUGUUUUACUUCCUAUCGACUUGCUUUCUUUGUAGACGCCUUAUAUACUGCAGGUGUAUGGCGGGUCUGUGCACGUACCGGAUAUGCUUCCGCUGGUACCCGGGCGUGACAAGAACUUAGCUGCUGGGCAAUUCUCCAACCUACGGGGACCGGUCUCUCCUCUCAGGGACCGGUCCUUGAGAGCAGAAUUGCUGGGACUUAACCAUUUUCCCAACAAUCACUCUCCCGGGUCCCUACACCUUAUACAUAGAUUCUAAAGCACUUGGAACCCAUUGUAACUUGCUCCAACAUGUCCGACUCUACGUUCCGCUCGUUUCGACGGAACUCGGCACAUUUCUUGGGGAAGUGAUAAGUUACAUUCCCCGCCCCUUAAAAUUAGUUUCGUCCGCGAAACUCAACACGUACCUUAGUUCAUUUGCUCGAACAAGUGAGGAUAGACCUCGCGCAUCUUCUCCUUGAGUUCCCACGUGGAUUCACGCCUCGAGUGAUUACUCCAUUGCACUUUUACAUACGGAAUAGUCCGAUUCCGUAGCUUCCGCUCCUAUCAAGCAAGAAUGCUCGCCGGAAACUCUUCGUAAGUGACAUCCUCGCGCAACUCCACCGGCUCAUACUCCAACACAUGUGAGGAGUUCUGAAAAUACUUGCGGAGAUUCGAUACUUGGAACACGUUGCGCACUCUCACAAGCUUCGGCGGUAAUGCUAACUUGUACGCCACGGGCCCAAUCCGCUCAAGGAUCUCAUAAGGCCCUAUGUAUCGGGGACUAAGCUUCCCCCGAAUACCAAAUCGCUUUACCCCACACAUUGGCGACACCUUGAGAAACACACGGGCGCCAACCGCGAACUCCAAAUUCUUUCGGCGCUUAUUCGCAUAGCUUCGUUGCCGCGAUUGUGCCGUCAAUAAUCGUUGGCGAGCAAGAUGGACUUUCUCUUCCGCCUCUCGCACCACAUCUGGACCAAGGGUGACUCUUUCACCCACCUCACUCCAAUGAAUAGGAGAGCGACACCUACACCCAUAAAGUGCCUCAAACGGUGCCAUCGCUAUACUUUCUUGAUAAUUAUUAUUGUAAGCGAACUCCGCCAUCGGCAAAUACUCAUGCCACCCUCCAUUGUAAUCGAGUACACACACUCGCAACAUAUCCUCGAGUAUCUGAAUUGUCCUCUCUGACUGGCCAUCACUCUGAGGAUGAAACGCCGUACUGAAAUAGAGCCGCGUGCCUAGAGCAUCCUGCAAGCUCUUCCAGAAAUGAGAAGUGAACCUGUUAAGUCCUGUGUGUUGGCAAGUUUCGUGAAGUGAGUCGGAGUCUUGAAAAAUCGAUACGUAUCGUCGAAGAUCGAAGAAUUAAAGAUUUCGAAGAAAUUGGAAAAUGACUCACGAUGUGAAUCACGAUGUCUAGGUAAAGUGUUAAUUCAUGUUGUGGUGAUUCAUACUUAGUUGUAGGCAUUAGAAUCAUAAUACCAAUAUUUACUGGAUUAGAAAGUGCAUCGAAACUUUGCAAAACUCGAAACGGUGAAAAUUUGCAAAGUGUACCGGUACAGCAUCAGAAGUGUACCGGUACAAAAUGUGUACCGGUACAGCCAUCGACAUGUAACCAGUUCCACUGUUUCAUCAGUUUUUUCGUUCCGUCAUCGUGUAACCGGUGACAGCUUAAAGUGUACCGGUACACAGUGUAAAAUCGUAAAAACUUUCUAAUCCGACUCCGAUUGAUUCUAAAACCUAUAAAUAAGCUAUUGGGGUUCUCUAACUUAUCAAGUAUCAUGAAAAUACAUGUUUGAGAAAUCCUAGAGGCUCGGAUUUCAUCUAAAACCUAUUUUCUACAUAUUAGCCUCUUUUAGGUCAAAUCGAGAUAUUAGAAUUUCAUAUCUAUAUGUCGAUUUGAUCUUCGCUUCGCUUGGAGUUCUCUUCCUGGUUUUCAUCGAUACUCUAAGUGAAGGAUCACCAUACACAUGAUGUUCUUCAUAACGGCGUCGUGGAUUCGGCGUGACUGACGGCGGUUCGUGGAUUCGGAUCGUGAGCUUCGUGGAUUCGGAGCGGAGGCGUUUCGUGGAUUCGGAACGUGGCGUUCGUGGAUUCGAACGUGAGAGCGUGGACAACCCGGAGGAUUGCGCGAGAUUCAUAGGAGGUUAAGAGAGGUUAAGUCCGUGGAGUCGGUAAUCAUCUUGUAAUCUUUUCUCUUAGUGAAUUAUUUCUUCGCGUGUUGGUCCCGUGGGUUUUUCUCCAAGUUGGAGUUUUCCCAUGUAAAUGUCGGUGUGAUUUUUAUUUUCCGCAUUUAUUUUUAUCGCAUUGAGAUUUGUGGUUUUUGGCUAUUACACCUAUUCACCCCCCUCUAGGUGUUAGAUACAAUCUAGAUAGAUCCUUGGGCUCCUCAAAACUUACAAUUGGUAUCAGAGAGGGAUCUAGAUAAAUUGUUAUCUAAUGGCCGAAGGCGGAAACAUUAAUCGACCACCGCUCUUCGAUGGGACAAACUAUGCUUAUUGGAAAGUUCGCAUGAGAGCUUUUCUAAUCGCAAUCGAUGAGCGCGUUUGGCAAUCAAUAGAAUUUGGAUGGAAACAUCCUAUUGAAAAAGUCGAGAAUGUUAAAACGCCAAAACCACAGAACAAGUGGACGAAAGAUGAAAACAAGUCAUCUUCGUUUAACGGUAAAGGAAUUAAUGCUUUAUUCAAUGCUUUAUCGCAAACGGAGUUUACUCGUGUUUCGGCAUGUGAAACAGCAAAGGAAAUUUGGGAUACUCUACAAGUUACGCAUGAAGGAACAAGCUUAGUAAAGGUUCAAAAAUUACAAAUGCUAACAAGCAAAUUUGACUCAAUUUUUAUAGAAGAAAACGAGACCUUUACCGAGUACUAUACGCAUCUACAAGACGUUGUGAAUACAUGCGCUAACUUGGGAGAGAAAAUCCCGGAUGCUAAGGUUGUUAGAAAGAUUCUUCGAACUCUUCCCGAACGCUUUUGGGGCAAAGGUUGCCGCAAUCGAAACCGUUAAGCAUCCGGACGAGAUGAAAGUCGAAGAGUUAAUAGGCGCUGUACAAACGUAUGAGAUGACUUUUCCUACUAACCCAUCUUCUUCCAAGUUUUUUUCUAAAAGCACAGGGGUUGCACUCAAAUCAACAAAGAAAGAAGAAGACGACUCGGAUUCUGACGGAGAUAUUUCGCUCGCCGACUUUGAACAUCAAUUGGCGCUCCUCACGAAGAAGUUCCGACAGAAUUUUCGAAAGAAGAACAAUUCGGACAAGGCUUCAUCUUCGAAGCAUAAAUCUUUUUCAAGACAAUCUUCAAGUGCUAAAUCUAAGGAUAAAAAACUUGCAAAGUCUUCGAAAGAAAAAGAUGAAUUUGAAGGCGAAAUUCAAUGCUACAAAUGCAAAGGCUACGACCAUAUUGCAAUGGAUUGUCCUUCAAAGAAGUCUUAUAAGCAAAAGGCUUUGCAAGCUAAGACUUGGGAUGAUUCUUCUUCUAGUGAAUCAUCUUCAAGUGACGAAGAAAAGAGGGAUCACAUUGCUUUAUUUACUAACACUUCUCUACCUUCAUCUAACGUUGUUUGUUUAUCCUCAAUUGUUUCUAAUUCUAAUGUUUCUCUCUCUUCGCAUGAGUUUUCGAGCGACAAUAGCAGAAGCGAGGAGGAAUCAAACGACGAGGAUAUAGCGGAAGCAUACAAUCAACUUCUUAUUGAUUCGAAAAAGAUGACCAAGCUCAAUAAGAAGUUGAGGUGUCGGUUAUUGGACAUUAAAGAGGAGAACAAAAAUGUGAAGACCACGAAUAAAGCUCUUGAGGAGGAAAGGGAAUCAAUAUUGAAAAACAAUUCGAUCCUCCAAAAGAAGCUAGAGAAAGAGGAAUUAACGGUCAAAUCAUCUAAAGACAAGAUUGAAUUUUUGGAGCAUCAAUUUCAGGAAAUUCAUGCAUCCAAUCAAGUCUUAACUAGUCAAGUUUGUCAACUCAAAUCCGAUCUUCAAAAAUUUUCUUCUGGAUCAAAGAAACUAGAUCAUAUGCUCGGAUUGGGUCAAACAAACAAGUUAGGCCUCGGAUAUGAAAGAACAAGUGUUGAGAAGGUUUCAAAAUUAACUUCUAAAGUCUCAACAACUUUGAAACAGAAGGUGUGUCAUAAAUGUGGAAUCAAAGGACACAUCAAAAAGAAUUGCCCAAAUAAGGAAAAGAAGAGUCAAUCGGCAAUGUUGGAACCUCAAUCGGCAUCAUCUACAACUCGGCUUCCCCCACGGAAUCAAAAGAAAAUUCAACUGGGUCGAGUACCUCAAGGGAACCGGACUUCUAAGCCGCAAUGUCAAGUUCAACCAUUCCCACAAGCAAACCGGAAUUCAAAGUUUCAUCAACAAUUCCAACCGAAGCUUCAAGCGACGAAACGACCAACGGUUGAUCAAAACUUAAAGCAAAUUGUGCUUAACGUCGACAAGACAAGACAACGGAAAAUCCGACAAGUUUAGAUUCGGAAAGGUGAUAUCUUUCCUUACUCUUCGUCUUAGUUUGUUUUGAUUGUUUAUGUAAUGUUUUGAUUGGUGCUUGUUGCAUAUUUUUUUUCAUUGCAUUACAUGAUGAUUUCCGUGUGCAAAAUUUAAAAAAAACAAAAAUUUGAGAAAGGAUGUUUGGGAAUUUUAAAAGUUUUUUGAGAAAGGAGACGAUUGAAAAUCUUUAUUUUGAGGAGAUUAGAAUUUUUUCCAAAGUGUUUUUAACCGGAAUUCAUCUUGAAUUAAAUUCAUAUUAAUUAUCGGUUUUACUCCACUUUUUAUUAUUUUGAUGAUAAUUUAAUAUAUGAUUUCUUAAUACAUAUAUUCAACAAAAUUUUGAAAUCAAAUUUGAUCUCUUGAUGAUUAAUCUAUCUCGGUUGUGUGUGUUGGAUAUGAUAGAUGGAUAUUCGCUAAUAGACUAAACUUUGUCAAAAUAUUUUCAAUUGUGAGAUUGUCUAAUUUAGGGGGAGUUUGAAAUUAUUUUUUAAAAAAAAGAGAAAAAAAGGAAACUCCUAUGUUUAAAAGAUGUGCAAAAAGUUACAUCCAAAAGUAGUGUGAAAACUACCACCACAUGUAGGAAAGAGCUACCACCUUGGUCAUUCGACAAGUGUGUGAAGCUACCACAUGAAGAUUGAAUUGAAUAACCGAAAAGGUCGAAAAAAUUGAAUAUUUUAGAAUUUUCGGAGUUAUAUGGUGUUUGUUUGAAAAAGAAGCUCAAAGAGCCACCCCCGGUAUCAUAUUAGUAAAAUCUCUAUUUUGAACGGAUUGCGACAAAUUGGUGUCAAUUUUGCCGAAUUUCUAAAAAUCAUUUUUCGUGAACCGUUACAUCUUUAUGAUUUUGAAACUCGAGGUCAUGUUUGAUAACAAAAUUGUGAUAUUUCGAUGUAUUUUGAAAUCUUAUAAUAUUUUACCUUCAUUAUAAUAAUUUUUGGAGUAAAGUCCUUAAUUUGUAUGAAAUUAAUUUAAGUUUAAAGGGUUUUUAAAUUCAAGUUUUCAAAAUCUGGAAAAGUGUACCGGUACAAAAUCCCGUGUACCGGUACAAAUUACUGUAGCCGCGGAAAUAAAACCGGUUACAGGGCUUUUUUUCUCCUCCAAAUCUAAAUCAAAUUUCGUUCUCUCUCUCUCUCUAAAAUCUCUAGGAGACUUUUUCUUCCAGAUCUACUCGGUUUUUCCAAAAAUUAGUGAGUAUUUAGCUUGGAUUUAAUCGUUUCAUCGCGUUCUUGCCUAUUUUUCGAAAAUAUUCCGAGUUGAAGUUAGAUCUCUGUUUUGAUUCAUUUUUGAUGGAAUUUUUUGCUUCGUUUCAGUUUGUAUGCAUGUAUUCUUGCUUCUAGAACGUUUAGAUCAUGUCAUAAUGCGUUAUUUUUCGCUGAUCUAUGUUCCUUAUAUCAUAAUACAUGGAAUUUCGGGAUUGUUCUUGAAAUAUCAAUUUUUGAUGAAAUUUUUUGCAUGAAUGAGUUUGAAAUAGCGUUAGUAUGCAUUCUAAGAAUAUUAGAUAUUUUUUCGCUAUUUUUACAGAUUUUUUCAAAAUUUUCUUCAUGUAUGGCUCAUUUUAAUGUAGGAAAAUGGUGUUUUCGCUUGUGAUUCUGCAUUUGGUGCUUAUGGCCGCGGGUCGUGGCCGUGGUAGUGGUCGAGGACGUCGCGGGACAUCAAAGAGAACUCGUACUGCUAACGAGUCAUCAGGAUCCGAUCCGGAUUAUCAAGCAAGCUCACUUGAAGCUACUGAAGAAGCUGUUACUAGGGCUGCUAAAGGAAAAGGCCUAGCAGGAGAAUCCUCGCGAGGAGGUGAUUCUCGUGCGUGUGAGAGUCGCUCCAAACGUGCUGCAAAGGCUUCGUCAGAGCGACGGAGGAUAUAUUCGAGCCGAUCAGUUCUAGCUGAGCGCUAUGUCAACUUUACUGAGCUGAUCAAGGAGGUACCAGAUUUUGGUCGAUUGCUGCAGAGGGUCCCUAUUGAGCCCGUAGGACGGGUUCCAGCUCGUGCUCCAUUCUGUGUGGAACUCAUUCGGGAGUUUUACAUGAACGGGAUGAUGCUUGCAGAGGAUGAGGAGACUGGGAUUUAUGUGUUUGAGACAUAUGUGCGUAAGCAGAAAAUUCAAGUCACUCCUUACACGAUUGGAGAGCACUUAGGCAUGCAUGUUGAUACUACCGGCCUUCACUAUACGACAGGGCUUUAUCAGUCUUCGACCCACUGGGAGAUUGUUAUAAAAGCUAUAUGCAAGGAAGGCAUGAGGACAAAUCAUUCAUACGUGGAAUCCAAAGAUUUGCUACCCGAGUAUCAUCUACUCUCCUUGGUGAUGAGCUACAAUGUUCAACCUACAAUUGGAACAAAAAGGAUUCGUUGGGAUCGUCUGGUGCUUUUAUAUCUUCUUGGAUAUCCUGAGGAAGCGGACGGGUUGAACAUCAAUAUUCCCUUUCUGAUGUGGCAAAGAAUGGCUCAUGUCAUACAGUCUCAAGUUCGACGUGAUCUACUUCCGUUUCCGUUGCUGAUCACGAGGAUUCUUCAAGAAUACGGAGUUGACGUGUCGUGUGAGAAGUAUGACAUUGGACUUGGACCGAUUGAUGCUGUAACCUGGGCCAAGUCAAGAAGCACACUAAAGACUUUUCAGCAAACUAAGGGAUCAUCCAAAGGAGCUUCUAGUUCAGCACCUCCACCUCAUACAGAGCAUGAGGGAUCUUCAAGCUCAGGGGGAGUGAUUACUGUAGAAUCACUUCACCAUGAUGUGCGCUCGUUGAAGAAGAAAGUGGCAGAUCUUGCUAGAAAGGUAGAAAUGGGAAUGAAGAGAAUGAUGGAGAAAUUGGAAUGUAGGCAUGAUGAUAUUUUUCCUACUCAGUCUACCUACUCCACUUAUACCAGAUCGACAUCGCGACAUCCACUCAUUCCACUGUCCGGUGAUGCUCGUGAGGCUGGGGGAUCUGGAGCUGGCGCAGGAGAUGAUGAUGAUGAUGACGAUGACAUGGAGUGAUUUCUUCCUCGAGCUCAGUCUUUUUACUUCACUGUGUUUGCUUUUUAGGACGAUGUUUUAGUUUAGCUUUGCUUGCUUAUCUUUCUUUUGCUUUAGGCCUGUAACUAUGACUUGACUACUCUUAUACUUUCUAGUAUGUUUUCUCUCUUUAUAUGCUUUAUCUUUGGCAAUUUUUGCAAAAAGGGGGAGAGCAAUGAUGAACAGGUGUUGAUCGAAGCAGUGUAACUUGUAAGAGUGUCUAGGUUUCAACUUUCUAUAUCUUUUUGGAUAAAUUGUUUUGCAGGAAAUCAAGACUUCAAGACUCCUUGUUGCGUCUAAGUCAUAAAGUCUGUUUUAGGAGUUUUUUAUGUACUUUUGCAUUUCAUAUUGUAUUUGGAUCACAUGCGAGGGGUUCAAUGUUUUGGUGAUGACAAUUGAACUUCGUUUCUUUAAGAUGUAAUUUUUGAGUUUUUGUGUGUUUUGUCAUGAAAUUGCCAAAGGGGGAGAUUGUUAAGUCCUGUGUGUCGGCAAGUUUUGUGAAGUGAGUCGGAGUCUUGAAGAAUCGGUGCAUAUCGUCGAAGAUCGAAGAAUUCAAGAUUUCAAAGAAAUUGGAAAAUGACUCACGAUGUGAAUCACGAUGUCCAGGCAAAGUGUUAAUUCAUGUUAUGGUGAUUCAUAUUUAGUUGUAGGCAUUAGAAUCAUAAUAUCAAUAUUUACUGGAUUAGAAAGUGCAUCGGAACUUUGCAAAACCCGAAACGGUGAAAAUUUGCAAAGUGUACUGGUACAGCAUCAGAAGUGUAUCGGUACAAAAUGUGUACCGGUACAGCCAUCGACAUGUAACCGAUUCCACUGUUUCGUCAGUUUUUUCGUUCCGUCAUCGUGUAACCGGUGACAGCUUAAAGUGUACCGGUACACAGUGUAAAAUCGUGAAAACUUUCUAAUCCGACUCCGAUUGAUUCUAAAGCCUAUAAAUAAGCUAUUGGGGUUCUCUAACUUAUCAAGCAUCACGAAAAGACAUGUUUGAGAAACCCUAGAGGCUCGGAUUUUAUCUAAAACCUAUUUUCUACAUAUUAGCCUCUUUUAUGUCAAAUCGAGAUAUUGGAAUUUCAUAUCUAUAUAUCGAUUUGAUCUUCGCUUCACUUGGAGUUCUCUUCCUGGUUUUCAUCGAUACUCUAAGCGAAGGAUCACCAUACACAUGAUGUUCUUCAUAACGGCGUCGUGGAUUCGACGUGAUUGACGGCGGUUCGUGGAUUCGGAUCGUGAGCUUCGUGGAUUCGGACUGGAGGCGUUUCGUGGAUUUGGAACGUGGUGUUCGUGGAUUCGAACGUGAGGGCGUGGACAACCCGGAGGAUUGCGCGAGAUUCAUAGGAGGUUAAGAGAGGUUGAGUCCGUGGGGUCGGUAAUCGCCUUGUAAUCUUUUCUCUUAGUGAAUUAUUUUUUCGCGUGUUGGUCCCAUGGGUUUUUCUCCAAGUUGGAGUUUUCCUACGUAAAUCUCGGUGUGAUUUUUAUUUUUCGCAUUUAUUUUUAUCGCAUUGAGAUUUGUCGUUUUUGGCUAUUACAUCUAUUCACCCCCCUCUAGGUGUUAGAUACAAUCUAGAUAGAUCCUUGGGCUCCUCAAAACUUACAGAAGCGGGGGUCUCGAUUUGACACAAUCGAUAAUGGAACCCUAUGCCAUCUCACUACCUCAUCCAAGUAGGCUUGUGCUAACUUGUCUCCUAACCACGUGGUGUGUAUCGGCAAGAAAUGAGCCGACUUCGUCAAACGGUCCACAACCACCCAUAUUGCAUCAUGUCCGGCUUGCGAUCGGGGUAGUCCGACUACAAAGUCCAUCGCUAUGUCCUCCUAUUUUCACACGGGGAUUGGUUAGCUCUGCAACUUCCCCGCGAAAAAUCGACGCUCGACCUUCACUUGUUGGCACGUCAAACACUGUGCCACGAACUCCUCAAUGUCUCUUUUCAUGCCCGGCCACCAAUAAUGCAAUUUCAGGUCUUUGUACAUCUUAGUGCUGCCCGGGUGAAUACUAUACGGGGAAUGAUGCGCUUCUUGCAACACCAUCUUACAGAUCUCGUCAUCCUUGGGCACACACAACCGGUUUCUGAACCGAAGUGCAUCGCCGGAUCCCACGCCGAAAUCACCGGCGCGUCCGGCGUCAAAGUCAUUCCGCACCUUUUGGAGAUAUGGAUCAUCAACUUGCCGCUCCUUAAUCCGUUCCAAUAAGGUCGGUCGAACCACUAGCGCCUCCAAGAUGGUCGGAACCUCUGGCGCCACCACUUCCAAUCCAAACCGUUGCAUUUUCUUUUGCAACAACGAUUGACUAGUAAUCGCCGUCGCCAAGUUCUCAACAAAUUUCCUACAUAGCGCAUCGGCAACGACAUUAGCUUUCCUGGGGUGGUAUAGGAUAGUAAGGUCAUAAUCCUUCAACAGCUCCAACCACCGCCGCUGUCGCAUGUUUAACUCUUUUUCGGUGAAUAAGUACUUGAGGCUCUUGUGAUCGGUAUAUACCUCACAAUGCUCACCGUAGAGAUAAUGCCUCCAUAGCUUUAGCACGAAAAUGACCGCCGCUAACUCAAGAUUAUGUAUCGGGUAGUUCUUCUCAUAGCUCUUCAACUGGCGCGAAGCAUAUGCAAUGACUCGCCCAUUUUGCAUAAGUAAGAACACACCCGAGACCAUUGUAGGAAGCAUCACUAUACACCACGAAACUCUCUCCCGGAUGCAAUAAUUAAACUGCUUGUGACCCGAAUUGUGAAGAACCUGGUAGAGCUCGGAAAUGAGGUAAGCUGAAUGUUUAUCCCUGGUUUGAGUGUUUCUUUUGAUUGCCUAAGUUGAAGAAGGCAACAAGCAAUUGAGUUCUGAGCUUGAACUAGUAGCAAAAGUGAAAUUUCAGCAUUGAGAUUGAGUACAUUGAGGCUUAUUGAAGCUACUAUAGUAGUAAUGCAUAUACUACUUAGAGUCGAGAUACAAGUUUCGCUGAGGUGUAUGUAUAACUUCAGUUUAAUCUCUUUUAUUCUCCUAUGAAGGAAAGUUAAAUAUACUCAAAGGUCUAAAUUAAUAUUUCGACAGGUUCUUGGUACGCUAAUUACGAUAAAGCCAGUUAGGCUCUAUUUGCAUCUAGUCGGGUGAUACCUUCGUGGAUUCAGCCCGAGACGUGAGUUCUAAUUGUUAGCAUCACUACAGGUGGGUGGUGCUAUCCGAAGUCUUUGAAUCACCUUUUAUGUCUAUGGUUUUCCAUUGAGCAUAUUACUUGUAUUCAUGCAUCACAGGGUAGUGAUAUUAUGAAAGUGAUAUUUGAAUAUGUGAAUGUUUAUCAAUGUUGAGAAAAUGUGAACUUAGAGUGUGAACAUGGAACCCUAUGAAGGUAUGGACUAUAGCAAUAGUAAACUUGGUGACAUUCAACUAGAGAUUUGGUUAGCAUCGAAAGAUGGAAUUGUGAAACUAGUAUAAAGAACUAGUUAGAGUAAAGUGUGACAGUGUUUGUCAGUUGAAUCCUCUAAAAGGGGGAUCAGAUCAUACUCACAUUUGUUUGGUUCAAGUGGGGUCGCUCCCCCUUGGACGAUGAGCUCCGGAGUAGUCAUCUUUACUGGACCAGGAGGUUGCGUCUCCCCCAGUUGACAGUCCCGUCGGGUGCAGGUUGCGUCUCCUCGAUGUUUGGGAUAGUGUCAGUGAGUUAUUGUUAACCAAGAGUUAACCAGUGAAUUGGGUAAAUUCAAUAAAAGCAUGCAUAUUUACAGUUUUCAUAUAUUGCUUCUUUCAGCUUUGUACAGGCAUUGUAGUAGUUACAUGUUUAGUGGUUACUAUCUGUUUGCUUUUCUUGCCUACAUAUGCCUGAAUAGACCUAGUGGGUGAGUCGGCGAGGUCGGUGGCCGAACCCACUGGGAACUUAUUUGUAGUUCUCACACCACUAACCAUACAGGUUCCAGUGCGAGUGUUGUGGCCGAGGAUUGUGGCAAGGGCCCUGCAGCUUAGCUAGCUGACACCAGAGUUUUAGCAGUUACCAUUUUGAGUUCAUGUAUCAUCUAUUUUGAUGUACUGAAACAUUUAGUUAUAUACAUGCUUUAUAAUACAUACAUUAACAUGUCUCACUGGAACCUUUACCGCGGUCGCUCGCCGGCUCGCUCGGUCCCGGCUCUGUGGAAUAGUGGGUGAGAACUACAACAAAGUUCCCAGUGGGUUCGGUCCCAAUCUCACCGACUUUUCCACUAGGACUAAUUCAGGCAUAAUAGAAAGGAUAAGCAGAAUAGUAGCCAAACUAUAAUCAUGAUGCUAAUAUGCUUGAACAAUAAAGCAGGAAGUAUGCUCAAUGUAAAUCAUGCAAGUAUGCAAGUUCUUUGUUCUUUACGUUUUGUUCUUUAACCUUUGUUCUUUGUUUUUUAAUCUCAAGGCUAACCGGGGGGUUUCGUCACAUUAACUUGCCCACAUUAAAUCCAUCAUCGCGGGCCCUCAGCUGCCUCCCGCUAAGACCGUCCUCGGGUUUACUCCAACCCGUGAUGCAAAAACUCCGGAGCGCAUCGCUCGAGGGGGAGCGACCGCCUCGAGCACGGAACUCAUAGCAAGUAUGAUCGAUUUUUAACUCUAAGGAUAUAUAGUUCAAUCAUUGUCUUUACACUAACUCUAGUGUUCUUUACAUCACUUUAUUUUGCUAACUCUAGCAAUCAUUGUUCUUUAACUUUACUCGUUCUUUAUGCCACUUUCAUUUUCUUUCCCUAUCUCUAAUCAUUAUCAUUGUUCUUUGCGUCACAUUUCUCUUUGAUGCCACACACACUAACUCUAGUGUCACUUUUCUUUACAUUAUCGAAUGCCACUCGAUCUAUAUUUUAUUGUGUCACUUUGUUCUUUCAUCUCAUUGGGUGCUCACAUUAUAUCUCAUGCAUACAUAUAGGGUUAAAUAGGCUCUCAAACAUUUCAAAUAGCAUGUGUACUCACAUCAUGCAACAUUCACAUGUAUAUCAUCACAUCUACCCUAUAAUGCAUGCAACAAUAUAAAUAUAUGCUCAAUUGAAUGACACAUUAGGCAUAGAGGGAAUUCCAACAAGUUUGGAUAGCAACCCACCUCGUAAGCGUACUAGGAUACUACAAUGAUUUUCUUGGGAUUUUUAGCCUCUUAGUUCAUCACCUGCGGCAAAACGAAGUCCCAUUAGGCUAUUUUGCUCAUAUCUUUACAUUGGCUUUUCGUAACGUCAAUCCGAGCGCACCAACGCGUCGGAAAUACCCCCAAUUAGGUUUCUAGAGGGUCAAUUUCGCUUUGAAACCCUCCAGAGCAAAAGCCCCAAAUUUGGGUGCCCUAGCUCAUAGCGUAUCAAAACCUAGGGUUUGAUCUCUUAGAGAAGCAAAAGUAAGCUUCAAAUCAUCUAAAGGUUCCAUUUGAACCAUCCUUAGCUCAUUCAAAACCCAUUUUAGGGUUUCACCAUGGGAGGGAUGGAAGCUUUCCUCUAAGCUUCACCACCAACACCCAAAUCCAUGGUUUUGAUCUCUAAAAGAAGCAAAAGAAAGCUUCAAAUACUUAAUAGGUUCCAUUAAAACCAUUUCUAGGUCCAUUCAAACCCUAGUUGAGCUUUACCACUAUUGGGGUUCAAAGCUUACCUUGUAAGCUUUCCUUUUCCAAGCUAGGGAAGGAGAGGAGGGGUCUUCUUUUCCUCCUUGCCUUCUUCUUCACCUUCUUUCUCUUCUUUUCCUCUUCUUUCUUUGUCUUCUUCUUCUCCUUCUUGUCUUCUAGAGAGAGAAAGAGAGAUGAGAGGGAGUGUGUGAGGGAGAGAAUGAGAGGAAAAAGCCCUCAAAGCCCUCCACUUAACCAUUAGGUUGCACAAAAGCAAAUAGGCCCCCCAACUUUCAUUUUAUUGAACUGCUCAAACUGGGCAGAUUUCGGGUUCGGGGACCGGUCUCCCCGACUUGGGACCGGUCCCAGAGAGCUGCUCCCCGCAGCUGCGCAGGGCUCCCCGCGAUGCAACCGGUCUCUCCCAGGGGGACCGGUCUCUCGGGGAUCGGUCUCUCUCCGCAGGGAUCGGUUCCCGAGAGCUGGUUUUCUGGGACUUAGCCGAUUUUCGGCCUUUCUCAUUUCUCACGCGUUCGGGGACUGGUCUCUCCCACCAGGGACCGGUCCCCGAGAGCACAAAACCUGCAGAAUGCAGAUUUUUGAUUCUUUAGCUCUCGAAAACCUCCCACAACGCACUUUCGGUCAUUUUAACACCUUCGGACUUUCCGAAGUGCACCAUCCUCGGGCUUUGGUCAAUUUGACUAAAGUUCGAUAUUUAUUUUCCGAAUUUUCGGUAUAUUAUAUUCUCCACCCCUUAAAAUAAUUUCGUCCACGAAAUUACGCAUACCUUAACUUGUCGACUCAAAUAAAUGCGGAUACUCUCUCCGCAUGGUCUCCUUGAGCUCCCAAGUGGCUUCUCGCACAGCAUGGUUGUUCCAUUAGACUUUCACAUACGGAAUUCUUUCUUCUCUUUCAAGGAUGCACACCGGGUACUCCUCAUAAGACAUAUCCUCACGUAACUCCAGGGGCUCGUGCUCUAACAUAUGUGUCGAGUUACGAAUAUACUUUCGGAGAUUUGACACAUGAAAAAUAUUGUAAACUCUCGCGAGUCUCGGUGGUAGUGCGAGCUUGUACGCUACUGCCCCCACACGCUCUAGUAUCUCGAAUGGUCCAACAUAACGAGGACUUAGCUUCCCGCGGACCCCAAAACGUUUGACUCCUCGCAUCGGCGAUACUCUUAAUAAUACGCGGUCUCCAACCGCAAACUCUAAGUCCUUUCUUCGCUUAUCGGCAUAACUCUUUUGUCGAGAUUGCGUCGCCGCUAAUCGUUGACGGGCAAGACGAACCUUUUCUUCCGCCUCCCGUACCACAUCCGGGCCAAGAGCCGUUCUCUCGCCCACAUCGCUCCAAUGAAUAGGAGAACGACACUUUCGACCAUAUAGUGCUUCAAAUGGCACCAUCGCUAUACUCUCUUGAUAACUGUUAUUAUACGCGAACUCCGCCAUCAGCAAAAAAUCAUGCCAUCCUCCCUUAUAAUCCAGUGCACACGCUCAAAGCAAGUCCUCGAGAAUCUGUAUUGUUCGCUCUGACUGUCCAUCACUUUGAGGAUGAAACGCUGUGCUGAAGUCGAGCCGUGUGCCUAGCGCGUCCUGCUGGCUCUUCCAAAAGUGGGAUGUGAACCUGGGGUCUCGAUUCGAUACAAUUGAUACCGGAACCCCAUGAAGUCUCACAACCUCGUCGAGAUAAACUUGAGCUAGCUUGUCUCCCGACCACGUAGUAUGUAUCGGCAAGAAGUGUGCCGACUUUGUCAAUUGAUCCACUAUCACCCAUAUUGCAUCAUGUCCGCCUUGUGAUCGAGGCAAACCGGUAAUAAAGUCCAUCGCUAUAUCUUCCCAUUUCCAAACGGGUAUUGAUAGACUUUGUAGCUUUCCCGCCGAAAAUCGGCGCUCGGCUUUCACCUGUUGGCACAUUAAACAUUGCGCCACGAACUCCCUAAUAUCUUUCUUCAUACCCGGCCUCCAAUAAUACUCUUUCAAGUCCUUGUACAUUUUAGUGCCGCUCGGGUGUAUACUAUAAGGGGAUUGGUACGCUUCUUGCAUGAUCGCCCUUCGUAACUCAUCAUCCUUAGGCACACACCAUUGAUUUCUAAAUCGAAGUGCGCCCUCGGCUCCAAUACCAAAGUCUUCGGCAUUACCACUCUCAACUUCACUUCGUACUUUUUGAAGAUAAGGAUCCGAAGCUUGGAGUUCCUUGAUCUUUUCCAACAGGGUCGGUUGCACAACUAAUGCGGCAAGUGUAGCUGACACUCCCGGCGCUACCACUUCCAACCCAAGUCUUUGCAAUAUUUUUUGCAAUAGCGGUUGAGGCGUAAUUGCCAUCGCUAAGUUCUCCGCUGAUUUUCUACUCAAAGCAUCGGCCACGACAUUAGCUUUCCCGGGGUGGUAUAGUAUAGUGACAACAUAGUCCUUUAGCAAUUCUAACCACCGCCGCUGUCGCAUGUUCAACUCCUUCUUGGUGAACAAGUACUUUAGACUUUUAUAAUCCGUGUAGAUCUCGCAAUGCUCACUAUACAAGUAAUGCCUCCAAAGCUUUAGCGCGAAGAUCACCGCAGCUAACUCAAGGUCGUGAAUCGGAUAGUUCUUCUCAUAGCUCUUUAAUUGGCACGAUGCAUAAGCAAUGACCCGCCCUUUUUGCAUUAGUACACACCCAAGACCAACAUAAAAGGCAUCACUGUAGACUACAAAAGUCUCCCCCGGAGUCAGUAAGGCAAGCACCGGGGUCGACGUCAAUCUGCUCUUUAACUCUUCGAAGCUCCGAUCACAAUCGUCGCUCAAGACAUACUUUACUCCUUUAUGCAUGAGGCGCGUUAGUGGAGUAGUUAUUUUAGCGAACCCCUACACGAACCGCCGGUAGUAGCCCGCAAGUCCAAAAAAACUGCGGACCUUUGCUACAUUCGUUGGGCGAGGCCAAUCCUUUAUUGCCUCUACCUUCUUCGGAUCUACCGAAACUCCGUCGCCCGAUACCACAUGACCCAAGAAUGUGACUUCCUUUAGCCAAAAGUCACACUUCUUUAACUUUGCAUAGAGCUUCUCCUGUCUGAGUAUUUGCAACACAGCUCUCAGAUGCUCCUCGUGCUCCUCUUCAUUCUUUGAGUAAACCAAUACGUCGUCUAUAAACACCACGACGCACCGGUCCAAUAACGGCCUGAAGACUCGGUUCAUCAAGUCCAUAAAUGCUGCCGGGGCAUUAGUAAGUCCAAAUGGCAUUACCGUGAACUCAUAAUGGCCAUACCGCGUACGGUACGCCGUCUUGUGCACAUCCUUCGGCCUAAUCUUUAGUUGAUGAUACCCCGAUUGGAGAUCAAUCUUCGAAUACACCUUGGACCCUUGCAACUGAUCGAAUAAAUCGUCAAUCCUUGGCAACGGGUACUUGUUCUUUAUCGUUACUUUCUUCAACUCGCGAUAAUCUACGCAGAGUCGAAGUGUGCCAUCCUUUUUCUUUACAAAUAGCACCAGAGCUCCCCACGGUGACACGCUCGGCCUCACGAAGCCUUUAUCGAGCAAGUCUUGUAAUUGGCCUUUUAGCUCCUUUAACUCUACCGGUGCCAUUCUAUACGAAGCAUUCGAAACUGGUUCCGCCCCGGGAAUCAAGUCAAUGACGAACUCAACUUUCCAGUCCGGCGGCAGUCCUGGUAACUCCGCCGGAAACACAUCCGGGUACUCGCACACUACUCGAAUAUCCCCCAACUCUGGGUACUCCUCCUUUCGAGCAUCCACCAUGGUUGCCAAAUAGGCCUUACACCCUCCUUUGAUCAUCCUCUUUGCCAUUACAGACGAUAUGGUCGCCACGAAGCGCCUACUUUUGCACGCUUGGUACACCAAUUCUUCUUGAUCAAGCUCACAAAAAGUGAUCACCUUGCUUUCACAAUCUAUAACCGCAUAGUACUUGGAGAGCCAGUUGGUCCCCAAGAUAACAUCGAAUCCCCACAUCUGAUCUAGCACCAGCAGAUCAAUCGGCAUAAUCCAAUCGCCUAUUUGCACUGGACACGCCAAACACUCAUUGUGGACACUGAAUGAAUGUUCAGGGACGUUCACCCACCAGUAAUCCUCAUUGUAUAUCAUCUCUAUGCCAUGAGUUUGAGCAAAUGAUCCGCUAAUGAAUGAAUGAGAUGCGCCUGUAUCAAAUACUGUUCUAGCUCUAGUGCCUUUAAUCACAAUUAUACCUGCCACGACGUCAUCGGGUGCUGCAGGUUGUUGCUCCUCCACCUGAGCGGCAAAGACUCGGCCACUAGGCGCUCUUGAUCCCUCCGGCUGACGCAGUGAUGACGCGCGCCCAGCCGACAUUGCUGGUGGCAACCCCGCAAGCUGUCUCGGGGUAGACGGUGAUGAUACCACUGCCGGUGCAGACGACGUCCACGUCGGAUACUCCCGGAUAAGAUGUCCCAGUUGGCCGCACUUGAAACACUUGCCAUCGCGCUGCGGGCAAGUCGACACUCGGUGCUCACCGCCACAAAUAACACAUCAAGGAGGUCUCCAGUUCUUCGACUGCUGUCGGGGAUACCGAGAGGGUUUCUUAGUAUUUGGCCGGCCCCCGGCACCACCCGCCGUUCGCUUCUUGCCCUUGUCCUUGCUCUCGGCCAUAGCCUCCUGUUCUUCACGUACGUGGGCGCUACCGUGCUCCGCCCACAAUGCCCUGUCAAAGAUCCCCGCAAAGGUCGACAAUUUCAGAAUCUGCACCUUUUCAUAGAUCCUCGGCUGGAGUCCUCGCAAGAACCAAUCAGCCCGAUCCCGAUCAUCUCGAACAACAUCGGGAACACAGUCAAUAAUGUGAGAGAACUCUUGCUCAUAUUCCCCCACCGAUCGAUCACCCUGUCUCAACUUGCGGAACUUCUCUUGUAGUCUCCGCUUUACCGUGUCGAGAAAGUAGUUCGCGAAGAUUGCUCUCUUGAACUCCUCCCACAGCAUAAGCGGAAGAUCGGUAGGUCGAUCCCGCUUGACUCGCUUCCACCACACCAUCGCCGCCUUCUCAAGACAAUGGGUUGUAAGGUACACUUUGUCCUUCUCCGAGGUAUUGAGAUCCUCGAAGAGCGUUUCCAUCGAGUCGAUCCACGACUCCACAACCGCUGGCUCCACCAAACCGCCUUCAAAGGUAGGUGGGUCAAACUUCUUAAAUUGAAUAAGAGCUGCCAACGUGCGCUCUCGCUCCGCCUCUAUCGCCGCAUUAUCGGGAUUUGAGGUUCCCGACCCAGCUGGUACUACCGUAACUGGAACAGCCGCUGCUGCCGCUGCUCCCCCGUCUACGCUUGGCACUACCACAGGGGGUGCGACAUGCUCGACACCCGCCUGGGCCGCCGCCGCUUGCUGAUGCUCCAAGGCCUCCUGGAGCCGCUGAAUCUGUUCCCCUUGGCGUUGAACAGACUCCGCUUGUUGCCGCACUACGCCUAUAAGUGCGGCCAUCUGCUCCCUAAGCUCUCCAUCGCCACUCGCUCCGGAUCGCUCGGGCUCUGCAUUCGGCUCUUGUGGCAUCGACCUUGUCUGCGGUCGACCACGAGGUGCCAUUACUUCCUGAAAAGAAGCAACUCGCAUUAGUUACAUAACCAACAUUACUUGACCAUACCCAAUUCGGCGAAAGCAACUUAUGCAUUCGUUCUCGCCCAAAGCAUCAUGUCGUCGGCCGCCCGACACAAAACAAGGAGUAGGAAACAAAUGAAAAUUAAACUUAGCCUCUAAUCACAUUAGAGACGUCCCAACUUAACCCAAUCACAUACUUUCGCUAACUUUGAUUCCACGUCACUCACGUUUUCUAGAUCCUUAAGGUCUUCCAAUCCUAAGGGUCUCUAGGUCCAUUCCUAUUCUUUUACUCUUGGCUCUGAUACCACGAUAUCUGUCACGCCCCGGGACCGAUACCAAUUUGGCCCGGCCCGAGCACGUCAAAUAGACGCCGAACGGUCAGAGUUUCCCCUGUCCGCCCAAGGCUCAUCACAUGUACAUUUUCAAACAAGAAGUGCACUAGCGGAAACAUACAUAAACGGCUUACACGAGGGUAAGCAAUAGCCAUGAGUGAAAGAAAGGAAGCUAACUACUACAUAAGUAUUAUGAUUCAUUUUCGAUCAUAUACAUUUCAUUUCAUCCAACUUGUACAUUCAUAAGGUCUUUACAUUUCUUUUCAUCAUUUCUUUUUACAUCACAUUAGCUCAAAUGAAGCAUUACAUUCUUUGCUUUACAUCACUAGUCAUCAAAUACAAAAGAUGAUCAUAGGUAUACUACUACAAAAUGUAAAACUCGACUUGGUAGUCACUGUCAAAGGCGCGAUACCUUUACCGCAGUCGCUCGCCAGCUCGCUCGGUCCCGGCUCUGUGGAAUAGUGGGGUGAGAACUACAACAAAGUUCCCAGUGGGUUCGGCCCCAAUCUCACCGACUUUUCCACUAGAACUAACUCAGGCAUAAUAGAAAGGAUAAGCAAAAUAGUAGCCAAACUAUAAUGAUGAUGCUAAUAUGCCUGAACAAUAAAGCAGGAAGUAUGCUCAAUGUAAAUCAUGCAAGUAUGCAAGUUCUUUGUUCUUUACUCUUUGUUCUUUAACCUUUGUUCUUUGUUCUUUAAUCUCAAGGCUAACCCGGGGGUUUCGCGACAUUAACUUGCCCACAUUAAGUCCACCAUCGCAGGCCCUCAGCUGCCUACCACUAAGACUGUCCUUGGGUUUACUCCAACCCGUGAUGCAAAAACUCCGGAGCGCAUCGCUUGAGGAGGAGUGACCGCCCUUGAGCACGGAACUCAUAGCAAGUAUGAUCGAUCCUUAACUCUAAGGAUAUAUAGUUCAAUCAUUGUCUUUACACUAAUUCUAGUGUUCUUUACAUCACUUUAUUUUGCUAACUCUAGCAAUCAUUGUUCUUUAACUUUACUCGUUCUUUAUGUCACUUUCAUUUUCUUUCCCUGUCUCUAAUCAUUAUCAUUGUUCUUUGCGUCACAUUUCUUUUUGAUGCCACACACACUAACUCUAGUGUCACUUUUCUUUACAUUAUCAAAUGCCACUCGAUCUAUGUUUUAUUGUGUGACUUUGUUCUUUCAUCUCAUUGGGUGCUCACAUUAUAUCUCAUGCAUACAUAUAGGGUUAAAUAGGCUCUCAAACAUUUCAAAUAGCAUGUGUACUCACAUCAUGCAACAUUCACAUGUAUAUCAUCACAUUUACCCUAUAAUGCAUGCAACAAUAUAAAUAUAUGCUCAAUUGAAUGACACAUUAGGCAUAGAAGGAAUUCCAACAAGUUUGGAUAGCACCACCCAUCUCGCAGGCGUACUAGGAUGCUACAAUGAUUUUCUUGGGAUUUUUAGCCGCUUAGUUCGUCACCCGCGGCAAAACGAAGCCCCAUUAGGCCAUUUUGCUCAUAUCUUUACAUUGGCUUUUCGUAACGUCAAUCCGAGUGCACCAACGCGUCGGAAAUACCCCCAAUUAGGUUUCUAGAGAGUCAAUUUCGUUUUGAAACCCUCUUGAUCAAAAGCCCCAAAUUUGGGUGCCCUAGCUCAUAGCGUAUCAAAACCUAGGGUUUGAUCUCUUAGAGAAGCAAAAGUAACCUUCAAAUCAUCUAAAGGUUCUAUUUGAACCAUCCUUAACUCAUUCAAAACCCAUUUUAGGGUUUCACCAUGGGAAGGGUAGAAGCUUUCCUUUAUGCUCACCACCAAUACCAAAAUCCAUGGUAUUGAUCUCUAAAAGAAGCAAAAGAAAACUUCAAAUACUCAAUAGAUUCUAUUAAAACCAUUUCUAGAUCCAUCCAAACCCUAGUUGAGCUUUACCACUAUUGGGGUUCAAAGCUUACCUUGUAAGCUUUCCUUUUCCAAGCUAGGGAAGGAGAGGAGAGGUAUUCUUCUCCUCUUUGCCUUCUCUUCACCUUCUUCCUCUUCUUUUCCUUUCCUUUCUUUCUCUUCUUCUUCUCCUUUUUGUCUUCUAGAGAGAGAAAGAGAGAUGAGAGGGAGUGUGUGAGGGAGAGAAUGAGAGGAAAAAGCCCUCAAAGCCCUCCACUUAACCAUUAGGUUGCACAAAAGCAAAUAGGCCCCUCAACUUUCAUUUUAUUGAACUGCUCAAACUGGGCAAAUUUUGGGUUCGGGGACCGGUCUCCCCGACUUGGGACCGGUCCCAGAGAGCUGCUCCCUGCAGCUGCGCAGGGCUCCCCGCGAUGCAACCGGUCUCUCCCAGGGGGACCGGUCUCUCGGUGUCACGCCCCAAUCCACGCCAAUUCGGUCUGGUUUGGGUCACGUCAACAGACGCCGAACGGACAGAGCCUCCCCUGUCACGCCCCGAGACCGAUGCCAAUUUGGCCCGACCCGAGCACGUCAAACAGACGCCGAACGGACAGAGUUUCCCCUAUCCGCCCAAGGCUCAUCACAUGUACAAUUUCAAUAAGAAGUGCACUAGCGGAAACAUACACAAACGGCUUACACGAGGGUAAGCAAUAGCCAUCAGUGAAAGAAAGGAAAACUAAACAUACACAAGUAACAUGAUUCAUUUUAGAUCAUAUACAUUGCAUUCAUGUCUUACGCUUUGGAUUCCUUUUCAUUUCAUUACAUUACUUCAUCAUUUCUUUCUUACAUCACAUUUACCUCAAAAUAAGCUUACAUUCUUUUCUUUACUUUAUACAUUAACAUCUUAAAUCAUCAAAUACAAAAGAUGAUAAAAGGGAUAAACUGCUAACAAAAUAUAACCCAAUUCAGGUGGCCUCUGACUAAGGCGCGAUACUUUUACCUCGGUCGCUCGCCGGCUCGCUCGGUCCCGGCUCUGUGAAAAUAGUGGGGUGAGAACUACAACAAAGUUCCCAGUGGGUUCGGCCUCAACAUCACCGACUUUCCCACUAGGACUAACUCAGGCAUAAUAAAAAGGAUAAGCUGAAAUAUGGUAACCAAUCUAUAACAUGAUGCUAAUAUGCAUGAACAAAAGCAAGGAAUAUGCUCAACAUUAAUAGAUGCAGAUUAUGCAUGUUCUUUAGUUCUUUUCACUUUACUCUUUGUUCUUUAUUCUUUGUUCUUUGCUCUUUAAUCAUUAAGGCUAACCCGGAGGUUUCGCCACAUUAACUUGCCUCACGUUAAGUCCAUCAUCGCAGGUACUCACCAGCUAGGACCGUCCUUACGGGUCUACUCCAACCCGGAUGCAUAACUCCGGAGCGCAUCGCCCGAGGGGGAGCGACCGCCCUCGAGCACGGAACUCAACAGCAAGUAUGAUCAUAUCCUUAACUCAAAGGAUUAUAGUUCAAUCUUGACUUUACACUAGCUCUAGUGUUCUUUACAUCACUUUAUGUUGCAAACUCAUGCAAUAACAUUCUUUACAUUCUCAUUACUCUUGCUAACUCUAGCAAUCAUUGUUCUUUGCAUUUCUUUUACUUUUGCUAACUCUAGCAAUCACAUUCUUUACUUUUCUUUUACUUUUGCCAUCUUUAGCGUUCUUGUUCUUUACAUUUCUCGUUCUUAUUGCCCCACUUUACUUUAACUUUACACAUUGUCAUUUUCAUCAUUCUUUACAUCACAUUGGUUCUUUGCAUCACACUAACUCUAGUGUCUCUUUACUUUACAUUUUCAAAUGCCACUCGAUCUAUGUCAUUGUGCCACUCUGUUCUUUUGCUCACUUUGGGUGCUCACAUUUUCUCUCAUGCAUACAUCUAGGGUUUUGACAUUAUUAGGUUCUCAACCAUCUCAUUAUGCAAGUUGUGCUCACAAUCAUGCAAUCAUCACAUUUCAUCAUUACUUUACCCUAAAAUGCAUGCAACAAUAUAUAGAACAUAUGCUCAAAGAAUGACACAUUAGGCAUAGAGAGAAGUUCAAUGAGUUUGAGAAGCACCACCCACCUCGUAGGCUUUCAAAGGUGCUCCGAUGAUUUUCUUGGGAUUUUUAGAUGCUGCGUUCUUUACCUGCGGCAAAACGAACCCUUAUUAGGCCAUUUUGCCCAUAACUUUUCAUCGGCUUUUCAUAACGUUAAUCCGAGCGCACCAACGCGUCGGAAAUACCCCCAAUUAGGUUUUUGAAGGGUCAAUUUCACUUAGAAAUCCCCAUGAGCAAAAGCCCCAAUUUGGUGCCCUAGCUCCAAUGCAUAUACAAAACCUAGGGUUUGAUCUCAUUGGGAAGCAAAAAUAGCUUCAUUAUACUCUAAAUAGUCCAUUAGAACCAUUCUUAGGCUUUCCAAAACCCUAGUUGGGAUUUCACCAUGAGAGGUGGUCCAAGCUCACCUCUAUAGCAAAUCUAGAUUUUGAUCUCUUUAGAAGCAAAAGAAAGCUUCAAAACUCUCUAAACAUUUCACUAAAACUCACUUCUAGGUCAUUCAAACCCAUUUCUAGGGUUUUACUACAUUAGGGUUCAAAGCUUACCUUAUAAGCUUUCCCUAACUUGCACUAGAGAGGAAGAAGAUGAAGCCUCUUUGCUCCAAAAGCUUCUUCUUCACCUUCUUCUCCUUCUUUUCCUUCCUUUCUUUCCUUCUUCUUCUUCUCCUUUGCCUUCUAGAGAGAGAGAGGGAGAGAAGAGAGUGUUUGAGAGGGUGGGAAUGAGAGAAAAUCUCAUUAACCCCCAAUACAUAGCUAUUGGGUUGCAAAAUUGCAGCUAAACCCCUCAACUUUCACUUUAAUACACUGCCCGAACUGGGCAUUCCGCGCAGGCAGAGACCGGUCUCCCCGAGCAGGGACCGGUUCCCGAACGUCCACCCUGCGCAGCCAGAGUCGCUGCGCGCGAUGCGACCGGUCUCCCUUUGAUGGGACCGGUCUCUGGGGGACCGGUCUCUCAGGCAGAGACCGGUUCCCGAGAGCUGAUCUUCCAGGACUUAGCCGAUUUUUCGGCUGUCUCAUUUCAUACGCGUUCGGGGACCGGUCUCUCCCACCAGGGACCGGUCCCCGAGAGCUGAAAAUCUGCAGUUUCGCAGAAUUUGAUUCUUUAGCUCUCGAAAACCUUCCACAACUCACUUUUGAUCAUUUUAACACCUUCGGAUUUUCCGAAGUGUUCCAUCCUCGCACUUUGGUCAAUUUGACUAAAGUUCGACAUUUUUAUUUUCCGAAUUUUCGGUACAUUACAUCCCCUGUCCGCCCAAGGCUCUAACCACAUAUAAUUAGGCAAUUAACAAGAGAAUUGCAUAUAUCAUACAAGGCUUACUCGAGGGCAAGCAACAACAGAAGCGAAAGCUCUAAGCUAAAUAUACAACACACGUGAUAUUUGAUUUCUUUUGAACCAAAUUCAAGUAAGUAAUAAUAUUACAUUCCAUUCAACCAUCAUAUCUUUUUACAUUUAGUCAUCCACCAAUUACAUGAUUGUUUUCACUUUACAUACCUAAAUCAACAAAAUAAAGUUGAUACAUAUAUAACAAAAGGGAAUGACUACAAAAUGCAUAAAGUCCCCGGUGGCCGCUACCUACGGCGCCAAACCCUUGCCUCGGUCCUCCGCCGCCCCGCUCAUGCUAGGACCUGCAGGGUUAGUGGUGUGAGAACUACAACGAAGUUCCCAGUGGGCUCGGCAUCCGACCUCGCCGACUUACCCACUAGGUCUAUCCAGGCAUAAGUAUUUCAAAGGAAGAAAAGUAACCAUUACUAAUGCAACUAAUACUAUGCCUGCAAGGAAGAGUCAGUAGAUAAACAAUUGCAAUACAAAUAUGGAAAUGCAUGCAUGCUCCAAUCAUGAUCAAACUUUGGCUCUUACCCAAUCUUGCCGAUUAACUCUGUUAACCCCAAUGACUCACAACGCAAAAUUCCUUAAUAACGGAGGACUCGAACCUCCCUAGGGACCGUCAACUGGUGGGACUUUACCACGCCCAGUGGUGACCAACUCCGGAGCGCACCGCUCGAGGGGGAGCGACCUNNNNNNNNNNNNNNNNNNNNNNNNNNNNNNNNNNNNNNNNNNNNNNNNNNNNNNNNNNNNNNNNNNNNNNNNNNNNNNNNNNNNNNNNNNNNNNNNNNNNUAUUGUUUUUCCUUCGGGCCCGAGCGAGGGGCAGCCCUCCUUGCUGACUGCUGCUGUUAUGUUCUAGGCACAGCCAGCGACAGCAGCGUUUGCAGCAAGCAGCAGGAGCUGGCAAGCAGCAGCGCAUGUGCAGCAGCCGCAGUGGCCUCAGCUGCAGCUAGCAAUAUUUAUUGCGGCUGCCAGGGCCAGCAAAAAAAAGAAAGAAAAGGAAAGCAAAGAAGGAAAAGAAAGAAAACAAGAGAGAAAGAAGGAAGAGCAAGAAGAAAGAAAGAAACGAAAAGAUAGAUAGGAAUGCUAACUUGAAGUUCUGAUUUUGAAUUCUUGCUUUUGCUCAUACACAUAUAAUCUAGAAGUAAGACUUAUUAUGAGCUUUAUGUUGAAAACUGACCGUCGAUAAUGCACUUUUUGCAGGAUAAAGUCUAACAUGAAAUUACCAGUUAUAAACCUAAUGAGGUAAAAUCAAACCCUAGAACAGUUGGCGAAGCUCAGGUUUCGGCAAUCCUUGUGUAGCCUGACCGGGGGGGAGAGGGAGGGGGAUCCGCCAACGAGGGGGGUGAGUUCCGUCCCCCCCUAUCCCGUGUAAGCGCUGUAGAUGAUUUUCGUCCUUUGAUUGUUUUUGUUUUUUGCUUGUGAUUAUUUUGCUAAAAAACUUUCUUCCUUCUUUAGGUUAAGCUGCGAGACAGGGAAAGUGCUCGGUUGGUUCUAGAGGUUUCUUAAUGAACACUUCGCGAAUAUAUACCUCAUUAAGGGGUAACUUGUGUGAAUAGCUAUAUCUCAUUAGUAGUACAGAAUGGUAACAAAUACGUAUCUACGUAUCUAUUCAGAUUAAGUAGACCUGAAUAGUUUGACUCGCCAAGCUUUUGAGUUAUGCCCAAAUAAGGAUGGCCUACUUUCGUGCAGGUGUAGGCAAAGAGUCAAGUGUCUAAGCCAUCUAAAUUUAAAGUUAAUGUUCUCAUUUCCUAUUCAUUCGUUCUCUGGUGGGGGGUAGGUCAGUCAUUUUCACAACUCUAUAACUUAUAUUUCUUAGCCAUUUCAAUGUUUUAAAGUUAGUCUUUUCACUGUUUCCCUUGAAAUUCUUCAGACCUUGUGGGCGUGAGUGUGUGCGAUUGCUGUGAUCUUUUUAGUCUUUGUUUCCUAUAAUUAUUUGUACGUUAUCCCGGUUGUGGAGUGGGUUGAUCAGGUGGGGAUUUGCCUAUUAUCUCGCCGUGUCUUCCCUUCCUUUCCUUCCCCGGGACAAGCUUAAUUUAGCACUCAGUUAAACUAUAUUGUCUCCAAAGCUGAUUAUAGUUCAUUAUAAUUUUAUGCUCCUAGAAAAGGGAAUGCAAAAAUGCAGGAGGGUAUUGUUGCGUGAAUUAACAAGAUCUUUGAAGGUCUGGUAAAAUCUGUGACCUUAGUGAGGGGAUUUGUUGGAGGGAAUGUAGUGGAGAGACCGGGGAAUACGGCCCAUUGGAUUAGUCAGUACAGCUAAGUAAAUCGCAUUAUAUGUGAUAUUAGGCUUUUUUUUAGUUAUUCGCUUAAUUGUUAUUUAUUCUUUGGAUUUCCUCACACUCAUGCACCGGGGGCGGGCCGACAAAUACCGGGGGAAAAAAACACAUUUUUAUUCCUAACCCCCUUUCGGCCCCCUUUGGCAAAACACCUCCCCAAUAUGAACCCUUUUCUUCGGGGUGCCCUUCCGGUAACAACCCCCCCUUUUUACCCCCAAAGGGUGUUGGGUUUGAGGUGAGUGACUAAAUUAUACAAACCUCGUGUGUAGACCAGUCGUCGAUAGUGCUGCAUAGCAAAAAGCUAUCAGUUCUGUGAGUCUGGUGAGCUUAUUGUAUUUGAUAUUGCUUUUGAGUUCUGUAAUUACCUUGACUACAACCUUAGAUUUCAGGCUAUAACGUUUUUGCUAUCUAUUUUUUUAAACCAUGAUCUGAUAAUUGGUUGGGAAUGAAGGCUGGGACACUUUUAAGCAAGUGGAAGCGUGUAAGAUUAGGCAGAUAAAAGCUAAACAAAACUGACAAUCAAAGGCAAAAUGAUAUAGUAUAAAGUCUACCAUUUUACUCAAUUUUGAUUGUCUUUUGUGUCUAGGAACCAGAAUUUGAAUCUUUGUUAAAUAACGUAAUUUACUUAUAAUUCCGUUAGUUUGGCCAAUAAUAGUGUCCCCACCAAAGUCAGACGGUUCUGUUUUGAUUGGUGUAAUCCUCAGCUCCUUUUUUACUAUUAAGUACACGCGAGCAGUAGUUCUGAUUGGAGGUUUUCCUCAAUUGAGGUAGUCUGACGGAGGGUGGAGUACUAAAUUAGCUGGUCUGCUAGGAAUUUCUUUUUCUAGUCAUUAAUGUGUAAUAUUUCUCUUUUCCUAGUCAUUUUUUAGCUUGAUAGAUUCCAUUCUUGCUCUCGUAAUUAACCUCAGCUUAUAAUAUUAAGUAUUUUGUAUUUCAUACCCCCUUUUGGCUAAUCCUAAUUAAGUGACUGUUCGCUCUUAACGUAAUAUCUCGAGCUUAAAUAUUAAUUAGUUCCAUUCGUGGGUACUUUAUGCUUUGAAAUUAUUUUGAAGCUCCAAUGUCUGAAUUUUUCUUACCAGGUUUAAAUUACCUAUUUUGGUCGUAGAGUUGGAAAACCAUCAAUCGAGAAUAAUUCCAGCUUGGGAGCUUUGAAAAACUGAUGUAAGUGAUUGCUUUUCUCUAGUCUUAGAUCAAUCUUAAAUACAUCAGAAGAAGUUUUUUAAGUGAUUUAAUUAGAACACAUAUAUUGCAUGGUAAUGCUAAAUGUUGUAGCUGACAAUUCCUCAGCCGAUCUCCAGUGCUGAACGCCAUUAGCUAUCUGUAUUCUUUUCUGACUCAUAAAGACUUUCAUAGUCAUCCCUUUCCUCCGUCUUUCCCAUUAAGCUUAUCUUCCAUACUGGAAUCAGAUGACACUUCCUUGCCCUAGUUUAUUAGCACUAUAUCUGCUUUCAUUUAAGACUAAUCUUAGGUAGAGACUUAGAUCUAAGAACCUGAUAUACUACAUAAAGGGAAAUUAGCUACUCAAAAGAUCGAUGAUUGUUCUGGCAAAAACUGUCAGGUUCCAUGACACAUUUCUAUGAUCCAGUUCCACGCCUCCCUAAUGCUGAAUUACAUUGUUUAAUAAAGACUUCUAGAAAUACUUAUAAAGUAUUGAGCUAAGAUCUUGAUAACUCAGCCUAAAGUUGCAUGCUAUUGAUCCCUGAUCUUUGAUUAGAAAACUUAGAAGUUGAUGAGAUUUUUGAAAGUUGUUAAUAAAACUAUGUACAGUUCUAUGCUGUAAGUAGUAUUACACAUAGAUGAAUGUUGAAUAGAGAAGAUCUACUGGAGAAAAUCGGAAGAAGAUCAUGGACACGCAAUGGUAAUCUCUGUUUAUUAACUUUAUAAAUGAAGUUAACAUUCUGCCCAAAAGUUCAAAUUGACAUCUGGACGAGGGCAAAACGGGAACAGUCGACGACGCAAGACGCUAAAUAUUACCGGUAGAGAAUCCAGUUUGUCUAGUCCAUUUGCCACUGAGGUCGCGAAAGCUAUGUUGCUCGGCGCCAUUCGCGAGACGUCGAGAUCUUAGGUGGCAUUUGACACCACUACAGAGGUGGGGAGGGGGGUGUCUCAUCUGUAAGUCUUUUUUGACUCACGUGUUUUAUGCUCUUAUGGGGUAGUAUCAUUGAAGCGCGAUGAUUUACUUGCUGUGGUCUUUUUUCUUGGAUGCAAUAGAAGGGUACGUCUUCGGGAGUGUAGGGAUUGAUGCAGAGAUGAUAUUGAACGGCGGGUUGAUCGUAUGAGGUAGUAAGGGAACAUUGAUGAACUAGAAUGUGCGACAGUGUAGAACCCUAUGAAUGCACGGAGCGGAUAACAAUAGCUGAACUUUGGGGGACAUAUGGACUCGUAGAGGAUGGUGUGGCGGGUUAGCAUCGAUCAUGGGAAUUUAUAAAGACUAGCAUAAGGAGCUAUUGUUAUUAGUUAUUAGUGUGAUCUCCCUUAGUGGGUUUGGUCAGUUGAAAUCCUAAAGGGGCUUCAUCAGAUCGAGCUUGCGACAUUUGUCUUGGGUCGAGGGGGGGCAUCGUAAGCUAGUCGCUCCUCAUAUGAACGAUGAGACUCCGGUAGGUACGCUCAUCUAUACGGGACCAAGAGGAGAGGUGCCGUUCGUCCCGCGCACAGUUCGACCCACCGGGUGGGGCCGGGUCGGCGUGCAGGGUAUGCGAUACGUGGGCCCCGGAUGAUUUAGGGGGAGGGGUAGUGAGCGGGUCAUGUGAGGUCUGGUUGACCAUGGAAGACCCAGAUUAACCAAAAGAUUGAAGGGUUAAAGUUAACAUGAAAAAAGACAUGCCAUGCAUAUUUACAGUUUUAUUACUACUCCUUCAGCUUUGAUAUAAGGCAUUGAUAGUAGUGGAUACAUAUAAUGUAAGAAUUUUACUAUUCUCCCAACCACCCUUUACUGUAUUUCUAUUGCCGAAUAUAUGCUAGUUAGACCUAGUGAACAUGAGGGAAAGGGGCCAAGGGGGGGAAAAAAAAAAAAUAAAAAGGGACUUAAAAAGCGUAUUAAACAAGAGGAAAGGCAGGAAAAAGGAAGGGGAGGGGCGGCGAGUCGUCGAGAAUGGGUAGGUAAAAGACUGAAGGGGCGUACUGUGGGAACUAUUUCUUGAUAGUUCAUACAACUUACCUAUCUAACCUACAAUGUUUCCAUGAAUUUUCGGCUCUCGCAUGCGUCUUGUGACAAAUUAGUUUUGCAAAAGGCCACAAAGAAAAAUCACGAUCCUAGGCAUAAGCGAACACCAGACAGUAUAUAGAAUGUUUAACUAUUAUUUUGUUAUAGUUCUAUUGUUUAUCAUUUUUAUUUCUUGAUUAUGUAAAUGUUACUUAUUUUUUUGUCAAAACUUUAUGAAUGUGCUUAAUAAAGCAUGUAAUAAACUAAGAUAGUUUUUAAGUAUUAAGUAAAGUUUUAAAUACAAUGGAUUAUCAUGUUUAGUUAGACUUACUAUCACGUGGUUGUGCUUGUCUUCGUGCAAGCCAAAUGUAUAUUUGAUUAAUGUAUAUUCCUUUGGUAUUUUUAUUUUCUUAUAGUACAUGCUUAUUUUCUCUUUUUGUUAUUUUUGAGUUCCAUUUUGGUUCAAAUAUAACGCCGAACAGAGGAAAGUGACUGUUACGAUUUCAAAAUUAGGAAAGAUCUCGUGUCCACCCAGCGAAGGCCCGAGGACCUUUUGUUUAACGACAAUCUGUUUGCUGGUUUUAGAUAAAGCGGGACGUGACAGGAUGCAGUGCCAGCUAGAUAGCAUGUCGUAUAGGACGACGGUAUAAGGUAGUUGCUUAAAGAGACCACGAUUGCCAUGGUGUUACCAUUUGUGAAAGACUUUGUGGAGCCUAGAGCCACCCAAAUAAAAAAGCCUUGCCUUUUUGUCGGGUAGGGCAUCUCAGUCAGGCUGGUUGAAGGAGUGACAGCGCACCCGCAGACCACGGGACGGGGUAAUUAGUGGCAGUAUUGUUAGUUUUAUCUUUAACCAGGUACAGAAGAAACUUUGUGUUGUUUAGUCCGUUAGUGUCUUUUUAGUAUCCUUUGUUUCUUUUUUUUCUUUUCACGCGUUGGAUGCUACCGUGUUUUAGAUCUUUUAAUUGAGAUUGAUGAACACAUGAAGAAUGAAUUGUAGAAGACCUCUCACUAUCCCUCAGAGGAACUGUGGAACGUGGUGUAGGUUGGUGAGUCUUGGUAUGCUCCUAGAUUGGAGUGACUUGGGCACCUACCCUUAAAGUGUGUGAUUUGUCGUAUAUUCAUCAAAUGAGAAUGAUCGCCGAUGAAUGAUUGGUCUACGAACCGAACGAGAAGCGCUAUGCAUAGAUAUGCGACAAGUAUGGGCUAGAUUAAGCCUACGUAGGACUGUUUUUUAGUAUUUGGACCUGUGUCUCCAAAAAUUCAACCAAUUGAGAUCAAGUAUUUUCUUGUCUUUAUAAAAAGGAUAGCAGGGUGGCCAUUAUCAGAUGAGUUAUACAGCGUGUGAUUCGGGGGACGAAUUAGUGUUCAGUAUGGAAGUCGAAUUGCAAAGAGCGAAUGAAUUGUUUAAGUAAGGAUGGCGGUUGUUUUAGUAGUCUACUAACGCCCGACUAAGGCGAAGUAAAGCUUGCGUCUCGUUUUUGUUGGUUACUAUCUUUUCGAGUAUUUCUUUAUUAUAUAGUCUCCAUUGUUCUUUUAUGAUGUUAUUGUGUGGAGCGUUUGUAGUAAUGAUUUGCCUCCUUUUUUAUGGAAUUGAGAUCCCCAUGAUUGUAUUGCUGUUAGAGGUUGUGGCAUUCUCGUUUUUUUAUCUUUUGUGAGCAUAGGAUUUCUAGUUCGAGAUUUUGAAGCGACUUCUUGCUGGUGUUUAAAAAACAACGUUUUGUGUUCGAUUGCUUUUUUUUUAUUAUUUCUCAUUUCUCGAAAUUGCUUUUUCUUAAGCAAUGCCGGUUAUUCGAAUUUCGGAGGAAAUUCAAACUGGGGGUCCACCUUCAGGAUUUUUUUUUUGAAGGUGAGUAGUAGAGGUCGAAAGAAGCAGUUCCUGAUUGUAAGCACGUGAUUGGUUUUACUUGCGAUAUGGCAUAAUAAUACUGAAAACUAUCUAUGCUUCUUUUAUCAUUCUUUCCUUGUUUUCCCUUGUGUGUGUUCGUUUCUUUUUUUGGUUGUGGGCCACUGGUGUAUUUGUAGUUUUCUUCUAAUUUUGUGGUAUUAAUUUAGGGCACACCCUCUGACAACCUUUAUGUUUGGUUCUCGAUGUCAUUUGGAUAUUGUUUCCCUGUGUUAUUUGUCUCGAUAUAUGUUUCCCUGUGUGAUUUCUUUUUUAAGGAGUGUAUUUUUUGAGUUACUUAACACCAUAGUACUCUGUGUGUGUUCACGAAAAUUCUUUUAUUUAAGCCUGGGCUUUUUAGAGAAAUGUAAGGGUGUUGAAUGUUUAAAUAUUAAAUACCGACUCAAAAAUCAUGAAAUUAACGCUGUCCAUUUGGAUUGGAAACAUAACAUUGAUUGAUUCCAGGUAAGCGUUGCGGUUGAAAUGUAACAAUUAGUACCGGAUUUAAAUAAUAGAAAAAUAUAGAAAUAAAUAAAAAAUAGUAUGGUUAGAUACUAUUUUUAUUGAAUUUAGAGAAGAUGAAAUAUAAGUGGCGAAUGACCUGCUGCUGAAAUCGGAAUAAAACAGAAGGAUUUAGAAUUUUCUGUUGAAACGGGCAGAUAAGUUGAUUAGCAUGUUAAUAAAUGCACGCUCUCAGAAAUAUGAAAAUUGAGGUAUAAGUCAGAAAUAUUUGUUUAUGAGGGGCUAAUUUAGCGUUUCAUAUUUUCUGACACCUGUAAUGGAGAAAUAAAAAUCCGAAGAGCUAUCUGAUAAGAUUGCAGUCUUGAUUACCAAAGAGGGGGAGGGGGUACGAGUGUGUUCAGGGGUGGUGAGCCAGGGGUCGGGGGGGGGGGAGUCAAUAUUAGUUAACCAAAACACAGACGAAGAAAGUUCAAAAACUGAGCCACAUAGAGUCGUACAAGCUUGUAAGUAUACGAUAUAAAACCGAAGCAUGACUGUCAAGCUUUGAUCUCAAACGGUAAACAAUUAUCAGGAGGAAGUUCGGCGAAAAGAUAUCGGCAUUUCAAAGACUGCCCGGGAAUGAAUAGUGUAUUGAGGGGGUUCGUUAAUAUAUAGAAGAUAAGCAACAACUUCUUCUCCCCCUCAACCGUGCACACCCAAGAUUCACACGCACACACGCAUGAGAAUGAAGGAGAACAGAAAUGUCCCUCCUCUCUCUAAGAACCCCUUUCUCCUCUAAAAUCUCUUGCCAAAGAUGUGAUGGAUUUGCGUGGAGAAGCUAAGCUUGGAAGGUUGAUCCUUCUAUCACUUCAUCUUCUUCCUCUCCAUUGGAGCAUACUGUUGAAGGUAAGCUAAUCAAAAAACUCCAUGAUAAUGGGGCGGGAUUUCUCUAUUGCUUGGGUUUUAAGCUAGAAAAACCGAAAAAAGGAUAGUAUGGCUUUCCUGAAUUCGCUAAAAGAUGAUUGUAUGGCUUAGGUCCAUAAGUUGUAAUGUGUAGUUUUACCUAUUUGAACCAAGAGCUCAAAAAUGAAAGGCUUAAAACUGCGUAGAUCUCUAAGAAUAGUCUAAUCUUGGAAAUUGGUUAUAUAAUAACCACCCACAGUGAUGGGUCUUAGAUUAGAAUGGUUUAAUGCUUUGAAUUUUCUUUAAAGUAAUUUUUAUUAUGUAUAUUCUGCAAUAAGUUUGAUAUAAAACUAGGGACUCAAAAUGCUAACUUUCAAUAAUUUUGUUGUUGUUUUUUUUAUUCUCUUUUUUUAUACUCUCUUUUCUGCUUAAUACAUUAGUUGCGUUUUAUGGUAGUUUUAAGGUAUACGAAAAUACGCUAAAACAAUGUCAUUGUUUGUCCGCUGAAGAACUCGUUCUGCAAGUUUUCCGACGACGCGCUUACAAAUUAAUUAAAAGAAACGGACGUUAGGCUCGGUUUCCGCCUGGAGCCGAUAUUUGGCUGUACGAUCAGUAAAAUCCUGACAAACGAAGACAUCAGAAGGCAGUGGCUGACAAGAAACGAAGACUGUUAAGUAUUUCGAGAAGUAUUGCGGAAUCGAAAGGCGUUUAAUAAAGUUUCAUAAGGCUGCAAAAGACAAGCGGAUUGGAUGCAGAGGGGUACCGAACGGCGUAGCUCGGCGGCGUGGGGAAUCAUGCAGGCCGAUUAGCAAGAGGUGGACGCAAAGAGCGAGCUUUAAUUCGGAAGCGCUGCUAUUUUUGAAUCACAGGUUAUUUGGUGUUUUCUUGUGUGUGUUUUAUAUGCCAUCACGAUAGUCAUCGGGCUUCUCCUAAAAAAUAAGUUUUUUUGUUUCAUUAGUGCUUAAUCCUCCUCCCUCUCGUUUCAUUUCAUUUGGUUAGCCCAUAUUUGUUAUGUUUGCUUAUGCACUUUUUUUAGGGAACGACAAUACAUGCAUAUGCCUAUUCCUUAUAUUGAAGUUUAAUAUUUUUAUGUUGAUCGGAAGAUAAUAUUUGAGUAGUCGGUUUAUUUAUGAUUAUUAUAUGGAGUGUUUUCUUAAUAUAUCUUGUAAUGGAUAAGAGAGAGUAAUCAUAUGACUUAUUCGUAAAGCUGUAUGAUGAAUAUAAAUGAAGAGAAUGAACCUAGUUUGUGUAUUUAAAGACAUAUUUACAAAAGAAUUUAAUUUGCAUUUUUGAACUUAUUGUUAUAGCUUAGAAAAAUGCAACAUGACUUUAACUGUAGUAAUGGAUUUUGGUUAAAGAAAAAACAAAAGUGGCUACUGGGAAACUUCUUAUUGUUAACAUUUUUGAUACAAGUUUAUUUAAUUAAUUUUCGUUAUCCAUAUUGGAAAUGCGCAGGGGAGUGUAAAAUUUAUUAAAACAUAAAAGUUAUUUAAAGUUUUUUUUUGUACUUCGUGGUCAAAUUGUAUACUAUGGUCUCUCUAUAGGACAAAUAAUUAAGGGUCAGAGGUUGUUAGUUGUUCUUUUUGUAGAUCAAAUAACAUUAAUUUGUUUUUUCUAGUUUAUUGACCCAUUGAGAUUGGAACUUAGUGUGUGGAAAACCCUAUCAAAGUGGGGCAAAAAUGUUUGAUGAUUAAUGUGAGUUUAAACUAGGGGUACAUUAGCAGAAAUGACAUUAAAAUCAUAUGAAUUUUUGCUAUAUUUUGUUUAUUUUAUUUGUCACUUAUUUGUUGUGCAAUAGAAUAGAAUAUAUGUUCACAAUGCUCAUAUUGCAUGUAGUUAGCUAACAGCUUAAAAUGAUUUGAUUCAUGAAUCUUUAAGUAUGCAUAGAUCGUGUCAUAUUUAUAUGCUAUUUGUAAUAUACUCAGGGGCUAUGAGUUAAAGAUCUCUGACCUAUGUUUUAAUUAUGUUUAUUUUUUUUUAAUUCUUUUUAUGUUAGCUAAAGAACUAGUAUGAGUGUAUAUUACUUACAAAAUGGUAAAUGUAACUGAGCCUCCAAAUGAACGAAAUUUAUUUGUUUCAUUGGUCAUUUCUAAGUUUUUUAGAUUAAUAUCUUUAUGUAUGUUUAGUUGUGUAUUUAUUUUGAUUUGGUUAAUACCUUUGACUCUUUGUAGAAAACCUUUAUGUUGUUAUUGUUGUAUUUAAUUCACUUAUGUUACAGAUGCCCCCUUUUUAAUUUUUCUGGUUUUGUACAAUUGAUAACAUCCUUUGAUUCCUAUGUAUGAGUGAUUGACCGCUUAUUAAGGGUGGUUAUAGCUGCUUGUUUAUUUUUUGUCAUCGGGAGAAUGAAUUCUACUUCUUCCUAUUGCCUAGUCUGUGCUGUGGGGUUCGCUCCCUCCAGUUUGGCGCUCCGGGAGUUUUGGUCUUACUUAGAGAGGUUCAACCUUGCUUGCUCUUCGGUAAGCCCGCUUGUUAUCCGCAGGCGUACUCGAGGGAUCGACCAACUAUGGCAUCUCUCUUAGGAGAUGAUAUGUGACCUUGCUGUGAACCUUGUGUUCACCACCGAGAUUGUGUUACCUAUUGAGUCAUACCCGAUUAUUCUUUUGUUAUGAUAGCUUGCUUUCCAUUAGUGUUGUUGUUGUUCAUAAGUAGCUUACUAGUAGUAUGGUUAGGGUUUUUACUUAUUUUUUUUUUGCUCUAUUCCUCUCAUGCAUAUAAAUAUACCAUUUCACCUAAGAAGAUUGGCCCACUGUCUGGGAGUAGCCUAUUGCAGUCACUCACUCAUAUAUUGUUGUUCAUGAUAGUUGCUUCCAUAGUUUUUGUUCAUUGUUCACCAUAUGAGAUUUGAGUAGAAGCUAGCCGGCGGGGGUUCAACAGGUUGUAUCUAGUAAGUCGAGAUGGUGAGUGGCCAAAGUGCGGGUAGCCUUUGCUUAGGAACCUUGACAUUGAGUCGGCGAGGGGCGAGGGCGUAGCUCUUUGCCUGGGACUCACGAGAUUGGGUCAGACCUUUGAGAUAUGAGUCGAGUAGAGACAGAGUGAGGUAGCUCUUCACCUAUAGAUUUGAAUCUUAGGCAAGUUAGCAGCGGAUUGGUAAUAACAUGAAUAGCAUAAGAGAUUGCAUUCAUACCUUGAUUAGACAUAGUUGCAUGGUGCUCAUAAACUUAUGUUGUUGUAUGUAUUUAUCUUCACUGUUGAGGCAUAUUAGAUGAUAAGAUAGCUUGUGCUUAGAUGAUGUUCCAUGAACUUUGCAUUUGCAAUAGCCAUUAGUAGAUAUAAGUCGUGCAGACUUUCCAUAUAAUGGUGUCUAUCUAGUCGUAUCUGGGGUGGGGCGUUGCCAGCUUAUGGAGAGCCUAGUGGGGAGGAUCGGGCUAAAGGCUGGAGAUGCGGCGGCGAAUCCACUGGGAACUAUAUUAUAUAUUCUCACCCCGUUUGUUUUGGUUGUGCCUACAGCGUUUAACUCACGGGAGAAGAAGCGAUCGGCACAGAGAGAUCGCGUUAUGGCUUAGCGCCCUCCAGCCCCCGCCUUCUAGUUUGAUCUAGUUUUUUACUUUUUCCUUCUAUAUUGCAUUAGAGUUACCUAUUACAUAUAAUUAGAAGUAGAUGAUGUAUAGGAUGUGAGUAUUUUAGAUAAAUGGUAAACUAAGUUUAUCUCUUUGAAGAAUAAUGUAAGCUUAUAUUCAUAGUUUGGAAAAGAAUGCAAGUUGUAAUUAAAUGUAUCGAGCUGAAUGGUUGUAAUAGAAUAGUUAAGUAUCUCUCUUUUGUUUCACUUGUAUGUCUUCUACUUGUGACGCUUGCUCUUGUAUUGUUCAGCACUGUUUGUGCUCUCGCUGUUGUUGCAUGAUCAUGUAUGUAUUCAAGUUGAUUUCCUGGGGACUUGUUGUACAUGAUCUCGUUGUUUAGCCUUGGGCGGACAGGGGAGGUGCUGUCCGUUCGGCGGUCCGCCUGCCGCGCCCGAACCGUGCCAAAUCGGUAGCGGCCUCGGGGCGCGGGGCGUGACACUAGCGAAGUGCUAGAAGUAAUCUAUGGCGAGAAGUGAGACUCGCGGUAGAGAUAGAAGUGGCGAAACGACUCUCAGAGCAAUAUGAAUAAUAAAUUGCGAGAGUUGAGCCAUGAUGCUUAUGAGAACACCCGAGUGGCCCGAAAAUUUCGGAUGUCAUUCCGGUAGAUUGAACAGUGAAGGUAGCAUCACUGUUGAGAGAACGGUCGAUUAGUGGCCAAGUUUGAGCACGUGGGCCUAGUAGUACCUCAAUGUGAGGUAAGAGGGUCGUGCUUGUGUAGUUGGCGUACAUAGGCAAGAACUGCCUAACACUAGACUUAGUGUGGAACGCUAUAGAGGCGUAUGACGUUCGAGUAUAGGUACUCGUGGAGUGCGGAUAUGGAUCAGCCGAGUGAGUGUGUUGGCAGUAGCACUUGAGCAUUGCUAGGUGUGAAGCGUGCCAUGGAUCACUCGUGGGAUUGGGUCUUGUGACAUAGAAUCCUAUAGCGGCAUAAAGAGCCGAACUUGGACAUAGCCUAGUAGAGGGGCGUUGAACUAGUGUAGUAAAAACACUAAACAAGAACGAGUAGCAUGUCAAUUAGCUAGAAAACUUACUACAAUGAUCAAACGAGUGGCAUUGAGUCUAGUAUUGUAAACUUGACAUGAACUUAGGGAUAGUAGAGAUCCCGGCAUUUAGUAUGCAUUGUAUUUUGUGCAGCAGAGACACAUUGAUCCUAGUAGACAGGGUAUCCUCUUGUGAGGAUUGGAUCAUACUCACUAGUCUGUUUUUGCUUGUCGGUGGUCGCUCCACCGAGGCACGAGUCUCCGGAAUACUUCACUAGGGGCAGAUGUAGUUAUCCCGCAGACGGUCUCGGUGUGCGAGUGCAGUUUCUCCUCACCUAUGAGAUUGAGAGUGAGUCGAGGGUUUAACCUACGGGUUAACCAAGUAGAUUGGGUAAUAAACAUGAAUGCAUGGUAGACUUGCAUGAUUACCUUGAGAAGACAUAGUGUAUGUUGUAGUUUGCAUUGCUAUAUACUUUUCUAUACUCAUGACAUGGUACUAGCAUGAUAGUAGUUGUUGCAUGCAUUACCAUCAUUGAUGGCAUGAUAGAGUAGUUGCAGUUCAUUUCUAUAUAUAUCUAUCUAUCUCUCUAUCUGUGCCAGCUUAGACCUAGUGGGAAAACCGGCGACGUCAGCGGCCGAACCUACUGGGAACUAUAUUUAUAUAGUUCUCACCCCGUGUGGUUUUGGGGUAUAGGUACACACAGAGGCGAGUCAAGCGAGGACCGCGGCAAGGGCGUAGCGCCCUAAGUGAGCUUAGUUAGUAGCUUUUCCUUUAUGCAUUAGAGUACCCUCAUGUACUAGAUGAUGUUUUGGAUAGAUAUGGGAGAGCUACUUGUAUUUUGAGAAAAAUAUGUAUUUACAUUUUGGAAGAUGAAAAAUGUAAUGUAAUCAGAUGAUGUAACUAUUGAAUAGUUGUAAUAGUUAGACUAUCUCUCUUUAUAUACUUGUAUAUCACUUGUGGUUCUUGCUCUUAGAUGUAUUGCACUUAUGUGCACCGUAUUCGAUCAUGUAUGUUAUUUAAGCAAAUUCCUAGGUGCUUAACUGUACAUGAUUUGGUUGCUUAGCCUUGGGCGGACAGGAGAGGUGCUGUCCGUUCGGCGGUCCGUCCGGCACGCCCGAACCCUGGCCAGAGACCUGAACUCCCUGGCCAGGGGCUUCCAGGUCUUUUUGUCGUAAAGGUCUGAAUCGGUUUAAAAGUCGAAAAAGUGGCAAAAGCGAGGCAAAAGCGAGCAAACUGGAGGCUAAGCAAAGUUUAGCUUGGUUCUGAGAGGGUUGUACAAAAGUUCGUACAAAAGUAGUAGAAAAGUAGGUACUAUUACGACCUAAAUUAGGUACCUGGUUGUACCGGAAAGUCGAGGGAAAAUCACGGAUGCGCGUGGCUUAGCGGGCCUAAGAGGGCUUGAAGUGGCCUUGGAAAGUUUACCGAAAGGUUAGCUUCUAUGUGGUAUUGAAGUACCAAAAUCUUCAGGCCAUGGAAUGUGUUAGAGUGGCUGAAAAGGUGAUCCUGAUUGAAUCCGUAUUAUCUUUCCUAUUCGUCUUAUCAUUGGUUGGAUAUUAGUACUACGAUUAUACGGACUUGUUAUUUCGUUCUUUAUAUGAGUUGCAUUUAGUACGUUUAUACGUUUAAGAAACCAGAAAUGGGAAAUAAGAAAUUCGAAACAAGAAACAAGAAAUUAGAGUGCCGAUUGGGCCCCCAAAGCGGUGUAAUUGAACGGGUGUAAUUCAGGUAGUAGCGCCUGGGAGUCGACGGAGGGCGAUUAUGGCAGGAGCCUAAAUGAGAUUGGGCACUACGUUUUGAGGCCUCGCGUAGCGAGCUCCCCCUCGCUGGCGGGAGCUCGUGCCUUGAGUAUCGUUCAUACUAGCUAGGAAUUGAGAUUCCUAUGUAUCAAGUUAGUAACAGAAAUGUGAUUGAGAUCACAAGAAAUGUAGUGAAAUAAAACGAUUGAGAUCGUUAGUAGCAAGAAAUUGAAAUGAGCAAGAAAUACGGUGAAAGUAAAAGAAAUGAACAGAGAUUAGUAAUCACAGUGCGGGGCGGGGUUUAGGUGAUGGUUAAACCGUGNNNNNNNNNNNNNNNNNNNNNNNNNAAGGAGGAGGAAGCUGAAGAAGACUUCAUCCUCAUAUCUUCUUCCUUGGCCAUUGGAGAAGCUUGUUUGAGGUAAGCUUUACACCCUCUAAUGGUAGCUUCUAGUUUAUGGGUUUUUAAGCUCUAGAAAUGGAAUUUAAUGGUGAUUUAGAGACUGUUAAUCUCAUUUGUUGCAAGAUCUAUAGCUGAUGUUGCUCUUGCCACACAUGAGGAGUUAGAGCUCCAAAUGAGAGCUUUAAUGUAGAUCUCUAGGGCUUGGUCUUAUGCUCUAGAAAUGGAUUUAGUAGCCUUCCUAGAUGCUAAUUAGAUGGAUUGUGUUUAGAUCCAAAGUUCUAAUGUGGGUUUUUGUCUAAUUGCGACCUAGGCUCCAAAAUGGGGUUUUUUCAAAUAUAAGGUUUGAUCUCAUUUGAGUGGUCAAAACCUAAUUGUUAUGUCUCCGAACGCGUAGGAAGCGACGGUUCGUCGAUUCGUUGAGCGGGUGCGACGUUCCGGCUAAAACAAGUGUUGUAGGUUCGUUUCUGCCUGGAGGGCCGAGGCGACGUCGUAAGGUCGUGAAAAUGGAUUCGUGGCAUUCGUGGCAUCAAACCGAAGACCUAUAAUUUCGGAGGCUGCGAAGGGAACACGAUUGAGGCGCGGUUGCAAGUAUUGGCCUGAACCGGGUCACGGGUGCCACGGGAGGCCGAUUGCAAGUGACUACGAGCAAUCGAACUCGAUGACAGGUGGGUUUGUGUUUUACCGAAGCGACUAGGUCGCCUGCAUGUCAAAGUGUAUUAUGAGUUCCUGUUGACGCAUAUGUAUGAGCAUAUUGCUAGAUGAUAAUGCAUAGUAACAUAAUGAGGAAGCAUAUAUAUGCGUAAUAGUAGCAUGUGAAUCAUAAUAGUGAUGGUUGAUUAUGCUAAUUAGAAAUUGCUUGUUAAUGCAUCGAAUUACAUGCUAGGUGAUGACAUGAUAUAGAGAUGCUAGUAAAGUACUUAAUUGCAUGUUGAUAUACAUAUGCAUAGUGAGGUAUGUGCUCGGGGUACUUAGCAUUAUGAUAUCAAGCAUAUGGCAAUGUGAGCAUGUGCAUGAGAUUAUGUGAUCGUAGAAACUCGAUGGGAACAAUUGCUAGAUUAUGUAAAUAGAUCGAGUGGCAUUACCUAGUGUCAUGAACAUAGGAUUGAGCAAGUAAACCUAGAAUCAAGAUCUAGGUAGAAAUGACAUUAAACCUAGUGUUGUGAACUUAGGUUGUGGAUUGAACCUAGGUAAAUGGCAACCUUGUGAAUGUGUACAAGUAGUGUGUUGAGAACGAGUGGCACCUAGUUAAAUUUAAAUAACUUGACGAGUGGCAUGACAAGUAGAGUAUAAGUGUAAACACUUGUUGUACGUUGAACUUAGAAGUGAACUAGUUCCCAUGUGGAUGUCUAGAGUGUAGAUAUCCUCAAUGAUGGGAUUUGAUCAUACUCAUAUGUCUGUUCGAAGCUUGUGCUGGUCGCUCCCACAAGACAGUGUACUCCGGAGUUGUCACACGAUAGGGAUAGCCUUUUUGGGUCCCGAGGGGUUAGCCUUUUUGGGCCCCGCAGACAGUCUAGGGCGAGUGAGCUGAUCCUCCCCAUGUGAGUCAGAAGUGAGCUGAUCCUCACCUGUGAAUUCAGAUUGGUUGGGUAUUUGUGUGAGUGGGGGAGUGAGCGGAUCCUCCCGAAGUGUUUAGAAUUGUGAGUCGGGCGAGUGAGCGGAUCCUCCCCGUUGUGAUUAGAUUGUGAGUUGGGUGAGUGAGCGGAAUCCUCCCCGAAGUGUUUAAAUUGAGUCGGGCGAGUGAGCGGAUCCUCCCGUGUGAUUAAGAUUGUGAGUCGGGCGAGUGAGCGGAUCCUCCGACCAGUGUUUGGAUUGUGAGUCGGUGAGUGAGCGGAUCCUCCCCGUUGUGAUUAGGUUGUGAGUUGGGUGAGUGAGCUGAUCUCACCUGCGAGAUGAGUCUUAGUGGAUUUGUUCUAUACUAGACAUAGUAUGUUGAAUAGAAACCUUAGAGAGUAGCUGAUGUAAUAGAAAUAGUAUCGAAUGAACUACUUAGUUGAUUGCAUUGCAUGAAUUGGCAUGUAGCAUGGCAAUUGUUGCAUUUGUGAGGCAAAGCAUGGUAAUGUUAGUUGCAUAUUAUAUAUAUCAUAUCUAUCUGUUUAUUAAACUAACCUGCAGUUUGAGGCCUUUGAACCUGUUGGUGAGCUUUUCCCUUGGUGCCGUACCCAUGGAACCAUAGAGUGGUUCUCACCCCACUUGCUUUGGGGUGUUACAGGUUCGCACGUGAGCGGCGCGGCACGCGAGGCGAGGGCGUAGCUCCGUAGAUAGCACCCUACUCCAGAGACCAGAGAUAGUAGUACCCCCGUCUCCAUAGCUUAGGGGUAUAGAGAUGAAAAGAUCCAAUGUAUCAAAAUUUGUAAAGAAUAAAUGAUGUAAUAACUCAGAUUGCAUUUGGAUGGAAAGAAUUGUAAUUGAGAUGUAAAAAAUGUAUGAAUAUGAAGCAUGUAAUAAUUUAGGAUGUGUUAUGUUGUUGAUACCUUCCUUUAUGCAUUCAGUGUAUAAUACUGUUCCUGCUUGGAACCUCUUGUAUUAUACUGUUUGUUGAGCCUUGAACGUACAGGGGGAGACUCUGUCCGGUACAGGGGAAUCCCCGUCCAUUCGGCGCUGUCGGCGGCCCACCCGCCAAAUAGGUAGCGGGUCGCGGGUCGUGACAGGAGAUGGUAUCAGAGCAUAAAGUAGAGAAUGGGCAAUAUUUGUAGACAGACCUAGGAGAUCCUAGGAUAGUGAAACCAUAGAGGCUAAGGCUCGUGAGAGAUGAGGCUUGUGAUUUUUUGGCGAAAAGAAUUUAUGAAAUUGGGUUGUGUCGUGAACCUUUAAAACUGAUGUUAGAGGUAGAUUCAAUGUGUGGUGUAUUCUCAACCGAGAUGAUCAUGUUGGGUGGCAAACAACAUGAGGCCGAGAGAUGAGAAUAGACGCCCUGUGUAACUUUCGCACCGAUUUGAGUCGAUGUCGGUUGUUUCGUACUUGACCUAGAGGGUCGAGAACGUCGAGUCGUUUGCGUUUAAGGACGCGAUGGUGCCGGCGUAAACGAUCUUUGUUUAGAUCGGCACGGGAGGGGACAGGUGAUUCCCUGAGGCAGUCCGAGGUUCGGAUGUUAUUCCGUUGAAUGAACAGUGAAAGCAAGAUCACUGUAGUAGAAGUGUUUGGUUAGUGUAAGUAGGGCAGGUGGGCCUAAUAGUACCUCGAAUUGAGGUGGGCGAGUCGUGCUCGUGUGGGUCGGUGACUGUGGUUCAUUUGUGGAAACCGAGGUGAUGUUUGGCCAAUAACUCUGUCGAGGAGUUUGGCUUGAUUUACGAACAGAGUGUCAUUGUGGGUUUUGUUUGUAGGGCUAUUUGCAGUUGGAAAAUGGCAAUUGAAAGAUAAGGUAAAGUGGUCUCUUGGAGACACUUGAAUAGCAGAUAGCCACGUGAGAGUUGGAGUUGAAGCUCUCAGCGAGUUGAGCUUGAGGGUAAGCUCUUUUUGGGUUAACAUUCGAGAUGCUAGAGUGGACCAUCUCGUGAUAGAGGUAAGGAUCUAGUUGGAUAGAAGCACUCCUGACUUGAUCGAUGCCACCAAUGAAUUGCUUCUAGGCAAUGCCGGUGGUCGGAUCGGAGUGAGUUCCCCGAUUGGUGGCGUAAUGCAAGGAGUAGUUCCUUGUGAGCCAGUAGUGCAAUUUUGAUGUACACUUAGUGAAUGUGAGUGGAUCUAGUCUUAUAUCCUUCGUAGUGGGCCUUUGGAAAUUCCGAUUAGUGAAUGGCCACGUCCGAGAAAGAAAAGUGGCAAUUGGAAUCCCGAUCUAGAUAAAUCGAGUUACGUGUGAAUUGGAUUGGAAGUUAGUUGAGUUUCGAGGCAAACUCUUUUAAGGAGGGGAGAAUGUAAGGUACCGCACUUCUAAAACCAUGAAGUUAUGGUGUAUCUUCGAUUGAAAGCCAUUUGAAAGGUUCCGGUGAAGUUCGGGAGAAUCCGGCGAUUCGGUGCGCGUAGGCGCUAAAAAGGGAGCCGAAAGGCCCAUGUUUGGUCCAUGGAUUAAAUCCAGCAUUAUCAUGGAUGGAAAAGAUGAUGAAAACAUGCUUGAAAACAUGUUGGGAGAGUCUUUGGUUCGAUUUGAAACGAAUCCGGGUACAACGAGCGAAAACGGAGCGAAACACAGGUGAAAAAACUGAAAAUUUGGCUAAGUCUGGAAAUGCUGUUUUUCUGGACCUUCGGGGACCGGUCCCUCAAGUCCAGAGACCGGUCCCAGCACCCGAAAAUGGCCCAGUUUGGGCUGUGUGUGACUCAUUUUGUUGAGGGACCUUUGUGCAAUUGUGCAAAGUGUAUAGAGGGUGUUGGAGGCUUAUUUCUCUCCUUCUCCCUCACAUUGGCAACCAAGUAGACCUCUCUCUCUCUCUAAGCUCCCACUCUCUCUCUCAAGAAAGAAAAGAAAGAGAAGGAGAAGAAGAAAAAGGAGAAAGGAGGAAGAAGCUUGAAGAAGACUUCAUCCUCAUCUUCUUCCCUUGGCCAUUGGAGAAGCUUGUUUGAGGUAAGCUUUACACCCUCUAAUGGUAGCUUCUAGUUUAUGGGUUUUUAAGCUCUAGAAAUGGGAUUUAAUGGUGAUUUAGAGACUGUUAAUCUCAUUUGUUGCAAGAUCUAUAGCUUGAUGUUGCUCUUUGCAACAAUGAGGAGUUAGAGCUCCAAAUGAGAGCUUUAAUGGUAGAUCUCUAGGGCUUUGGUCUUAUGCUCUAGAAAUGGAUUUAGUAGCCUUCCUAGAUGCUAAUUAGAUGGAUUGUGUUUAGAUCCAAAGUUCUAAUGGUGGGUUUUUGUCUAAUUGCGACCUAGGGCUCCAAAAUGGGGUUUUUUCAAAUAUAAGGUUUUGAUCUCAUUUGAGUGGUCAGAAACCUAAUUGUUAUGUCUCCGAACGCGUAGGAAGCGACGGUUCGUCGAUUCGUUGAGCGGGUGCGACGUUCCGGCUAAAACAAGUGUUGUAGGUUCGUUUCUGCCUGGAGGGCCGAGGCGACGUCGUAAGGUCGUGAAAAUGGAUUCGUGGCAUCGUGGCAUCAAACCGAAGACCUAUAAUUUCCGAGGCUGCGAAGCGGAACACGAUUGAGGCGCGGUUGCAGUAUUGGGCUGAACCGGGUCACGGGUGCCACGGGAGGCCGAUUGCAAGUGACUACGAGCAAUCGGAACGCGAUGACAGGUGGGUUGUGUUUACCGAAGCGACUAGGUCGCCUGCAUGUCAAAGUGUAUUAUGAGUUCCUGUUGACGCAUAUGUAUGAGCAUAUUGCUAGAUGAUAAUGCAUAGUAACAUAAUGAGGAAGCAUAUAUAUGCGUAAUAGUAGCAUGUGAAUCAUAAUAGGUGAUGGUUGAUUAUGCUAAUUAGAAAUUGCUUGUUAAUGCAUCGGAAUUACAUGCUAGGUGAUGACAUGAUAUAGAGAUGCUAAGUAAAGUACUUAAUUGCAUGUUGAUAUACAUAUGCAUAGUGAGGUAUGUGCUCGGGGUACUUAGCAUUAUGAUAUCAAGCAUAUUGGCAAUGUGAGCAUGUGCAUGAGAUUAUGUGAUCGUAGAAACUCGAUGGGAACAUAUUGCUAGAUUAUGUAAAUAGAUCGAGUGGCAUUAACCUAGUGUCAUGAACAUAGGAUUGAGCAAGUAAACCUAGAAUCAAGAUCUAGGUAGAAUGACAUUAAACCUAGUGUUGUGAACUUAGGUUGUGGAUUGGAACCUAGGUAAAUGGCAACCUUGUGAAUGUGUACAAGUAGUGUGUUGAGAACGAGUGGCACCUAGUUAAAUUUAAAUAACUUGACGAGUGGCAUGACAAGUAAAGUAUAAGUGUAAACACUUGUUGUACGUUGAACUUAGAAGUGAACUAGUUCCCAAGUGUGGAUGUCUAGAGUGUAGGAUAUCCUCAAUGAUGGGGAUUUGAUCAUACUCAUAUGUCUGUUCGAAGCUUGUGCUGGUCGCUCCCCACAAGAAGUGUACUCCGGAGUUGUCACACGAUAGGGAUAGCCUUUUUGGGUCCCGAGGGGUUAGCCUUUUUGGGCCCCGCAGACAGUCUUGGGCGAGUGAGCUGAUCCUCCCCAUGUGAGUCAGGUAAGUGAGCUGAUCCUCACCUGUGAGAUUCAGAUUGGGUUGUGGUAUUUGUGUGAGUUGGGUGAGUGAGCGGAUCCUCCCCGAAGUGUUUAGAUUGUGAGUCGGGCGAGUGAGCGGAUCCUCCCCGUUGUGAUUAGAUUGUGAGUCGGGCGAGUGAGCGGAUCCUCCCCGAAGUGUUUGGAUUGUGAGUCGGGCGAGUGAGCGGAUCCUCCCCGUUGUGAUUAGGUUGUGAGUUGGGUGAGUGAGCUGAUCCUCACCUGUGAGAUUGAGUCUUGAGUGGAUUUGUAUUUAUACUAGACAUAGUAUAUGUUGAAUAGAAACCUUAGAGAGUAGCUGAUGUAAUAGAAAGUAGUAUCGAAUGAACUACUUAGUUGAUUGCAUUGCAUGAAUUGCAUGUAGCAUGGCAUUGUUGCAUUUGUGAGGCAAAGCAUGGUAAUGUUAGUUGCAUAUUAUAUAUAUCAUAUCUAUCUGUUUAUUAAACUAACCUGCAGUUUGCCUCCUUUGAACCUGUUGGUUGAGCUUUUUCCUUGGUGGCCGUACCCACUGGGAACUAUGAGUAUGGUUUUCACCCCCGUUGCUUUGGGGUGUUACAGGUUCGCACGUGAGCGGCGCGCAGGCGUGAGGCGAGGGCGUAGCUCCGUAGAUAGCGCCCUACUCCAGAGACAGAGAUAGUAGUACCCCGUCUCCAUAGCUUAGGGGUAUAGAGAUGAAAAGAUCCAAUGUAUCAAAAUUUGUAAAGAAUAAAUGAUGUAAUAACUCAGAUUGCAUUUGGAUGAAAAGAAUUGUAAUUGAGAUGUAAAAAUGUAUGAAUAUGAAUGCAUGUAAUAAUUUAGGAUGUGUUAUGUUGUUGAUACCUUCCUUUAUGCAUUCAGUGUAUGAAUACUGUUCCUGCUUGGAACCUCUUGUAUUAUACUGUUUGUUGAGCCUUGAACGUACAGGGGAGACUCUGUCCGAGGUACAGGGGAAUCCCCGGUCCAUUCGGCGCUGUCGGCGGCCCAACCCGGCCAAAUAGGUAGCGGGUCGCGGGUCGUGACAGGAGAUGGUAUCAGAGCAUAAAGUAGAGAAUGGGCAAAUAGUUUAGACAGACCUAGGAGAUCCUAGGAUAGUGAAACCAUAGAGGCUAAGGCUCGUGAGAGAUGAGGACUUGUGAUUUUUUGGCGAAAGAAUUUAUGAAUUGGGUUGUGUCGUGAACCUUUAAAACUGAUGUUAGAGGUAGAUUCAAUGUGUGGUGUAUUCUCAACCGAGGAUGAUCAUGUUGGGUGCAAACAACAUGAAGCCGAGAGAUGAGAAUAGACGCCCUUGUGUAACUUUCGCCCGAUUUGAGUCGAUGUCGGUUGUUUCGUACUUGACCUAGAGGGUCGAGAACCGGUCGAGUCGUUGCGUUUUAGGACGCGAUGGUGCCGCGUAAACGAUCUUUGUUUAGAUCGGCACGGGAGGGGACAGGUGAUGUCCCUGAGCAGUCCGAGGGUUCGGAUGUUAUUCCCGUUGAAUGAACAGUGAAAGCAAGAUCACUGUAGGUAGAGUGUUUGGUUAGUGGUUAAGUACGGGCAGGUGGGCCUAAUAGUACCUCGAAUUGAGGUGGGCGAGUCGUGCUCGUGUGGUCGGUGACUGGUGGUUCAUUUGUGGAAACCGAGGUGAUCGGUUUGGCCAAUAACUCUGUCGAGGAGUUUGGCUUGGAUUUACGAACAGAGUGUUCAUGUGGGUUUGUUGUAGGGCUAUUUGCAGUUGGAAAUGGCAAUUGAAAGAUAAGGUAAAGUGGUCUCUUGGAGACACUUGAAUAGCAGAUAGCCACGUGAGAGUUGGAGUUGAAGCUCUCAAGCGAGUUUGGAGCUUGAGGGUAAUGCUCUUUUGUGGGUUAACAUUCGAGAUGUGCUAGAGUGGACCAUCUCGUGAUAGAGUAAGGAUCUAGUUGAGGAUUGAAGCACUCGUGAUUGAUCGAUGCACCAAUGAUAUUGCUUCUAGGCAAUGCCGGUGGUCGGAUCGGAGUGAGUUCCCCGAUUGGGUGCGUAAUGCAAGGAGUAGUUCCUUGUGAGCCAGUAGUGCAAUUUUGAUGUUACACUUAGUGAAUGUGAGUGGAUCUAGUCUUAUAUCCUUCGUAGUGGGCCUUUGGACAAUUCCGAUUAGUGAAUGGCCACUCCGAGAAAGAAAAGUGCAUUGGAAUCCCCGAUUGCUAGAUAAAUCGAGUUACGGUGUGAAUUGGAUUGGAAGUUAGUUGAGUUUCGAGGACGAAACUCUUUUAAGGAGGGGAGAAUGUAAGGUACCGGACUUCUAAAACCAUGAAGUUAUGGUGUAUCUUCGAUUGGAAAGCCAUUUGAAAGGUUCCGGUGAAGUUCGGGAGAAUCCGGGCGAUUCGGUGCGCGUAGGCGCUAAAAGGGAGCCGAAAGGCCAUGUUGGUCCAUGGAUUAAAUCCAGCAUUAGCAUGGAUGAAAAGAUGAUGAAAACAUGCUUGAAAACAUGUUGGGAGAGUUUUGGUUCGAUUGUUGUUAGAUUCGAUCGGAGGUAAACGAGCAGAAACGGAGGCGAAACGGUUGAAAAGGCUGAAAAAUUGGUAAGUCUGAAAUCUGUUUCUGGCUUCGGGGCCGGUCCCUCAAGGUACAGAGACCGCGUCCAGCACCGAAAAUGGCCGUUGGGCUGUGUGUGACUCAUGUUUGUGGAGGGCCUUGGGGUUCAUUGUGCAUAAGUGUUAUAGAGAGGUGUUGGCAGGUUGAUUUCUCUCCUUAUCUCCCUCACAUUGGCACAAGUAGACCUCUCUCUUCUCUAAGCUCCCACUCUCUCUCUCAGAAAGAAAAGAAAGAGAAGUAGAGAAGAAAAAGGAGAAUGGAGGAGAGCUUGAAGAGAGUUCAGUCUCAUUUCGUCCCUUUUGCCAUGGAGAAGCUUGUUGAGGUAGCGUUACACCUCUAAUGGUAGCUUCUAGUUUAUGGGUUUUUUAGCUCUAGAAAUGGGGAUUUAAUGGUGAUUAGAGACUGUAAUCUCAUUUGUGAAGAUCUAUAGCUUGAUGUUGCUCUUUGCUAACAUGAGGAGUUAGAGCUCAAAUGAGGCUUUAAGUAGAUCUCUUAGGGGCUUUGGUCUUAAUGCUCCUAGAAUGGAUUUAGUAGCCUUCCUAGAUAGGCUAAUUAUGAUGGAUUGUGUUUAUGAUCUUGAAAGUUCUCAAUUGGUGGGUGUUUUUGUCUAAUUGCGACCUAGGGCAUCCAAGAAUGAGGAGUUUUUUCAAAUAUAAGGGGGGUUUGAUGGCGUGAUGGGGGGGUGAGUGGUCAGAAACCUAAUUUUAGUCGGGGGCGAACGCGAGAUAAGCGACGUUCGUCGAUUUCGUUGUGUGUCGUGGGGGGGUGCGAGGUUCGGCUAAAACAAGUGUUUUGUAGGUUGUUUCUGCCUGGAGGCCGAGGCGACGAUGUAAGGUCGUGAAAAUGGAUUCGUGAUCGUAGCAUCAAACGAAGACCCUAUAUUUCCGAGGCUGCGAAGCGGAACACGAUUGAGCCGUUGCAGUAUUUGGGUGAACCGGGUCACGGGUCGCCACGGGGGCGAUUGCAAGUGGACUACGAGCAAUCGGAAGCGAUGAACAGCGUGGUUGUGUUUUACGAAGCGACUUUAGGUCGCCUGCAUGUCAAAGUGUAUUAUGUUGAGUAUCCUGUUUGACGAUAUGUAUGAGCAUAUGUAGGAUGAUAAUGCCAUAGUAACAUAAUGAGGAAGCAUAUAUGCGUAAUUAGUGCAUGUGGAAUCAUAAUAGUGAUGGUUGAUUAUGCUAUUAGAAAAUUUGCUUGUUUAAUGCCAUGCGAAUUAAUUGCUAGGUAUGACAUGAUUAGAGAUGCUAGGAUCUUAAUUCGCAUUGUGAGUAUAAUAUCAUGUGACGGUAUGUGCUCGGCGGUACUUAGCAUUAUUGAUAUCAAGCAUAUUGCAAUGUGAGCAUGUGCAUGAAUUAUGUGAUUGUAGAAACAUCGGGAUGGGAACAUAUUUGCUAGUUUAUGUAUAAUAGAUCGAGUGCUUAACUGUGUCUCAUGAACCAUUAGGAUGAGCAAGUACACUAGUAAUCAGAUCUAGGUAGAAUGACAUUAUAACCUAAGUGUUAGUGAACUUAGCGUUGUGGGAUGGAACCUAGGUAAAUGAACCUUGUGAAUGUGAAAGUAGAUGUGUUUCGGAGAACGAGUUUGAGACACUAGUUAAAUUUAAAUAACUUGACGAGAUGGCAGACAAGUAAACGUAUAAGUGUAAACAUUGUUGUACGUUGAACUUAGACAGUGAACUAGUUCAUAGUGUAGUAGAUGUCUAAGAGUGGUUAGGAAUAUCCCAGAUGGGAUGGGGAUGUUGUCAUCUCAUAGAAUUGUCUUUCGGAGUUGUGCUGUUCGCUCCCAACAAGAAUGCUACUCUCGGGUUGUCACACUGAUAGGGGAUAGGCCUGUUUGUCGUCCCGAGGGUGAGCUUUUGGGCCGGAGACAUCUGGGCGGGUGAGCUGAUCUCCAUGUGAGUCAGGUAAGUGAGCUGUAUCCACUGUGAGAUUCAUGAUUGGUGUGGUGGUAUUUGUGUGAGUUGGGUGAGGUGAACGGAUCCUCCCGAAGUGUUUAGAUGUGAGUCGGGCGAUAGUGAGCGGAUCCUCCCUAAUGUGAUUAGUUGUGAGAUCGGGUAGUGAGCGGAUCUCCGCGAAGUGUUUAAUUGUGGAAGUCGGGCGAGUGAGGGAUCCUCCGCGUUGUGAUUAGAUUGUGAGUUCGGCGAGUAGCGUAUCCUCCCGACAAGUGUUUUGAUUGUGAGCUCGGAGCGAAUGUGAGCGGAUCCUCCCGUUGUGAUUAGGUUGUGAGAUGGGUAGAGUGAGCUGAUCUCACUGUGAGUGAGUUUUGAGUGUGUUUGUAUUUGAUAUAGAACAUUAGUAUAGUUGCAAGGGUAGAAACUUAUGAGAGUAGCUGAGUGAAUAGAAAGUAGUAUCGAUAUGAACUUUAGUUGAUUGCAUUUGAUUGAAUUGAUGUAGCAUGGCUCUGUUGCAUUUGGGAGCAAAGCAUGUAAUUGUUGAGUUGAUUAUAUAUAUAAUCAUAUAUAUUUGUUUAUUAAACUAACCUCCAGUUUGCCUCCUUGAACCUGUGUUGGUUGAGCUUUUCCCUUGGGUAGCCGUCACCACUGAGGAACCAUAGAGUUUGUUCUCACCCGUGCUUUGGGUUGUUAACAGGUUCGCACGUGAGCCGCGGCAGCGCGAGGCGAGGGCGUAGCUCCGUAAGAUAGCCCCUACUCCAAGACCAGAGAUACAUACCGUCUCCAUAAGCUUAGGCUGGGUAUAGAGAUGAAAGAUCAUGUAUCAAAAUUGUAAAGAAUAAAUGAGUGUAUAACUCAGAUUGCAUUGGAGGAAAAGAAUUGUAAUGAGAUUGUUAAAAAUGUAGAGUUAAUGUUAAGAAAGGUAGGUUUACGUUAGACUCAAUAAUGUAGUAAAUAAGAAAUGUUUAAAACUAUGUAACCUAGAAAAGUAGAGAUAUGGGGAUUCGAUACCUCUGCCCCAUGAGCCUUGAACGUACAGGGGAGACUCUGUCCGAGGUACAGGGGAAUCCCCGGUCCAUUCGGCGCUGUCGGCGGCCCGACCCGGCCAAAUAGGUAGCGGGUCGCGGGUCGUGACAGAUUGGGGCCGAACCCACUGGGAACUUUGUUGUAGUUCUCACCCCACUAUUCCACAAAGCCGAGACCGAGCGAGCCGUCGAGCGGCCGUGGUAAAGGUAUCGCACCUUAGUCAGAGGCCUCCCGAGUCGGGCUUUACAUUUUGUUAGUAGUAUACCCUUUUAUCAUAUUUUGUUAUAAUACAUUGAACUUUUGCAAAUUGCGGAGUUCGAGUGUGUGGAAUGAAGUGUUGAACUAUCCUACAUGUUCUAAAAGGUUUGGACAAGUUUUUGAUCAAGUUAGAGGAUGAUUGGAAAGCUAGAAGCAAGAAAGUGCAUUGAACUGGCGAAAUUCAGCAUUUUCUGCAUUGUGUACCGGUACAGUCAUCACCCUGUACCGGUGCAGCAAGCAACAGCAGCUGCAGCUGCGUGGCAGCAAGGCUAUUUUAGUCAUUUCACUUCAUCUAUCCAUCCUUAUCCCUCCCAGCUCGACCCUGAAGAUGCUUAUCACUUGUAAGCUCAGAGAAAUAGGGUUUCUAAGCUCCCCUCUUCUUUCUCUCUCUAGAAUUUUCUCCCUCUACGUAGAAGUUGUCGUUUUGCACCGAUUUCGCGUCGCGUUCGUGGCUCGCAGGUUCGGAGACUCAGAGGAUGUCUUUGGUGCGUGGGGAGAAGGAUUUUUGUUGAAUUUUCUGUGAGUUCACAGCAGGGAAAGCUGAUUCUCAGCUUUAGACAAGUAAUUAACUCAAUUUCUCUCUAAUUUACAGUUUAGUAUCCGAUUUUGAUGCGUUUCGGUUUCAUUGCUCCCAGCUGAGUUUGAGAAGGAUUCUAGCAGCUUGAGAGGAGUUAGUUAGUUGUGAUUUAACUAUCUGGGACCAGGGUUAAGCUACUUCAAGGCUGGACAAAGGUAAUUAGUCAACUAUGACAUAGAUUCAGGAUUAUAUGAAGUUUAAUUGAGUAAUUGACGCAGUUUGGAUUGAAUUCUUCGCAGCAGGUUUUUAAGCCUCUUUGAGCUGAACCUGUGCUCUUGAAAGCUGGUUUGGGAGGCUAUUUUAAGCAAGGGUAAAUAGAAAUUUCAGUUCUAAAACUGAAUCCAUAGGAUUUCGGCGAUAUUAACUUAUAGUUGAGCCUUUUGAUGUCAUUUUGAUGUUGUUCGCAGUAAGAGCGCGAUCGAGCCUUGGAUUAUCUUCAGUGGGCAUUGGAGAGCAAUUGGAGACUUAAUUUGAGGUACUAAUGUGACCCAAAACAGGGAUUUAAGCAUGUACUUUGUAUGAAGUGCGAAUUGUACCGAAAUUGGAUAUUUCGGUUAUAAUAUUGAUACGACUUUCGUGCCUUAUUUUUCAGCAGAGCUGAGACCUUGUGGAGCUAAUUUUGAGACUUCCUUUGGACUGAUUGGAGCCUAGUAAUAGGUGGGUUUGACCUAACCAGAGCAAGUGAAGCUCCCCUAUGUUCUAUAUGAUACUAUAGAAAUAGCAUAUGAAUGCAUUUUGCGUAACUUGGGAAUCGACAUAGAUUCAAGACAUUAUUACAAUUAUAGUUGCUAUAUGUAUGUAUAGUGAACUGAAACCUCUCUUAAGUAGAGGAAUUCAUGCAUAGAAGUAAACAUGUUUAUGUUUGACUUAGUUGAAUGAAUCAGGGACAAUCUAGUAUGUUCCUAAAGUAGAGAACAAUGACAUGCUUUGUGACUAUAACCAUAGUGCCAUGAUAGUAGAAAGCUUCUAAUGCUAUGUGUAAAUUAGCAUUACUCUUACAUGAUUACUAAUCUAGUGGAUACUAGCUAUGUUCAAUAUCUGUUAUAUUGAAAUUCUGAUCAAAGGAUCGAGAGUGAAAACAUUGUAAGAUAAAACAUGAUGAUUGAAAUGUAUUGGAUUAUGAACGUUGCUUGCUUGCCAUCGUGCUCAUUCGCACACGCUUGUGAGGGUAACUCCCUACAAGCUGGCACUCCGGAGUUGGCCUACGCGACAGUUGCUCGCCCGUGCGGGAUUGGGUGCCGAAGUGGAUUGCCGUGGGGAGUGUAUACUACCACGGGGCCAUUAGGCGCGGCGCAAGCUGAGCUACCUUGGGUAGGUCCUUAUGAAUGAAAUGAAAGUACUAAGUGACAAAUGACAGUAAUGAAUGCUCAUCAGUUAUAGUGUAUAGUAUUUACUUACACAUCCAUGUUUAUGUUCAUGUUUAUAGUAAUUGCGAUACUUCUAUUAUUCAGUUGAUUCAUUACUACAGAAAUCAUGAUAAUAUGUUGAUUACAUACCUAUUGCCUGUUAGCAUUGCCUAUAUAUAUAUCAUGCAAUUACCAUUUUUACUUUCAUUUAGUACAUCAUGAGCCUAGUGGUGUAAUUCGCUGAGGCUGGUGGCUUACCCACUAGGAACUAUUGUCAAUAGUUCUCACGCCCUUUUUAUUGUUGUUUUUACAGAGCCAUCUACAGGAGAGGCUUGGGAUCGUAGCAAGGGAGUCGCGUCUAGCUAGACAUUGCUAGGAGCAUGCUAGUCGAUCACCUUACUACUCGGGCUACGGCCGAGGGUGAUGUCCCUAUGUAUAGAGAGACCUCCAUUGUACCUACUUUUUGUAUACCCCGUGAUGUAUAUUUACUGUCGAACCAGAUAUUAUAGUUGUGAUACUUUCUCUUUUAGUUGAGAUUUUGGAUUGUGUACCCUUUGUUCUACUGUUGAUAGUUUUAUUGACUUCUACUAUGCUCUGAUAUCAGGAUAGGAUUCUUUUCUGUUUGUCUCCUAUCGACUUGCUUUCUUGUAGACAUCUUAUAUACUGCAGGUCUAUGCACGUACCUGAUAUGCUUCCGCCGGUACCCGGGCGUGACAUUUGUAUUUGAUGAUUUAAGAUAUUGAUGUAUAAGGCAAAGAAAGAAAAGAAUGUAAUGUUUAUUUUGAGCAAAUGUGAUGUAAAAGAAAUGAUGAAAGCAAUGUAAAGAAUCAUGAAUGUACAAGUUGGAUGAAAUGGAUACAUGUAUGUGAUCAAAAGUUGAAUCAUAAUACUUGAGUAGAUGUUUAGUUCCCUUCCUUUCACUCAUGGCUAUUGUUUACCCUCGUGUAAGCCGUUUGUGUAUGUUUUCGCUAGUGCACUUCUUGUUUGAAAAUGUACAGGUGAUGAGUCUUGGGCGGACAGAAAAUACUCUGUCCGUUCGGCGUCUGUUUGACGUGCUCGGGCCGGCCCAAAUUGGUAUCGAUCCCGGGGCGUGACACUAGAUAUGUGCGUGAGAUGCUAGAGGCAUAUGUAUGUGGACCCAUUAUGAUAAUUGGAAAUUAUUGCAUAUGUAGCAUAUCCUCACUCAUGAGAAUGGUAAACUUAUGGCAUUAUGUGUAACACACUGAACUUUAACAAAUUGCAAGGUUCAAGUGUUUGAUCUGUGUUUCAAGAUUUUUCAGGUAUUCUGGAGGGGCAUUGACGGUGUUCCGACCUAUAACUCACAUCCCAAGAAUUGAGAAUUAAAACUUAGUACCAAAACCUAAAAAAUGUGGAUUUUGGAUUGCUCUCGGGUUUGCCUUUGUAGGGCAGAGUACCGAUACUGCAUCGGGUUGGUACCAGUACCCAGUGUAUUUCUUCGCCAACCCGAGGCUCAGGUUUGCGCAGACUGCUGCUUGGUACCGAUACUCUUUCUCGUGUCACCGGUACGCAGUGCAGUUCGCAGACUGCAAUUUUUGAGGGGUGUUUUUGUUAUUGUAGCAAUACUAUAAAGCGCCCCACGCCCCUUCUAGGGCUCCCUAAGCUUGGAAUAGUGGAGAACCAGGUAAGGGACCCCUCCACUUUCCCUCUUUGAUUUCCUUCCCUUUUUCUUGGAUUUUUAGAGGAUUAACCACCUCUUUUGCUCCCUUUUGGCAUGCUGGUGGUUUUUCCUCCAUGAGUGAAGCCUUGGAGCAUUGUUUAGAGCUUUUUUGAAGAGGGAACUUCAACUCUAGCACCAUCCUAGGUAGGUUUGGUGUAAUAUAUGGAAGCUGGGAGUUACGAUGUCAAUUUUGUUAUAAAGGAUCAAAGAGAAGUUUGGAUUAAAUGUACAUCUUUCCUGAGUGAUUUGUGAUGCAUUGGAAUGAAUUCCGAAGAUAAAUGAGUGUUUCGGCGCAAAUUGGGCGCGAAACGAAAUAUAAAGAGAAUUUCCGGGUUCCGAUGCUAACUUUGAUUAAAAGAACCAUAGUGAGGUUUGGGGAUCAUUAACCAUGAGUUUGGAAGUAUUUUGGACGUGUUGGAGCAAGUGGGAGUGCAAAAAGGAACUCCAAGUGUUGUUGCUGCCAUGUCAAGUAUUGGAGCUUAAGCAUGUUGUUAAUCUUGAACAAAAUAAGCAAGAUAGUGCAAAAAUGUAAUUGGGUUGUUCCAGGAUUAAUUUGGAAGCUUAGGAAUAUUAUUUGGCUUGUAUUGGAAGAAGUUGGAGGGUUUCGAAGUGAACCGAAAGCGCGAAAAGGCUCCGAAGUGAAGUUGCUGCCAUGAAUGGAAUUGGAGCUUGAUUUCAUUGCUAAUCCGGCUAAAAUGAUGCAAUAGAUGAAAUUGGAUUGCUCCCGAAUUAAAUUAGUAGCUUGUGGAGGUUCAUGGGCAUGUAUUGGAAGGGUUUAGAGAGAUUUAGGAUGAAGUGACUGCGUGAAACGAGCUUCGAGAGAAGCUGCUGCCAUAUAAGGUUGUUGGAGAUUGAUUAUGUUGUUGAUCUUACUCACAUUGGUCAAGAUGAUGUUAAAAUGAAAAUUAAUUGCUUCCAAAUUAAAUUGGCAGCUUGUAGAGGUGUAUUAGUAUAAUUUAGAAGUGAUUAGAAGUGUUCGCAGCGAACUAGACGCGCAAAAAGAUCUCAAUUUGCUGCUGUCAGGCUGAGGUGUAGUGCAUGGACUGAACUGCGAACCUGCAGGAACUGAUUUGCGAAUUGCUGGAAUGCAAUGCAAUUUUGCAGUUUUGAGGGGUCUAAAUGCAUUUUGUUGAUCUGAUCACUUAAACCCAUUGAUCCUCCACCUGUGGGCAUACGUAAUUGACUCUCUCUUUCUUUCUUUUCUCUUUUCUUUCCAUCUUUUUUUCCUCUCUCUCUCUCUAGCUGUAUGAAGGAAGGUUGGUGGAGUUGGUGCUCGUGGCUGGGAGGAAGAUGGAGAAUAGAGUAAUACUCCCUUCCUUCUCUUUUAUUUCUUUCCUUCUUCCCUUCCUUCUUGUCUUUCUCUUCCUUUUUCUCUCUCAAACUGAGAGGAGUGGGAUGUGUUGAAGGGAAAGUGGUGAUGGUGCUGUUGGAGCUGAGAAGAGGUUUCGGCAGUGGGGAAAUUGGUUGUUGGAGCUUCAAAACCUGAGGUGAGAUUAAAUAAUCUCUUGGUUAGGGUUGUGUUUUCAUGAUAGGGCUGAUUCUAAUCAACCUAGGAUGGAGUUGGCUUGGUUUCUUGAUUAUCAAAGCAUGUUUACCAUGAAAAUUCCUAAAGGGGCUGGAUGUGGACAGCACAUGUAUAUAUAUAUAUAUAUAUAUAUAUAUACAUGUGGAUUGGUUAUAGUAAUAAGUUAUUAUUCAGAUUUGGGUGAGAGUUUGAUGUGAAGUCCUCUAAACUGAUUGUUUUGAGGUUUCUUGGGCGAGCAAAGAGUUGAAUUGCUCUAUGUUCUUCAUGGAGUUGUGUAUUAGCAGGUUGAUUAGAGAAUAGUUUUAUGUAUAGAACCUGCAUAAAGGUUUGAAUAGUGAUAGGUUCAUUGAACCUAAGCUCGAUAAUGCGCUUUUGCAGGAUUAAAGUCCUAACUUGGAAUUGACCGCGUACAAACCUAAUUGAGGGUAAAACUGUCACGCCCGGGUACCAGCAGAAGCAUAUCCGGUACGUGCACAGACCCGCCAUACACCUGCAGUAUAUAAGGCGUCUACAAGAAACAAGUCGAUAGGAAGAACAUAGGAAAAUCCUAUCCUGAUAUCAGAGCAAAGUAUAAGUCCACAAUACUAUCAACAGAGGAACAAAGAGUAACCAAUCCAAAAUUUUCACAUCAUAAAGAAAUAUAAAAACUAUAAUCUCUGGUUCCAAACAGUAAAUAAACAUCAUAGACUACUCAAAAUACAUAUACAAUGGUAGUCACUCUAUACACUGGGACAUCACCCUCGACCGUAGCCCGAGUAGCAAGGUGAUCAACUAGCAAGCUCCUAGCAAUGUCUAGCUAGACGCGACUCCCUUGCCACGAUCCCUAGCCUCUCCUGUCAAUGGCUCUGUAAAAACAACCAUAAAAAGGGCGUGAGAACUAUUAACAAUAGUUCCCAGUGGGUAAGCCGCCAGCCUCGGCGAAUUACACCACUAGGCUCAUGAUGUACCGAAUGAAAGUAAAAAGAGUAAUUGCAUGAUAUAUCUACAUUGCUAAUAGGUAACGAACAUGUAGUCAGCAUGUAAUCGUAAUUUCUACAGUAACGAAUCAACUGAAUAAUAGAAGCAUAGCAACUACUAUAAGCAUGAACAUAAACAUGAACAUAAGUAUGGAUGUGUAAGUAAAUACUGUGCACUAUAACUGGUAAUCAUUCAUUACUGUCAAAUGUCAUUUAGUACUUUCAUUUCAUUUAAAGUUUUCCUUUCAUUCAUCAGGACCUACACAAGGUAGUCCGGCUUGCGCCGCGCCUAAUGGCCCCGUGGUAGUAUACCCUCCCCACGGCAAUCCACUUCGGCACCCAAUCCCGCACGGGCGAGCAACUGACGCGUAGGCCAACUCCAGAGUGCCGGCUUUUAGGGAGCUACCCUCACAAACGUGUGCGAAUGAGCACGGUGGCAAGCAAACAAGGUCCAUAGCUCAGUAUAUCUUAAUCAUCGUGUCAUAGUACACUAUGUUGUCACUCUCGAUCUAUUGAUCGGAAUUCUCAAUAUGAUAAACAAUGAAACUUGCUAGUAUCCACUAGAUUAGUAAACACAUAAAAGUAAUGCCAAUUUACAUAUUGCAUUAGAAACUUCUCACUAUUAAUAUACUAUCAAUAGGGUCAAGAGAAUGUCAUUGUUUUCUAUUUUGUAGAAGCAUAAUACACUUAUCACUUGGUUAUUCAACUGAACUAAACAGGAAUACUUUACUGCAUGAAUACUUUAUGCAUGACUACUCUCUACUUCAUAGAGGUUUCAUUUCAAUUGUAUCAAGCAUUGUGGCAAGAUUAUUCCGAGUCCUUUAUCAUUCACAUAAACACAAUAGCGUACAACCAAACCAAUUCUAUAGUAACAUAUAGAACAUAUGGGAGUUUCACUUGAUCUGGUUAGGUCAAACCCACCUAUCACUAAGCUCAAACCAGAUCAACGACGUCCCGAAAUUCAGCUCUACUAGACUUCAGCCCUGCUGAAAACAAAGCAUCAAAACAGCGUCGAGGCGAUUACUUAUACAUAAGAAUCCAAUUUCGGCAAAAUUCUCAAUUAAUACAAGGUGGAAGCUUAAUUCCCUGUUUUGGCUCCGUUUAAUACCUCAAGUUAAGCUUCCCAAAAUCCCUCACGUAUCAGUCGGAGAUAAUCCGAAAGUCCAUCGCAAGCCUGCUGCGAACAAUUUCCAAAACGGCAUCAAAACGCUCAAAUAUAAGUUAAUAUCGCCAAAAUCUUGCGGAAUCAGUUUUGGAACUGAAAUUUCUAUUUACCCUUGGUUAAAAUAUCCUCGAAACCAGCUUCCAAGAGCACAGGUUCAGCUCAAAGGAGCUCAAAAACCUACUGCGAAGAAUUCAUUCCAAACUACGUCAAUUACCCGAUUAAACUUCAUAUAGUCCUGAAAUUAUGUCAUUAGUUGACUAAUUACCUUUAUCCAGCUUUGAAGCAGCUUAUCCCUGGUCCAAGGUAGUUAAAUCACAGCUAAUUAACUCCCCUCAAGCUGCUGAAAUCCUCCUCGAACUCAGCUGGGAGCAAUAAAAUCGAAACGCGUCAAAAUCGGACACUAAACCACAAACUAGAGGGUGAUUGAGCUAAAAACCUCUUUAAAGCUUUCUUUCAGCAACUCCCAGCAAUAGACAUGAAAAGCACUACUGAAAACACUUCACUUUACCUUUUAAAAGCUGACCCCAAGUCCACCCAACCAGCAAACGUUGAGCGGGACGCGAAAACGGCGCAAAACGGUGACUUUUACUCUUAGAGAGAGAAACCCUAGAGAGAGAAAGAGGGUGAGAGGCAGGGCAGCUUCUCUAAGCUCCAGCACCAUCUAAGAAGCUUCAAGGGUCGAGCUGAAGGUAAGUAGAUAAGUAUAGAAUGUGAAAUUACCAAAAUAGCCUUGCUGCCACGUUUUUGCCAUUGUGUACCGGUACACAAUGAUGGUUGUACCGGUACACCAAGCAGAAAAAUGCUAAUUUCGCCAGAUCAAAGCACUUUCUUGCUUUUGGCCAUCCAAUCCUUCUCUAACUUGUACAAAAACUUGUCCAAGCCUUUUAGAAUAUGUAGGAUAGAUCCACAUCUCAUUCCUCACACUCGAACUUCGCAAUUUGCAAAGGUUCUGUGUAUUACAAAAACGAACGUGUUGGCGAAGUCGGUUUAGCAAUCCGUCGAGCCUACGCGAAGAUAUCACCAAAAGGACAUUUUCGACUACAAUUGUAGCGAGCGCGGGCCGCGAUUCAUGGAAAAGUGCGGGAAGUCGAUUUCUCGCGUUCCGGUAUCAAGUAAAGGUGGGUUGUGCUUACCGAAGCGAUUAGGUCGCUUCCGUGCCAAAGCAACGUAUGGUUUUUCAUUGACGCAUAUAUGCUUAGCGGUAGGUUAUGAUUAAUAAAAUGAAGGCAUGAAUCAAAUCAUAUAAAUUGCCUGCCAUUGGAACAUGCACAUGAGUAUAAUGAUAAUCUUGUUGAAUAAUGGAUGAAUAUUGAUAUGUGAUAACCAUGCUAGAUGCAUAUGAAUGCAUGAGUUGUGAAUACUAGAUGCAUAUGAAUAUGAAUGCUAGAUGCAUGUGAAUGUAUUAUGGUUAAAGCUAAAGCAUAUAUGGACUUUGACAUAUUGUGGACGUGAACCUAGUGUAUUAAACAUAGGUUGGAUAUUUUAUAGAUCGAGUGGCAUGACCUAGUGUUAAUAAACAUAGGUCGGACAUAACCUAGUAUCAUUAAAUAUAGGUUGAAUUAGUAAACCUAGAGUCGAAAUCUAAGUAAAAUGACAUAGAACCUAGCAAGUGAACCUAGGUUAUGAUGUAUAGUGAAACUUAGUGUAUUUGAACUAAGUUGUGGAUUUUAGUGGUAGAAUGACCACUAGGAAAUAAUUGGUUUAGACCUAGGAAGGUCGUCAACAUAAGGUAAAGUGAGUAAACCCUUAAGUUGUGGAAAUAAAUUCCGGAAUCCCAAGACCUAUGAUGACCUUGGUAUCAAGGCUAGGGCGUGUGCGACGAUUUCGCCGCCGAGAUUGAUACCAAGGGAGGAAAAGAGGGUCUGUGCGCAGAGUCACCACUCGGAGGCUUAAACUAUUACCCGGCGUGUGUGAUAAUUUCGCCGCCAGAUGGUUAAGCCGGCUUGUGGGGCAUGCCAUAAAACAAGUGAAUCAGAACUACGGGAUCGACGGUUCUCCUCUCCCGGUAGUUAUUCAACGGGAUCGACAGUUCUCCUCUCCCGGUAUGAGCUCAGCGGGUUUGAUGGUUCUCCUCGCCCGUUAAGCUUGAGCGGCGUAGGGUCACGAGGAUCGACGAUUCUCCUCUCCCUGUGAUUGUACCUAUUGUCGCGUGGACUUAGGGCUGAGGUGCUUGUGAGACGUCCUUCACCUCGAGCCUGACUUGACGCGGUACUCCGCGGAUGAUUGACUCGAGACCGAGUCGGGUGGAUAGCUUGAUUAAGGUAGAUGACACCUUAGAAGCUAGUAUGAUAUGAGCUUGGAUAGCGAGAUAGAAAGUAGGAUCAGUAGAUCUACUUGUUACUUAGUUGCAUAAUUUGCAUAUUGCAUAUCGUGAGGCAUACAUGUUUAAAUAUCUGCAUAAAUUAUUGUGAUUAUCUGUUGGACUAACAUGUUACAGUGCCUCCUUUGGACCUGGUGGGUCGAGCUCUUCCCUUGGGUGGCCGUACCCAUUGGGAACUAUAUUUAUAUAGUUCUCACCCCCGUGUUGUUUUUGGGGGUACAGGUUCACACGCGAGCGGCGCAGCGGCGUGAGGACAGGGCGUAGCUCCGUAGAUAGCGCCCCACCACUGAGACCGAGAUAGCAAUACCCUGAAGAGGUCUAGCUCAAAGUUCAGAUUGAAAGAAACAAACUUGUAGUAAAUUUGUAUAAGUUGUAAUAACUUAAAGGUAUUUGUAAUAUUGUAAAUGUAAAAUCUUGAGAUGAAUGCUUGUACUAGCAUAGUUAGCAUUUUAUGUUUUUGAUACUUAUGCAAUCUGUGGUUGAAUACAGUUCCUGGUUGGAACCUCUUGUAUUACAUUGUAUAGAUUGUGACGCCUAGAACGUAUAGGGGAGGCUCUGUCCGUUCGGCGGUUUGUCGGCAUGCCCGAAUCCGACCAAAUAGGCGGAGCUCGAGGCAUGACAUUUGGAGCAUUAAGAGAGGUUAGUAUCUAUGAUCUCUCAUUUGGAUCAUAUUUUGGUAGAGUUUUUGCAUAUAAACCUAGAAAUGAGAAAUCUAGGAUUUAUUUGGGGAUUUUUUAUUUGUAACUUUUGGAACCUAAUUUAUUGGUUUAGAACCUUCCUUUAGGUUGGAUUUGAAGGGUCCUAGCUCUCAUUUGGGAUUUGAGAAGGUUUUUCCACUUUUAAGGUGAGUUUUAACCCUUUUCUUGGAUUGGUUAAAGAUGAACACUUUGGGUGUUCGUUCGUUUCGUUUAACCCUCUUAGAAUUUUCUUUAGGAAGCUAAGUGACUAGUGGACAUCUUCGUUGGCACAAACGAAGGGGAUUAGUGGAGUUCUUGGUGGGUUUGACCUAACCGAAAUGGAUAAACCCCCCCUAUGUUAUUUUCUGCAUUGUAAAAUAAAAAUUCUUGCAUAUUCAUAUUAGAUAGGGCAUAUGUGAAUUUUAGAAGCUUAAAAUACAUGUGUUAUGUAUCAUAAAAAAUCAUCUCUAUGUAGUAGAGAAAUAUGAGUAUAGUAUUCUUACAAAUGAGAAGCAUUCUUUCAUGUGAUUUGGAAACAUGUGUUAUAUAGUUAAAAUGACAAGUAUAACAUGCUUUUGGACAUAAAACUCAUGCUUGACAUAGUGGACACAAAUGCCAUAAAGAAGCAUUCAACUUAGUGGACGGUUAAACUACUACAUGAUAACAUAGUGAUAGGCCAUUGAAUCACUAGCAUUUAUACCAUGUUUUAGACAUGAUAAUAUUGGACUUGAGAUAGAUGAUUACGCUUGCUUGCCAUUGUGCUCAUUCACACAUGCUUGUGAGGGUCGCUCCCUACAAGCCGGCACUCCGGAGAUAGCUAUCGCGACAUAUGCUCGCCCGUGCGUGAUUGGGCGCUGAAAUGGGAUACCAUGGGGGAGGCUCAUUUCAAGGGUGGGAAUGUUGACUACCAUGGGACCAUUAGGCACGGCGUAAGCAAGACUAUCCUUGUGUAGGUCCUAUAUGAUUGGAACAAAGUUAAACUAAAAUACAAAGUGGACAUUAGACAAAUUAGUAAACAAUGACAUUUUACUAGUUGUACUUGAGGACAUUAUGUAUUUAUACACAUGCAUAUUCAUAUUAGAAUAGCAUUUAUACUUGUGGAAACUCAUGCUAAGUAGAGGCAUAGUAGUUAGUAAGUUUUAUUACAUGCUCAAUAUACAUAUUGUUCUUUCUAUUUAAUAUUAGAACAUACUACUUAUGCCUCCAUAACCUAGUGGUGUAUUUCGCUAAGGUCGGCGGCUUGCCCACUGGAAACUAUUGAUUAAUAGUUCUCACGCCCCCUGUUUUGUUUUUUUUUUUUACAGAGCCUUCCACACUGGGUGAGGUUAGGGACCGCGGCAAGGGUGUCGCCACUAGGUAGUCACGAGGGGUCUUUCUUUUAGGUGAUUCACCUCUCUUUUUGUUUUACUUGGAGAGGAUGAGAGUUUUGUACUCUUAUGUAGAGACCACCAUUUUUGUUUAUCUAAUCUUGUAUUUGAGAUCCUAUCUUGUACUACUUUAUUGUUUACAUUAGGGGAUUAGCUCCUUUUAUCCUGCUUGUCUUUAGAAAUCUAGUUGUGUAUGCUCUGAUAAUCUAUUAGAUGCUUUAUUUAUCUUACCUCUUUAUACUGUUGUUGUAGACGCCUUAUAUGUUGUAGGUAUAUAGCGGGUCUGGACACGCACCGGGCAGGCUUCCGCUGGGUCCCGGGGCGUGAUAGAUUAUUUUGGUAUAAGAGCCUAGGGUUGAGUCUUAGUGGACCUAACAAAUCUUUGACCAGUUGGACUAUAGGAAAUAGGCUCGCGAGAGACGGGGUCUAUUUUGAUUUGUAAGCGAAAGUAUUAUAAUUGGAUUUUAUUAUAACUCUAAAAAGUUGGAGUUUAAUCGAAGUGUAUAGCUUCUAACUUCCCGGAGGGUUACGUUGGCGGCCGACAACGUAACAUCAGGAGUUAGUAGUAAAGGACACUUCCUUACUUUCGCAUGAUUUGAGUAUUAUUUACUUGAGUAGGGUUGCGAUAGCGUGAGUUUUACUAACUUGCCCUUUUAUGUUGUUGUAGUGAUAAUGCCAACUACUGGCUCUAAAUCUGUUGGGGCAGAGAACGCGGCAAACCUGGAGGAGGUGGAGACCUCCGCUACUUCCGGGUCUAGCGAGGUCCGUGACCUGAGAACUCAGCUUGCGGUCCUCAUUGAUUUAGUGGCUCAGUAGGCGGCGGCGGCUCAGCAACAGGCCGAUGUGGCGCACUGGCAGGAAACGCGGAUGAAGCAAUUGGAGAACUUGCUUCUUCAGCAGGCGGCUACUAGGGAGGCCCAGACUUCCACACCCCCCGCGCCGGCCAAGGUGGUGGCACCGAGGGCGCCGUCUCCCGCUCCCGGUACUUCGCGCGCGGCGCCCAUAGUCGUACCUCGAGAGGAGGAUGUCGCGGCACCACCGAUUCAGGUGCCUCCGGCGGGGGCAGUUUUUCCCGUGAUGGUCGAGGGAGCGGAGCGGGACCGGCUCAUGGAUCGCCUCAAUGAGUUCAGGAGGUGCAAUCCCAGGAUUUUUUAUGGAGAGAAAGCCGACCACUGGAUCGUGGAGAAGUGUUUGAUGCACAUGGAAAAGCUUUUUCGCGACACCUUUGUGGAAGAGAGAGACCGAAUUUGGCUCGCCACUCAUCACCUGGACGCUGAAGCCUACCGUUGGUGGUUGGAUAUCCAAGACAACCCCAACACCGACCUUUCAGCAAUUACGUGGAAGAGGUUCAAGGAACUUCUGUUGGAGCACUACUUCCCCGACAGCGUCAAGAGGCAAAUAGAGAAGGACUUGCGCGGCUUGCGCCAAGGGGAUCGGACGGUAGCCGAGUACGAGAGAGAGUUCUCUCUGCUUCUGUAUUGCGUGCCUUUCGUCGUGCGUGACGACGAGGACAAGGCCCGUAUUUUUUAAAGUGAACUUUGACCGUCGAUUUUUUGGUUUGUGAAAUCGUCAUAUCUGCAAACCUACCGAGAUGUGGUGAACCGCGUUCUCAUUGUGGAGAGGGGCUCGGCGGAUGUGCAAGAACGGAGAGAAGGCUUGGACAAGGGAGAGGGAAAAAGGCCCGCGGCUGAGGGUUUGAGUCAGGCGCACUCUAGGAGGCCGCCGAAGCACCCUAGAAGCGAGUCGAGAGGGCGUGGCUCAUUUGCACAGAGAGAAGGUUUUGAUCGACGCCGACCUCCCCAGUGUGUUAUCUGUGGUGGUCCUCACAUUCCACCGCAGUGUCCACAGCGGGGAGGCAUGUGCUUCCUUUGUGGCCAGGAGGGCCACUUCCGAACCGAGUGCCGGAGAAGUUCGUUACCGGCAUCGUCAUCUGCAUCGGCACCGACAUUGCCAGCUGCCAACCAAGGGACUCCAUCGGCACACUACCCGCCUAGGGGGCCACCCAUCCAGCGAUAGACUGGUACCUUAUCGGACUUCUAAAAUUAUGAAGUUACGGUGUACAUUUGGUUGGAAAGCCAUUUGAAUGGUUCCGGUGAAGUUCGGUGAAGUUUGGGAGCAUUCAGGCGUUUCGAUGUGCGUAGGCGUGAAAACGGUACCCAAAAGGCUAUGUGUCACGCCCCGGGGUCCAGCGGAAGCUUGCCCGGCACGUGUCUAGACCCGCCAUACGUCUGAAACAUAUAAGGCGUCUACACAAUUUCGAUAAAUAAGACAAUAGUACAAAAAGGUCUAGUAAUAUCAGAGCACAAAACAACUAGAUUUUACAACAUAGUAGGUAAAAGAAAAAGUAAAUCCACUAAGAUAAAACAUAACUUAGUAAAAAGAAAGCCAACUACAAGUACAAGGGAAGAUACAAUGGUGGUCUCUAAACAUGGUAACAAAACCUCUCUCUCACAAAUCUCAAACAGAGAGAAGAACCACCUAGGAUCAAAACUGGCUCCACCACUAACUAAGCGAUCCCCUUGCCACGAUCCCGUGCCUCCACCGGUGCUGAAGGCUCUAAAAAGAAAUCAUAAAAUAGGGGGCGUGAGAACUAUUAAAUAAUAGUUCCCAGUGGGCAAUUACUGACUUCAGUGAAAUGCGCCACUCGGCCCAAACUGGAGGAAGGUAAGUAGAUAAGGCAAUACUUAAAGCAAAAGCUACCACAUAAUCACUACUUGGCAUGAAUUGCAUAAAUAAUAAACUACCCAUGAUCUCUACUUAACAUGAUUGGCAUAAGUAAUAAAGCAACUAUAUCAUGAAUGUACAUGGAUGUAUAGGACAUGCAGAAGCUUAGGAAUGCAACCAACCCGAUGUCCUCAAUGCAAAAAUAGUAAAGAUGUCAUUGUUUACUAUUCUAGUCCAAAUUCACUUUAAUAGUUUUAAAGUUCACUUAGCAUGUUCUGUCACUAAGUCCCAAUCAUGUAAGACCCGCCCAAAGGCUGUCUGGCCUGCGCCGUGCCUAGUGGUCCCAUGGUAGUCAACAUCCCCACUCUAGGAAUGAGCCUCCCCCACGGCAAUCCAUUUCGGCGCCCAAUCCCGCACGGGCGAGCAUAUGUCGCGAUGGCUAUCUCCGGAGUGCCGGCUUGUAGGGAGCGACCCUCACAAGUAUAUGCGAAUGAGCACAAUGGCAAACAAGCAAUGAUCUAUCCAAGUACCAAGUCCUCAUGUCUAAAAUAUGGAAUACCAGUCAACUGUAUCGAUGGCCUAUCACUAUGUCAUCAUGUCUAAAACAUGGAAUGUAAUAACUGUCUCAAUGGCCUAUCUCUAUGUCAUCAUGUCUAAAACAUGGAAUAUAGCAGAUGUCUAGGUGGCCUAACACUAUGUCUCCAUGUUGCAGUUUAACAAUUUUCUAGUUCGAGUGCCCCUUUAUGACACUUUUGCUCACUAAGUCAUAGCAUGGCAAUUAUGUUCAAGAGUACAUGAUUCUAGUCAUUUUCCACGUAAGAGACAUAUUUUGAGUUGCAAAUAAAGACCACAUAGCACAUGCAUGCAUACUACUCUUACGGCUCUACUACAUAAAGUGAAAUUAUCAUGAUACAUAAUACAUGUGUUUUAGGCGCUCCAAAAUUCAUAUAAAUUCUACUUAUCAUGAAUAUGCAUGCAUUUAUAGUAAAUGAAGACAAUAAACCACAUAGGAGGCAUUUUCUCCCUAUAUCAAAGAAGCCAAACCCACCAACGACAACGGAACCCUUCGAUUGCUCCGACGAGGGUGUCCACCACUCUCCUAGUACCCUAAAGGUAUGGAAACAAGUGUCACAAGAACCAUACAAACAACACUUAGCUCAAACAUUAAGCUUUUCAAGCUAAGGCGGGGAAAACUCACCGAAAAUGGUGAAUAUCUCUCUUGAUCUCCAAAAGGAGGCAAGAAUCCUUCAAAACCAACCUAAAGGAAGGUUCUAAUAAGAUCAAUCAAGAUCAAAAAGCCUCAACUCGAAAAUCCCCAUUUCUAACCCUAAAAUUCAAAAUCUAGGGUUUUCUCUAACCAAAUCCAACAAAACAUGUAUCAAAUAAAAAAUACAUGUCACUAACCUCUUAAAUAGUCUCAAACCAAGUCCAAAAUCAGCUAGGGUUGGAGGUCUCCUCACAAACAAGCUCCUCUCAAAGCUCCAAGUCUUCAACCAUGGAGAAAACCCAACAAAAAGCAAAGAAGAGGAGAAGGGAGAGAUCAAAACACCAUAAAAUCCACCAAAAAUGGAGAUCAAACAAGGGAAGGGGAGACUCACCUUGAUCUCCACUGGUUAGGGCUCAAAGAGAGCAGCUAAGGGGGCUGGGGUCAUCUAUAUAGGUGUUGUAACAAUUGCAAAUACACCCCUCCCCGAAACAGCCCAUUCUGCACUGCGUACCGGUACACGGGUUUGUGUACCGGUACACAUCCCACGAACCAGCCCAACCCGAGCUUCGGGUUGGCGCUCUGGCUGCCAGGGUCGAUGGCUGUACCGGUACAGCCAUCACCGCGUACCGGUACGCCACCCUGCAGAAAGCCACCCAAGAGCACACCAAUAAUCCAAUUUUUUUGGGUUUUAGUGCCAAGUUUUAAAUCUCAAUUCUCGGGACUCGAACCAUAGGUCGGAAUACUAUCCACGACCCUCCACGAAGUGUGGAAAAGUUCGAAACACAAGUCAAACACUCGGACCUCACUAUUUGCGACGGUUCGGUGUGCUACACUAUGUUAGACCAUGAACUAAAUCCGGCAUUAGCGUGGAUGGAAAGAUGAUGAAAUUACGCUCGAAAAUAUGUUUUGAGAGUUUCGGUUCAAUUUGAAAUGAAUCGGAGUUCAAACGAGCGAAAACGAACGAAAACGGAGAAGAAAGCUGAAAAUGCUGAAAAAUUGGCUAAGUCCUAAAAAUGCUGAAAUUCUGGACCUACGGGGUCCGGACCCUGGCUUCAAGGUCCGGACCCUGAGCCCGAAAAUGGCCCAGUUUAGUGCAGUUUGCAUAGUUGAGGGGGUUUCUUGCAAAUAGGGCAUAUGGGGGCUAUUAGAGAGAGUUAGAGCCUCUCUCUCUCUCAUUCCCUCACCAUUUGCAACCCAACAAACACCAUCUCUCCCUCUCUAAAGUGUCUCUCUCUCUUCAAGAAGGAAGGCAAGGAGGGGGAUUGGUGGAGGGUGAAGCUUGAAGAAGGAUCAUCAUCUUCUUCUCCUUCUUCUUCACCUUGGAGCAAGCUUAAAGAGGUAAGCUUCAUGGAGCUUUAAUGGUAGAACCUUAGGGCUUUGCUUAUAUGCUCUAAGAAUGAUUUAUAUGGAACUCUUAGAUGCCAAAUAGAUGAUUUGUGCUUGAAUCUAGAGAUAUAAUGGUGGAUUUUUACCUAGUUGUAAUCUAGGGCUCCAAAUUGGGGUUUUGAGAAGUUGUGGGAUUUGAUCUAAACUGAACCUCUGUAAACCUAAUUGCUAGGUGUUCUGACGUGUUGGCGAAGUCGGUUCGGCAAUUCGUCGAGCCUGUGCAAAGAUAUUGAAGAAAAGGCCUGUUGAGGUACAGAUUGCCGCAGCUCGCGACGAAAGCUUCCUAAAAUUACAAGAACGGAACCCUAGCCUCCUGGCAGCAUUAAAAGGUGGGGGGUGUCCAUCCCAAAGCAACUGGGCUUCCUUCUAUGUCCGAGAUAGAAUUGUUGAUCAUGUUUCAUAUAUUAUUCUUAUACAUUAUAGGAUGAUUGUUGUAGUUGCAUUUCUACUUCCUUGCAUGCAUGUCUAGUAGUGUAGCAUUGUGGGGCUCGACACUUAAACCUAGAAUGCAUGAGGAUUGGGUCGGGUGACAUGAGAUCCUAUAGUGAUAAGAAUAUGGUGAACUUGAACUUGGUAAUGAGAACCAAUGGAUUGUGAACUAGUGUAAUAAAAACACUUGAAACUUGGACGAGUGGCAUGUAAACAAGAGACACUAUAACAAGAACGAGUGGCAUGUCAGUUUAGUGUAUUGAGACACAUACAACAUCAUGACAUAAAUGAGCGGCAUCAAAUCUAGUGUAGUGGAACACUAUGGCAUUUGAACCUAGGGAUAGUAGAUUUUUUCCGAUUGUCAUGUUGUGGAUAUUAUGCAUUUGGCAUUAGUGCAGUUGAGGCAUUGUGGCCCUAGUAGAUAGGGUAUCCUCCAGUGCGGGGAUUGGAUCAUACUCACAUAGUCUGUGUAACUUUGGCGUGGUCGCUCUACCCAAGUAGUGAGCUCCGGAGUAAUAGUCGCGUUGGGGCAGACAUAGUUGUCCCGCAGACGGGUCUCGGGUGGGUGUAGCACAGAGUCUCCCCACUAGCGAGAUUUGAGAUGUGAGUCGAGGUAGCAACCUUUGGGUUGGCCAUGAGAUUGAUUAUCGAGGCAUAGUUGCACGACGCACUAUAUAGUAGCUUGUACAUCUUGAUUAUCGAGGCAUAGUUGAACGACGCACUAUGUAGUAGCUUGUUCAUUCAUGUGAUUAUCGAGGCAUAGUAUCAUGUGUAGAGACAUUACUAUGUAGUAGCUCAUUUCCUUAUUGUUCAUUGAGGCAUAGUAGCAUGUGUAGAGACAUACUAUGUAGUAACUCAUUCAUGUAUCCAGCUUUGAGGCAUAAUAUCAUGUGUAGAGACAUUACUAUGUAGUAGCUCAUUUUCUUAUUGUUCAUUGAGGCAUAGUAGCAUAUGUAGAGACAUACUAUGUAGUAGCUCAUGCAUUUCAUUGAUUAUGAGGCAUAGUAGCAUGUUGCAUAUUUUCUACUAUGUUGUAGCUCAUUUCAAGAUAUCUAUCUAUCUAUCUAUCUGUUGCUCAUGCCUGCUUAGACCUAGUGGGAAGAUCGGCAGAGUCGGCGGCCGAACCCACUGGGAACUAUAUUUAUAUAGUUCUCACCCCACUUUGUUGCAGGGCCUAGCGAGAGAGUACGGGCAGAGGACCGUGGUAAGGGCAUAGCGCCCUAGUUAGCUAGCAGCUUCCUUAUGCAUUAGAGUACCCUCGUGUACCCGGUUGACAUGAUUAGUAAAUAUUGUAUUUUGGAGAGCUAGCAUGUAUGAUGAGAGAACAUUAUGUAUCCACAUUUUGGGAGAUGAAAAUGUAAAUUAAUUAUGCAAAUGAUGUAAAUGUUGAAUGUCAAAUGCGAUGUAAUAGCUAGAACUGUCUCUUUUUAUGCACUUGUAUAAUUACUUGUAUCUUGCUCUUGUUGGUAUAGCACUUGUGGUGCUUCGUUGAAUCAUGUAUAUUAAUUGAGUUUAUUCUGGGCAACUCUUGUACAUGAUCUUGUUGUUGAGCCUUGGGUGGGCAGGGGAGGUGCUGUCCGUCCGGCGUCUGUUCGACGUGCCGGGAUUCGACCAAAUUGGCAAGUCGUGGGCCAUGACAGAUAAAGUGGUAUCAGAGCGUAAAGAGCAAGUAAAGAGCAAAUAAAGAUAGAGUCUAGGAUGACCUAGGAGACCCUAGGACGGAAAACUUAAGGAUAUAGGUGUGUGAGUGAGACGUGGACCUAUGCGGGUGGCGGAAGUUGAAUCGAUUGGGUCAAGUUUUGUAAACCUCUAAGACGGAUGUUAGAGGUAGACUCGAUGUGUGGUUUAUUCUCGACCAAGUGCGUUCAUGUUGGGCGAUCAACAACAUGAAACCGAGGGAUGAGAAUAGACGCUCCUGCGUGACUUUCGCCGGAUUUGAGUUGAGUUGAUGUUAGUUGUUACGUGCUCUACCUAGAGAGUCGAGACUGACCGUGUUGUCACGGUUCAGGAAAUGAUGGCACCGCGUAGGCGAUCUUUGUUUAGAUCGGCACUGGAUGGGACAAGUAAUGUCCUUGAGCAAUUCGAGAUGAGUGGAGACUUGGGACUUCGCGAGCGGUUGGCCACUAGUGGGAGUCGCGAGGCAACGAGCCGAAUUGGUGCUACGACAGCAGGAGGCUGUCAUGCGCCAGGAGGAGCGGAUUAAUGGACUCCAAGAAACGGUUGAUCGAUUGGUGACCGUGCCAGUUUCAGCUCGUCGAGCGCGGCCGGGAGUCGCGGCGGAGGUGUUUCCGUCGGGGUCGGGCAAUCCGACUUCUAGCACUUCAAAGGUGGUGGUGGUGAGGGAGCGAGCCUUGGCGGCCCUCAUGAUUUUCAAGGAAUUUGAUCCGCCUACCUUUGAUGGAGAGGAUGUAGAUCCGUGGAUUGUGGAGUCGUGGAUUGAUUCCAUGGAAACUCUGUUUGAGGAUCUGUACUUUGUGCGAGCAGGAGUUCUCCCGUAUCGUGAGUUGUAUCCAGAAUGUGGUGCGGGAUGACGGGAUCAAGCUGAUUGCUUGUACGAGGACUUCGGCUGGAGAUUUCCAAAGUUGUGUAUACUCUUAAGUGCAAACUUUUGCCAAAAUUAAGGAUUGAGCGUUGUGGGCGGCCGUGCUAUUCGCAAGAUGAGCGCCGCUGAGGGGAUGACCAGACCUUCGCAUUGGCGACUGCCUUCUCCUUUCUGAGACAGCCUGCGGGUGUGCCAUCUGUAGCAUGGUCGGGAGAGUGAGUAGUGAGGACGUGGCGACCGGAGGGUCCGCGGCGUGUGUACCGAGUGGCCAUGAGGACGCGACCCAGGUCGAUGAGCAUUGCAUGCAUUGUCGUGGUCAGUUGCUACUAUUUAUGCAUUAGUAUAGUAGGGACCAAUGGACGGGUAGGUGAAGAUACCUUGGCAUGCUUGUGUGUGAGAGUGUAGCACCUGCUUGAACAGGAAGAGAGCUAGACGGCACUAGCAAAAUGCUAGUAGUGGUUCUUGGACGAGUAAUGAUACUCGUGGAGUGCGGAUUUGAUUCAACCGAGGGAGUGAGAUGGCAGUAGCACUUUAGCAUUGCUAAGUGUGAAGCGUGCCAUGGAUCACUCGUGGGACUGGUGACUCGCACUAGGUGCAUAGUAGCCGGUAGUAGUGCGUGUGGCUCGGAAGAGCGUGUUGUGUAGGACGACGACGGCGGGUGUUGCUUGGGGACGACCCGUGCCUGGACCAUUUGUGGACUGUAGAGCUUGGGCCCAUUGGGCAGGCGCAGUUAGCUGUGAGUGACAGCGGCCCGGUACCUACGGGUAGGGCAGAGUUUUGGUCAGAGCGGUAGUCCGAGCUUACACCCAAUAUAUAUAUACACACUUUGAAUUUAAAAAUUCAAAUUUGAAUUUCUUUUAUUAUCAAAUCUCGGAUAUUACACAUAUGAUGGGUGUGGGCUUUGACGAGUAUUCCAUGACCUCCACUCAGCUGGGACUAUACAAUAGAAGGAUUGUAUUGUACAGUAACUGCACGUAGAGGUUCAGUCCGAUAUGCAUUUUUGACUGGAUUGCCACUACGUGCUGCUAGGUGUCACUGGUGGAUUAUGGGAACCAAUAGGAAUAAUUAUAGAUAAUUAAUUAUUCUAUAAGGGUGGAAUCAAAAGAGUUUGAACUAUCAAAAGGAGUUUCGAUGAUGAUGUAGGUAGGGAUCGCAUUAUAUCUCACUAUCAGACAUAAUUGAACCUAUUAGGUCACACACAUAAGAAAUCAUGCAUGAUCGAUAUUUAGGAAACGAUAAAAGAAGUUUAUCAGAUGGUUUAAUUGCAAUUAUAAUAUAGUUAAAUACUAAAGUUUACUAAUUUAUUAGUAAAAUGACUAAUUUGCAAUUAUUGUAAAUUAGAGGUAUUUAUGUGUAAAAGAUGCAUGGUGUAUUUACUAAUCAUUAGAAAAUAAUAUGAGGACUUAUAUGUAAAUGUUACACACGAAUCGAAUUGAAAUUCGGAUUCGGUUAAUAUUAUAACCAGCUUGACGGUUAAUGGAUAAUCCAAUCAGACUAGGGUUUCGAUUAGGAUUAGGAUUAGGCUUAGGGUUUUCUCAUUAUAAAUACAUGUCAUAUAACAUAUUAAAAUUAAAAUAAUACAAGAUAAAUAGAAAACCCUAGACGUCAAUCCUCUCUUUCUUCCUUAAGUCCUCCACAAUUAAUCUAUCGGUUUCAAUCUUCAAAAAGUUGCUAGCACAUCUAAAAGAUUGAUUCAUCUUUCUUAAAUUGACGCAAGAGUUAAUUCGUGAUUGGAUCACGGAUCGAAGUGGUCGUUUAAUUCGAUCAAGGGCGUGAUUUCGUGUGGACGCGAAUAGAGGCCAGGCGCGUGCGCGGCUAAGCGAGGACGAAUAAUUUUUACUAACAAUUGUCAUCUUCACGGUGAUCUCAACCCACGCAAGGUGAAAAACUAGAUCCUAUUUGAUUAGAUCAAUUAGAUCAAUUAUUAAUGAUCUAAAGCGAAACACAAGGAGAUCUUUGGUUUUGGAAAAUUUUUAAUUGUGUUAUUUUCUUCCGCUGCGCACACAUAAUGUCACGCCCCGCUAUCGCCAAUUUGGUCGGUUCGGGCACACCAACAGACGCCGAACGGACAGCACCUCCCCUGUCCGCCCAAGGCUCCAACAACGAGUAUAAUCAAGCAAAUCAAACAACGAGAUUGCAAUUAUACAAGACUUGCUCGAGGGCAAGCAACAACCACAAGUAGUGAAAGCUCUAAGCUACUACAUACAUCAUACAACUAUACACAUCAUAUUUGAUUACUUUUAAACCAAAUACAAGUGAACUAAAGUUAUUACAUUCAUUCUCUUUGCAUUCAUGAUUAUACAUCACCUAGUCAUCCAACAAAACAUAUGAUUUACAUCUUUAUACAUCAUUUCUUUUCAACAUACAAAAGUUGAAACAUAAACAUAAGGAAUGACUAUAAACUCCGGUAGCCGCUAACUACGGCGCAAUACCCUUGCCCCGAUCCUCCGCCACUCCGCUCGCGCUAGGAUCUGCAGGGUUAGUGGUGUGAGAACUAAAAGAAGUUCCCAGUGGGUUCGGCCGCCGACCUCGCCGAUUUGCCCACUAGGUCUAUGCUUAUAUGUAAUUCAAGAAAAGAUAGAUAGCAAACCAACUAAUGCUACUACGAAUACAAUGCCUGCAAGAAAGCUGAAUCAACAGAUAUAUGAUCAUAUGUAUGAUAAAUAUGCAUGCAUGUUUUUCCACAUUCACUUUGGCUUUUACCCAAUUAACCCGCUUAACACUUGUUAACCGCAAAACUCACAGCCCAAAAUCCCUCUCAAUCAGGGGACUCGAACCGCCCGAGGGACCGUCUUCGGGGACCGCUCUCCCCGUGGUGUCAAUUCCGAAACGUACCGUUUGAGGGGGAGCUACCUCCCUCAAGCCAAGACUCAAUGUGAGUAUGAUCCAGUCCUCAAUUUGAGGACGUAUAGCCACACUUGCUAUCUUGUCACAAGCCACGAUGCCAAAAUGCACUAACAGGUUUUUACCUUGUCAUAUAUAAAUCACUCUCUAGGCUACACUUGCCGUAAUGCCACAAUGGUUUAACCUUGUUUAGCAAUUCAUCUCUCGGUGCCAAUCUUGUCGCUAAUGUCAAUGUCACCUUUGUUUACUAUUAUCAUAGACCAUAUCACACGUUCAUAGGGUUCCAACAUACAUGGUCCAUUACAAUUUAUAUGUUUUCUAACCUAGAAGCAUACAAUUGUUUUCCAACCAUAGAUACAAGUCACAUAGCCCUAUAAUGCAUGAUUUCUACUAUACAUAUAUGCUCAAACAAAGGCAACAUAGAUAUAGAAGGAAACUCAGAGAUUUCGGAUAGCACCCCCACCUUGUAGGAAUGCUAAGAUGCCACGAUCCAAAUUUCGUGAUUUUUAGACGUCUAUUUCUUCCGACUUCGGAAAAACUGAGCCAAAACAGGCUUUUUCCACGAUUUCUCCGCGUACGCUCGUCGGAUUGCCGAACCGAAUUCGCCAAUGCGUUAGAAUACCUAGCAAUUAGGGUCACAUGAAAUCAAUCCCAAGCUUAGACCUCACAUUUACAAAACCCUAAAACAUAGCCCUAGGUUUCACCUAAACCUCAUAAUAUCCACCAUUAAUGGAUAUUAAUACAUUAACUACCCACAAUAACUCCUAGAAGCACAUGCUAGAAGAAUUACAACCAAAACCUAGCUUGGAAUCGAGAAAAUCAACCUUUAGAUUCAAGCUUUCUCCAAGCCCCUUGUACAAUUGCAAGCACCACCCUCCACUUGACCUUCUUCUCCACCAAAGUCCCUUCAAAGGCCUUUCUUGCUCAAGCCCUAGAGAGAGAGAAGGAGAGAGAGGAGUUUUAGAGAGAGAGAGGGAAGCCCUAAAUGUGUUGGGGUGAGAGAAAUGAGAAGAAAACCUCAUUUCUCAAACAUAUACACACCCACACUUACACAUUUGCACAUUAGCCCCUCCAACUACACCAAUUCACAGCAACCCAAACUGGGCAGAUUUCGCCUAUGGGGUCCGGUCCCUGGACAGGGUCCGGACCCCGAGAGCAUGAUUUUUCAGCAUUUUGCUGAAAACUCACCAGCCAGCUCUCCUGGGUCCUCUAACCUCUAUGCAACUCAUUCCCAAGUGUUUUAAACACUUUGCGGACCGCUCUAACUAGUCCGACUCCGCGCUCCGGUCAAUUUGACGGAAGCUCGGUACAAUUUAUCGGGGAUACGAUAUGUUACACAUAAUUUUCUUACAAGUACGGCAAGAACGAACUCCGAGAUUGUCUCAAUCUAAUAAGGAUCGUGCUCGCCCCAAACGCCUCAGUCCUUCUCGAGUUCCCCAUGAGUGCCGUAAGAAGCGCACACUUGGGAAAAGGAUGCUGCACAGGAGCCCGUACCUCCUGUGGUUGCGCUGCGGACGGAGGAGCAAACACGACUUCAUCAGCUCCGACGUAUGUAACGUACUUAUUAUUUUACAUUCUCAGUAAUAGAGUUUGUAGAAUAAGGAGGUUGUCAUUGUAUCACUCUGACUUUAAUAACACUAAGUCUCUUUCUUUCUUGGUGCAAACAUAGGAGUAAUAGUGCAAAAUCUAUUCAAGUAGUGUAAUAUGCAACCGCAUCUAUUUAAUGUAGGUUGCACCACUGAGAGAGUGCGCGCACCCUCCAGUAGCUAGCGAUUCCCUUUUGCGAUCGUUCAGGCGAAAUGAAGAAAUACUCCAAGUAGAUGACCGUGCAACGGCGUCUUUGUUAGUUGAGGAUGUGUUACUGGAAUGCGAAGGAGUAUGUAAUCGUGUAGGUUUGAUGUAAAUAGUGUAUCUUUUUUAGUAAUAAAUCAAUUGACCAUACUAUUUUACACAAAGCAGCUGCACGACGUUGUCGUCCAAAUUUGUGAGGACGUCGAGCCAUUAUCUUUGGUAUGUACAGUGGAUGCGUCGGCGAAAGAAGAGUAGGCCACCGAGCCGAUAGCACCGGUAGUGUCGGAAUCGAAGGUCUCGGCCGAGAAAAAAGAGAAGCCUGCUGAGACGGUGGCAGCCGCACAGCCGCCACCAAAGGUGGCGGCAGAAGAAGAGAAGCCCGGCAAGGUGGUGGAUGCCGCACCACUGGAACGAAGGCCCGCCCAGCCGAACCAAUACCUAAACGGGAAGGUGAAUGUUGCAACGCUACUUAUAAAUAGUAUAAUAUGCAUCAAGCCGUGUUAAAUUUGCUAAGUAAUCAUGUAAUUUUCUAAAUUUUGCAUUCUUUCAUGAAUUUGUGAAUAGGCCCCCGCAGUGAUCGACAUUCCCCCCUGGGAAGAGAAGAAGCCCACCGAGACGGUGGCAGUCGUACCGCCGACACCGAAGGCGACGGCGGAAGAAGAGAAGCCCAACGAGACGGUGGAUACUGCCCAGUCAAAACGAAGGCCCGCCCAGCUGAAAUCAAUACCUAAACGGGUAGGUAAAUGUUGCAACGCUACUUAUAAAUAGUGCAAUAUUCGGCAAGCCGUGCAAAAUUUGCCAACUAAUCGUGUAAUUUUCUAAAUUUUGCAUUCUUUCAUGAAUUUGUGAAUAGGCUCCCGUAGUGAUCGACAUCCCCCCUUCGAAAGAGGAAAAGCCCGCCGAGGCGAUGGCAGCCGCACCGUCUGUUAGAAAAUUGCGUACGGUAAAAACGCAGCGGAAAAAGAAAUCAAACAAAUUUGAUUUUGAAAACUCUCGAGAUCCAAUCUCAAAAACCACGNUUCUCUAACAACCACCUGCAUAUUCGCUUCAGUGUCCCCACACUGUCGACUCGAGACUCGUCUACCCUGAAAGGGAAGCGACCUAUGCACCAAUCUCACUGGAUCAAUCACCGUCCCCGUGAUGAUCCAUUGAUCGGGAGCAUUUAGGAAUUAACCACCAAUGACACAUGUCUCAAAUUCUCAACUCUUGAGAAUAUAUGUCAUCAUCUUAUUAAUUCCUUGGACGAUUCAUGGACACAUACACAACAUGAAUGGAAAUAAUAACCCAAAUUUAUUCAUAAUAUUUUAAAAUCAAAUACAAAAUUAUGUCCUAGAAAGAAUACAUGUGUCGACCUGGUUGGCUUCUAGGGCAUAUAUCUAACACCGUCGCCACCGAAGGUAGCGGCGGGAAAAAAAAGCCCGACGUGGUGGUGGACGCCGCACCACCGGAACGAAGGCCCGUCCAGCCGAAACCAAUACCUAAACGAGUAAGUGAAUGUUGCAACGCUACUUGUAAAUACUGCAAUAUUCGUCAAGCCAUGUAAAAUUUGCCAAGUAAUCGCAUUCUUUCAUGAAUUUGAAAAUAGGCCCCCAUAGUGAUCAACAUCUCCUCCUCGGAAGAGGAGAAGCCCGUUGAGGCGCUGGCACCCGCACCACACCGAAAUAAAAGCAAGCCCAGUCGGAACCUAAACCUAAAAGGGCUAAACGGGUAUGUGAAUGUUACAACGCUACUUACAAAUAGUGCAAUAUUUGGUCAAUCCGUAUAAUAUUAGCAAAGUAAUUGUGUAUUUCUCUAAAUUUUGCAUUCUUUUAUAAAUAUGCCAAUAGGCCCCCGUAGUGAUCGACGUCCCACCCUCGGAAGAAAGGAAAAAGUCAAAAAAACAAACGGUCGCAAGGAGUAUUGCAAAAAUGGGGUUGAAGUACUAUGAUAAGGGCGUGCUACUGACAGAGGACUAGAAUUUAAUAGAAAAAUUCAUUUUUAGCGACACCUCCGUGGUACGCGUGCCCUUGAAGAACAUUGACAUAGGUCGAAAGGAAUUAGUGGACCUUAGUAGCCACAUGGCAUUCAUCAACUCUGACUAGCAUCUCUUGGAACAUUGACAUAGGGUCAGCGACGACGGCACGUUGGUAGUCGCUGGAGGUUGGGCAUGGCCAUAGGAGGGGGCUAAAGGUGUGGAUCACCUAGGGAUGGUCUACGGCAGAGGUGAAGGAUGCAUGGUGGAUAAAAAUGGUGGAGGAGAGGCCAUCAAGCUUUUCCGGCGGCCGGGGAAGCUUGUCGGCGGUCGAGGUGCGCGCACGGCUAGGGCAGUGAUCUGUUUAUGAUAGCUAGGGCGUAGCUGGGGGACUAGGUCGGCUAGAUCUAGGGUUUUGCGCAAAGAAACCCUAUAUGCACUUUAUAUAUAAUGCGCAAUUUGCAGAAAAGUCCCCACAAGCUAACUUAUUUAAGCUGAGUCCCUGCUAGGGAGUGUAACUUGCGCGUAUGCACCUCGAUGUUCAAAACCACGCAAAACGAUACAUAAAAUAUACGGAGUUUUGCAACUUUUCCGUUUUGCCACUCUCGACCCCUCAGCUAACAUUUCACGAUUCUCGGAGAUCCGUCCGUCGAAUUUCCGAUCGGAUCACGCCAGUGCGUUCAGCACGACUGGGGCAUCGAAUAUACCAUUUCGUUUCGUCUGAAUUGGUUGUCGAUUCGCAACGAAACUCAUCCCCUCUCCAAUAUUCCAAACACCAUAGAUCUAUCUAUAUAUAUAUACAAAUCUAAUAAACUCCAUUUUUCUCGAAUAUCGUGCAUCAAAUCUAAAAUCCGUCCGUACCAUUGGUUCCAGAAUAGCCGAACCGUUCAAAACGAGAUAUUGGAUUGCUAUAAUCGGAGUCCAAUACGCACCAGAAACCAUCUCCACUCGUUGGCUUCUCCGAAAAAUCGGAGUUACUGUUCACUUUAAGUCAUUACUAAAGUUCGCGUAACUACUCCAUCCUAACUCGUUUUCUCUUGAAAUUUGACGAGUGUUUAUAUAAUUAAAUUACACAUAAAAAUAUCAUCAACACAGAGUUUAUCUGUACAGCAAAAAUCUCAAUCCUUACAGAGAGAGAAAAAGAGGAGUUCAUUUUUUUAAUAUGUUAUCUCUUGGGAAGGUAAAAAAAUUUAAUUUUUUAAUAUAUUAUUUCUUAGAAAAGUGAAAAGACAAAGAGAUCUUUUGGUAGGAGAGAGAGGUGUAAAGAAACAAAUUUUCUCUUGGAAAAGUGAAAAGAUUUAUUUUUUUAAUAUAUUAUUUUUUGAGAAGGUGAAAGAUAAAUAGAAAAUUUAUUAGUUAGAGAAGAAAGAGGUGUAACAUGGAAAGUGAAACUACUUUUUGUCUCUUGGGAUGGUAAAACGAUUUAUAUUUUUUAAUAUAUUAUUUCUUGGGAAAAUAAAAAGGCAAAGAUAUCUUUUCGUAGAAGGGAGAGAAGUGCAGAAAAACAAAUUUUCUUUUAAGAAUGUGAAAAGAUUUAUUUUUAAUAUAUUAUUUUUUUAAAAUGUGAAAGUUAAAGAGAGAAUUUGGUAGGACAGAGAGGAUUAGAGAAAAAAGAAAGAGGGGUAGAGAAACUCAGGGAAGAGAGACAUAUAGAUAGAGACAAAUAAGAUUGUAGGGAUGACAAAAGAAAAGAAAGGGAUCUCAUAUGACGUGGAGGCAGAAAAAACUGUCACGUGGAUAGAAGGAACCAUUAAAUUAUAUAUACUAGUGAAGGCCCGCGCUUCGCUGCGGAAGAUUUAUGCAUUUUUUAAAAUAUUUUGAACAAACUAAUAUAUUUCUAUAUUUAUGUUGUUAUCAUUUUUAAAAAUUUAAAUUUAAAUUUUUUAAUUUUCAAAUCUAAUUUUAAAUUUUAAACUUUAAAAAAUUAAAGAGCUAAAAUAUAUAUAUAUAUAUAUAUAUAUAUAUAUAUAUUUAAAUAGAGAGAAAUAAAAAAUAAUUUGAAAAUUGCAGAGAGCAGAGAGGGAAAAAAACAAAAAGAGCAUUGUCCGCGCCGCGCCGCGCCCCGCCCCGCGCUUCAGCGUGUCCGCGCCACACCGCGGGCCGCCUCACGCUCCUGCGUUUUUUUAUUUCAUAAAUUAAGAGAAAACAAUUAAAGAAAAAGACACAAAAAUACAAAAAAAAUUAGAAAAAAGAUUAAUUUUACAUUAAAAAAAAAUAGUAAUUUUGCUCUUAUUUUGGGCUUUCGUAAAAUAUUACUAUUCAGGACCAAUCAAAUUUGAAGGGAACUAUUAUUAUCUCUCAUAAUUUUUUAUCCAAUAAUUAAAAAGUUGAAAAUACCGACCGCUUUAUGCUUUCGAUAGCACAACAACUUUACACAGAAAUAUAUAGAUAGUAUUUCAUAGAUGCCACCAUAUAUAUUAGUAUACAUAAUAAUUAGCAGUUUAACAUAUAUAUAAAAAUUUUGGCUAAUAUUUCAUCAAAUACAGAGAGAGCGAGAGAGAGAGAGAUGUAUAUAACCCGCGCAAUUUGAGAUCGCAAUCAAAACUCUAAAAACAAUGACAAAAAAAAUAUUUUGACAAUUUGUUUAAUUUUCUAACAAAAAACUCCAUUAAUUAUUGCGUUAAAACUAUAAAAGGUUUGAGACUUAAGGUACUGUUGUUUGAAAAAAAAAGAAAAAGAAAGAGAAAAUAGAUGAGAGUGAGAGGUGCUUCACCGACCUCUUGCAUGAACCGAACAGAGAUGCCCGAGUUGCAGCAUCCUUUGCUUGUGGAGAUCUCAUAUGCGGCCUCCACUCCUCUCCCUUUCUCUAACCCAUUCUCAACUUUGUUUCCACUCUUUCUCUCUCGUUGUCACACACACUCUCUCUCUCUCUCUCUCUCUCUCACGUUUACCCAAAGAGAGAGAGAGAGACCACAAAAGAAGAUCUAGCAAAAGAGAGCUACUCCAAGGGUAUAUAUAUAUAUAUAUAUAUAUAUAUUCUUCUCUCUAUCAAUUCUAUAUAUUUUUUAUAUUCAUUAUGCACGUAAGUGAAGAUGUUAAUAUAAAUUUCUGGAUCUGUUUCUGAGUGGAUAUGUUUAUAUAUAGGAACAAUUGCUUAUAUACCCCUGAAAAGUUCCCGACUUUUCAAUUUAUCCCUCUUAGAUGGCUAAUAUUGAAAAUACCUUUUUUACGUUCCAACUUAUUUCUAAUAUAUCCCUAGAGUUAAAAUUUGUUAAUGAACUCUGUUAUUUCUGUAAAAUUACUAUUUUGCCUUUUCAAAUAUAUCAUUUUACUAUCACUGGCUUUCUUAUUUGCUCUUAAAGUCAGGUGCACUAAAAGUAUUUUGAUUUUUGGUCUUUUCCAAUAUACUUCUCUACUGUUACCAANGAACUUAAGUUCAGGGUGGAGCUCUUAUUCAGCAAUUAUUGGUUCAAUUCAGAUAAAUUAAAAGAGAAAUCUGGUUCAAAGAUAGAAAUAUAUAGAGCAAUUGGUUUGGUUCGAUCUAAUGAAGUUGACCCGCUUCAGUAUUAUUGGUUCGGUUCAGAUAAUUAAAAAAGAAAUCUGGUUCAAAGAUGGAAAUAUAUAGAAUAAUUGAUUCUGUCCAAUGAAGCAAGUUGAUCUGGUUCGAAUCAAGCACAAACAGAGAAAAAUUAUAAAUUAUUUGAAGAACUUGAGCCAGUUCAAGAUGGCACCCAACAACCCGAUUUGGUUCAAACAAAGAAAGAGAAAUUGGUGGAGCCCACAUUUAAUUUAACAAAGAAAGAGAAUGAUACUAUGUGGCAAAGUUUAAGAAAAAUAAUGUAUAGAUUUGUAUGGAUAGAUUAUUAAUUUUAAAUUUUUUAGACCAACUUAAUAACAAAUCUCAGCUUAUUUUUGAAAAGAUUUGUCUAUAUCUAUACCUAUACCUACCUAUACAUUAUUUUUCUUAAACUUUGCCACAUGGCAUCCUUCUUUUUCUUUGUUAAAUUAAAUGUGGACUCCUCCAAUUUCUCUUUCUUUGUUUGAACCAAACCAAAUUGUUGGUUGCCACUUUCAGCCGGCUCAAGUCUUCCAAAUAAUUAUAUAAUUUUUUUCUGUUUAUGCUUGAAUCGAACCAGAUCAAUUUGCUUCAUUGGAUCGAAUUAAUUAUUUAUAUAUUUCCAUCUUUGAAUCAAUUUUUUUUUUUAAUUAUCUGAACCGAACCAAUAAUAUUGAACCGAGUCAACUUACUUCAUUAGAUCGAACCAAACCAAUUGCUCUAUUUUUUUCUAUCUUUGAACCAGAUUUCUCUUUUAAUUUAUCUGAACUGAACCAAUAAUUGUUGAAUAAGAGUUUCAUCCUGAACUAGCUCAAGUUCUCUUCUUUUUUUGCUUGAACUGAACUAGAUUUCUUUUUCUUUGCUUGAACAAAAUCGAUGCCCUCUUUCUUGCUUGAACCAAGCUCGGUCAAAUAUAUACCAUUUUCCUCUUCUCUUUGUUUUUAUAGAAAUUCUCAUUAAGGAUUUUUUUUAGAAAAAAAAUUAAUUGAUAUUUGUAUUAAUUUAUUAUUAAUAUUGAUAUAAAAUAUGAUGAUAAAGUAUAUUUAGCAAACAUAUAAUGUCUUUAUUUAUUUAUUUUUUAACUGUUGAUUCAUACAUAUAUUGUUUACACGUUUGAAUAAUUUAUAAUAAAUAAAUAUAAAUUAUUUAAAAUAUUAUGAAAAGAUAUAUUAUUAAUAUUUUAAAUUUUUUGUUUUGUUUUGGUUUUUUUUUUUUGUCGCAUCGCACGAUUUAGUAGUUUACUAGUGUUGAACCCGCGCUUCGCUGCGGCCAAUUUUGACACUAAUAUUCUAAUAUAAAUUUUAAAAUAAUUUUGAUGCCAAUAUUUUAAUAUGAAUUAUUAUAUAUAAUCACAAAAAAGACAAUACAAUCAGGUAUAUAAGCAAGCAGAAUAUAUAAAAUCUGACAGCCAAAUGUACUGAUUGAUAUACUCAAAAAGAAAGUGAAGCUUCUUCACGUGCAAAAAUUUUAUGAACACUGUGUUCAUAUGAAAUUAUUUGGGGAUAUUUUGGAUGGACGCCAUGUGGCACUACGGCCACGUGGGACAUCAUCCCGCUGCUCUGCCUGUUAGGAGAGCAGUGGAAUUUUUUUCGAUGCACCAGGUUCACCUCUUUUUCUUUAAAAUUUUAUUUUUUAUUUUUAAAUAUAAUUUAAUAUAAUAGAUAUAUAUUUUAUGAUAUCUAAAAAUAUAUAUGCAAAAGGAUUUUAAAUCAUAAACCAUAAAUUCUUUUACAUAUAUUUUUAAAAUAUCAUAAUAUAUAUUAGAUUAUAAUUAAAAAAUAAAAAAUAAAAUUUUAAAACAAAAAAAUGGUGCACCGGGUGCACCAAAAAAAAAGCACUACUCUCCCAAAAGCAGAGUAACGGGGCGUGGGGAGGUGUUACGCGGCGCCCAUCGGAGGCGUCCGAGUGCCACGCGGCGGCCAAACGCCGUAUCCCCAAAUUUCUUUCUAUGGGCACAAUGCCAGAAAAUUUUUGCCACUUCUUCACCCCCUUUCACCACCAUUUUUCUCUUUUAUGCUCCCGAAGCAGACCCUUUUCCCCUUUUAUGCUCCCAAAGCAGCGGGAUGGUAAAUAGGCUUCGACUCGUCACGGGCAAAGGGUAUAGAUCAGGCUCGGGUCGUCGACGAUGGACACAGCGGCGGCAACGGCUUGGACGGCUUGGGCGGUGGACACAGCACCAACGACGGCUUCAGCGAUGACGACGGCAGACGCGAUGGCGGUGGCGGCGGCAGACGCAGAGGACAGAGCGAGCGCAGUGGCGGCCGCAGGCGUGGUGGGCGCGGUGGUGGUCGCGGAUGCGAUGGACGCGGUGGCGGCGACUUCCUGUCAACUGUAAAUAUAUAUGUAUAUUUUUUUAAAUUUGUAAUUUUUUUUUUAAUCCUUCUCUUCUUCUCCACUCUCUUUCUCUUUUUUUUUUCUCUCUCUUUUUUUUUUAAACUUCUUCCUUAAUGUUCACAGUACGCUCUUUUUUUUUUUUUCUAUUUUUUUAGUUUUUUUUAAGUAUUGAUGAAGCCUCCUCUUGUGCCGUCCGCGGAUCCUCCGUGUGAUUCCCCCCCUGCUCGAGCUUCUUUCUCAAGUUAUUUAUAAAGCUCAAGUAUAAAUUUUCAAAAUUUUUUCAUAUCUUAAAGAGAUUUUUAAGAUAUUGGGAAAUAUGUGAUCCCGGAUUUUUCGGGAUCUUGUUGACUGGGUAGAGAUGGAGGUGGAGAAGAGAGAGAUAGAGGGAGGAGAGAGAGAGAGGGAGACCUAGGGAGGAGAGAUAAAGGGUCACAGGUUCCUAGAAAGAGAGAUGGAGGAGAAGAGAGAGAUAAAGAGACUUAGUGCACAGGACCUAACAAAAAAAAUGCAUGACGUGGGAGCACAAAAAAGUGCCACGUAUAUCUUUAGAGACUGUCAAAUUAUGUAUUUGUUAAGGAUAUUUAAAAUUUCAACUGUUGUAUUAAAAACUAGCGGAUGCUAUUGCAUCAACUUUCACUUUUUCCCUUCCUAACCCUAAAUUCCUCUUUCUUCCAAACCCUAAUUCCACUUCCCUGUUUUUCUUCACGCCUCACACACACAACCGACUCUCUCUCUCUCUCUCUCUCUCUCUCGCUCUACGCCCGAAGACUCCGGCAGCGCUCUUCAAUCGUCACCGUUCGCACACCCCCGGCAGCGCACUCUUCGCCGUUCGCAUAUCCCGAUGGAACUCCGGCAGCAGCGCUUUCAACAGGUUCGUUCUUCGUUUUCCAUUGAUCUUCAUCAUUUUUUUUUAAAAUUCUUCUUAUGGUUUUUUGAGCAGAAUGUGAGGGAUUUUCUUUCUUGAGCUUCUAAUUAGAGUUUGAUGUGAUUUUUUUUUUUUAAAUUUUGAAGUACAUUUCGAAUUGUUGUGAUGUAAACUUGUAAUGCAUUUUUAUUUGGACAAUGUGUUAUGUAGUAAAGGAGUUUAUGUUGUUGUGUUUACUUUAAAUUAUUGUGAUUUGCUACAGAUUAAUUUUUUUUUUUUAUAUUACUCUUUGUUGUUCACGUCUAUUGCUUAUAAAAUGUAUUGUAAUGUCUAAUCGAGCUGUGAGUCAAAUAUGAGCACGAGAUAACGAGCCGAGUUACGAGCUAACGAGCUAACAAGUAAGGUAGCAUUGAAUAGUCAAGCUAACGAGCCGAAAACGAGCUAGCUCAAAUAAAUUGCGAGCCGAUCACGAGCUGGACAUUUCGAGUUUGUCACGAGCCCGAGCUGAACACGAGCUGACCUUGAAUACUUUCGAGCCGAUCUCGAGCUGGCUCCAGCUCGUUCGUGUUCGGCUCGUUGAUAGCCCUACCUAACAACCUCACAAAAAAUCACACAACCUAUAAAAAAAUAAUAACAGUCUAAAAAUGGUGAAUUACUCACAACUUUCUAAUACUAGUAAACGAUUCACUAUAUUUCUCAUUUCUGUGAGUCAGUAAAAGGAAGGUAGAUUAGCCAAAUAAAAUUUUGAAAAAAAUAUUUGGUAAAUUAAAAUUUUUAUAAAGUUACUGUAAAAAAAGUCCCCAUUUUGUAUUUACCGAUUUAGCCCAAAUUCUUGAGUAUAUAUUCAACAGAAACACAUACAUCUUUUAGGUACUGUUAUAUUUUGUUAUUUUUUGUUGAUUAAGAAAAGGGCACUGCAGACGAAGUUGGAUACUAUUGAAAAGAUGGAACCUAUGGAGAAAAAGGACGCAGAGAUCAGCGGUGUUAUCGCCCCUCCGCCGCCCGCCGCUGCCGCCGGUGGUGCUACGCCCACUGAUGCCGAGUCCGAAGUGGAAGACUACGAGCGCCAAGCUCGCGAGCUUAAAGCCGGCCUUCAUCCCUUGAAGGUUUUUUUUUUCUUUUUCUUUUUUUUAUUCUUUUUGUAAUCCUUCUUUUUCUCUUAGAUCUUUGCUUCUCCUGAUGCACUUUAGGGCAUAACCAAUCCGUUCGAGGGAUUUGAACCCCCUAGAGAGAUAGUAGAAGGAAAGGGGGAGGAGGGAAAAAGAUAUUGGAGAAAGGCAGUUUAUUUCAUUCACUAUUGAUAAAACCCUUACACUACAUAUUUGUAGGCUCUAUGACUACGAAUAGAUAUUCUGAUUGAAAAUGAGCAAAAUACCAUAAAGUUUCUCCUUUGUUUUGUUUCUGUCUAGAUGGAGUUUUGGCUCGAAAAUUUUCUUUUAUUUUGAUUUACAAUCUAUAUCUUCCUAGAAGGCGCUGGAAUUACAAUUUUUUUUUUUUUUUUCUAUUUCUGCAUCUGAUUAUUCGGUGUUUUGUGAACUUCCUCAAUCUAUAGAUUAGACAUAAAUAAUUAUCGCUUGUGGGUGUGGUGAAGUUUGCAAUUAUGGUAUUUUUCAUACGAACUUGUGGCGGCUGGGAAAGAGUAUUGUGAUGGGUUAGCAGAUUAUCUUUUCGUAUACCUGAAGAUAGUGGUUAGUCAGUGAUUGGGAAAGUAUCAUCACUAUAUGGCAAAGUUAAUCAUUUGCCUGGAGCUAGCAGUUACUGCACAAAAAAGCUUUAAUUUUGGCUUCUUUAUAUUAUAUGCGUACUGUAAUAGUUGAUUCAAAUGAUCUGGUGAGAUGUUGAGAUGUUGAGAUGUUAUGAACGGUUGAAGGGAUUGAGUCUUGUCGUAUUUGUUUCCUUCUCUUGAUAUUUAUUUAUUUAUUUAUUUACUUAUAUUUUUAUGAUGGCAGCAUAAGUUUGUGUUUUGGUACACGAGACGGGCACCUGGGGUUAGGUCACAGACAUCAUAUGAGGACAAUAUUAAGACACUAGUGGACUUUAGUACGGUAUGAUACUUUUCAAACUAUAAGUAGAUGAUCAUAUGAUAAUUAGUUUUAUUUUAUGCUGUUAUGCAGUUUCCACUAUUGGAAUACUGAAUUUGCUUACUGAUGUGUAUAGGUUGAAGGAUUUUGGGUUUGCUAUUGCCAUCUUGCACGUCCUUCCUCUCUCCCAAGUCCAACAGAUCUGCAUCUUUUUAAAGAGGGUAUUCGCCCUUUAUGGGAGGUACACUUUUAGUUGUGUGGUUCUAUUCGUUUCUAACGUGUCUAAAUAAAGCCAUCAUUAGAAAAGCCAUUUUAGAAAACUCAUUAUGUCUUUAGUUAAUAAAGGAAAUGCACCUAGUUGUUACCUAAAGAAAGUUUAUCUGUAGGAUGCUGCAAAUUGCAAUGGUGGGAAGUGGAUAAUACGAUUCAAAAAAAUUGUUUCAGGCCGUUUCUGGGAAGACUUGGUAAGUAUAUGGGUUCUUUCAGCUAUUGAAGUUCUGUUAAUGCUAUUAGCCUCCUGCUUGACUACAUAGCACUCUUCCCAUCUUUCUUCUUUUUUUUUAUGAAUACUUCUAUUGUGAUUGUUGAUGUUUACUUUAUUGUUUGCACUAUGUACUUGUUGUUGUUUUAUUGAUAUAUCUGUCAAAAGUAAAUGAGCUACACGUAUAUCGGUAUAUAAGCAAACUGAAUGAGCACUAAAAUAUGAUAGUUUUGACAGCUGUAAUGUGAUUUAAGAGAUACAUGGACAACUUAAUUUAUAUGUGAAAUAAAUGCACCUCUACAUCUAAACAAUAUUGUAGAAUUUUUGAUAAUGAGUAAUUAAUCAUCUAAGCUACUUGUUAUGGCUUAUUUAAAGUCGUUUGAUGUCAUGACUUCAUUUCUGGGUUUCUCUUCAUUCCUGCUUCAUAUUUUUAAUUGCAUAUCUUUGUCUGAAGAUUGAUUCUUUUAUCUUGUAGCUGAAGUAUAUCUCUAUCAAUGUAACUAUCAAAUAGAAAGCGGUUAAUCAUUUUCAUCUGAGAAAACACUCUUAUUGAUAACAAGCAAGGAAAUACGUUACUUGCUUCUAUAGCUUAUGAAAAAUCAUUAAUGUCUAAAACUAGAUUGGGAGUUAUUCUUCCAAUCAUGAUUUCUUAUUUUAGUUAAAUUAUUGUGUUACUGACUGUUGAUUUUUACGCUUUCUUUUGUAUCUUGUAUUUCAGUAUCUUUCAGUUAAAAUAUCUGUAAUGUAGAGAGGGAUUAUCCAUUUGUACUUUUAGACUUGAUGAAUAUGCAUUACACAAAUAGAACAGGAUAGCUAUUACUUUUUCCUUGAUGUGCUAAAUCUACUCACACCUUAGGCGUACUGCUAUCUAUUCACUAUUUGUUUAUUUAGGGCCUUUUCCUUAGUUGAUCCAAAGUCCUGUGUGCUAGAUUAACUUAUAUACUUGUUCCAUAGCUCGUAUAGUCUUGGAAGCCGCGCGGGCUGCUUUCAUAAACAAAUAAAAUAAGAUGAUUCAUAUUGUAACAUAUCUAGUAUGUGGAUCGCCUGAUUGCUCAAUUCUAACUAACCAACUAUGACUACUGUCAUAGUGCUAGUGAAAGUUAAUUAUAUUGUUUCAUUAUUAACCAAUGAUCUUGCCGGCCUCCGCCCAUCUUUACUUAUCCGAUCAUAUUUUUCUCGGUAUCUGCAGACUUUGCGGCCCUUUCCCUUAAAUUUGGGUUGCAAAAGUAAAUUUAGGAUUCAAAAAGUCUGAGAUGGGCUCAGUGCUCCUAGUAUGAAGAGAACUAGCCAGUUGACUGCUUGGUUGACUGCAAUUAUUAUAACAAUAGUAGAAACAGAGAAACCCCUUUUAAUUUCCUUAUCAUAUUAUGUCCAACCCUUUAGAGCUUCUUUUUAUUAAAUAAUUCUUUAGUUUAUAUGAAGUCACAUUAACUAUUGGCACAUGCAGAUGAUAUUUGGGAUUUAAUUGGAUCAUAAUACUUUUGUCGGGAGUAGAUAAAGCUACCAAAGAAUGGGGUUCAUACGUGUAUAAGAUAUAUAAACCUAGUAUCCUACUUGAAUCCCAUGGGAAAUUGAAAGGAGAAUGUAUAUUUUUGUACUCUGUAGGAUCAACUCAUUCCAACAGACACCUAAUAUACUAAUAAGUUUAAAAACUUGGUGAUUAUUUCUUACUUUGCAACCUUGGUUGUUUUUCUUUUUCAAUUUCUCAACUUAUGUAAAUGGUUGAUUAGCUUGUAUGUAUAACCUUAAUACAGCGUAUCUGUUGUUUUCUAACAAUAUAUGUGUACUUGGGACCUGUUGAUGCUCAUUAAGUUAUGUUGAAUUUGAAAGUGGAUAUUUGAAUUUAAAAUCUAAAUUUAAAAUCUUACGGUUUAAUUGUAAAUUUAAAAUUUCAAAACUUAAAAAUUUAAAUUAAAAAUCUAAACUAAAAUUUAAAAUUUUGAAUUUGGAAAAUUUUAAAUUAAAAUGUGAAGACUUAUGUUUGUGGAGAAAACAUGAAGUUGAAGAUGUUAGAAAGCAGUUAAACUCCGACAUUUCAACAUUUCAACAUUUUAAACUAUAUUUAUUAAUUUUUAUAUGACAAAAAUUGAAGAAGAAUAUAAAACUGACACUUAACACCUUCAAAAUAGGCGUCAAAAUAAUUAUGUAAUAGAUGACAAUGUAUUAUUUCUUAUUGUUACUGUCGCGCCCCCGCCCCGGAACCCCUACCAAUUUGGUCCGGUUCGGGCGCGGCGGACAGACGCCGAACGGACAGGACCUUCCCUGUCCGCCCAAGGCCAAACAACCUGAUCAAGUACAAUUAAGCGCCUAGGAAUUGCUUAAAUAACAUACAUGAUCAAAUACGAUGCACACAAGUGUAAUACAACUAAGAGCAAGAACCACAAGUAAUGUACAAGCAUAUAAAGAGAGGUAGUCUAACUAUUACAACCAUUCAAUAGUUACAUCAUUUGGUUACAUUACAUUUUCAUCUUCCAAAAUGUAAAUACAUGUUUUUUUUCUUUCCAAAAUACAUCAUAGCUCUCCAAUGCCUAUCCAAAAUAUACAUCUUUUAGUGCACGAGGGUACUCUAUAUGCAAAAAGGAAAGCUACAAACUACUCACUUAGGGCGCUAUGCCCUUGCCGCGAUCCUCGCUCGGCUCACCCCUGUGUGUACUUGUCCCCCAAAACCACACGAGGUGAGAACUAUAUAAAUAUAGUUCCCAGUGGGUUCGGCUGCCGACUCCGCCGGUUUUUCCACUAUGUCUAAGCAGGCACAGAUAGAGAGAUAGAUAGAUAGAUAGAGAAAUAAACUACAACUACUCUAUCAUGCCUCCAACAAUAGUAAUGAGAUUACUUAUGCAAUAACUACUAUCAUGCUGAUAUGAUGUCAAGAGUAUAUAGGGUACAUAGCAAUGUAAUCUACAACAUACACUAUGUCUACUCAAGAUAAUGAUGCAAUUCUACUUUGCCAUUUAUGUUUAUUACCCAAUCUACUUGGCUAACCCGUAGGUUAAGCCCUCGACUCACGCUCAAUUUCAUAGGUGAGGAGAAUCUGCACUCGCACACCGAGACCGUCUGCGGGACAACUACGUCUGCCCCUAGUGAAGUAUUCCGGAGACUCGUGCCACGGUGGAGCGACCACCGACAGCGAAAACAGACUAGUGAGUAUGAUCCAAUCCUCACGAGAGGAUACCCUAUCUACAAGGGUCAGAGUUCCUCUGCUGUACCAUAUACAAUGCAUCCUAGAUGCCAGGAUCUCUACCAUCCCUAGAACCAUGUCACAUUUACUACUCUAGACCUGAUGCCACUCGUUCGAUCAUUGUAGUAAGUUUUCUAGCUAGUUGACAUGCCACUCGUUCAUGUUUAGUGUUUCUACUACACUAGUUCAAUGCUACUCUACUAGGCUAUGUCCAAGUUCGGCUCUUUAUGUCAUUAUAGGAUUCUCAUGCCACAAGACCCAAUCCUCAUGUUACCCUAGUCCAUGUGUUCGACUCAUAAGUUACACUAUUAAGAAGCAUGCAAGGAAAAGAAAAUAUACAUCUAUUAAUCUUAUAAUGUAAUAUGAUCAACAUAAGUAACUUAGACAUAAAAGGAAACCUGAAUGCUUCGGGAUGGACACCCCCCACCUCUUGAGGAUAUGGAGGCUUUAGAAAUGCCCUCCAACGAACGUUACGAUGACGUCUCGGCCUCUUAGGUCGAAAUGAAGCUUGGUUGGCCUCGUUUCGCCAAUAUCUUUUCGCCCGCUCGACGAAUCGAAAAUCCGACUUCGCCCUUGCGUUUAGACACCUCUAUGUUAGCUUCAAAGAGAGAAGAGAGGAAGAGGGAGAGGUCCAAAAGCCUUCCUAGCUUGAUCUCCUUCUUCUUCUCCUUCCUUUUCCUCCUUUUUUUCCUUCUCUUUUCUUCUUCUUCCUCUCCUUUGUUCUUUCCUUUCUAGAGAGAGAGAAAGGGAGAAAGAGAGUGUAUGAGGGAGAGAGUGGAAUGAGAGAAUGAGAGGGAGAGAGGGACCCAUAAGCCCUCUAAUGUAACAAUAUCCAGCUGGCCCCCUCAACUUUUAAUCCUCUGCACAGCCCUCACUGGGUAGUCUGCGUGCGGAGGGAACGGUCUCCCCGACCUGGGACCGGUCCCCGAGAUUGGGACUUCCAGGACUUAGCCAAUUUCUGGCUUUUCUCGCUGGGCUCGCGUUCGGGGACCGGUCCCUCCCUUCCAGGGACCGGUUGCAUCAAGAAUCCCUGUAACCCCCAGCCUCGGGGUCCGGUCUCUCCCUGCCAGGGACCGGUCCCCGAGAGCAACUUUUGCCCAGUGUAGGUUUUACACUAUUGCUCUCGUGGACUCGACUCUAAGGCUCUUUUGGUGAUGUAGACCUCUUCGGCCUUUCCGAAGGUCACCAACACGACCCUUGGUCGUUUCUAAACGAAGUCUAACCCUCGUAUUCGAGAAUUCACUUCCUCACAGUUACGCAGCGAAUGCAUGUUACUUCUUUAAAAGGGAGUUAAAACUCCUACAUUUCAGCAUUUUAUACUAUAUUAAUUAAUUUUUAUAUGAUAAAAAUUGAAGAAAAAUAUAAAAUGGACACUUAACACCUUUAGAACAGGUGUUCCAAAUAAUUAGUAGAUGACAAUGUAUUAUUCUUAUUGUCAGGCAAUGAAUGCAUGUUACUUCAGCAGAAAGUGAAUAAACACCUAUAUAGUGAAAAAGAAAUUAAAGCAUGAAGCAGGUUCACCACGCCACCGUAGACCAACCACUUAAUUCAUCCAUGGUAUCUCUUUAAACCUCUAACUUAAUUUUAAAGUUAUAAAAUAUUAAAUUAUAAAUUACUACUAUGUAACUCGUGAACCAAUCAGUAAUUUAAGUACUUUUUGGGUCCGGUCACUAUACGAUGACUCCCCCCCCGCCACCGUAGACCAACCACUUAAUUCAUCCAUGGUAUCUCUUUAAAUCUCUAACUUAAUUUUAAAGUUAUAAAAUAUUAAAUUAUAAAUUACUACUAUAUAACUUGUGAACCAAUCAGUAAUUUAAGUACUUUUUGGGUCCGGUCACUAUACGAUGACUCCCCCCCUCCCCCUACUGUUAAUUUCUAAACUAUGUAAUGUUUGAUAACUUAUGUAUAAAAAUGUUUGGAUUAGAAAAAUUAUUUUUAUGCAUAAGUAGCUUCAAUUAUCUAACUUUUUAAGCUGGUCUAUGAUUCAUUAGGCUCACCAAAAGUUUCGAAAGGAGAAUUCAUUUUCAUCACGUAAGUGAGAAAAAAUAAAAAAGUUGAAUGAACUGAAUGCAUAAAUAUAUUCUAUAAAUUACACGUAAUAUUUAAUAAUUAAUAUUUAAAAAUAAAAUAUGAUAUGAUAUAUGUGAUAUACAAUAUUUAAAUAACUUGUAGUACAAAAUUUUUUUUUUUAAUACAUUUUAGAAUUGGUCUACAAUAGAUUGGGUGCAUGGAAAAUGUUGAUGAACACAUCUUUUUUUUUUUUUUCUCUGUUGACACUCUUAAUGAAUGAAGGAAACAAGGAAGUGGGAGAGGUGCACGUGUCGAAAUGACAAGCUCUCCCACGCCCUUUAAUGAAUAUUUGUAGAUAUAGAUAUCAAGUUAGUGCUCAGGCACGUUGAAUUAAAUUUUGCGUCAACACAGAGGAGAAACUAGGAUUUCAACAACAUUUUUGGCUUGGUUUAGUUUGUACUCUGAAUAACUUGGAGCCGUAAUUUGUCGUGCAUAUAUUAUCUGUGCUUUCUUGUACUAGUAUUUUGCUUUUGUUGUGCAUGUCUUUUGCCUCACUUUGUUGUGUGAAUAUUUUUUCAUUGAGAGAAUUCUUUUCCUAGAGCCCAAAUCUAAAGACUAAAUUCCAAGUGGAGUAAGUUUCCUUUUCUCUUCCUUUGUUCUUCCUCUGCUUUGCAACUUCCUUGGUACCUAAUUACUCUGUAUUGUUGUUGGUGGGUCUUUCCUCUUCCAUUCAAGUCCUUGGCUGUUGCAUAAUCUUCUCCUCCUGUCCUCUGUUGUGUCAUCGCAAGCCAUAUAUUAUGCCCACAAAUGUGAACACUAUUCGAAGGAUAGCUACGACCGGGUUGUUUUGUCAUGCAAAUUAUCAAGAGUUGAAGGCCACAAUUGAAGGAUUGAGCAUGGGGUGGCCACACCGUUCUGAAUAAUAUCUAUUUUGUCACCAUUGUUGUCAUUCUUUUGUUGCUUCCUCAUUCUCUUUGAAACCUGAAAAAUGUUUUCCAAAAAGUUCUUUGUACUAGACACAUCUAAUCACAAUAAGUAGCUACUUCUUCCGUUGAUUACUUGGAGAAGUAUAUUGGUAGGCUUCAUUACUUCCAUUGUCGAAUUUGCAAUUUAAUUGUUCAAUCCAUGUUUCAGUUUUUCUUGCAUUGCUUGUUGGCUAGAUUACAAACUUGGGAAAGUACUAGCCGGACUUUCGACUAAUAAUAGUACAAUAAUUGGUAUUUAUUCAUUUGAUGCGCAAUUGUAAUUAGAUUUAAGAAAGCAUUUAGUCAAAUAGGUAAUUGUCAUCUAAUGAUUUUGAAUUUUGGAUGAAGCUAUGUCGUUGGAGCAAAACAUCUCAUUUUGGUUUAGUGCGUCAUAACUAGUGUCUCAAACCAAUUUGAAUAUGGAACAAUUACUUUUUCUUAAUUACAAUUACUCCAAAGAAAAGAUUUAACUUUAUACAGUCGGCCCAAAUAAGCAAAACCUGCCUAUAAGGCAAAGUUUGAUUCAGUUUUGAUAAAUUUGUCAUACUUCAUCUCUUUUACUAAAGGGCAAUUGGAAGUUUUUCUUUGCCUUUUGGAAUAAUAGAAGUAUUAUGCUUCACUUUAGUGCAAAACAUUUGGUGAAAUCUAGUUUUAUUAUGAUUACUUGAGCUCUCUUAGAGAGAGCGAGAGAGAGAGAGAGAGAGAGAGUCCGGCUUGAGUUGUUUCGAAAGCAUGGAAACCUCCAUGCUUUCAAGUUGUUUUCGAUGAUGAGACUUUUGUAUCGACGUCCGGGUCCGUUAGACUUGAUCUUAGUGUAUUUCAUAUACCUGGGAAACAAAUUUCACGAUUUUUCGAUAUCAUUUACCUAGUGACCGAAAGGGCUCGAAAUCAACAAUUGUAAUAGUUAAGGUGAUCCAUUUGCAAGUUUAACGGUGUAAAAAUAUCCAACUUAGGCAAAAUUUUGAUAGAAAAUUUCUUAUACUAUAUAAAACAAGAUCAAUAUCUUUGAUCUAAAAUUUCAUAUGAUCAUUAGUUUCUAUGAGAUUUUGUGAGAGAUAUAACGCUCAAAUUUUAUAUCAAAGAUAUUGAUGCUGUUUUGUAAAGUACAAAGAAUUUUCUAGCAAUAUUUCACUUGAUUUGGAUGUUUUUACACCGUUAAACUAGCAAAUGGUCACCUCAACCAUUAAAAUUGUUGAUUUUGAGCCCCUUAAUUUUUAGGUAAAUGUUAUUGAAAAUCGCAAAAUUUGUUUUUCAAGUACUUCAAAUAAUCUAGAUCAUCUAAGGGAGUUGAUCGCUAAUUCAAAAGUCCCAUCGGAGGCCUCCAUGUUUUUGAAAUCAUACUAGCCCAAUUAUAUAUAUAUAUAUAUAUAUAUAUAUAUAUAUAUAUAACUAGGCUGGAAUACUAUCAAUAGCACCAAGCUAUUGGUGCUAUUAAUUUUUUAUCCCUUGGAUUGAGAAAUGUGUGGUUAGGAUGAUGUGGGCCCCCUAGGGUUGAGUGAGUGGUUGGUUGAAUAGUAUAAUCUAACGGGUAAAAUUAAUCAAAGGGUUAAAUCUAACAGUAAAAAAGUUGAUAGCACCAAAUCCUUGGUGCUAUUGAUAGUAUCCCAGUCGGACUAUAUAUAUAUAUAUAUANCUCUCUCUCUCUCUCUCUAUAUAUAUAUAUUAUAUAUAUAUAUAUGUAUAUGUGUAUGUAUUAUAUAUGUAUAUGUAUAUGUGUAUGUAUUAUAUAUGUAUAUGUAUGUGUGUAUUUGUAUAUGUAUAUAUACAUAUACGUAUGUAUAUAUGUAUACAUAUAUGUAUAUAUGUAUGUAUGUAUGUAUGUAUGUAUGGGGUUUAGGGUAAUAUAUGUAUGUAUAUAUGUAUAUAUAUAUAUGUAUGUAUGUAUAUAUAUAUAUGUAUGUGUGUAUAUAUCUAUGUAUAUAUAUAUAUAUAGAGAGAGAGAGAGAGAGAGAGAGAGGGAGGGAGCAGAACUGCUGUGCUCUUAGUAGCACGGAGGCCUUCGUGCUCCUGAGCCAUUUUCGAUGAUGGAAUUUCCGAAUCGACGAUCGGCUCCGUUAGACUUGAUCUAGCGUAUUUAAAGUUUCUAGAAAAUAAUUUUUACGAUUUUUCGAUAUCAUUUACCUAACAAUUGAAAGGAUUUAGUAUCAACGGUUGAAAAUAAAAAUCCUAUAAAAAAUAGUGAUAUAGCACUAAAAUUUUCGAUUAGAGAUAUUGAUCUUCUUGUAGAUAGUAUAAAGAAUUUUGUGUCAAAAUUUCAUCUGAUUUGAAUGCUUCUACACCGUUAAACUUGAAAAUGGCAGACAUCAACCAUUAAAAAUGAUUGAUUUUGAACCCUUUCGAUCACUAGGUAAAUGAUAUCGAAAAAUAGCAAAAAUUAUUCUUCAGAAACUUUAAAUACGCUAUAUCAAAUCUAAUGGAGCCAAUCGUCGAUUCGGAAAUUCCAUCAUCGAAAACGGCUCAAGAGCAUGGAGGCCUCCAUGCUCCUAAGAGCACAUCAGUCCUGCUCUCUCUCUCCCUCUCUCUCUCUCUCUCUAUAUAUAUAUAUAUAGACCAAUUGCACCAAGCUAUUGGUGCUAUUAGGUUUUUAGCUCGUAGAUGAAAAAAUGUACGGUUAGGAUGAUGUGGGCCCCCUAGGGUUGAGUGAGUUAUUAAUUUAAUAGUAUAAUCUAACGGGUGAAAAUAGUCAAAGGGUUAAAUCUAACGGCGAAAAACUUGAUAGCACCAAACGCUUGUUGCUAUCGAUAGUAUCCCAGGUGGACUCUCUCUCUCUCUCUCUAUAUAUAUAUAUAUAUAUAUAUAUAUAUAUAGAACGAGGCUACUAUACUAUCUAUAGUACCGGAGCUCUGGUGCUAUAGUCUCGUUUUCGAUCUUUGGGUGUUCAAAUCAACGAUCCAGACCAUUAAAUAUGAUCUAGGGUAUAUGAAGUUCUUAGGAAUAAAAUUUUAAUUUUUUUUUACAACUUUUACUUAGUAAGUAAACAAUGUCAAAUAUGAAUGGUAGAAAUUGAACAAUCUUAAAUUUGAGGAUAAACUUUUGAAUUCAAGAUCAAGGAUGCUGACCUUGAUCUAGAUAGUUAAAAGUAUUUUCCAUCAAAAUUUGAAUAAAUGUAGAUUCUUCUACACUGUUAAACUAUAAACUCGCCAUAGUAGCCAUUGAAAAUUGACAAUUUUGAAAUGGUUUGAUCAUAAAGUAAACUAUGUCUAAAAAGUAUAAAAUUUAAUUCGUAAAAACUUCAAAUACCCUAGAUUAGUUUUAAUGGUGUGGAUUGUUAAUUUGAAUAUUUUAAGAUUGAAAAUGAGACUAGUACCGGAGCUCUGGUACUAUACAUAUUAUAGGAGCCUAGCUCUCUCUCUCUCUCUUUCUAUAUAUAUAGAGUCCGGCUACUAUGUUAUCAAUAGCACCAAGCUCUUGGUGCUACCAAGUUUUCCGCCAUUAGAUCUACCCUUUUGACCAUUUUCACCCGUUAGAUCAUACUAUUCAAUCAACCACCCACUCAAUCCUAGGGGACCACUAUCAUCCUGACCGCACAUCCCUCAAUCAAAGGGCCGAAAACCUAAUAGAUGGAAAAUACUUUAAACUAAAUAGAUCAAGGUCAAAAUAUUAAUUAAUGAAUGGCUAUCCUCAAAUUUAAGAUAGGAAUCUUAAAUUUGAACAAUCUUAAAUUUAAGAUAGGAAUCUUCCCCAUCAAGUGAACACAAAAAUGAAUGGUUGAAAAUGAAUAUCCUCUAAAAAGUGAUGACAGGAAUCUUGUAAUCAAGAUCGAGAGUAUAGAUCUUGUUCUAAAUUGUUUAAAAAAUUUUCUAACCAAAAUUCAAUUGAUUUGGAUAUCUUUACACCGCUAAACGAGAAAACGCCUUAUAUUGACCAUUAAAAUUACAAAUUUUAAAACCCUUUGAUCAUUAGGUCAAUAAUGUCGAAAAAAUUUGAAAUUUAGUUUCUAGAUACUUAAGUGGUAUAGAUAAUAUUCAACGGUGCUGAUCUUCGAUUUGGAUGCUUCAUCAUCGAAAAUAAAUGGGUAGCAACGGAGCUUGUUUGCUACUGAUAGUAUUCCAGCUCAACUCUCUCUCUCUCUCUCUCUCUCUCUCUCUCUCUCUCUCUCUCUCUAUAUAUAUAUAUAUAUAUAUAUAUAUAGAUAUAUAUAUUUAUGGGGAAAGGGGAGGGAGAGAGUCCAACUAGAAUACUUUUGGAUGCACGGAGGAUACCACAUAUUUGAAAGCGUUGAGGUUUUUCGACCAGCUUCUAAAUCAAACUUGAUGUUGUUGAAACUCUAAUAAGUAAUUCAAACUUAAAUCUUAGGAGGUUGGAUAGACAUUGAUUUUGAGAAUUAUAUUUUUAUGUGCAAUUGACAACCCUAUUUACACACUUCUUUGAGCCAUUAGAUUUGGAAACAUGUUGUGAAAAUGCAGGAAGAAGAAUUCAUAGGAUUCAAAUACUAUAGAUUUUGACUACCAACAACAUAACAAAGCGAGAUCAAUUUUUGAAACCAAGCAUAGUUGCCUCAUUUGAGCUGUAUUUUUGGUUUUCCUUGUACAGUGAAAUAAAUUAUUGAGAUAAAUUUUCCCUUGAAGAGGUUGUCAACUCUUUUCACGCUGGGCGACUAGUUUGAAAAGUUUUUUUUUUCCCCUGAAAAGCUCUAGGUUUUUUUUUUUCUUUUUUGACAACUCAGUAAUGCAAUUCAAACUUUGGUCAAGGCGUGAACAGAUUCAUCACAUGCAGUGUGAAUUUCUGUCCACAAACAGUAUCUCCUAUACAUGCACGGCAUUUGGAUACUAAGGCUGCGUUAGGUUCGGGUAUAAGUAAGAACUGCUUAUUUUAGGGAUAGGUACAAGUUCAGGUAUAAGCAUGAACUAGGCCAAUUUUGCGUUUGGAUGAGAAUUGAGUUGUUUCUGAGAAUAAGGUAAAUAGUAUUUUGAUGGUUAGAUUGAAACAAGAGGAAUAAGAAUUAUAAUUUUAAACUAAAUAGAUUGGAACAUUAGGAAUAAGAGUUAUAAUUUUAAAUUAAAAAUAUUUUAUCUAAUUAAUUAACGUCAAAAUAUUAAUUAAAAAUAAUUUAAUAAAUUAAUAAAUUCAUUAGCUAUGAAUAUUGUAUAAGACAAUAAAAAUAUAUUAAUUAAUUAAUUAAAUAUAAAGUGUGAUUUAACUUUUUAAUUAGUUAGUAAAUUAUUUUAGUUAGAUAACUAGUAAAAAAAAUUAAUUAGAUUAAUAGAAAUAUUAAUGAUUGAUCAAUAUAAAUAUUAGUUUAUGGAUAAACACAUUAAAUUAUUAAUAAUUAAUCAUCUAAUUAAUUAUAAAUAAUAAUUUAAUUAAUUACUUUAUUAUUUAAGCAAUGGAUAAUGAUUUAAAUAUAUUAACUAGAUUAAUUAAUAAUAUAAUACCAUAAUUAAAAUUAAAUUUAUACUUUAAUUAACCUUGUUCCCACGUGGGAACAAGCUUGUUCCAGAGAAAAAGAUGGAACAACAGUUCCAGCUUUAUACCGAAUUAUACAAGCUUAUUCUAGGCACUCGAGAACUAUUGUUUUUGGGUGCUAAACACAGCGCUUGGGAACAAAGUGGGGAACAAGGGCUCUUAUCUCUACUUUUGUUCCUGAACCAAACGCCACCUAAGGAUACAAAAUAUUUGACCCAGAAAGUAUGUAAGACUUCAUACCAUAACCACGUCAUUUAAUCAAUAGUACAAUUGUACAAGACUCACAUAACUUAUUCUGUAGUAGUGGUGGUGAUUUUUUCCCCCAAAACCGCACUAACAUAAAUCCCUCCAUUUCUCUGCAGUACAACAAACAUAAUCCCACUCGUAUCUCAGCAAUCAAAACAAUAUUCUCUAAUUUUUAUUUUUAUGAAACCAUUUUGAGAACAACGAUCGAUGCAGAAGACUUACAAUUACAUUUUUAAACGAGAAAAGCCACUGGAGUACUUUGAAAGCAAACCGAAAAUCAUCACAUAACCAUCAAAUUACAGAUUGUCACAGUAUAGGCGUCACAGACAUGGACGCGGUCACGAACAUGGACAUGAGAUACGAGAUACGACACGAUUUGAGCAUGGCGAAUAGGCAGCUUCCAAAAGUUAGGACACGAACACAGUAUGUACACCGCUAAUAAAUAUAAUUAUAUUAAUAUUAUAAUAUUAUUAUAUAUAUUCGAUAUUAAUUUUGCUAAAUUAUUGUUAUAUUUUUCGUGCGAAUGAAAGUUAAUAAAAUUUUCAUUGAUAGUUCAUAUAUUUUAAGGAAAGAAAUUCUCUGCCAUACAAUUUAUAUUAUCCAAAAAAAUUUGUACAUAUUAAUAAAAAAGCCAACUAUCUAUUGUCUUAUAUAAUUUAUGGAUAAAAAAAGCAAAAUAAUAUAUAUGUAUUAUGUAUUAUUUUAAUGGAAUGCCGUGUCAAACAUGCGUCCAUGGCGUGUCCGCAUCGGGCACGAGUCUGAAAUGGACGCGUGUCUGACACAGACACGAGAGACUUAUAGAAGUAACCGUGAUAUAUAGUCACAACACAUAAUGAUAGUUCUGUAAUAGUCAUCCAAGCAUAAACCAUAGUAACUAGAAAUAAACAAGUAUCAGAACUAGACUAUUUGGGAACUCCCCAAGCACCAGGAUUGAGCUAAGAUGCGAUCUAACUUUCGUGUCCUAACACUGUGUCCUGCGCCCCACCACCCGGAGUACCUGUAAAAAGGGGGGUGGACGAGAAACAUACAAGUUGUUUUUCAGUGAGUACAAUGCGGGUCGAGGGCAAGUUGCAUCUACUAGUAAACAUUAUAGGUAUACGAAGGCAAAGUAGCAGGAACAGUAAGCAUAGGUACGGUAAUCAUAAUAGCUGAAACUAAAAUGAAAGUUGUGCUACUGUAGAAAGAAUUGAGCAUCUAAAAUUAUCAUGGCAAGGUAUUGAUCUAUCAAUUGGAUAUGCAUCAAAAGACUUGAGGGAAUCAACACCCAAUCAUCACUCACUAUCACAGAUCUCGGCCAGCCCACUGUCACAUGGAUUUGAGGCAAGUGUGCAGCAGCCAGUGUUUGAAAAGGCGCAAGGCGCAAAAAGGCGCAAAGGCCUUAUGGAGCCUAGGCGUGAGGCGCAUUGUGAGGCGUGUGCCUCAAGAACGUGAGGCGCAUAUCUAAUAAAAAAUAAAACACUCUUAACAAGCCUAUUUUAAAUAAAUGUUUUAUGUUAAAAUAUUCUAAAAUAGCUAUACAAAAACAAAAUAACCAUAAAAAAGUAAAAAAAUCGUAUGCAUAAAUGUUCUCAGCCUAAAAAUAAAGAAAUUAUGUUUCAACUUUCAACUUAAAAGUGCUUGCUGCUGCUUCUUGCUUCUUGUCGCUGCUACUUAUUGCCAUUGGGGGGUGGAAAAGAGAAUGACUAAGAGAAAAGGGAAAAAAAUGUUCAAGUAGAAAUUUACUUGAAAUUUUUUUAAAAAAAUUCUCAACAUUUUAGAAUAUAUUGAAGAAACUCAAAACCCGAAAACCCAAACCCUAGACACAUUAAAAGUAAAUAUCAUGAGGCGUGUCUGAGGCGCGCGCCUCACUCCUUGAGACGAGGCGUGUCUGAGGCGCGCGCCUCACUCCUUGAGGCGUCGAGACUCGCGCCUUGCGCCUAGGCGUUGAGGUCAGGCGCGCGCCUUUUCAAACAUUGGCAGCAGAUAACAUGUAUCUCGUCAUAUACAAACCUAGGCUCACGGUUUUCGAAAAAGAGCAUCAUUGGCCUGGGGGUGGAUCAGACUUUUGCAUCGGUGUUUGCAAAAUGUGCAGCAAGCAGCGGCGAUGGCCAUAUGCGACAUGCUCAAUUUAUACUGUCCAACAACGAUUGAUCAGCUGAGAAACUCCAAGGAGUGUCAACGAGUUCAAGCAGAGCUAUAGGUCAUAUGUAUGUGUCCGAUAACAAAUAAGAUACUCAAAGGCUCUACAUCUCAUGACAUCAUACAAGGCAGUAUGGCAUAUACGAAUAAACAGCAGGCAUGAAACCAACUAGAUAAUAACAAUAACAGAUGUAAGCUAAUAUGAACAUGUAUAGUAGGUGUGAGUAAACGAAUCAUAAUAUUGUAAGGAACAGGGAAGGGAAAACCGAAUAGGCUUACUACAUCGACACUAGAUCGAAGUGCCCACCUCAAAUUUGUGUACUUUAGUCCUCGACUCGACUAGCCUCUCUUGUUAUCGCUGGAAUCUAGACUAAUCAUAUAAAUGUCAAAACCUGUUCCUAAGUGUAAAAUCGGCUAUAGAACGACUCAUUUGGGUUAAAACUCCCAUAAUAUGGCUUCCGAAACCCACACCGGAGCUGUAACCACAACUUGGUCAAUUGGCUAAUCCUUAGGCAUCUCUAUAGCCCCUAGACUGUCUCGAAAGGCAUUGCAAAGUGUGAGUGGAUAGCAGCGCAUAUCGCGCUCUAGACCGAAGACUACGGCCUCGUAUCAUGCCGUAAUAGGUUCCAAUUUACAUCGAUUUUGGCGUAGGAGCCACUUCUAAAAUUGUCCUGCUGGUGGUUACGACCAACAAGGACCUAUGAAACAACCUUCAAUGUGUUUCGGAGUUCAUAAGGACCAACUGCACCGUGCUGUGGAGAUAAAUCUCCUCGGUAAGCCCUGAAACUGCUGUUUAUAGCUUCGCCACUGCGGGGCAGUAAAACAAUUCACGUUUAGCCCUGAGAGGUUGAUUUCACACGUAACACAACGCCAACGAAGCCUCAGCUACCGGCGAGCGCGAUCAAGAACUCCUUGCUGAUCGGUUUGGCCAUAACGACCCGAAAAAGACAUUCCGGUACUGUUUUGGUGUUGAAACAUGCACGAAAUCACGUUCAGCCUAGUAGGGGUCUCUGACUCAAGUUUUGAUGUGUUGGGAUAGUGAGAGAAUCACAAUGCGUGACCGCAGCCAAUGGUGCGUCCGAAUCAAAUGGCACUAGGCAGCACAAACGUUCUGAUCAGCCCCUUGCAGUCUCUUGCUCACCAUUUUGAUGAGCCAGGAUAGCGAACGACGAACUAAAAUGGAUAGCCACUGGGAUAAUUGUGACUGAUGAAUCACACGAUCAGUUGCAGAUUACCUUGCCAUUGGAUCCGUGCCUCAAGACUCUACCAUUGGGACUUGGUCAGGAGAAUUUACUGUGGUCAUCUCUACCCACCUUUGUUCAUUCUAACCCCAACGAGCCAUGACAAGGCUGAAUUUAUUAGAAGAACCCGUUGUUGGUUAGAAAGACCGGGACCUGGGAAACAUGCUUGAUGCAUUUUGACAUCCUAUAGCUUCGGCAUAUCGCUUAGCCCCGUUCAUCUUCGGCACAAGAGCGCUCGAUCAGUGAGCUAUUGCGUACUCUUUCAAGAAUGACUGCUUCUGGGCAAACCUCUUGGCUGGCUCUGCAUACCUACCUCUUUUAUGACUGAGCGGUCAUUUAGGGGCCUUAGCUGGUGAUCAGGGCUGUUUCCCUCUCGACGAUGAAGCUUAUCCUCCAUAGAGUGGGACAGCAAGAACACAUUCACGGCCAGCUACAACCAGUGGCUCGCUAAAACCCAUCUCGAAAUUCCAAUUCUCGUCAAAAAAGCAUCAGAUUUCUGCGCACAGCUCAGUCUCCAAAGCGCAUAGUAUAGCACACGCGUAUCCUUCAACCCCUAAAGGAUCUUGAUCAUUGAAAGCACGAUCAAGAUGCACCUCAGCCUGCACUAGGCCCACACGUCACAACCCGAACAACAACCAAUGCCCAAAAACAUCCGAUUGCAUGUAAAGUAAACGAAAUGACGGUGGUGGGAGAUCGUUACCUCGAUUCGAUGUAAAUAAGUGGACUUGGAUAUGGAGGGGGUUGUUUUGUUCAGAUCCAAUAGGGAGACGCACGUCCUUUUGGGUCGUCGGAUAUCGUGACUAAAGGGAGGCUCUGCUUGGGCUUUCUUUUUUCUCUACUGCAUGUUGGAGAUGCGGUUGGAUAGAGGGCUGCUGGGAUGAAGGCGGCGGCCGGGAUGGCUCACUAGCGUCGAGCCACUUGAAUGGAGGUGCGGCUUAGCCGAACCAUGCCGAGAGAGAGAAAAAGAGGGAAAGACGGCCGGGAUGGGAGCCACUUGGUUAUGUGUUGGUGACUUGGCUGUGCGUGUGCUCUGUCGGUGUUGGAAAGCCCGAGGAAAGCCUGUUUGGUCUGGGUUGAGUCGGGAAUGAUAGGACUAGAGAGAGAGGGGGAGAAGGAUUUGGUUGGGGGGGGGNGGGGGGGGGGGGGGGGGGGUGGCGGCUAGGGUAAAAACCCUAGGAUUUUGUCUGCUCUCUAAAGCUGGGGUCAUAACAAUUGGGUGAUCACCUUUGGCUUCUUAGUGCUGUGCCAACAUGCCCCUCUCGUAUGUUAAAAUUACACAAGAGUCCUCUCAUAGCGAAGAUGGACGAGGAAUCCUCUAGAAUUCGAACUUCCACCGCAACCCAAAAUUGCGCAUGUGUAGGGCGAAUUCCAAAUUUCGUAGUUUCACAAUCAGAAUUCUAAUCUCGAUGAAACUUAGUUUACUGUGUUCAUCUCUGUGUGUACUUGUGUGUAGGACUUCUGUUUUCAAAAAUUUCAAGAAAAGUCACAUGAAAUGAUUACUCGAUCACAGUGAGAUCCUAUUUCCAAGUUUUGUUUGUGUUGCAACGAAAAAUCCCAAAACCCUCCUAUUUGUAGUAUUUGAUGCAUCAAAUAAAACUUUUUUUAAUUUUUGAAUGCAAUUUUCUUUUAUUUUGUAAAUUCGUGUUUGAUUCAAGCUUAAAUCAUUUAGUUUUAAUUGGUUUGGCUGACCCAAACUCCUUUUCUCCAAUAAACACGGAAACAAAUCCAAAAAGACCUUUCAGCUUCCCAAUAUUGCCUUGUCUUCUAUGCAUGACCCUUGGGGGGUCGUGUUGUGUUGAAAACGAAAAGAUAAGAAUUUAUUAUCGGAUAGGCUCUUUACACUAGAAAUGCUUGGUUUUUGAUACUUUGAGGAGCAGAUUUGAUGAAUAGAAAUUUUACAUUUAUUCAUAUCCCUUGCAAUGGUGUUCUUCUUUUUGGUGUGAGCAUUGACACUUCUUCCUUGCACUGAGAUCGUCUUCGUCAACUUGAUCAUUGUCGCUUCUUGCUGGUGGCAAGAUUGGCUUCUGCUCUGGCCCUCCUUUUCUUUUGGGUUCCUGACUCUUUUUUUUCUUCCUCGUUGCCAAAGUUCUACUAAUGGUAUAUCGCUCUCGUAGAUCAUGGAUCCCCCGCAAUCGUGCGAUUGGUGCACUUCUUAUAUCUUCUCUCUCAUCUCUUGAUAUCCAAUUAGCCCUUUCAAUCUAGCCUUCCAUGAUAAUCAACCAUUUUUGCUAAAACAGCCAAAUCUAAAAGUUUUAAGUCCAAUAAAACCGAAUUUGCUUCUUUGGAAAUGUGAUAUGUUUUUUUAAUUGCUUCUUAUUAUCUCAUAUAUUGAAGGUUUCUCCCUAUCUUAGUAUUGCUUUAGUUUGAUUUUAAUUUUCCGUCUUGCUGAAAUUUUUUUUUUGCUUCCUCGCUUUACUUUAAUUUCAGUAAAGUUCACAAAAAAUCAAUAAAUUGAACCUAGUUUAUUUUAAGAAAUACCUUUAAACGAAAACAAAGUUGAAAAUUCAGAUAUGGCUGCUCUUCGGUUUGCAUCAAUUGGUAUCAGAGCAGGUCAGAGCAGGUUCUUUUCGUGGGAACAUUUGUUUUGAUCUAAACAAUUAUUCUUUGGUGCUGAAGUUUCUCUUUCUUCUUCUUCCUUUUGGGCCAAAAUAUUAAAAAAAACAAAAAACAACAUCCCUUCAUUGAUCAAUUUGGAAGCAUUUGAUAAUGGCAGAUAAUAGUGAAAAUUCUUGUGAUUGGAGAGAAGAAUAUGAGAAACCACAAGAUUCUAUGAGAAACAUAUAAAAUCAAAUAAAUAACAUUCAAUAACUGUUAGAAAGAUUAACUAUGCAAUAACAAUAUGCGGUGGGAGAAGAUUGAGAGAGUGACACAGAUUUUGACAAUUGUACUUUACCUGCGAAAAGAAAUCCUUUUUUUCAAAAUCAAGGAAAUAUACUUCGAUGGUAUCAGGGCAUUGAAAUAGACGUGAAUGAGUUCGAGGGUAAAUUACAACCUGAAAAAAUUGUGGAGUACACAAAAUGGAACAAAAUUUUGAAUGUAAAAAAUUACUUAGAAAAGAAAGUUCAAUUGAAAGGUCAUGGCUUAGUGUGGUGGAAACAAAUUCAAAACGAUAGGGUUAGAAAGGGUAAGGAAAAGAUUACCUCCCGGGAAAGAAAACUUGAUAGCGCUAUACAUGACCUUGGUAAUUUGAUCAUAGCGCUAUACAUGAUGGUAGGGAGAACACUUACAUAGUCAUAAAGGACCAAAAAGGUUAGAUUGGUUCCCCUGGUGAGAAUUGAUGUCACAAAUAAUUUUUUUUUAAUUUUUGAAUGCAAUUUUUUUUAUUUUGUAAGUUUGUGUUUGAUUCGGGUUUUAAUCAUUUAGUUUUAGUUGGUUUAGCUAACCUAAGCACCAUUUAUCCAAUAAAUAUAGAAACAAACCCAAAAAGACCUUUCAACUUUUCAAAAUCACCUCGUCUUCUAUGCACGACACUUGGGUGAUCGUAUUGUGUUGAAGAUGAAAGGACACGAUUUUAUUAUAGGAUUGACUUUUAACAUUAUACAUGGUUCUUCAUGCUCUAAGGAGCAUAUUUGAUGAAUAGAAAUUUUUAAUCUUAUUCUUUAUCCUUGCCAUGGUGUUUUCUUCCCGGUGUGAUCAUCGACGUUUCUUCCUUGCGUCUAUAUAGUCUUUCUCAACUUGAUUGUUGUCGCUUCUUCCUCGUGGCAAGAUCGGCUUCUCCGACCUUUCCUCUUCUUUCGGGUUGUUGCCUCCUUUUCUUAUCCUUGCCGAAGUUCUACUUGUGGUGUACCGUCCUCCUCGCCGAUCGUGGAUCCCCGGCAAUCGUGUGAUCGAUGCACUUUGUGUAUCUUAUCUUAUCUUAUCUCAUCUCCUGAUGUCCUAUUAUCCUUUUCAAUUUAAUCUUCCACAAUUACCAACUGUCUGCCAAAACAAUUAAAUCUAAAAGCUUAGAGUCUGAUAAAACCAAAUUUAUCUUUUUGGAGUUACUAUAUGUAUUUUCAAUUGGUUGUUGUUAUCUCGUAUAUUGAAGGUUUAUUUCCAUCUUAGUAUUUCUUCAAUUUGAUUUUAAUUUUCUGUCUCGUUGAAUAUUUUUUUCUUGCUUCCUUGCUUUAACUAAAGCUCGUCAGAAUCGAAUUGCAUCUAAUUUAUUUCAAGAAAUAUCUUUAUAUGAAACAAAGUUGAAAAAUUCAGAUUUCGUAACCCUCGAUUUGCAUCAGUAUCACUCAGAUUUCACAGCAGGCACCAAGAGUACUAGAGACCGUCAAUUGCCGCACAAAACUUGUAUUAAAGGAGUAAAAAUUACAUUAGGUCUAUCUGUUAUUAUAACAACAUAAUGAUGCUUCUCUAUGGAUUGGAUAAACUGUAAUUUGCCUUCUGUGCCCUUGCAUCCAACUCCCUUUCAUAGCAAAUAUCUGGUCUUGUUGUUUCAAAUGCAUAAUCUAGGACAACCAUUCUUGGUGCACAAAAGUUGAAGCUUCAAUUUCUAAAAAAAUAUUCUUCUACCAGCAUGUUAUUUAUUUUUUGGCCAACAUAGGAGUAUUUUAUGUUGUUGUAUCCAUCAUGUUGCACCUUCCAAUCAAGAAAGCCUUCUAUAUGACUUUUCAAGACCACAGCAGAUUAGGAGAUACCUCAAUUAGGCAACUUGUUUGGUGAUCUUAAGAGUAGCUGUCAUGCAGAAUCAUUUUAGACUAGAGAAAUUAGCGGGUAGCUUCCAGUUUUGAUCAAAUUAAAACAACCAAAGAAUAAAAUAACAGUAUUUAGAUUGCCUUACCUAAUUAUCAAAGCUGUCAAAAAAUUGGGAAGCGCAUAAAAUGCAUGUAUCCAGAAAUCAGAAAUGGGCCUUUUAAUUUGAAAACACACAGUAUCAUUACUAUAUAAAACACUUAAAAAACAAAAGUGGAACUCUUGAUGCUUCUAGAGCAUAAAUCUUAGUAAUAAAACUUGGACAUAUAUUGUUUUCUUCUUUCUUGUUCCAUUGACAUGUAACUUUUAUACAGAGUGCAAAUCUUUGAAAUCACAAUUAUAUAUAUAUAUAUACAUAUAUAUAUCUAUAGAGCUAGGCUCCUAUGCUUUUGAAAGUACGGAGGCUUCCGUGCUUGUAAAUUGUUUUCGAUGAUGGGACCUCCGAUUCGGCGAUCAGUUCCGUUAGUCAUGGUCUACGCUAUUAGAACUAUCUAGAAACCAAAUUUCAUAAUUUUUUGACUUCGUUUGUCUAGUGAACGAGUAGCCUCAAAAUGAACGGCUGAAAAUGAAAAUCUUAUGGACUCAAAUUUCAAAUCAAAAGUAUUGAUCUUGCUAUUGAUGUGAAGUAAAAUUUUUUAUUAAAUUUUCAUGUAAUUUGGAUACUUCUAUACCGUUGAACUUAAAAACGUGCCACAUCGGCCGUUAAAAUAGUCAUUUUUGAGACCUUUUGAUCGGUUGGUAAAUGAUGUCAAAAAUUAUAAAAUUUGGUUUCUAGAUAGUUCCAAUAGGAUAGAUUAUACCUAACGGAGAGAAUCGUCGAAUCGGAUGUCCUAUCAUCGAAAACAAUUUACAAGCACGGAGGUUUCUGUGCUUUCGAAAGUACUAGAGACGUACUCUAUAUAUAUAUAUAUAUAUAGAGUUGAGCUAGAAUAUUAUCGAUAGCAAACGGGCUCCGUUGCCACCCAUUUGUUUUCGAUGAUAGAGCCUCCAAAUCGACGAUUGACAUCGUUGAACAUGAUCUAUACCACUUGAAGUGUUUAGAAAUCAAAUUUUAAAUCUUUUUGACAUCAUUUGCCUAAUGAUCAAAGGGUUUCAAAAUUUGUAAUUUUAAUGGUCGAUAUGAGGCAUUUUCUCGUUUAACGACGUAAAGAUAUCCAAAUCAAUUGAAUUUUUGUUAGAAAAUUCUUUAAACUAUUUAAAACAAGAUCUAUACUCUUGAUCUUGAUUACAAGACUCCUAUCAUUAUUUUUUAAAAAAUAUUCAUUUUCAGCCCUUUAUUUUUGUGUCCACUAGAUGGAUAAGAUAACAAUAUUGAAAAUGUAUGAAUUUUGAUUUCUAAACACUUCAAGUGGUAUAGAUCAUGUUCAACAAUGCCGAUCGUCGAUUUGAAGGCUCCAUCGAAAACAAAUAGGUGGCAACGGAGCCUGUUUGUUGUUGAUAGUAUUCUAGCUCAACUCUCUCUCUCUCUCUCUCUCUCUCUCUCUCUAUAUAUAUAUAUAUAUAUAUAGAGUCCGGCUACUAUACUCUUAUGAGUACGAUCACCUUCGUACUCAUAAGUUGUUUUUGAUGAUAGAGUUUCCGAAUCGACGAUCCAUACCGUUAAACAUUAUCUAGAGGAUUUAAAACUUUUAGAAAUUAAAUUUUAUAAUUUUUUGAUAUCAUUUACCUUACGAUCAAUAGUUCACAAAAUUGACAAUUUUUAACGGCCGGUAUGGGAUACUUCCUAGUUUAACGGUGUAAAAGAAUUGGAAUAGGUCGAAUUUUUAAUAGAAAAUUCUAUUCACUACCUAGAUAAAGAUCAAUAACUUCGAUCUUAAAUUGAAGGAUCCGAUCAUCUAUUUUUAGGACGUUGUUCGAUUUUGACCGUUUAUUUUAUGCUCGCUUGAUAGACUUUAUUAUGAUUUCGAAAAAUUACGAAAUUUAUUUUCUAGAAGUUUCAAAUACUCUAGAUCAUAUUUAACGGAGUGGAUCGUCGAUUCGGAAGCCAAGUCAUCGAAAACAACUUAUGAGUACGAAGGGCCCUAUACUCAUAAGAGUAUAUAUAUAUAUAGAGUAGGGCUACUAUACUCUUAUGAGUAUAGGGCCCUUCGUACUCAUAAGUUGUUUUCGAUGACUUGGCUUCUGAAUCUACGAUCCACUCCGUUAAAUAUGAUCUAGACUAUUUGAAACUUCUAGAAAAUAAAUUUCGUUAUUUUUCGAAAUCAUAAUAAAGUCCAUCAAGCGUGCAUAAAAUGAACGGUCAAAAUCGAACGACGUCCUAAAAAUGGAUGAUCGGAUCCUUCAAUUUAAGAUCGGAGUUAUUGAUCUUUUUUUAGGUAGUGAAUAGAAUUUUCGAUAUUCUAUCGAAAAUUCAACCUAUUCCAAUUCUUUUACAUCGUUAAACUAGCAAGUAUCUUAUACCGGCCGUUAAAAAUUGUCAAUUUUGUGAGCUUUUGAUCGUAAGGUAAAUGAUGUCGAAAAAUUAUGAAAUUUGAUGUUUAGAAGUUUUAAAUGAUCUAGAUAAUGUUUAACGGUAUAGAUCGUCGAUCGGAAGCUCUAUCAUCGAAAACGACUUAUGAGUAUGAGGGUGAUCGUACUCAUAAGAGUAUAGUAGCCGGACUUUAUAUAUAUAUAUAUAUAUAUAUAUAUAUAGAGCUAGGUUGGUAUAUUAUCGGUAGCACGGAGGCCUCCGUGCUAUCAAGUUGUUUUCAAUGAAGGCGCUUCCAAAUCGACGAUCGGCUCCGUUAGACUUGAUCUGCACUAUUAAAAGUAUUUGGAAACUAAAUUUCAUAAUUUUUCGGUAUCAUUUACCUAUCAAACGAGUAGUCUAAAGAUGAACGGCUGAAAGUAAAAAUUUCAUAAAAAAUGAUGAUAAAAAUCUUGAAUUUAAGAUCAGAGGUACUGAUCUUACUCUAAAUUGUAAAAUGAAUUUUCUAUAAAAAUUUCAUCAGAUUUGGAUUGUUUUACACCGUUAAAUUUACAAAUGCAUCACAUCUACCAUUAAAAUUAUCAAUUUUGAGACCUUUUGAUCACUAGCCAAAUGAUGUCGAAAAAUUAUGAAACUUAGUUGCCAAAUAUUUUUAAUAGUGUAGAUCAAGUCUAACGGAGCCGAUCGUCGAUUUGGAAGCCGUAUCAUUGAAAACAACUUGGUAACACGGAGGUCUCUAUGCUAUCGAUAGUAUACCAGCCUAGCUUAUAUAUAUAUAUAUAUAUAUAUAUAUAUAUUAUAUAUAUAUAUAGGGUCCUACUAUACUAUUAUGAGUACGAUCGCCUCGUACUCAUGAAGUUGUUUCGAUGAUGGAGCUUCCGAAUCGACGAUCCACACCUGUAAACGUUAUUUACGGCAUUUAAAACUUCUAGAAAUCAAAUUUCAUAUAAUUUUCGGACAUCAUUUACCUUACGAUCAAAAGCUCACAAAAUUGAUAAUUUUUAACGGCCGGGUAUGGAAUAUUGCUUAGUUUAACGGUGCAAAAGAAUCCGAAUAGGUUUGAAUUUUUGAUAGAAAAUUAUAUUCACUACCUACGUAAAGAUCAAUAACUCCGAAUCUUAAAUUGAAGAAUCCCGAUUAUCCAUUUUUAAGAUAUCAUUCGAUUUGAUCGUUCAUUUUAUGCCCGCUUGAUGGGCUUUAUUAAUUUCGAAAAGUUACGAAAUUUAUUUUCGAGAAGUUUCAAAUAUCUCUUAGAUCAUAUUAAUGAGUGGAUCGUCGAUUCGGAAGUCAUCAUCGAAAACAACUUACGAGUACAAAGGCUCCAAACUCAUAAUUAGAUAGUAGCCACUGCCAUAUAUAUAUAUAUAUAUAUAUAUAUAUAGAUAUUAAUAUUAUAUAUAUUAUUAUAUAGAGCAGGAUUGCUGUGCUCUCAGGGAGCACGGAGCGCUCUGUGCUCCUGAGCCCGUUUCGAUGAUGGAGUUUUCGAAUCGACGAUCGCGCUCCGUUAACUUGAUCUAGCGUAUUUGAAGUUUCUAGAAAAUAAUUUUUGCCUAUUUUUCGAUAUCAUUUAUCUAGCAAUCGAAAGGAUUCAAAAUUAAUAAUUUUUAAUGGUUUGAAAAUAAAAAUCAUUAUAUAAAAGUGAGUGUAGUAUAUAGCAGUUUAAAUUUCGAUCAAAAUAUUGAUCUUGUUGUAUAUAGUAUAAAGAAUUUUGUAUCAAAUUUCAUCUGUUUGAAAUACUUCACACCGUUAAACUUGAAAACGGCAGAUAUCAACCUAUUAAAAAUAGGAAUUUUGAAUCUUUCGAUCACUAUGUAAAUGAUAUGAAAAAUCGCAAAAAUUAUUUUCUAGAAACUGUCAAAUGCACUAGAUCAAGUCUAACGGAAUCGAUCGUCGAUUCGAAAAUCCAUCAUCGAAAACGCUCAGGAGCAGCUCUGAGAGCACAGCAGCUUGCUCUAUAUAUAAUAUAUAAGAAUUAGGCUGGAAUACUAUUAAUAGUAAAACGUCUUUUUGCUAUCAAAGUUUUUAACCCUUGCAUGAAAAAUUGUAGGUCAGGAUGAUAUUAGUCGUGAGAUGAAGUGCCCCUAGGGUUGAGUGGGUCCUCAUUGGGUUAUAGUAUUUAAUCCAAUGAUUAGAAAUAAUGAAAAGAGUUUAUCCAAAGGCUAAAAAUUGGUAGCAACAAUGGGAUUUUGCUACUAAUAGUAUCCCAGUCAACUCUCUCUCUCUCUCUCUAUAAUAUAUAUAUAAUAUAUAUAUAUAUAAAUGAGCUCCUAUGUUUUUAAAGUACAAGUGAUUCGUACUUGUAAGUUUCGGCCCUUGGAUUAAGGGAUGGGCGAUAAUGAUGAUGUGCGGACCCCUAGGGUUGAGUGUGGGUAAUUGGUUAAAUAGUAUAAUCUAACGAGUAAAAUUAUCAAAGGCGUAGAUCUAACGGUAAAAAAUUUAUAAGCACCAAGUGCUUGGUGCUUUUACAAGCACCAUAGGCCGGAUUCUAUAUAUAUAUAUAAUAUAUAUAUAUAUAUAUAUAUAGAACUAGGUUACUAUACUAUUAAUGGUACCAGCGCUUGGUGCUAUUAGGUUUUUGGCCCUUAGAUGUAGGAUGUGGGAUUAGGAAGAUAGUGUUUCCUAGGGUUGAGUGGAUGGUUGGUCGAAUAAUAUGAUCUAAUGGGUGGAAAUCGUCAAAGAGAGAUUUAACAGUAGACACUUGAGGGGGGGGGGGGGGGGGGGGGUAGCCCAAGCUGGUUUGGUACUCGCAUUAGAAUAGUAGCCGGACUCUCUGCUCUCUCUCUCUCUCUCUCUUCUCGCUCUCAUAUAAUAUAUAUAUAUAUAUAUAUAUAUAUAUGUUCUGGCUACUAUACUCUUUUACGUACGAUUGCCUUCGUACUCAUCAGUCGUUUUUGAUUAUAGACCUUCCGAAUCGAUGAUGCAUACCAUUAAACGUUAUAUAGAGCAUUUAAAAUUUCUAGAAAUUAAAUUUUAUAAUUUUUUGACAUCAUUUACCUUACGAUUAAAAGAUCUCAAAAUUGACAAUUUUUAACGGCCGGUAUGGAAUACCUGCUAGUUUAACGGUGUAAAAGAAUCGGAAUCGGUUGAAUCUUUGAUAGAAAAUUCUAUUAACUAUCUAGACAUUUUAUGCCCGCUUGAUCGACUUUAUUAUGAUUUCGAAAAAUUACGAAAUUUAUGUUUAGAAGUUUCAAAUAUUCUAAAGCAUUAUUUAACGGAGUAGAUCGUCGAUUUGGAAGCUCCAUCAUUGAAAACAACUUAUGGGUUGUACGAAGGGCUCUAUACUCAUAAGAGUAUAGUAGCCCUUCUCUCUCUCUCUCUCUCUCUCUCUCUCUCUAUAUAUAUAUAUAUAUAUAGCGAUAUUCUUGGUUUUCGGUCGAGUUUUUCAUUACUUCUAGAAGUAUAAAUCUUUCGCAGAAGAUGCAUACUUUUUUGUAUUUCUUUAAUAUUUGGGUUUGUGUAUGUAUACGUUUGCCUGGUUGCAUACAUACAUAAGUUGGUGUUUUAUAGAACUUAAGAGGAUGGCUUGCGGUGUUGCAUGUCUCCUAUACACGAGGGCUUACUCCCUCGUUCAUUCACUUCCUCAGCUUUAUGCAUCUUAUUAUUAUUUCUAGUAUGUCCAUUUAGAGUCGUUAGAUGCUUCAUCCUGUGUUCUCAUCGCAGCAGCAACACAUUAUGAGAUGUUUUGGAUGUUCUUGUGGCAGGUGCUGGCGUUAGUUGGUGAUCAGCUUGACUACGGGGACAAUAUUUGUGGUGCGGUGCUAAGUAUUCGUUUCAACGAGGAUAUAUUGAGUGUGUGGAACCGGGAUGCAUCGGACCACCAGGUUUGGAGCCCCACAUCCCUUUCGAUUUGUAUAAUAUAUUUACUUUGAUUUGCAUGCGCCUCCAUCAAUACUGAUGUAGAUUCAUUUUCUUUUUACUGCUUCUAGGCUGUGAUGGCUUUAAGGGACUCAAUAAAACGACAUCUGAAGCUGCCGCAUAGCUACUUGAUGGAGUAUAAGCCGCAUGAUGCAUCUCUACGCGAUAACUCGUCGUAUCGGAAUGCUUGGUUGAGGGGAUAGAUCGAUGGAUGGAGUUGUGUGUGGGUCGUCCUUCUAUGUUGGAGCAACAAAUGUUACUGGAUUAUCUGUUAUCUGCUUUGUAUUAUAUUAAGACUUUCAUUAUGACUGCUGCUAACUCGCUAUGGUGUGCGAAUUUCAAACAUGUGAUGUGACGAGUACGGUAGCUUCUAUGGUUGUUGUAGAAUGUACGUAGGCAGAAGGACAAUGAGCCGAACAGCAUAAUAUAACAUGGAGAUCUGAUUAGGAACGAUAACAUAUAUGGAUAACAUAUAUGUUGUGAUUAGCAGUAACAUAAGUAUUGAAGUUGACUACAAUAUUUCUAACGGUGCGGAGGGUUUUUUUUUUUUUUUUUUUUUUUUUUUUUUUUUUUUUAAUCCUUAUUUUGAUGAUAUAGCAUUCAAAUCAGUAAUAACAUUGUUAUAUAGUGUAGGGCUUAUGCUUUGCAGUGGAUAGAAAUCAAGACAUGCCAAUAAUAAAAAUAAUAUCAAGCAUUCGCCAACGGAAAAAAAGUGAUAAUAUGUAAUAUACCUUUCGGAACUUAAAAUAUAUGUAAUAAAUUCUUGGUAAACUAAAUUGUCCCUAAUUGAUUUUCAAAUAUUGAUUCAAAUAUUUCCAUACUUUUGGGAUUUACUAAUAGGAUUUGAGGUUCAAAAGAGUAUUUUAGUGAAUGCCGGGCAGCUUUGAAAAUUCUGAAUAGUUUUUAGAGGUAUCUGAAUAGUUUUAGAGGUAAAUAAGCAAAAGAGGGAAAAAAAAAGUUUAUAUUCAAGCCCAAAGGAUAUGAUGUUUAUUUUAAUAUGCAUGUUGUAGGGAAAAAAAGAAACACAAACAUCAUUAUAAAAUAUCAUACUUAUAAUAGUUUCAGCUGAAGAACUUGUUGGAUCGUCGUACUCGUCUUAUAGUCUCUUAGAUUUGCGACUAGUUGGAUCGUUGUAUUUGUCUUAUCGACUAUUGGAUUUGCAACGCCUUUUUGAAUUUUUGAUCAGGCGUCGUGUCGUGAUCUCUAUGCUUGAUAGUCGUGGAAGGUUACCUGAGUCUCCAGCAAUCGUCCAGCCUCCAAAAUUCUGGAAAUGUAGGUAGAAAUCCUAGAGUGAAAAUAUAGAGGGGAGAAAGAGGCCUUUUUUUUUUUUUUUUUUUUUUUUUUUUUUUUUUUUUUUUUUUUUUUCGUACAUCAAAAUUGAGAGGGUUUCACAUAUAUAGGUUAUCAGGAUCCCUUAUCCUGAGUCUCACAUCGAGAUAAGAAUAAGAAUAUCUAUUAAAAUAAUCAUUACGGAAUAUAUUUAUUAAUUAGUAAAAAAUAUAUAAUUUGUCCUUAUACUUAUUAGAAUAAAUUCUGAUCCAAAUCACACGUGGAUUGGGUUGAGUUAGAACCAAUUAAUGUGGACAUACAACAUGACAGGAAUCUACUACAUUGGCCAAUUUUCUCUCAUAUGUUAUACUUUUCUACAUGUAAUGGCGCAUGCGACUUGACGAAAAGCGUAAUGUAGGGGUGCUAUAUUAAGUUCAUCAAACUAACAAAGCACAUCACUAAUUAAAUUCGUUUAUUCCCUAAAAUAUCGCAACACAUCGUAUCAAAUAUCACAAAUCCCUUUCGUGUAAUGAUAGGGCUCAACCCCAAAAUUAUUUUUUUGUAUUUAUGAUUAUCUUAAGUAAUACAAUCAAGAUUACCACCCAAGCAAUGAAUCACAUAACUUACAUAGUUUGUUAUUGCAACAUCUCCCUCAGUCCCUCACAUUACUCAAUAUAGGUCCAAGCACUUUAUUAGACAUGUUCCACGAGAUCAUGUUUUCUUAUGACCCCGAGAUAUAUGCUAAGUUAGUCACAUCGGACCUUUGUUUCAUAACUUGCUUCUAAGUCCAGGGCAUAAAAGGUUUAGUACUCCCACAGUGACAUAAAGAGAAGAACAUAUGUCGCUGUACUGAUUGGUCGAUAAGUACAUAUAGUAUAAUAUAUAUGCUAUGGCAGAGCUCCCACUUAAUGAGUCGGAUCACACUCUAAAAAAAUACCAUACAAGUCUAAAUCUACGUACCACUUAGGCGCUUAACCCAAUUCAGGACCAAACCUAAAUACACAAAUUCGGUUACAGUAUAGACUCGAUAUGGUAUUCACAAUAUUAUCCACAUCCUAUAAUAUACUGGAUUUUGCCAAAUUGAUAGAAUUACAAUUUGAGUUGCUGGUUAGCAUGUUUUUAAAAUGCUGGAAUAAGUUAGAACCAUUUUGGCAUGAAAUUGACAUGAAAACAGAGUUGGAAUUUGAAAUCUAGAUGAUUUUGAGGUUUCUGUCACUUUCUCUACGCUAGGAAAUGGUUUGGACUGCCUAAAAUUACUAUGCGGACUGAUGUGAAUUUGGACCCUAUGUUGUGGGUGCCCAGUUCUAUCGAAAGAGGACCCAGAUAGGUUACGGGCCUUGUUUCGAAUGCCCAAUAUUAUUGCAGCAGUAUGAAAUUUGUUGUAUAUGUGACUUGAUUAAGGCGGUUAAUGGCGAGUCAACAUGCAGACUCAUUGUCUUUUCGAAUGCAGAACUGUGUACCCGUAAAAAACAUUUCGGGCGGAGCUAUAUAGAAUCGGACUGUAGAGUGCAAUUAGUGUCAUACGAAACACUCGAUUAUAAGGUUUUGGAUACUUGAAUGAUGGUCUCGGGUGCCCAAAACUAUGAAUUUUGGUUGAGAAUAGGAUCUUCAAAAUUUUGUGAGCUUUGGUGCAAUUGUUACAUUACAUAUGUGAACAGAGGGGUGGUUGUUUGACUCUUUUUCUCCUUAGUUCUCCUGCACGUAUAGAGACCAAGAGAGAGAGAUCGAGAGAGUGACCGAGAGAGGAAAACGAAGAGAAAGGAGCGUGGGGGAAAUCGUGAUCGAGGAGAUUAGUUGAAAAAUGCGAUUUUGGAGGUAAGUAAAAUGUAUAAUUGGAAACUUGAUCGAGGUUUCUGUAACUAUGAUUUUACAGUAGAUGAUUUUAGCAUCUUAUAUUUUAGGAGGUGAUUUUUGAUUGAGGUUUUGGUGACGCUGGUGUGCUGAGUUCUCUUUUUUUUCAAUCUCCAUUUGGGGCAUCUAUCUAGGCAGGUUCAUUAUCGCUGAACAUGGCGAGCUAACUCCUAUGGCUAUUUUUCCUGCAUAUAUAUUAUAAUUCAAUGAUAUCUGUCGGUAUUAUUGUUAUAACGAUAUCUUAAUCUGUAUAUACAUGCACUCAUGUAUGGUGACAAUUGAUUUGACGGCAUGAUGAUUCCUGUAUAUUAGAUUCUCUUUAUAUCUGUUGCAUAUUAUCACUAUGAGAAAGAUGAUUAUAGACAGACAGUGGGACAUAUGACAUAGAAUUAUGCCUAAAGACAUUUGGACAAUUUUUAUUAUGAUCUGUUUGACAUUACAUAUGAUCAUAGCCUGCAUUGUUGGAUUUGAUCUGUUUCACAUUACAUAUGAUUAUAGCCUGCAUUGUUGGAUUGAGCUCAAUUGUGAGCAAUGUGAUAUGAUGAUACUCGACUGGGUCGCACCCCACAAGUGCCCGUUUCGAGCUAUGGCAGCAAAUUAGAUGUUCUAGAUGUACGCAUACGGGCUAGACCGCUAGGUGAGGGUUGGUUACCGAGCAUGCGUCGGCGCAGGCUUGACUGAACCUAUGAUGAGCCAACCAGUGCGAUUGGGUCUUACGACUUUGCUUAUUAGAUAUCGAGUUGAUGCGUGAUAUUUCUUUGCUACUACACUGAUUUACAUAGAGAUAUGAUUAUGGUAGAGGUAUUACUACUAUUCAUUCACUUCCAUCACUACAAUAGAGGCAUGAUAGUUGCUAUAUUUAUCAGUUUAGUUUAUAUUAUUAUUUACUACUUUUGCCUUUGACAGAGCUAUUGGUGUAGGUCGUCACCUCUGGGAUUAUAGUUCUCAUGCCCUCUUUUGUUGAUUCUUUUUCAGAGACUUCGGCACCAGCUUUUGAUCGAAGUAAGGGAAUAGCGAGUUAGAUAACAUCUCCUAUCCAGACAUGCGACAGCUAGAGGAGGACCCUGUGGAUUGUUUUAUAUAUAGUAGCAUUGUAUAUGAUGUACCGGCGAGGCUAGCAUGAGAUGUAUUUAUAUAUAGUAGCAUUGUAUAGUGGAUAUGUCAUACAUAUACUGCUAUACCUGUUGUCUGUUUUAUAAUGCUCUGGUACUUGUUUAGUUGCCAACUUCUAGGACCUGUCAUAUGCUAGUUGUGGACACCUAGGAUUGUUGACUAGUUGAUAUUUCAUAUGCUUCGGGUGUACAUGGUGCGCCUUGUGCAUCCAACGAGUCAGUUGACGGCCCAGAGGCUUCUAUUUCAACUCGGGGCGACAUAUUGUGAGACCCCGUUAAUUUUAUAUAUAAGAUAUAAUAGGGCUAAACUAUUAACCCAGUUAUAACAUUUUGGGCUGUAGUUAGACCCACUAGGUUAAGAGAGUUAAGCUUAUUAGGGCUAGAGUUGUCCUGAGAUGGGUUACCCCUAGGAAGUGGGGCGUUACAAUUAGUAUCGGAGCCAAUUAUUAGCCGGAAAUGUGAAUGAGCCUCGGCUGAGCCAGAGUUAGUCUCGGCUGAGCCAGAGUUAUAUAGUGGGGAAAGCGAGGCUCACAUGCUCAUGACUAUUAUGGUUAAAGUGUGGCUCCGCCACAAGGUCGGUUAAGGCUAGAGAAACGAGUCUCACAUCGCCUGGUACUUGUGAGUCUGAGCCUGACGAGGACGUUAGGACUUAAAAGAGGGGAGAGUGUGAGACCCUGGUAGUCCUAUAUACAAGAUGUAACAGGGCUAAACUCUUAACCCGGCUAUAAAAUUUUGGGUGGUGGUUAGGCCCAAGAGAUUAAGAGAGUAAAGCAUGCUAGGGCUAGAAUAGUCCUAGAAUAGGUAAACCCCUGGGAAAUGGGCGUCACACAUAUUUGACUCAUUGAUAGUCUUAUCUUAAACUAAUUAAGGCAACUUUCAAAUUUUUUGACUCCAUUCUCAACAAUACCAAUGCGCCAAGUAUCAAUUAUGCAAUUAUAUUGAAGUUUAAACAAAAUCCUUUAUUACUAAGAAAAUAUAUGAUACAUAAUUAAAACAAUGUCCAUACAUCAAAUCUUUCAUAGACCCAUACUACGUACAUAGCUUUGGAACACAUCCCUAGCUAUCGACUUGCUUAGUAGAUUUAUUACCAUCCUAGUGGUGGAGAUGUGUUGAAGAGGGGCAUCACCAAGCUUAAUCACAUCUAGAAUGUAUGUAAGGUACUGGACUUCUAAAAUAAUGAAAUUAUGGUUUAUGUUGGUUUGGAGAACCAUUGGAAUGGUUCCGGUGAAGUUCGGAAGCAUUCGGGCGUUUCCGGAGCGCGUAGGCGUAAAAAGGGGACCCGAAAGGCUAUGUUGGACCAUGAACUAAAUCCAGCAUUAGCGCGGAUGAAAAGAUGAUGAAAACACGCUCGAAAACAUGUUUGGAGAGUCUCGGUUCGAUUUGAAAAGAAUCGGAGGCCAAACGAGCGAAAACGAGCGAAAACGAACCCCAAAAGCUGAAAAAGCUGAAAAUUUGGCUAAGUCCUAAAAUGCUGUUUUUCUCGACCUACGGAGACCGGUCCCUCAAGUCCAAGGACCGGUCCUUUAUACAAAAAAUGCCCCGUGCUGGCUGUGCACAAAAAUACAAAGUUGAGGGGGUUUCUUGCAAUUUGGUGUUAAUAGAGGUUAAAGGGAGGUGAUAUGAGCCCUUCUCUCUCACUCCCUCAUAUUCUAAACACCAAAACACUAUCUCUCUCUCUCUAGAUUAGCUCUCCUCUCUCUCUAAAAGGGUGGGUUUUGGAGGAGGGAUUGGUGGAGAAGAAGGCAAAGGAGUAGAUCUUCAUCUUCAUCUUCUUCUUCCUUGGAUUUGGAGCAAGCUUUGGAGGUAAGCUUGAUGUCCAUUCAUGGUGAUUUCUCAAGGUUUGAUUUAUAUGCUCUAAGAAUAGUUUAGAUAGAAUCCUAGCAUGCUAAAUAGACGGAAAAUACUUGAUUCAUGAAUCAAUUUGGAGUAUUUUGCUAUAAUUGCAUCUAGGGCUCCAAUUUUGGAGUUUUUGGAAAUAUGAGGGUUUGAUCUCAAUUGACCAUCCGUAAACCUAAUUGGUAGGUAAACGAACGCGUUGGCGAAGUCGGUUCGGCGAUUCGUCAACCCUACGGGAAGAUAUCGAAGAAACGGACGUUCGGAGCUUCGUUUUCGCCUGGAGGGCCGAGGCGACGUCCAAAAAUUAUGAAAAUGGAUUUGGAGCACCGUGGCGGCAAACCGUAGACCUAUAAUUUCCGGAACUGUGAAGCGGCGCACGGUUGGUGCGCAACUGCAAGAUCGGGCCGUGUCUGAUACGGGUGCCGCGGGAGGCCGAUUGCAAGUGACUACAAGCAAUCGGAACGUGAAUCGAGGUGGGUUGUGCUCACCGAACGACUAGGUCGCCUCUAUGUCUAAGAGGAAUGUUGCUAUUGAUGCAUACCUGUGUAGUGUAGGUUGCAUGAGAUAAUAUGGAUGCAUGAACCUUAUUAUGCUUGAUGUUUAUUACCUACCCUUGAGAAAUGCAUGAUGACAUAUUGAGGAAAAUGAUAGGUGGAUGCAUUAUGAUAUUGUAUAUGCUAGAUGAAAUGCAUAGUGACAUAUUAUAGAUUAUGUUAGAUAACAUAUGCCUAUUGAACUCGAGGUUUAUGUAGCGACAUGACGAGUGGCAUGUAAACAAUAUUGAUAAUAGAACGAGUGGCAUCUAAUGUAGUGUAUUAUGACACUAAUGGUAUGUGAACUUAGGGAUAGAUGGAUUCCCUAGUGAAUGACUCGUGAACAAAGAACUUAGUAUAGCUAAGCAUUUAUGCAUGAAUGUCGGAAUAGGUGAGUUCCGAGAGAGUUGUUGGCCCUAG